RNAcentral lists this long non-coding RNA (210389 nucleotides) under Citrus x clementina. Its description in RNAcentral is "Citrus clementina (C. clementina) long non-coding RNA (CCLE_LNC003470)". The stretch from base 40292 to 40395 matches the Rfam family "Plant small nucleolar RNA R71". The record is from RNAcentral. Lineage: Eukaryota; Viridiplantae; Streptophyta; Magnoliopsida; Sapindales; Rutaceae.
CUAUAUUUAGGGGAUUAAUUAAUUUUGAAUUGGCUAUGUUGGUAAAAUACUACGAAUUAUCUAGUUGAUUAAAUAUAUGUUCACUUAAUUGUAUAUACACUCUAUAAAUUAAAAGAUUAUUAACUUAUAGAUUAAUUAAUAUCAGUAUCUCUUUAUAUUAAUAGAAAUUGUAUGAUUCUGAUAUUAAUUUAUAGAGGCUUUAUUGUGUAUCCAUACAAAUAUCUAGCAUUGUAUUACGCUAAUGGUCUGCCUAAAAAAUAGGAUGUGGUUAAUUUCAUUCGAGGACGUCGUUCUAGAAAUAUCUUUACAUAUUAAAAAGAAUAGCUUGAUGAUUGAUAUAAAGAGAAGAAAAUUUAAUAAUAAACUAAACAAAAUAAUAAAAAAUGAUAAAAUCAAUAGAAUAGCUUGACGAUUGAAAUUACCUUCAUUAUGCGACAAGAAAUUAAAAUCAAUAGUUUAUUAAAACCUACGCAGCAUACGUUAUUUAAGCUUAAUUUUGUAAUCUUUUCAAUUACAUUAAGGCAUUGCAACACAUUUCUCAAUAUUCCUUUAUAUAAAUAGAGGCUCAUGCCUUUCCAAUUCCUACACAUCAAUUUUAAUUCACAUUAGGCUGUUAAGAAUUCACUGAAGAAAUUGAAAAUAUGUCAAAGAGUUCUAUUUCAUCAUGCUUGUAGUGGCAAACACUAAAAGCAUGCUAACCCAGAUGCUUCAUUUUCCAAUUCUCUAGGCUUAAAAGCAAAAAUUGUUUGAUCGAGAAGUUACCAUAUCUACCCAUGCCCUUGGGGGAAUGUAAAUGAUUUUUAUAAUCAGUUGUUUCUUUUAUCUUUUUCAGUGCUUUUGCGAUAAUGAUUAAAUUGUGGUGAAAUUAAAACUAUGUUUUAAUAAAAGAAGAAAUUAAUCCAUCAUGAUUACUUAAUGUUUUGUCAUGUGUUUUUUGUGUGUGUUUUUGGUGUGCUUUGUUUUAUACAUAUCAUUGAAUCAAUCUAUGAGAGAGAAAUUAGUUGAAACGCUAAUGUUGAUCAAGUGAUCAUAAUUAUAAUGUUAGUACCAUACGUAAUAUUUAAAUUUUCAAUCUAUUUUCUUUUAGGGUGAGGCUAUAUGGAUCUUAUUUUUAUCAAAAUUUAAUUUUUUCUAAAUCUUAUAUUACUAGACUAUCCGAUUUAAUUUAUGGGUAAAUUCAACUUUUGCCUCGAGAAUCUUUAAUUUACCACAAAAAAUGUGAAAAAAAUCAAUUCACCUCUAUUUACUACUACAAAAACAAAUAAAAGUUCAUAAACUUGGCAUUUGAACAAAAAUUGGUGCAGAUCAAGGCUUUCAUACUUUUGAAGGGUAAAUUAAAGAUUGUUGUUUGGAGGGGGAUGAAUUAAAGUUUACCUUGAUUAAUAUAACAAUAUGUUUGAUAUUAUUUCUGAAUCGUUUUUGCUCCAUUGAUAUGUCUAUAUCAAUCAAUCUUGAUUCAUCAACUCUUGUUAUAGAUGUAGGAUUGCCGAAUAAAUAAUAUUUUGAUGACCUAUUUGGAGAUGCAACAAAUUUUCAACCAUAAACACUUGCAACAGCUCUUAGCCACAAAUUAAAUUAAAAACUCAAUUGGCAACUCAUGUUGAACGAAUGGAUUGAUUAGAUAAAUUAUCGUAGAAUCUUAGCGAAUCAAUGUAUUCUACAUACCUUACUAACUAAUUUAUUAAGAAUGUUGUUAUUAAAUAUGUUUAGAGAAUUGGCUACCCAAGCAUGGCUUGGUAUAAUUUGUCGCAGAUCUAAUUUCGAUGUUGAAAAAGUUUGUUUCAAAAUUUUUGACAUAAUGUUAAUUAUGUUACACAACUAUAUUCUUUGACAAAUAGAAAUUGAAACAUCAUUAAAUCUAAUUGGUAUCAUACUAAGCAUUGGAGCCUUGCAAGCUUCUUCUAGUUUAUUUAUCACUCAAUUUGUCACUCAAUCAAUUAAGAAAGAAAAAUAAAUCUAAGGCUCAUGGGUCUUGGCCUAGCAAUGUUAUUUCUGGCCAAAAAAAAAAAGAGUAGCAGUAUUUGAUCCCACCUUCCGAUUAAUCCCAUUUGUUUUUAAAUUAAACUUGUUUAAGUUUUUUUUUCUCUCUCAUCACCACCACAACCAUCGUCUAUCUUUAUUACCAUUAAUUCAAUCCGCUUUCAACAAGCAUAUCAGUUUUUACAAUGUUGCACACACCAAGCAUAUUGGCUACCUUGGCAAUUGCUCAAGUUCGCAAAAAGAGGAAUUCAUUAGCAAGCUAGCUACUAGUUUGCAUCCAAGUCCCCAUUACUAUGACCGAGGUACAAGAACAUUAACUGCUAGCUUCAUUGGACUCAUUAUCUCUUUACUUUUACUUCUCUAUUCAAUCCACACAGCGGUGUUCAAUCCCCUUCUUGUCCAAAGAGUUUAUUCAUAUUCUCAAGUCGUUUUGGUUGCCCACUUUGAGAAUUUAUUUCUUCUUUUUAUAGUGCUUCUUAUCUAAUAAGAAUGUGCGAAUUAGAGCUUAUAUUUGUCAUCUCAAAAGCAUUACAGAAGAGAGACAAAGCAAGAAAAGUUGAAUACUAACUACUUGAUGAAAAUUCCUUGUACUAAUUAAUUCUUCAUGUUAUUCUUCGUGCUAACCACAUCUGGGUCUUGAAUUUGUACGAGUUAAUAGCACUAGAUGCACGCACAAAAAACACAUGACAUAAUAUUGCGUACUCAUAAUGAAUUAAUUUCUUCUUUUACUAAAACACAGUUUUAAUUCCACGGCAAUUGCUCAUUAUUGCAAAAGCACUCAUAGAAGAUAAAAGGAAUAACUAAUUAUCAAAUUCAUUUGCAUCCUCUUGGGAACAAGGGUAUAUAUAGUUUUUGAGAGCCUUUUUUAACUUCUUGAUCAAACACUCUUCCCUUGUAAGCCCUGAGCAAUCAAUAAUGUCAGGUGAUGCUGUAGGAUUAAAGGAAAAUAAAGCAUUUGGGUUCGAUUCUUGGCGAGUGCAACAUGCUGAAAUAGGUGUGGCUUUAGUGUUUGCCACUACAAGCAAAGCCAUGAUGAUGAAACUAAAAAUCUUCGACAUUUUUAAGCUUCAUCAGCAGGCUAGCUAAAAGUUUACCUGCAAGUCCCCUAAUACGAUGACAAAAUUAAAGAAGCAUUGUUAUUAGCUUCAUUUGACUUGUUAUCCACUUGUUUCUACUUCUCUAUUUAAUCCACACAGCAAGCUUGAAUCCCCAAACUUGAUCAAAAGACUUAAUUCAUUGCCUUAAGUCUUUUUGACCACACAAUUUGAGAAUUUAUUUCGUCUUUUUAUGAUGCUUCCUAUAUAAUAAGAGCGUGUGAUUAGGAACUUGAUUUGUUUAAUUCAUAACAUUUUAAGAGCAUUACAACAGAAUGACAGGAAAAGAAAAGUUGAAACUGACAACAUUGUUAUUCUUAGUGGUAACCACAUCUAGGUCUUGAAUUUGCAGGAGCCAACAUGAUGAAGCCCAUAUUUUGCAUCAUUAAAUGAUUAAUCUUGUUGUUAUCUCUGCUUUCACUAUUAUCUCAUCAAAAAUUGUUUCUUAUCAUACUAGCUGCAUAAAAAUUAACAAACUAACAUAUUAUCAUUUUUAAGUCACCAAUCAAGUAUAAAUACUAUAUUAUUUAGUUAUAUAACAAAAAUAAUGAAAUAUCUAAAUUUCAAAAACAUAUAUUAAAUUAAAGCCAAAGUAGCCAUCGCAAAUAAAUAAAAGAAUACAUAUUUUCAUUUAGAAACAAUUGAUUUAAUUUAUCACUAAGUGAGUUUAAUCACUCAAAUACAGCAGUCGGCCCAGCAACGAUAGUUAUUUUAGAAAUAUGGCCACUUGAUGGUGUUCAGAGUUGUAGAUAUUUUUGUUAGGAUAUUUUAGAUUGUAUAAUUUUGUUAUAAUUUGUGAUUAAGUAUAACCUAUUCUAUUUUGACAUUCGAAUGCUCGGAUCAUAACUGGUAUUUUGAUUAGGGAAGUUGAAUGUGGAGGUUGGUUGUGUAUUGAACUAUUUUAGGAGUGUUUGUUUUAUAAAUUGUAGGUUGGAAAUAUUACAUCCAUAGGGGAGAGAUACGGCAUAAUACUUAUUAAAUGGAAUAUUGUCAAUUAUGUUAUAGAAUAUCAAGUACAUUUGGCUCGUGUGGUUUCGGGCGAGUUGUUUCAUAAUUAAUAUCAAUAUCUCUUUAUAUUAAUAGAUAUUGCAUGAUUUUGAGAUUAUUAAUUUAUAAAGGCUUUAUUGCAUAUCCACGGAAAUAUCUAGCAUUAUAUUGCGCCAACGGCUUGUAUAAAAUAUAGGAUGUGGUUAAUUUCAUUGGAGAACGUCAUUUAUAAAAAUAUCUUUAUCUACUAAAAAGAAUUGCCUGACGAUUGAUAUAAAGAGAAAAAAUCUAAUAAUAAACUAAACAAAAUAAUAAGAAAUGAUAAAAUUAAUUAAAUAUAUGCUGAAAUUACCUUCUGAAUGCAUCAAGAUAUUAAAAUCAAUAGUUUAUUCAAACAAACUCAGUGUAAUUUAUUUAAGCUUCAUUUUGGAUUCUUUUUAAUUACAUUAAGGUCACUACAAUUCAUUUCUCAAUAUUCAUUUAUAUAAAUAGAAGCCCUGCCUUUCUAAUUCCUACACAUCCAUUUUAGUUCAAAUUAAGCUGUUUAGAAUUUAAUUAAGAAAUUGAAAAAAUGUCAAAGAGCUCAGUUUCAUCAUGCUUGUAAUGGCAAACACUAAAUGCAUGCUAUUUCAGAUGCUUCAUUUUCUCUUUCCCUAGGCUUACAAGCGAAAAUUGUUUGAUCAAGAAGUUACUAUACCUACACAUGCCUUGGAGGGAAUGUUAAUGAUUUUGAUCAUCAGUUGUUUCUUUUAUCUUUUAUCAAUGCUUUUGUGAUAAUGAUUAAUUGUAGUGAAAUUGAAACUGUGUUUUAAUAAAAGAAGAAGUUAAUCCACUAUGAGUACCUAAUGUUUUGUCAUGUGUUUUUUGUGUGUGUUUUUGCUAUGCUUUGUUUUAAGCGGAUCAUUGAAUCAAUCUAUGAGAGAGAAAUUUAUUGAAAUGCUAAUAAUGAUCAAGCGAUCAUAAUUAAUAUUUGCAACAUACGUAAUAUUUAAAUUUUAAGUCUAUUUUCUUUUAGGGUGAGGCUAUUUGGAUCCUUUUUUAUUGUAAUAUAAUUUUUUUUCUAAAUCUUAUAUUCCUAAACUACCUGAUUCAAUUUAUGGGUAAAUUCAAUUUAUGCCCCGAGAAUCUUCAAAUUACCACAAAAAAUGUGAAAAAAUCAAUUCACCCUUAUUUACUACUACGAAAAUAAAUAAAAGAUCAUCAACUUGCCCCCCCCUCAUUUAAGCUAUCUUUUGAACAAAAAUUAGUGUAGAUUGAGGUUCUCAUGCUCUUAGAGAGUAGACUAAAGAUUGUUAUUAGGAGGGGGAUGAAUUAAAGUUUACUUCAGUUAAUAUAAGAAAACUUCUCAUAUUAUUUCUAACACAUAUUUUCCAUGUUUAUAUGCCCACAUCAAUUCAAUUGGUAACUCAUGUUGAACGAAUGGAUUGAUUAGAUAAAUUAUCAUAGGAUCUUAGGUAAUCCUGUAUUCCACAUACCUUACUAACUUAUUUCUUAAGAAAUUUUGUAUUGUAUUUUUUUUAUAAUUUGAAAUAGCUAAUUACAAGAACUAACUCAAUACUUCAAUCUUUAAUCAAUCAAGAUCGAUUUGGAAUCAAGAUUGAUGAAAAACAGAGUAAAGAACAUAAAAAGAAUUGGAUUAUAAAGAACAAGUUACCAGAUUUGAAGAAAAAAUGCACACUUUUUCAUUAAUCAAAACUAAGUACAAACAUAUCACAUCUGAAGAGUUACAAGAAUCACGUGUAAAGAAGAAUUAUUCUAAUUGAAGAAGAAAUGAGUGAGAGAAGGCUUAUAUAUCAUAUGCUACAAGCCAGCAUCUCGUUUCUGGAACAUUUGUAGAAACCAUGUAACAAAGUUUAACAACCCAGGCCAUGUCAGCAGAAAUUUUUGUAAGCACCCUCCAACUGAGUGCAAUAUACACAAUGACCCAUAAAACUCUCAUUCGAUUUCACUUUAGUCCCCAAAAUCAGUUAACUACAUCUCCACACUCUCCACCUUGCAAAUCUGAUUCAAUUGAUUGCACAUCAUAAAAGGUGCUUCAAAAAACCUUCAAAUAUUGCGGUCCACUCAUGAAUUCAGUUUGGUUUAGGCAGGAUGCCCACCACGUUCACACAUAACUCAAACUUAGCUGUUGGAAGAACUUUAGUAAGCAUGUCCGUUGGGUUUACAUCUAUAUGAAUCUUAGAUAUCAACAUAGUCCCUUUUGCAACUUUAUCUCUAAUGAAUUGUAGCUUCACAUCUAUAUGCUUAGUCCUCUCAUGAUAUAUUUGAUUCUUAGCCUAUUGUAUAGCAUUUUGAAUGUCACAGAAAAUUUGAACUAAUUUUUUAUUUAACCAAAGUUCCUUGAGGAUACUUUUAAGCCACAUAGACUCCUUGGUUGCUUCUGUGACUACUACAAACUUAGCUUAUAUAGAAUAUAGAGCUACCACAAACUUUAAACAUGAUUUCCAACUAAUUAUAUAGUUGUUCAGCAUGAACAAAUAUCUAGUGGUUGACUUCCUUCUAUCAAAGUCUCUACCAAAGUCAGAGCCUACAUACCCCACCACUUCACUCACAGCUUAACUUGAUCUUCCAAACAAUAAGCCAUGGUUUGAGGUACCCCUGAGAUACCUUAAUAUCUAUUUGACAGCAUCCCAAUGGAUCUUAAUUGGAAAGCUUAAGAUCUAUUGACUAUACCCAUUGAAUAAGUUAUAUCAGGUCUGAUACACACAAUUGCAUAUAUAAGGCUCCCCACGGCCCGUGCAUAUGGUAUUUCUUUCAUCUUGAACUUAUCUUUGACAGCAUCUGAUGCUUGAGACACAAUCAACUUGAACUGAGAGCCAGAGAAGUCAGAACAGGUUUGCACUAUUGCAUAAUAAAACCUCUCUAACACCUUUAUUAACAUACAUCUCUUAACUUAAGAAAAGAACACUAGACACUUUAUUCCUUGUGAUCUCCAUCCUAUGAAUCGUUUUGGCACUGGCAAUAUCAUUCAUCUCAAAUUUAUGGUUCAUCAGUUUUUUAAGCUUUUCAAUCUCAGUUUUGUGUCUGCUUGCAAUCAAUAUAUCAUCUACAUAAGAAAGCAAAUAUAUCACUUUGCCUCAAUCUGAGCCACCAUAGUAAAAAAAGUUAUUAUACCUACUCAUGUGGUAACCAUUAGUUACUCUGAACUCAUCAAAUCUUUUGUACCACUCUCUAAGAAAUUGUUUUAGUCCAUAUAGUGAUUAAUGCAGCAAGUAAACAUGAUUUUCUUUCCCUAUCUUUACAAAACCUUCAGGCUGAGUCAUCAAAAUUUGCUUUUCAAGCUUCCCAUUUAGGAAAUCAGUUUUAACAUCCAUUUGCUUAAGCUCUAUACAAGCAAUGUUGCCAUAGUUAAAAGAAUUCUAAUAGAACCAUAUUUUACAAUAGGGGAGAAGAUUUCAUUGAAAUCUACACUCUUUCUCUAUAUAAAACCUCCGGCUCUAAGCCUUACCUUGAAUUUUGAAGGUUCAACUCUAGGGAUGCCAUUCUUUUUCUUAAAGAUCCACUUACAGUUAACCAGCUUCUUGUCACUUGGAUUUGGAACAAGUGUCCCUAUCUAAUUUCUCUGUAAAGAAUCCAUCUCCUUUCUCAUUGCCUCAAUCCAUUUGUCACAGUUCUCACUUUCAAUGGCCUUAGAAUAGCUAAAAGGCUCCUCAAUUGACAUUUCUUUUGCACUCAUCAGUGCAUAGGCAAUCAAAUCUGUAUAACCAUACCUCACAGGUGACCUGGUUUGCCUUCUGCUUAUGUCUCUAGCUAGAUGAUAGCUCUGUAGGUUAAUUUGUUGUGUUUCUUGUGUUUCAGUAGCUUUAAUUUCAUCAAAUGGACCAGUUUCAGCAUUUGAUGUAUCCAUUUCCUCAUCCUUAGCUCCAAGAAACUCCCUUUUAAGCUUAGAGGACUCAGUUGGUUAAUUCGCAUCUCCUUCAACAUGCAUAUUAGCUUCUAUUAUUUCCUUUCUAGCCUUAACCAUAGCUGAUUCAUUGAAAAUAACAUUUCUACUGAUAAUGCAUUUUCCAUGUCGUUCACACCAUAUUCUAUAUCCUUUGACACCAUCAACAUAGCCAACAAAAAAUCCUUUCAAGUCUCUUAGUUCAAGUUUGCCUUGAUUUACAUGUGCAUAAGCAGGACAACCAAAGAUUCUGAAUUAUCAUAUUUUACAGGCCUCCCUAACCAUAUUUCGUCAGGUGUUUUGAAACCAAUGGCUGAUGAAGGACUCUUGUUGACUAGAUAACAAGCUGUACUCACAGCCUCUGCCUAGAAACUUCUUGGAAUUUUGGAAUUAAUCAACAUAUACUUGGUUUUAUCAACAUGGGUCUUAUUCAAUCUUUCUGCUAAACCAUUUUGCUAAGGAGUUAAUUUGACAGUUUUAUGCCUUAAAAUUAUAUGCUUCUGAUGGUAGUCUUCAAACUCCUUGUUGCAGAACUCUAGGCCAUUAUCAAUUCUUAAGGCCUUUAAUUUCCUUCCACUUUUAUUUUCCACCAAUGUUUUUCAAACCUUAAAUUUCUUUAAGUCCUGAUCUUUGGAUUUCAGAAUAUAAAGCCACACUUUUCUUGAGCAAUCAUCAAUAAGGUCAUAAAAUAUCUACCCUUGACAAAGAUGGCACUUGAGCUAUCCCCCACAAAUCAGAUUGAGUAAAUUUUAAGACACACUUAGAUCUAUAUGCCCCUUUUGGAAACUUGGCUCUAUGUGCCUUCCCAAAGACACAGUUCUCACAAAACUCAAGACUACUUAUCUUGUCAGACUCUACUGUCAUUACAACACUUGCAAUAAUGAAAAACCCAACUAACACAUACAACUCGUUCCUCUUUUCACCUUUCAUCAUAAUAGAAUCCCCUUUGGUCACUCUAUGCCACCAUUAUCAGACUUAAAUGAAUAUUCAGAGCUAUCCAACAUGCCUAAGAUUAAAUUUCUCUACACCAUGUAAAGUUUUAAAGACCCCAUCCAACAUCCUUAUCUUAACAGAUCUUGUUUCAAUAAUUUUGCACUUAUUAUUGUUUACUAUAAGAACUCUACCACCAUCAAUAGACACUUAUUGGGCAAAUGUAAAAUGAACAGCCGGAAUUUAACACUCAUUGAUCUUCUAAGUUUGCCUUUUGAUGAUAUUAACAGAUCAACACUGUGAUAACCAUCAUCUGAAGAGUCAUCUAAAGCCACAACUGCAUCUCCUGAUUUUUCUUGAUGCUCCAUUUUCUUUUACUCUGCAUAGUCUCUGAUAUAGUGACCUUCUUUGCUAUAGUAAAAACACUUCUUUUUCUUUUUUCUUCUUAUCGGCUUUUUGGCUCUUUCUUUUGCCCUUUUCUUGAUUCUUAUUCUUCUGUUCCUUUUUCUUUCUAGUUCUGGCAAUCAGCCCUUCUCUAUUACUGAUUUCAUGCCCAUUAUUUCUCUGAAUCUCCUUUAAGCUCAAUGAUGCCUUAACAUCUUCUAAAGUUAAUAUUGCUCUUCUAUACAACAUUGUAUCUACAAAACCUUUAUAGGAUUGUGGCAGUGAACUGAGCAAGAAAAAUGCUUUAUUUUCAUCUAUAAUUUUCACAUUUUCAAACCCUUUAAGAUUAAGGAUGAUCUUAUUGAAAGUAUCAAUGUGUUCUUGGAUAAAAAGGCCUUCUUUUAUUGAAAAGUAUAAAGCUUUUUCUUCAAUUAAAUCCUGUAAGCCAAAGACUUCUUCAUGCAUAGUGCCUCCACUUUAUUCUAUAUCCUUAGAUCAAUUUUUUUUCAAAGAUUUUCGUUAAGAUUGAGCCACUAAGACUCAAAAUCAAGGUAAUAUGGGCUAUGUUCUGGAUGUGCUACUUUUUUUCAUCAGGCAUGGAACUUGUAGCUUUAUUAGGAUCUUCAUUACCCAGAGUUGACUCAAGGCCCUGAUAAAUUAGCAGUGGCAUCAGGGUCUUAUCUUCAUCUUCCAGAGUGAGAAAUCACCACCAAUGGUGAAUUUCUCAAUCUAUGGCUUUAGAAGUGACAUACCCAAGAAUUACCAAAGCUAUCAUACCACUUGUUGUAAUUUGUAGUGGCUAAUUACAAGAACUAACUCAAUACUUCAAUCUUUAAUCAAUCAAGAUCGAUUUGGAAUCAAGAUUGAUAAAGAAUAGAGUAAAGAAAAGAAAAUAGAAUUGGAUUGCUAAGAACAAACUACCAGAUGAGCAGGAAAAAUUCACAUUGUUUCAUUAAUCAAAACUGAGUACAAACAAAUCACAUCUGAAGAGGAGAUUACAAUAAUCGCGUGUAAAGAAUAAUUAUACUAAUUGGAGAACAAAUGAAUCAUAAAUCAGAUGACUUGUUAUCCACUUGUCGCUAAUUUUCUAUUCAAUCCACACAGUAGCAGGAAUCCCCCAACUUGCUCAAAAGACUUAAUUCAUUACCUCAAGUCCUUUUGGCCACCCAGUUUGAGAAUUUGUUUCUUCUUUUUUUUAUGCUUCAUAUCUUAUAAGAGCAUGUCAUUAGUGUUAAGUGUUAGAAAAUGUAUAUUUAUAAAGGAGAAAAUCGUCAUUUUACACUUCAAGUUUUACUAAAACUUCUACUUUUAUGUAUUUUAGUCUCUUGUAAUUUAAUUAUGUGUAUUUUAUUUUAAUUAAGUAUUCUAUGCAUUUUAGGGGUGUCAUGGUCAUUUCACAAUGAAUGAGAGAUCAGACGGCAAAAUGGACAUCACUUUUGAACUCAGGACAGUCGAAAACUGUUGUGCAAAUUUUAUUGAACUCGCAAGUGCAAGAAUCUAUUGUAGAAUAGAUCAAUGGUGACGAGUGUCGAUCCUACAAGGAGGUGAAUUUUAAUUAUAUAUAGAAUUAAUUUUGUAUGAGGGUGGUUGGAUUUGUGGUGAAAAUGAUUUGGAUUAUCCUAAAAUUAGAAUUUAAAUGGCGAGAAUAAAUUGAAUAGAAAUCUAUUAAAAUGACGUACUUGAGUAUCUAGAUCCGUAUCAACAUGCAUCAUGGGCUAAAUAUUCCUUAUUAAUACCAAUUAAAUCAUGAGGGGGGAAUCCACAUCUCAUGAACCACACUCUAAUCAAUAUGGUGGUAAGGGCUUAUCGUGCCAAAUAAUAAUAACCUUGUACUAGAGAGCCAGUGAAACCAAUGCGGUAUCUAGACAAGAUUAUUAUUAUUUGUCGACGAGAAGUCAAAACAUCCACAAAAAUUAGAGGGGAAAAGAAAAUAAAUUUACCAAAUAAAGCCCAUGACACAUGUUGAGACUUCACCUUCAACCCAAACUUGAAAGAAAAUUAGCUACUCAUAAUUGAACUAGGGGCAAAAUGGAAAUUUAUUAAAAUACGUAAAAAUACAAGAUAGAGAAGGAAUUAUAAAAAAUGGAUCCCAAAAAUGGAUUUAGAGAUAUCAAAUUAGGGGGGGAGAGCCCCCUUUUUAUAGAUACAUUGAGUAAAUCAUGGCCAUCAGAUCAAAAACAUUUCGGACGCUCAGGAUUGCGCCACGUCAUCAGUCAACAGUACGCGGUUUGACCACGCGGUUUAAACAGUAACACGGUUUGACCCGGUUUGAACAGUGACUCGGUUUGGUUGAAAAUAAUCCUGUGUAAUGCAUGUACCGUACGCGAGAUUUUUGGUCCACUGAUAUACUGCCAUGUCAUCGAUCAAUAGUGCAAAAGAAUUUUAGUCCAACAGGAUCGUGACAACUCGUAAGUCAAUGCCACAUCAUCGGUCAAUGCCACGUCAUCGAUCCGUCUAUGUGAACAGUGUCAUGAACAAUAACGCAGACAGUACCGUACAUGUGAAUAGUACCGUACAUGUGAACAGUGUCGUUUUUCCUUUUAUGCUCCUCCUAAGGUUUUCGACCAUCCUGAGUUCAAAAGUGAUGUCCAUUUUGCCGUCUGAUCUCUCGUUCAUUGUGAAAUGACUAUGAUGCCCCUAAAAUGCAAAAAAUACUUAAUAAAACUAAAACACACGUAAUUAAAUCACAAGAAGGUUAAAUACAUAAAAGUAAGGGUGUUAGUAAAACUUGAAGUGUAAAAUGAUGAUUUUCUCCUUUAUAAAUAUAUAUUUUCUAACACUCAACACACCACCCAACUAGCUUAUUGCUAGUCCCUAGCAAAUAAAGCGAAAAAAAAAUUUAAAUCCAAAAUAUAUAUAUAUAUAUAUAUAUAUAUAUAUAUAUUUUAACACUCAUGUUUGUUCAAUCAAACUAAUGAUAGUAAUCAAAUAAAAGUAUAAGCAUUAUCUCCAGUCUAAAAAAACAUCACACCCACAUCAACCAUCCACAUGAAUCAGCCCAGUAGACUUUAUCAUAGCUACUUUCAAGAAUGACAUGUCAAACCCCAAAAUCUCACUGGAAGUAGUGACACUCUCAUAAAGAAAUUAAACCCAAUAAAAAUAGUCACUCCAAUGAAUGGUAGUUGAGAGAAAAUAAUAAAGAAGUGAUAUCACAUGCUCCCACCAAGAUGAAAGAAAUAUGCCCUCAGCUUAGAAAUAAUACGAUCUCAAAUCAAAUAAAAAUGCUAGUCAACCCAAUUUAUUUAUUUUUAUUUAUACUUUUUUAUGCACCACCACAUCUUUUUAGCCCAUAUAACUAGCUUCUACUUCAGACUAUAGUUCCCUAAAAUCAAGAAAGACUUUUAUUAGGACGUAACGUAGGAUAGGGACAUGGCUAACAAAGGAGGGGAAAUAAGGAAAACAAAGUGUAUGUUUGAGAAAAAUGUAGAGAAUUUUUUUUUGGAAGUUGCAAGGUGGAUUUCACCGAUUAUUGUUAUUUUUAUUUUUGAAACAACAAUUUUUUUUUUUUUGCUUUUGUUUGGCAUAACUUCACUGAACAAAAUAAUUAUUUACAUUUUUCUCAAACAUAAAUAGGUGAUGAAACUUGUAAGAUAUUGGGUAAUACUCCAAAUCGGAGUGGGUCAAGAUGAUAAGUUUGACAAAUAAAAUAUAUUUUUUUAAAGGCUCAAAAUGGUUAACUAUGGAUAUUUCACAAAAGGGAUGGCUAGAAAGGCUCAAACGAAUCAAAGAUGGUCUUUCCAUCAUUUUUUAGGGUUCUAAACAAUCUUCCAUAUCUACUAGUUAGAUGGGCCCCCAGAUGUAGCAACAUAAAUUUUUUUCUUUUUCUUUUUUUUGCUCUUUUUUUUUAAUUUUACAAUAUUUUUUUAAGGGUUAACUCAAAAGAAAUCUAGAGAUUGUGUAUAUAAUAAUAAACUGCUAAGCUGUAUAACGAAUGAGCAAAAUGGUUACUCUCCAAGAAAAAUGAUAGGCUCAAAAACUCACUUGGUACUUAUUAUGGCAUGUUCAUUCCUUCAAGCAAUUCAUAUUUGUCUCCGACAUCAACAUGUAGAGUAGCAAACAUAGCGUAACAUCGCUUAAGACCAAAGAUAAUACAAAUACUAAAAUUUGAAAUUAAUCAUGUCAUCCAAUGUUAAAACAAAUCACACAAUUUUUUUUAAACAACAUUCUACCCCCCAACCUAUUAUAAACAUGAAAGGAAAAUAUGCAUGCAGAAAUGUGAAAAUAAUUCAGAAAAACUAAUUAGAAAAGUUACACUUAAAAUGAUAGAAAUUUUUAAUUUUUUUUAACUAAGAAGAUGCGUUUCUAUAGGCAUUAUACUCCAUAUUCAGCCUUCUUCGACUCAAAAAAUUUGAAAGUGUAUAUUUAUAAAGGAGAAAUUGGAAAGAAGAAGAAAAAUGAUUGUAAAAAAAAAUUAAUAAAGAAAAAGAAAAUAUCUGGAAUUUUUUUUUUAAUGAAGAAAAUGCGUUUCUAGAGUAACUACACUCCAUAUUCAGCCAUCUUCAACACAAAAAGUUAGCAACAGUUAGUUUCUACAACAAAAAAUUAGUAAAAACUUAACCAAAAUUCCACAAUUGUCGACUAUUCCCUCCCCCUAACCAGAACGAAACAUUGUCCUCAAUGUUUUAAAGGAAAGAAGUAGAGUUUAGAAGACUUCACCUUGGUGGUGCAACACAGAAGAAAAUAUUUACUGGCGGAGAGUUAAAUUUAAUUUGUACUUCUUACUACAGCUACUGUUACCAUCAUUAUUUGGACGCUCCAACACAAAGGUCCAGGGGUCUGGCUCCGGUCUAUAAGCUUGUAACAGAUCAAGUAGCUCAUUAGCAGUGUGAGCACAAAUAAAAUUUUUUUUCGCAUUAGUAGGAAUGAAAUAGUUUUUUAUUGCAUGGUUAAGAAAUGCUAUGAAGCCAUCAUAAAAAUUAUUGAUAUUUAACAAACCGAUGGGUUUCUGGUGAAUGUGCAAAUGGGCCCAAGAUGCUAGUGUGAUGAGUGCCUCUAGUGUUGCAAGAUCUCAUGCAAGGAAAAUAAAAACAUCAGCAUGAUUAAGCAUUUCAGUUAUUCUUUCUUGCAUACCUGAGACGACUAACUCUUCUCCAGUCAGUGAGUCAGACAAACUACCCAAAGGUUUUAGGACUCUUGGGAUGAUGCCUAAGACUUGGCUUCCUCUGACAAAAGCAGCUUCUGAGACCAAUUUUGAUAACCCUCGGUUACCUCCUCCAUACACUAAGUGCAAUUUUCUCUCUGCUAUGCUUCAACCAAGAUCUACGGCUGCCUCAACAAACUCUUUAUGUUUGCCAUAGUUAAAUCCAGAAAGCACACAAAUGUUCUUGAAUUGUCUAUUAGGAGUAGCUGCCAUUGGAAUAUUCCUCAAAAAUAAUUUGUGAGUGCUUAACAAAAAGUUUUAUUUAAGAAUCUUGGUGACAGUGGAUCACAGCUGUGUAUGAGGUGGCAUGUCAGUGUCAAAUAACGCGUAAAGUGUUGGUAUAUAAAUACUAAUGCUAUUGGUGUCAAUGUGCAAGUGUACACAACAAGUAAUAAAGUGAUGAGUAUUCAAGAUCGUCUCCACAGGGAUUGAUGUUAUUAGACUUGCUACAGCAAUCUUAACAAUGCAGAUUUUGUUCUAAAUUAAGAUAAACAAUUGAUGAAACUAAUUUAGUAAUUAAAAUAAAAACGCAAUAAAUAAAAUGCAACAAAAUAAACUAUCACGUCAAGCUCAAGAUAAAACUAAUGGGAAUAUAUAGUAGUUGAGUGAAUAAACUCUCUUAAUGGUCUUGACUAUUUUCUAAUGGUUGGCUCGGUUGCUGCAGUAUCUGCUACAGCACUGGGCAGAAUCCUUAUGCAUCCUCAGCCGUUGCAUAUUGGAUAUCUUAUAUCUAUAUGCAACCUAACAAUGAUAAGUUGUUAUGCCAACAUAAGAUAUAGCAUUACACGCUUAGGUUCUAUUUACCCUACAAGGUGAAUCCUUAUGUCUAGUUUAUCACUAAUCUUAAAUCAAGCAUGGCCCUUUUAGGACUCAAGUAAAACUCAAUCCGGGAAACUCAGUUUAAGAUCAAGUAUUGUUCUGAUAUGUUCCACUAAGAUAGGCCAUUUUACGGCUCUCUCCUAACUUGUAUCAUUAAAUGGGUGAUCAACCAAACUAAUGAAUAAAAAUAAAUACUAUCAAAACAAACUGCUACAGCAAACAUGCAACAACACAUAUAUUCAGUCAAUAAACCAUCAAGAUUGUUUAUCACUCAACCACAAAUAAAUUUAGUUCAUGGUUUGUAAAAGAAAAAUAAAGAACAAAGUUUCAGCCAUGAAAUACAUCCUCAUAAAUAAAUAGAAAACGAGAAAACAAGAUAAGAAUAAGAAAAAUUGAGCUCCCAAUUGAUUUCUGCAAAUUCUCCUCUUGUGCAGCCCUUAAUCUCUCUCUUGAAUCUUGUUUUUCUUUUGUUUCUUUAUGUUUUUCUCCUUGGGUGACGGCCCUCCUAACCCUUAUGAUGUGUGCUUCUUUUAUAGUUGAAAAUUAGGGUAAACGAAAGCCUAGGGCGCGCAUAAGUCAGAUUAGGAAACUUCAGAUCGCAAUUCUGUAAGUAUCCCGCACGAAAUUUUCUCUGUCGUUGUUCCAGGAUUGCUACAGUAACGACUGCAGCAAUGGUUGCUAUAGCAACGGCUACAGCAACUGCACUGUUCCAGAUUUGUUUCAACUCUUUUGUAGCCAUGUUCUUUCCUUAUUUUUGCAUGCUUAUUGCAUAGCAUUCCUUCCAUGAAUUAUAAGCUUCUGGAAACCUACAAUUAUGCAUACAAUUUGAGCAAAAAUUACUUUAAAUCGAGCAAAACUUAUUAAGACUGACUAAAAUGAUUAUUUAUGCAAAAUGUAACAAAAAUGCUAUAGAAACACAUAAUUUACUCUCUAAGUAGUAUUGAUUUAAGCCUAAAAGUGCCAUGAUAACUCUCAUUUCAUAGAGUUAUCAUAAAGCACAUGGCUCGCGAGUAAAAAAGGAAACAGUAAAUAGAAAAAGAAACAAUGAUAAAAUAAAAUUAUUAAAGACAAUAAUGGAAAAGAUAAAAUAACAGUGAAAUAUAAUAACAAUGAAGUAAAAGGAUAUUUACAGGUAGUUGCGACUGUGGCUCACAUCUUCCUCUGGUUUUACGUCCAGAAACGGCUGAACGCCCUCUAUGGGUCAAGGAUAGGCUUCCCAUCCAGUUUUCUUAUAAACUGGCAAACAGGGUCGUUUAUAGUCAGAUUCCCGAGACUAUAUCGUGCAUGCUCUUUCUGGAAUAAUGGCCAUAACUGGAGAAUCACUCCUUGCACAUAUCCACUAGGAUGCAUUUCAGGAGACAGAAGGAUAUCAUCCAAUGACUCCUUGUUCAAGCCAUCCCUAAUGAAUUGAAUCUUAUCUUCCCUGUUAUCAGACACCAUUCCUAAAGAACAUGGGUUUUUAUUGCAUCUCAUUCUAGCACAUUUAUGACAAGCAACAGAAAUUCUUCGAGCUUUUCGUUUUCUUGCAUAAUUUCCUUUACCACAACCAGGCAUGUAUGCAAUAAAUUUCGGAGGUAACUCACCUGCCAAUCGUACUUUAGCCUCGAUUAACCAACGGAUGUCAGCAGGUAUGUUAUUCCUCAUGAGCAAUCGCAUGCGUUCGGACCGAGCUGUAUAGAUUGUAAGGAGGGCAUUCUGAGGAAGUGAAGGGAAUCGCUUGUGAAGCUUCGCUAGAAUCUCGUUUAUAUCCAUACCUUGACCUCAGAAUAUCAGUCAUUAUGGGAAAACUGAAGUAACCGACUUGAUUGUCACGGAGUACCGUUAUCCGCCACUUCACCGGGCUAACAAACUAAAGCACACCAACAGAAAAACAAAUUAAAAUACACAAAGAAAAUUAAAAUCGUCCUCUUAUUGAAUUUACCUCAAGCUCCAACUGGAUGUUGUAGACACCUCUCUCAAUGUCUCUGAGUUGGCUUUCUAAAUCCUCAACAUAGGAUACUAACUAUGGUGAUUGCAGAGCCCAAAUACGAUGUGUCUUACAAAAUCGAAUCUGUCUUUUGAGAUGAGAUUUUACACGUUGAAGUGGUUUAAGAAUGUUCAGGAGGAACUGUUUAGCUAUAACACUCAUGAUAAGAGAAAACUUAAUGGUUAAACAAACACACUUAUGCAAAAAAAAUUUCAAUUAGCAAAGGAAUAAUAAAAAGAAAGAAAAAAAAUUAAAUCACCGAAAAGAAAGAAAAACUCAAUUCAAAUCUGGUGGGUCACUCAAAUUUAUUUCAAUGUCCUCUCCAUAUAGUUGGUACUCUAGAUAUGGCUUUAAUCUUUGACCAUUAACUUUAAAUGUGACACUGUUCUUUGGGUCCUUAAUUUCAAUUGCCCCAUGUGGAAAAACAGUAUGAACAAUAAAGGGACCAGACCAUCGAGAGCGUAACUUACCUGGGAAUAAGUGCAAACGAGAAUUGAAUAAAAGCACUUUCUGACCUGGAGUGAACGAUUUUCUCAUAAUUUGCUGUCAUGGAAGACUUUCAUUUGUUGCUUGUAAAUCUUGGCAUUUUCGUAUGCAUCAUUGCAAAUUUCUUCAAGUUCUGCCAGUUGUAAUAUUCUUUCUGAGCUAGCUUGCUGCAUGUCAAAGUUGAAUUUCUUGAUGACCCAAUAUGCACGAUGCUCGAGUUCUACAGGUAGGUGGCAAGCUUUUCAUACACUAGCCUGUAGGGUGACAUCCCAAUCGGAGUCUUGAAAGCCGUUCUAUAUGCCCAUAAUGCAUCAUCAAGUCUUAAUGAUCAAUCUUUUAUGUCCGGCUUCACCGUCUUUUCUAAUAUGUGCUUUAUUUCUCGAUUGGAGAUUUCAACUUGGCCACUGGUUUGCGGAUGAUAUGGGGUCGCCACUUUGUGAGUGAUGGAAUACUUUGUCAAAAGAGCUUUGAAUGCUUUGUUACAAAAGUGGGCACCACCAUCACUGAUUAUUGCUCGAGGGAAUCCAAAGCGCGAAACAAUGUUGCUUUUCAAAAAUCCUAUCACCACCUUGUGAUCAUUGGUUCUGCAUGGAAUUGCUUCUACCCAUUUCGAUACAUAGUCAACAGCAACCAAUAUGUAUUGAUGGCCAAAAGAAGGGGGAAAGGGUCCCAUGAAGUCGAUACCCCAUACGUAAAAAAUCUCAACUACUAAAAUUGGAUUUAGUGGCAUCAUAUUCCUUCGCGUAAUGCUUCCCAUUCGUUGACACCUAUCAUAUGAAGAACAAAAAGUGUAAGCGUCUCGAAAUAUAGUUGGCCAAUAGAAACCACAUUGUAAAACUUUAGCCGCUGUUUUCUUAGCACUAAAAUGGCCUCCACAAGCUUGUUCAUGGCAGAAUGAAAGAAUAUUAUGAAUUUCUCUUUCUGGGAAACAUCGUCUAACAAUUUGAUCUGCAUAAUAUUUGAAAAAAUACGGGUCAUCCCAAAAGAAAUUUUUUAUUUCUGCAAAAAAUUUGGCUUUAUCUUACUUGGUCCAAUGCUCUGAAAGUUGACCUGUAACAAGAUAAUUAACUAUAUCAGCACACCAAGGUAAUACUUCCACACUCAUUAAUUGUUCAUUUGGAAAUGACUCAUUCAAUGUUAAUGGCUCUGUAAUUGUGUCAAAAUGGAGACGAGAGAGAUGGUCUGCCACAACAUUUUCUGUGCCUUUCUUAUCUUUAAAUUUCAAGUCGAACUCCUGCAAAAGUAACAUCCAACGAAUUAGUCUAGCUUUUGCAUCUUUUUUUGUGAGAAGAUAUUUAAGAGCAGCAUGAUCUGUGAACACAAUUAUUUUACAACCAAUGAGAUAAGAUCAAAAUUUCUCUAAUGCAAACAUUACUGCUAGCAUUUCUUUUUCAAUAGUUGAAUAGUUCAACUGUGCAUUAUUCAAUGUCAUACUAGCAUAGUAAAUAACAUGGGGAAUUCGAUUAACUCUUUGUCCUAAUACUGCUCCUACUGCAUAAUCAGAUGCAUCACACAUGAGCUCGAAUGGUAAGCUCCAAUUUGGGGGUUGAAUGAUGGGUGAUGAUGUCAACAAUUGCUUUAAUUUUUCAAAAGCCACAAGACAUGAAUCAUUAAAGAUAAAAGGUACAUCUUUAGCAAGUAGAUUGCAUAAGGGUCUAGAAACUUUGCUAAAAUCUUUAAUGAAACGUCUAUAAAACCAGCAUGCCCAAGGAAAGAUCUUACUUCUCUGACUGUUUUGGGUGGAGGAAAAUUAGAAAUGAGAUCCACCUUGGCUUUAUCAACUUCAAUACCUUUGCUCGAAAUGAUGUGACCGAGAACAAUACCUUGUUUUACCAUAAAAUGGCACUUCUCCCAAUUUAAGACUAAGUUCUUCUCGAUACAUCUUUGUAGAACUAGUGUUAGAUGAUGUAAACAUUGAUCAAAUGAAUCACUAAAAAUAGAAAAGUCAUCCAUAAAGACUUCAAGGAAUCAUUUAACCAUAUAAAAAAAAAUGCUCAACAUGCAUCGUUGAAAUGUAGCAGGUGCAUUACAUAAUCCAAAUGACAUUCUCUUAUAUGCAAAAGUGCCAAAAGGGCAAGUGAAAGUAGUUUUCUCUUGAUCUUUUGGUGUUAUGGGAAUCUGAUAUAUCCUAAGUAGCCAUCUAGAAAGUAAUAAAAUUCAUGGCCUGCUAAUCUAUCAAGCAUUUGAUCGAUAAAUGGUAAAGGAAAAUGGCCUUUACGUGUGACAGAAUUCAACUUUCUAUAAUCAAUGCAAACACGCCAUCAUGUAGUCACUCUAGUGGGUAUCAAUUCAUUAUCAGCAUUCAUAACUACUGUCACUCCUGACUUUUUGGGGACAACUUGUACAGGACUGACCCAAGAACUAUCAGAAAUGGGGUAAAUAAUACCUGCAUCUAAUAGCUUAAGAACUUCAGUUCUAACAACUUCUUUCAUAUUAAGAUUUAAUCGACGUUGCAUUUCCCUAGUAGGUUUAGCAUUUUCAUCAAGGUGAAUGUAAUGCAUGCAGUCUACUAGGUUUAUACCUUUUAUGUCCGCUAUGGUCCAUCCUAAUGCUCCUUUGUGCUCUUUUAAAAUAUGCAACAACUUACCUUUUUAUUCGUUAUUUAGGGAUGAUGAGAUGAUUACCGGCAAAGUACUUUCUUCUCCCAAAAAUGCAUAUUCCAGAGUGUUGGGCAAUGGUUUCAGCUCGAGUUUCGGUGGUGAUUCUGAUGAUGGGAUGAGUUUCUUCUCUGAUGGUGCUAGUUGUUCAACUCUUGACUUCCAUUUAUUAGUGUCCAUGGAUGGUGCUGAGUCAAGUAGAGCGUUGACCUCAUCGACUGAUCUGUCAAUAUCAAAAUCAAAACCAAAGUGAGUUAAACAUGUUUGUAAAGGAUCAUCACUAAGGUUUGAAAGAAAAUUGUCAUCAACUAAUGCUUCAAUUAAAUCUACAUCAACAAUUCCAUCAUCUGCAUUGUGAGGUUGUUUGGCAAUGUUGAAAAUGUUCAGCUCCAUAGUCAUGUUGCCAAAGGACAAUUGCAUAUUUCCAGUUCUGCAUUGAAUGUGAGCAUCGGCAGUUGCCAAGAAAGGCCGGCCUAGAAUAAUGGGGAUGUGCUUCCUUGAAUCCUGUAUUGGUUGAGUGUCAAUUACAAUGAAAUCAACAGGAAAAUAAAACUUGUCUACCUGGAUAAGCACGUCCUCCACAAUACCACGAGGUAUUUUUGUGGACCGAUCUGCAAGCUGCAACACCACUGGAGUUGGGUGUAAUUCUCCCAGUCCAAGUUUUACGAAUACAGAGUAAGGCAACAAAUUUACACUAGCUCCUAAAUCCAACAAAGCAUUCUUAAUUGUGUGGUUCCCUAUACUACAUGAGAUAGUGGGGGAGCCCGGGUCUUUGCAUUUUAGAGGAAUUUUGUGUUGGAGUAUAGAACUAACAUUUUCUGUUAAAAAUGCCUUCUUUUGAACAUGAAUAUUUCUCUUUUUAGUACAAAGGUCUUUAAGAAACUUGGCAUAAGAUGGAACUUGCUUUAUAGCAUCAAGUAAAGGGAUGUUAACACUUACCUGUUUGAAGAUUUCAAGAAUCUCACCUGUGGAUUUUCCCUUAUUUCCUUUAGCUAACCUCCGAGGAAAUGGAGCUUUGGGAACAUAUUCUCGUGGGUUGGUUUCUUCUUUCUCUUCCGAUGGUGAGUCCUCAACAUUCACAGGUACAAUUUGAUUUUCUUUUGUUACCGGCAUCUCUACUUUGUUGUCGACUUCUUUUCCUUUUCACAAGGUCGUGACUGCUUUGACCUCUCCAUGCUGCUGUGGUGAACUGGUACUUGCUUCAUGCACUCCUUUAGGAUUAGGCACUGGUUGACUUGGAAACUUACCUUUCUCAACAGUCAUUGCCAAGGUCUGAACUGAAGAAGCAAGUUGUCCCACCAUCUUCUCGAGGCUUGACACUGAUUUGGCUUGUGAGUUGAAGCAUGCUCUCAACUCAUUUCGUAGUCCAUCAAUGGUGCGGCUCUGUUGCUCAAUCGUGGAGUAAGUAAGAUUCUUGAGAUUGUGGAAUGAAUCCUCCCAUGGUCUGGGUUGACAGUAGUUCUGGUUCUGAUUGUAAAGUCUAAAUGGUGGUUAAGAGGCUUGAGGAAUUGGUUGCAUUGGUGGAGCUGGAGCUGCUGGUCCAUUCUGUUGGAAUCCUUGAGACCAUGAAAAAUUGGGGUAGUCUCUCUAUCCAGGGUUAUAUGUGUUGGAGUAUGGGUUGUAAUUCGAUGAUUUUCUCAUUACACCUGUGGCAUUGGCUUGAUCUGAGUAUGACUCAUGGUCAUGUGGCUCUGUUGAUUUAGCAGUCGAUAACGAUACUAUUUGUCGAGCGAGACCUUCAACCAUCUCCUUGACUUCUUUGAUUCCCGAAGUUGACUCGCCAAUGUGAACCUCAUUCACUCAUUUAAUUCUUUUAGUAUUCCUGAGCGAUUGACUCCAUUGUUGGGAAUUAUCCGCUUGUCACUGGAAAAAUUCCCAAAUCUCUGAUGCACUUUUUGACAUUAGCUCUCCUCCACUUGUUGCCAUUAGCCAUUCUUGCACAUUCGGCAAUAAUCCCUCCAAAAAUAUUGGCAUUGGUGCCAUUUCUGGUACCCAUGAUGUGGACACUUCAAGAGUAGCCCAUUGAAUCGCUCCCAUGUUUUGAAAAACUGCUCAUCUUCUCUUUGGGUAAACUCUGAGAUUUCCCUGCGAAUAACAUUGGUUUUAUGCACUGGGAAAUAUUUAUUCAAAAAUUUUGUUACCAUUUGUUCCCAUGAUGUGAUACUAUUAGCAGGCAAUGUAUUGAGCCAUGAACGAGCUCUAUCCUUUAAAGAAAAUGGGAAUAAUCUAAGUUUAACAUCAUCAUCUGAAAAAUUCUCAUAUCUAAAUGUUUGACAAACAGCAUGAAAAUCAUUCAAAUGAUUAUAUGGGUCCUCAUUUUCUAAGCCAUAGAAUUUGGGGAGACAAUUUAGCACACUGUGUUUUAGUUCAAAACUCCUAGCAGCUACAUUUGGGUAUCUUAUACAUGAUGUACUCAAAUUAGCUAAGGGACUAAAAUAGUCCUUAAAUGGCCUCUCCUGUGGUGCUUGUAAAUCCAUUCCUAAUUUAUUUUUAACGUGCUUGUGUGUGCGAAGUGUUUUUUCUAGUUCAAGGUCUAUAGGUUCAAAAUUAGGUAAUAAUGACCUACAACCAUGCAUGCAAAAAACACAAAAAUAAAUGGGAACAAAACAAAUAAAAAUAAAGAAGAAGCAGAAAUUACGUUACUAACCUUAUCACGCUGUUAAAACCUUUCUAUAAAAAUACAUAAAAACAAAUACGUGAAAUAAAUUAACUAAAAAUAAAUUAAGAAGAUAAACAAAAAAAAUUUACAAAGAAAAAUAAAUUGAAAAUUAAAUUACAGAAUUUUAAAGAAGAGGAAAAGGAAAGAAAUACUAACAUUUAAAUGUAGAUUUUUUUUCUUUUUUUUUUUUAAAGAAAAAAAAUACAAGAAAACAAUUAAAUGGAAUUAUUCACAAAAAUUAAUUCUAUGAAUUAAAAUUACUUAACUCCCCGGCAACGGCGCCAAAAACUUGUGCAAAUUUUAUUGAACUCGCAAGUGCACGAAUCUAUUGUAGAAUAGAUCAAUGGUGACGAGUGUCGAUCCCACAAGGAGGUGGAUUUUAAUUAUAUAUAGAAUUAAUUUUGUAUGAGGGUGGUUGGAUUUGUGGUGAAAAUGAUUUGGAUUAUCCUAAAAUUAGAAUUUAAAUGGCCAGAAUAAAUUGAAUAGAAAUCUAUUAAAAUGACGUAGUUGGGUAUCUGGAUCCGUAUCAACAUGCAUCAUAAGCUAAAUAUUCCUUAUUAAUACCAAUUAAAUCAUGAGGGGGGAAUCCACACCUCAUGAACCACACUCUAAUCAAUAUGGUGGUAAGGGCUUAUCGUGCCAAAUAAUAAUAACCUUGUACUAGAGAGCCGGUGAAACCAAGGUGGUAUCUAGACAAGAUUAUUAUUAUUUGUCGACGAGAAGUCAAAACAUCCACAAAAAUUAGAGGGGAAAAGAAAAUAAAUUUACCAAAUAAAGCCCAUGACACAUAUUGAGACUUCACCUUCAACCCAAGCUUGAAAGAAAAUUAGCUACUCAUAAUUGAACUAGGGGCAAAAUGGGAAUUUAUUAAAAUAUGUAGAAAAUACAAGAUGGAGAAGGAAUUACAGAAAAUAGAUCCCAAAAAUGGAUUCAGAGAUAUCAAAUUAGGGGGGGAGAGCCCCCUUUUUAUAGAUACAUUGAGUAAAUCAUGGCCAUCGGAUCAAAAACAUUUCGGACGCUCAGGAUUGCGCCACGUCAUCAGUCAAUAGUACGCGGUUUGACCACGUGGUUUAAACAGUAACACAGUUUGACCCGGGUUGAACAGUUACUCGGUUUGGUUGAAAAUAAUCCUGUGUAAUGCAUGUACCGUACGCGAGAUUUUUGGUCCACUGAUAUGCUGCCACGUCAUCGAUCAACAGUGCAUAAGAAUUUUAGUCCAACAGGAUCGUGACACCUCAUAAGUCAAUGCCACAUCAUUGGUCAAUGCCACAUCAUUGGUCAAUGCCACGUCAUUGAUCCGUCUAUGUGAACAGUGUUGUGAAUAGUAACGUAGACAGUACCGUACAUGUGAACAAUGUCAUUUUUCCUUUUAUGCUCCUCCUAAGGUUUCGACCGUCCUGAGUUCAAAAGUGAUGUCCAUUUUGCCGUCUGAUCUCUUGUUCAUUAUGAAAUGACUAUGAUGCCCCUAAAAUGUAUAAAAUACUUAAUUAAAAUAAAACACACAUAAUUAAAUCACAAGAAGGUUAAAUACAAAAAAGUAAGGGUGUUAGUAAAACUUGAAGUGUAAAAUGACGAUUUUCUCUUCAUAAAUAUACAUUUUUUAACACUCAACAAAAACCUUAGGAGUAUAAAAGGAAAAAUGGCACUAUUCACAUGUACCGUACUAUCCAUGUUACUGUUCAUGAUACUGUUCACAUAGACGGAACGAUGACGUGACAUUGACCGAUGAUGUGGCGUUGACUGAUGAGGUGUCACGAUUCCAUUGGAGAAAAUUCUUAUGCACAGUUGAUCAGUGACGUGACAGCAUAUUAGUGGACCAAAAAUCACGCGUACAGUACAUGCAUAUACACAGGAUUAUUUUCAACCAAACCGCGUCACUGUUCAAGCCGGUUGACUGUUCAAACCGCGUGGUCAAACUGUGUCACUGUUCAAGCCGCGUACUGUUGACUGAUGACGUGGCGCAAUCUUGAGCGUCCAAACUGUUUUUAAUCCGAUGACCAUGAUUUACUCAAUGUAUCUAUAAAAAGGGGGCUCUCCCCUCCUAAUUUGAUAUCUCUGAAUCCAUUUUUGGGAUCCAUUUUCUGUAAUUCCUUCUCCAUCUUGUAUUUUCUACGUAUUUUAAUAAAUUUAUAUUUUGCCCCUAGUUCAAUUAUGAGUAGCUAAUUUUGUUUCAAGCUUGGGUUGAAGGUGAAGUCUCAACAUGUCCCAUGGGCUUUAUUUGGUAAAUUUAUUUUCUCUUCCCCUCUAAUUUUUGUGGAUGUUUUGACUUUUCGUCGACAAAUAAUAAUAACAUUGUCUAGAUACCGCCCUGGUUUCACCGGCUCCCUAGUACAAGGUUAUUAUUAUUUGGCAUGAUAAGCGCUUAGCACCAUAUUUAUUAGAGUAUGGUUCAUGAGAUGUGGAUACCCCCCUCAUGAUUUAAUUGGCACUAAUAAGGAAUAUUUAGCUCAUGGUGCAUGUUGAUACAGAUCCAUAUACCCAAGUGUCGCAUUUCAAUAGAAUUCGCUUCAAUUUAUUCUCGCCAUUUUAAUUCAAAUUUUAGGAUAAUCUAAGUUACUUUCACCACAAAUCCAACCACCCAUUUAGAAAAUUAAUUCUACACUUAAUUAAAAUCCACCUCCUCGUGGGAUCGACACUCGUCACCAUUGAUCUAUACUACCAUAGAUUCGUGCACUUGCAAGUUCAAUAAAAUUUGCACAACAAGUUUUUGGCGCCGUUGCCGGAGAGGUAAGUUAUUUUAAUUCGUAGAAUUAAUUUUUAUAAAUAAUUUCUUUUAAUUGUUUUCUUGUAAUUUUUCUUUUUUGAAAAAAAAAGAAAAAAAAGUGAAUCUACAAGAAUUUCUUUUUUUUUCUCUUCUUUAAAAUUCUGUAAUUUAAUUUUCAAUUUAUUUUUUUUGUAAUUUUUGUUUAUCUUAUUAAUUUAUUUUUAGUUAAUUUAUUUCACGUAUCUUUUUUAGUAAGUUUGUAACAGCGUGAUAAGGUUAGUACCGUAAUUUCUCCUUCUUGUUUAUUUUUAUGAAUUUUGUUCUCAUUUUUUUGUAGUCAUUGCAUGCAUGGUCGAAGGUCAUUAUUACCUAAUUUUUAGCCUAUAGACCUUGAACUUGAAAAAACACUUCGCACACACAAACACGUUGUAAUUAAGGAUAAAAGUGAAAUGGAUUUGCAACAACAACAAGCACCAUCAGAGAGGCCAUUUAAGGACUUUUUCAGUCCCUUAGCUAAUUUGAGCACAUCAUGCAUAAGAUACCCAAAUGUAGCUGCUAGGAGUUUUGAUUAUAGAAAAUUGAAUUCUGUCACACGUAAAGACCAUUUUCCUUUAUCAUUUAUUGAUCAAAUGCUUGAUAGAUUAGCAGGUCAUGAAUUUUAUUGCUUUCUAGAUGGCUACUCAGGAUACAAUCAGAUCCCCAUAGCACCAAAAGAUCAGGAGAAAACUACUUUCACUUGCCCUUUUGGCACAUUUGCAUAUAGGAGAAUGCCAUUUGGAUUAUGCAAUUCACCUGCUACAUUUCAACGAUGCAUGUUGAGCAUUUUUUCUAAUAUGGUUGAACGAUUCCUUGAAGUCUUUAUGGAUGACUUUUAUGUCUUUGGUGAUUCAUUUGAUCAAUGUUUCCAUCAUCUAACACUAGUUCUGCAGAGAUGUAUCGAGAAGAACAUAGUCUUAAAUUGGAAGAAGUGCUAUUUUAUGGUAAAACAAGGUAUUGUUCUCAGUCACAUCAUUUCGAGCAAAGGUAUUGAGGUUGACAAAGCAAAGGUGGAUCUCAUUUCCAAUCUUUCUCCACCUAAAACAGUCAGAGAAGUAAGAUCUUUCUUUGGGCAUGCUGGUUUUUAUUGACGUUUCAUUAAAGAGUUUAGCAAAGUUUCUAAACCCUUUUGCAAUCUACUUGCUAAGGAUGUACCUUUUAUCUUUGAUGAUUCAUGUCUUGUGGCAUUUGAAAAACUAAAGCAGUUGUUGACAUUAUCACCUAUCAUUCAGCCCCCAAACUGGAGCUUACCAUUUGAGCUCAUGUGUGAUGCAGUAGGAGCAGUUUUAGGACAAAAAGUUUAUCGAAUUCCUCAUGUUAUUUACUAUACUAGUAUGACAUUGAAUGAUGCACAGUUGAACUAUUCAGCUACUGAAAAAGAAAUGCUAGCAGUAGUAUUUGCAUUAGAAAAAUUUCGAUCUUAUUUCAUUGGUUGUAAAAUAAUUGUAUUCACAGAUCAUGCUGCUCUUAAAUAUCUUCUUCCAAAGAAAGAUACAAAAGCUAGACUAAUUCAUUGGGUGUUACUUUUGCAAGAAUUUGACUUGGAAUUUAAAGAUAAGAAAGGCACAAAAAAUAUUGUGGCUGACCAUCUCUCUCGUCUCCAUUUUGACACAAUUACAGAACCAUUAACAUUGAAUGAGUCAUUUCCCGAUGAACAAUUAAUGAGUGUGGAAGUAUUACCGUGGUAUGCUGAUAUAGUUAAUUAUCUUGUUAUAGGUCAACUUUCUGAGUAUUGGACUAAGCAAGACAAGGCCAAAUUUUUUGCAGAAAUAAAGAAUUUCUUUUGGGAUGACCCUUAUUUGUUCAAGUAUUGUGCUGAUCAAAUUGUUAGACGAUGUGUCCCAGAAAAUGAAAUUCAGAAUAUUCUUUCAUUCUGCCAUGAACAAGCUUGUGAAGGCCAUUUCAGUGCUAAGAAUACAGCAACUAAAGUUUUACAAUGUGGUUUCUAUUGACCAACUAUAUUUCGAGACGCUUACACUUUCUGUUCUUCAUGUGAUAGGUGUCAACGAAUGGAGAGCAUUACACGAAGGAACAUGAUGCCACUAAAUCCAAUUUUAGUGGUUGAGAUUUUUGACGUAUGGGGUAUCGACUUCAUGGGACCAUUUCCCCCUUUUUUGGCCAUUAAUAAAUAUUGGUUGCUGUUGACUACGUAUCGAAAUGGGUAGAAGUAAUUUCAUGUAGAACCAAUUAUCACAAGGUGGUGAUAGGAUUUUUGAAAAGUAACAUUGUUUCACGCUUUGGAUUCCCUCGAGCGAUAAUCAGUGAUGGUGGUGCCCACUUUUGUAACAAAGCAUUCAAAACUCUUUUGACAAAGUAUUCAAUCACUCACAAAGUGGCGACCCCAUAUCAUCCGCAAACCAGUGGCCAAGUUAAGAUCUCUAAUCGAGAAAUAAAGCACAUAUUAGAAAAGACGGUGAGGCCAGACAGAAAAGAUUGAUAAUGCAUUAUGGGCAUAUAGAACGGCUUUCAAGACCUCGAUUGGGAUGUCACCCUACAGGCUAGUUUAUGGAAAAGCUUACCACUUACCUGUGGAACUCGAGCAUCAUACAUAUUAGGCCAUCAAGAAAUUCAACUUUAACAUGUAGCAAGUCAGCUCAGAAAGAAGAUUACAACUGGCAGAACUUGAAGAAAUCCGCAAUGAUGCAUAUGAAAAUGCCAAGAUUUACAAGCAGCGAAUGAAAGUCUUUCAUGACAAGCAAAUUAUGAGAAAAUUAUUCACUCCAGGUCAUAAAGUGUUUUUAUUCAAUUCUCGCUUGCACAUAUUCCCAGGUAAGUUACGCUCUCGAUGGUCUGGCCCCUUUAUUGUUCAUACUGUUUUUCCACAUGAGGCAAUUGAAAUUAAGGACCCAAAGAACGGUGUCACGUUUAAAGUUAAUGGUCAAAGAUUAAAGCCAUAUCUAGAGUACCAACCAUAUGGAAAGGACACCGAAAUAAAUUUGAGUGACCCACCAGAUUUGAAUUGAGUUUUUUUUUCUUACUUUUCGGUGAUUUGAUUUUUUUUUCUUUCUUUUUAUUAUUCUUUUGCUAUUUUUCCAUAAGUGUGUUUGUUUAACCAUUAAGCUUUCUCUUAUCAUUGUUAAUCAUGAGUGCCAUAGCUAAACAGUUCCUCUUGGACAUUCUUAGACCGCUUCAACAUGUAAAAUCUCAUCUUAAAAAACAGAUUCAAUUUUGUAAAACAUAUCGUAUUUGGGCUCUGCAACCACCAAAGUUAGUAUCCUAUGUUGAGGAUUUAGAAAGCCAACUCAGAGACGUUGAAAGAAGUGUCUACAAUAUCCAGUUGGCGCUUGAGGUAAAUUCAAUAAGAGGACGAUUAUAAUUUUCUUUAUGUGUUUUAUUUUGUUUUUGUUUGUUUGUGUGCUUUAGUUUGUUACCCCGGUAAAGUGGCGGAUAACAGCACUCCGUGACAAUCAAGUCGAUUACUUCAGUUUCUCAUAAUAACUGAUAUUCUGAGGCGAAGGUAUGGAUAGAAAUGAGAUCCUAGCAAAGCUUCACAAUCGAUUCCCUUCACUUCCUCAGAAUGCCCUCCUUACAAUCUAUAAAGCUCGGUCCGAACGCAGGCAAUUGCUCAUGAGGAAUAACAUACCUGCUGACAUCUGUUGGUUAAUCAAGGCUAAAGUACGAUUGGCAGGUGAGUUACCUCCAAAAUUUAUUGCAUACAUGCCUGGUUGUGGUAAAGGAAAUUAUGCAAGAAAAUGAAGAGCUCGAAGAAUUUCUGUUGCUUGUCAUAAAUGUACCAGAAUGAGAUGCAAUAAAAACUCAUAUUCUUUAGGAAUGAUGUCCGAUAACAGGGAAGAUAAGAUUCAAUUCAUCAGGGAUGGCUUGAAUAAGAAGUCAUUGGAUGAUAUCAUUUUGUCUCUUGAAAUGCAUCCCAGUGGAUAUGUGCAAGGACGAUAUAAUCUCAGGAAUCUGACUAUAAAUGACCCUAUUUGCCAGUUUAUAAGAAAACUGGAUGGGAAGCCUAUCCUCAACCCAUAGAGGGCAUUCAAGCCGUUUCUGGACGUAAAACCAGAGGAAGAUGUGAGCUACAAUCGCAACUACCUGUAAAUAUCCUUUUACUUCACUGUUAUUUUAUUUCAUUGUUGUUUUAUCAUUUGCAUUAUUGUCUUUAAUAAUUUUAUUUUACCAUUGUUUCUUUUUCUUUUUACUGUUUCCUUUUUGACUCACGAGCCAUGUGCUUUACGCGUUAUUUGACACUGACAUGCCACCUCAUACACAGUUAUGACUCACUGUCACCAAGAUUCUUAAAUAUGACUUUUUGUUAAGCACUCACAAAUUGUUUUUGAGAAAUAUUCCAAUGGCAGCUACUCCCAAUAGACAAUUCAAGAACAUUUGUGUGCUUUCUAGAUUUAACUAUGGCAAACAUAAAGAGUUCGUUGAGGCAGCCAUAAAUCUUGGUCGAAGGAUAGCAGAGAGAAAAUUACACUUAGUGUAUGGAGGAGGUAACUGAGGGUUAUCAAAAUUGGUCUCAAAAGCUACUUUUGUCAGAGGAAGCUGUUGUGCAAAUUUUAAUGUACUCGCAAGCGCACGAAUCUAUUGUAGUAUAGAUUAAUGGUGACGAGUGUCGAUCCCACGAGGAGGUGGAUUUUAAUUAUAUGUAGAAUUAAUUUUGUAAAUGGGUGGUUGAAAUUGUGGUGGAAGUGAUUUAAAUUAUCCUAAAAUUGGAAUUGAGAUUCUAAAAUUGGAAUUGCAACGGCGAAAAUAAAUUGAAGCGAAAUCUAUUGAAAUGACGUACUUGGGUAUCUGGAUCCGUAUCAACAUGCAUCAUGGGCUAAAUAAUCCGUAUUAAUGCCAAUUAAAUCAUGAGGGUGGAAUCCACACCUCAUGAACCACGCUCUAAUCAAUAUGGUGCUAAGGGCUUAUCGUGCCAAAUAAUAAUAACCUUGUACCAGAGGGCCGGUGAAACCAAGGCGGUAUUAGACAAGAUUAGUAUUAUUUGUCGACGAAAAGUCAAAACAUCCACAAAAACUAGAGGGGAAGAGAAAAUAAAUUUACCAAAUAAAACCCAUGACACAUGUUGAGACUUCACCUUCAACCCAAGCUUGAAAGAAAAUUAGCUACUCAUAAUUGAACUAGGGGCAAAAUGGAAAUUUAUUAAAAUACGAAGAAAAUACAAGAUGGAGAGGGAAUUACAGAAAAUGGAGUCCAAAAAUGGAUUCAGAGGUAUCAAAUUAGGGGGGAGAGGCCCCCUUUUUAUAGAUACAUGGAGUAAAUCAUGUCCAUCGGAUUAAAAACAAUUUGGACGCUCAGGAUUGCGCCACGUCAUCAGUCAACAGUCCACGGUUUGACCACGCGGAUGAACAGUAACACGGUUUGACCCGGAUGAAUAGUAACACGGUUUGGUUGAAAAUAAUCCUGUGUGAUGCAUGCGCCGUACGCGAGAUUUUUCGUCCACUGAUAUGCUGCCACGUCACCAUCAACAGUACAUAAGAAUUUUAGUCCAACAGGAUCGUGACACCUCAUCAGUCAAUGCCACAUCAUCGGUCAAUGCCACGUCAUCGAUCCGUCUAUGUGAACAGUGCCGUGAACAGUAACGUAUACAGUCCCGUAUACGUGAAUACUAUCGUACAUGUGAAUAGUGUCAUUUUUCCUUUUAUGCUCCUUCUAACGUUUUCGACCGUCCUGAGUUCAAAAGUGAUGUCCGUUUUGCCGUCUGAUCUCUCCUUUAUUGUGAAAUAACUAUAAUGCCCCUAAAAUACAUAAAUUACUUAAUUAAAAUAAAACACACGUAAUUAAAUCACAAGAAUGUUAAAUACAUAAAAGUAAGGGUUGUUAGUAAGACUUGAAAUGUAAAAUGACGGUUUUCUCCUUUAUAAAUAUGCAUUUUCUAACACUCAACACACCCCCCAACCAGCUUAUUGCUAGUCCCUAGCAAAUAAAGCAAAAACAAAAUUCAAAUUCAAAAUGAUUUUUUUUUUUGAAGCACUCGUAUUUAUUCAAUCAGAUUAAUGAUAGCAAUCAAAUAAAAGUAUAAGCAUUAUCUCCAGUCUAAAGAAAUAUCACACCCAUAUUAACCAUCCACAUGAAUCAGCCCAGUAGACUUUGUUAUAUCUGCUUUCAAGAAUGACAUGUCAAACCCCAAAAUCUCACUGGAAGUGGUGACACUCUCACAAUUAAAUAAACCCACUAAAAAUAGUCACUCUAAUGAAUAGUAAUUGAGAGAGAAAAUAAUAAAGAAGUGAUAUCACAUGCUCUCACCAAGAUGAAAUAAAUAUGCCCUCAGCUUAGAAAUAAUACGAUCUCAAGUCAAACAAAAAUGCUAGUCAACCCACUUUAUUUAUCCUUUUUUUUUAUUAUGCAUCACUACAUCUUUUUAGCCCAUAUAACUAGCUUCUACUUCAAACUAUAGUUCCCUAAAAUCAAGAAGGACUUUUAUUAGGACGUAACAUAGGCUAGGGACAUGGCUAACAAAGAAGGGAAAUAAAGAAAACAAAGUGUAUGUUUGAGAAAAAUGCAGAGAAUUUUUUUUUUUUUUUGGAAGUUGCAAGGUGGAUUUCACCUAUUAUUUUUAUUUUUUUUCUUUUGAAACAACAACUUUUGUUUUUUUGUUUUUUUUUUGGCAUAACUUUACUGAACAACAUAAUUAUUUACAUUUUCUCAAACAUAAAUAGGUGAUGGAACUUAUAAGACAUUAGGUAAUAUUCCAAAUUGGAGUGGGUCAGGAUGAUAAGUUGACAAAGAAAAAGGUUUUUUUUUUUUUAAAGGCUCAAAAGGGUUAACUAUGGAUAUUUAAUAAAAGGGAUGGCUAGAAAGGCUCAAACGGAUCAAAGAUGGCCUUUCUAUCGUCUUUUAGAGCUCUAAAUAAUCAUCCAUAUCUACUAGUUAGAUGGGCCUCCAAAUGUAGCAACACACAUUUUUUUCUUCUUUUUUUUUCUUUUUUUUUUAAUUUUACAUUUUUUUUAAGGGUUAACUCAAAAGAAAUAUAGAGAUCGUGUAUACAAUAAUAAACUGUUAAGCUGUAUAAAGAAUGGGCAAAAGGGUUACUCUCCAAGAAAAAUGAUAGGCUCAAAAGCUCACUUGCUACUUAUUAUGACAUGUUCAUUCCUUCAAGCAACUCAUAUUUGUCUCCAACAUCAACAUGUAGAGUAGCAAACAUAAUGUAACAUCACUUAAGACCAAAGAUAAUACAAAUACUAAAAUUUGAAAUUAAUCAUGUCAUCCAAUGUUAAAACAAACCACACAAUUUUUUUUUUAAACAACAUUCUACCCCCCAACCUAUUCUAAACAUAAAAGAAAAAUAUGCAUCCAGAAAUGUGAAAAUGAUAUAGAAAAAUUAAUUAGAAAAGUUACACUUAAAAUGAUAGAAAAAGAAAAUGAUUUUUUUUUUAAAGAAUAUGCGUUUCUUGAGGCACUACACUCCAUAUUCAGCCAUCUUCGACUCAAAAGUUGGAAAAUGUAUAUUUAUAGAGGAGAAAAUAAAAAGAAGAAGAAAAAUAAACAUAAAAAUAGAAUAACGAAAAAGAAAAUGUCUGAAUUUUUUUUUUUAGUUUUUUAAUUUUUUUUAAACGAUGAAGAUGCGUUUCUAGAGUCACUACACUCCAUAUUCAGCCAUCUUCAACACAAAAAGUUAGCAACAGUUAGUUUCUACAACAAAAAAUUAGUAAAAACUUAACCAAAAUUCCAUAAUUGUCGACUAUUCCCUCCCCCCCAACCAAAACGAAACAUUGUCCUCAAUGUUUGAAAGGAAAGAAGUAGAGUUUAGAAGACAUCACCUGGGUGGUGCAAUAUUUACAAGCGGAGAGUUAAAUCUAAUUUGUACUUCUUACUGCAGCUACUGUUACCAUCAUUAUUUGGAUGCUCCAACACAAAGGUCCAGGGGUCUGGCUCUGGUCUAUAAGCUUGUAACAUAUCAAGUAGCUCAUUAGCAGUGUGAGCACAAAUAAAGAGUUUUUUCGCAUUAGAAGGAAUGAAAUAGUUUUUUAUUGCAUGGUUAAGAAAUGCGAUAAAGCCAUCAUAAAAGUUAUUGACAUUUAACAAACCGAUGGGUUUCUGGUGGAUGUGCAGAUGGGCCCAAGAUGCUAGUGUGAUAAGUGCCUCUAGUGUUGCAAGAUCUCCUGGAAGGAAAAUAAAAGCAUCAGCAUGAUUAAGCAUUUCAGUUAUUCUUUCUUGCAUACUUGAGACGACUAACUCUUCUCCAGUUGAUGAGUCAGACGAACUGCCCAAAGGUUUUAGGGCUCUUGGGAUGAUGCCUAACACUUGGCUGCCUCUGAUAAAAGCUGCUUCUGAGACCAUUUUUGAUAACCCUCGAUUACCUCCUCCAUACACCAAGUGUAAUUUUCUCGCUGCUAUGCUGCGACCAAGAUCUAUGGCUGCCUCAACGAACUCUUUAUGUUUUCCAUAUGUAAAUCCAGAAAGCACACAAAUGUUCUUGAAUUGUCUAUUUGGAGUAGCUGCCAUUGGGAUACUUCUCAAAAAACAAUUUGUGAGUGCUUGACAAAAAAAUUCACAUUUAAGAGUCUUGGUGACAAUGGGUCACAGUUGUGUAUGAGGUAACAUGUCAGUGCCAAAUAACGUGUAAAGCACGUGGCUCGCGAGUCAAAAAGGAAACAGUAAAAAGGAAAAAGUAAACAGUAAUAAGAAAAAAGCAAACAGUAAUAAAAUUAUUAAAGACAAUAAUGCACACAAUAAAACAAAAAUAACAGUAAAGUAAAAGGAUAUUUACAGGUAGUUGCGACUGUGGCUCACAUCUUCCCCUGGUUUUACGUCCAGAAACGGCUUGAACACCCUCUAUGGGUCAAGGAUAGGCUUCCUAUCCAUUUUUCUUAUAAACUGGCAAACAGGGUCGUUUAUAGUCAGAUUCCCGAGACUAUAUCGUGCAUGCUCUUUCUGGAAUAAUGGCCAUAACUGGAGAAUCGCUCCUUGCACAUAUCCACUGGGAUGCGUUUCAAGAGAUAAAAGGAUAUCAUCCAAUGACUCUUUAUUCAAGCCAUCCCUAAUGAAUUGAAUCUUAUCUUCCCUGUUAUCAGACACCAUUCCUAAAGAACAUGGGUUUUUAUUGCAACUCAUUCUGGCACACUUAUGACAAGCAAUAGAAAUUCUUCGAGCUCGUCGUUUUCUUGCAUAAUUUCCUUUACCACAACCAGGCAUGUAUGCAAUAAAUUUUGGAGGUAACUCACCUGCCGAGCGUACUUUAGCCUCGAUUAACCAACGGAUGUCAGCAGGUAUGUUAUUCCUCAUGAGUAAUCGCAUGCGUUUGGACCGAGCUUUAUGGAUCGUAAGGAGGGCAUUCUGAGGAAGUGAAGGGAAUCGCUUGUGAAGCUUCGAUAGAAUCUUGUUUCUGUCCAUACUUUCGCCUCAGAAUAUCAGUUAUUAUGGGAAACUGAAGUGACCGACUUGAUUGUCACGGAGUACCGUUAUCCGCCACUUCACCGGGGUAACAAACUAAAGAACACAAACAGAAAAACAUAUUAAAACACACAAAGAAAAUUAAAAUCGUCCUCUUAUUGAAUUUACCUCAAGCUCCAACUGGAUGUCGUAAACACUUCUCUCAAUGUCUCUGAGUUGGCGUUCUAAACCCUCAACAUAGGCUACUAACUCUGGUGGUUGUAGAGCCCAAAUGCGUUGUGUUUUACAAAAUUGAAUCUGCCUUUUGAGAUGAGUUUUGACACGUUGAAGUGAUUUAAAAAUGUUAAGGAGGAACGGUCUAAGUAUGAGACUCAUGAUUAAAAAUGAUAAGAGAAAACUUAAUAGUUAAACAAACACACUUAUGCAAAAAUAAUUUCAAUUAGCAAAAGAAUAAUAUAAAGAAAGAAAGAAAAAUCAAAUCAAUGAAAAGAAAAAAAAAUCAAUUCAAAUCUAGUGGGUCACUUAAAUUUAUUUCGGUGUUUUCUCCAUGUGGUUGGUACUCUAGAUAUGGCUUUAAUCUUUGACCAUUAACUUUAAACGUGACACCGUUCUUUGGGUCCUUAAUUUCAAUUACCCCAUGUGGAAAAACAGUAUGUACAAUAAAUGGGCCAGACCAACGAGAGCGUAACUUACCUGGAAUAGUUGCAAGCGAGAAUUUGAAUAAAAGCACUUUCUGACCUGGAGUGAACGAUUUUCUCAUNNNNNNNNNNNNNNNNNNNNNNNNNNNNNNNNNNNNNNNNNNNNNNNNNNNNNNNNNNNNNNNNNNNNNNNNNNNNNNNNNNNNNNNNNNNNNNNNNNNNUGCGAAUUUCUUCAAGUUCUGUCAGCUGUAAUCUUCUUUCUGAGCUGGCUUGCUGCAUGUCAAAAUUGAAUUUCUUGAUGGCCCAAUAUGCACGAUGCUCUAGUUCCACAGGUAGGUGGUAAGCUUUUCCAUACACUAGCCUAUAGGGUGACAUCCCAAUCGGGGUCUUGAAAGCCGUUCUAUAUGCCCAUAAUGCAUCAUCAAGUCUUAAUGACCAAUCUUUUCUGUCCGGCCUCACCGUCUUUUCUAAUAUGUGCUUUAUUUCUCGAUUGGAGAUCUCAACUUGGCCACUGGUUUGUGGAUGAUAAGGGGUUGCCACUUUGUGUGUGAUUGAAUACUUUGUCAAAAGAGCUUUGAAUGCUUUGUUACAAAAGUGGGCACCACCAUCACUGAUUAUUGCUCGAGGGAAUCUAAAGCGUGAGACAAUGUUGCUUUUCAAAAAUGCUAUCACCACCUUGUGAUCAUUGGUCCUACAUGGAAUUGCUUCUACCCAUUUCGAUAUGUAGUCAACAGCAACCAAUAUGUAUUGAUGGCCAAAAGAAGGGGGAAAGGGUCCCAUGAAGUCGAUACCCCAUACAUCAAAAAUCUCAACCACUAAAAUUGGAUUUAGUGGCAUCAUGUUCCUCCGUGUAAUGCUCCCCAUUCGUUGACACCUAUCACAUGAAGAAUAGAAAGUGUAAGCAUCUGGAAAUAUAGAUGGCCAAUAGAAACCACAUUGUAAAACUUUAGUCGCUGUUUUCUUAGCACUGAAAUGGCCUCCACAAGCUUGUUCAUGGCAGAAUGAAAGGAUAUUCUGAAUUUCACUUUCUGGGACACAUCGUCUAACAAUUUGAUCCGCACAAUACUUGAACAAAUACGAGUCAUCCCAAAAGAAAUUCUUUAUUUCCGCAAAGAAUUUAUCCUUGUCUUGCUUGGUCCAAUGCUCUGGAAGUUGACCUGUAACAAGAUAAUUAACAAUAUCAGCAUACCAUGGUAAUACUUCCACACUCAUCAAUUGUUCAUCUGGAAAUGACUCAUUCAAUGGUAAUGAUUCUGUAAUUGUGUCAAAAUGGAGACGAGAGAGGUGGUCCGCCGCAACAUUUUCUGUCCCUUUCUUAUUUUUGAAUUCUAAGUCAAAUUCCUGCAAAAGUAACACCCAACGAAUUAGUCUAGCUUUUGCAUCUUUCUUUGUGAGAAGAUAUUUAAGAGCAGCAUGAUCCGUGAAUAUAAUUAUUUUACAACCAAUGAGAUAUGAUCGAAAUUUUUCCAAUGCAAACACUACUGCUAGCAUUUUUUUUUCAGUAGUUGAAUAGUUCAACUGUGCAUCAUUUAAUGUCAUACUAGCAUAGUAAAUAACAUGGGGAAUUCGAUCAACUCUUUGUCCUAAUACUGCUCCUACUGCAUAAUCAGAUGCAUCACACAUUAGCUCAAAUGGUAAGCUCCAGUUUGGGGCCUGAAUGAUGGGUGAUGAUGUCAACAACUGUUUUAAUUUUUCAAACGCAAUAAGACAUGAAUCACUAAAGAUAAAAGGUACAUCCUUAGCAAGUAAAUUGCAUAAGGGUCUAGAAACUUUGUUAAAAUCUUUAAUGAAACGUCUAUAGAAACCAGCAUGCCCAAGGAAAGAUCUUACUUCUCUGACUGUUUUGGGUGGAGGAAGAUUAGAAAUGAGAUCCACCUUGGCUUUGUCAACCUCAAUACCUUUGCUCGAAAUGAUGUGACCGAGAACAAUACCUUGUUUUACCAUAAAAUGGCACUUCUCCCAAUUCAAGACUAAGUUCUUCUCGGUACAUCUCUACAGAACUAGUGUUAGAUGAUGUAAGCAUUGAUCAAAUGAAUCACCAAAGAUAGAAAAGUCAUCCAUAAAGACUUCAAGGAAUCGUUGAACCAUAUCAGAAAAAAUGCUUAACAUGCAUCGUUGAAAUGUAGCAGGUGCAUUACAUAAUCCAAAUGGCAUUCUCCUAUAUGCAAAUGUGCCAAAAGGGCAAGUGAAAGUAGUUUUCUCUUGAUCUUUUGGUGCUAUGGGAAUCUGAUUAUAUCCUGAGUAGCCAUCUAGAAAGCAAUAAAAUUCAUGGCCUGCCAAUCUAUCAAGCAUUUGAUCGAUAAAUGGUAAAGGAAAAUGGUCUUUACGUGUGAUAGAAUUCAACUUUCUAUAAUCAAUGCAUACACGCCAUCCUGUAGUCACUCUAGUGGGUAUCAAUUCAUUAUCAACAUUCGUAACUACUGUGACUCCUGACUUUUUGGGGACAACUUGUACAGGACUGACCCAUGAACUAUCAGAAAUUGGGUAAAUGAUACCUGCGUCUAAUAGCUUAAGGACUUCUGUUCUAACAACUUCUUUCAUAUUAGGAUUUAACCGACGUUGCAUUUCCCUAGUAGAUUUAGCAUUUUCAUCAAGGUGAAUGUAAUGCAUGCAGUCUACUGGGUUUAUACCUUUUAUGUCCGCUAUGGUCCAUCCUAAUGCUCCUUUGUGCUCUUUUAAAACAUCCAACAACUUACCUUUUUGUUCGUCAUUUAAGGAUGAUGAGAUGAUUACCGGCAGAGUACUUUUUUCUCCCAAAAAUGCAUAUUCCAAUGUGUUGGGCAAUGGUUUGAGCUCGAGUUUCGGUGGUGAUUCUGAUGAUGGGAUGAGUUUCUUUUCUGAUGGUGCUAGUUGUUCAACUCUUGACUUCCAUUUAUUAGUGUCCAUGGAUGGUGCUGAGUCAAGUAGGGCAUUGACCUCAUCGACCGAUCUGUCAAUAUCAAAAUCCAAACCAAAGUGAGUUAAACAUGUUUGUAAAGGAUCAUCACUAAGGUUUGAAAGAAAAGUGUUAUCAACUAUUGUUUCAAUUAAAUCCACAUCAACAAUUCCAUCAUCUGCACUGUGAGGUUGUUUUGUAAUGUUGAAGAUGUUUAGCUCCAUAGUCAUGUUGCCGAAGGACAACUGCAUAUUUCCAGUCCUGCAUUGAAUGUGAGCAUCCGCAGUUGCCAAGAAAGGUCGGCCUAGAAUAAUGGGGAUGUGCUUCCUUGAAUCCUGUAUUGAUUGAGUGUCAAUUACAAUGAAAUCAACAGGAAAAUAAAACUUGUCUACCUGGAUAAGCAUGUCCUCCACAAUACCACGAGGUAUUUUCGUGGACCGAUCUGCAAGCUGUAACACCACUGGAGUUGGGUGUAAUUCUCCAAGUCCAAGUUUCAAAAAUACUGAAUAAGGCAACAAAUUUACACUAGCUCCUAAAUCCAACAAAGCAUUCUCAAUUGUGUGGUUCCCUAUGCUACAUGAGAUAGUGGGGGAGCCUGGGUCUUUGCAUUUUAGAGGAAUUUUAUGUUGGAGGAUAGAACUAACGUUUUCUGUUAAAAAUGCCUUCUUUUGAACAUGCAUAUUUCUCUUUUUAGUACAAAGGUCUUUAAGAAACUUGGCAUAAGAUGGAACUUGUUUAAUAGCAUCAAGCAAAGGGAUGUUAACACUUACCUGUUUGAAGAUUUCAAGAAUCUCACCUGUGGAUUUUUCCUUCUUGCCUUUAGCUAACCUCUGGGGAAAUGGAGCUUUCGGAACAUAUUCUCGUGGGUUGGUUUCUUCUUUCUCCUCCGGUGGUGAGUCCUCAACACUCACAUGAACAAUUUGAUUUUCUUUUGUCACCGGCAUCUCCACUUUGUUGUCGACUUCUUUUCCUUUUCGCAAGGUCAUUACUGCUUUGACCUCUCCAUGCUGCUGUGGUGAACUGGUACUUGCUUCAUGCACUCCUUUAGGAUUAGGCACUGGUUGACUUGGAAACUUGCCUUUCUCAACAGUCAUUGCCAAGGUCUGAACUGAAGAAGCAAGUUGUCCCACCAUCUUCUCGAGGCUUGAAACUGAUUGGGCUUGUGAGUUGAAGCCCGCUCUCAAUUCAUUUCGUAGUCCAUUAAUGGUGCGGUUCUGUUGCUCAAUUGUUGAGUGAGUAACAUUCUUGAAAUUCUGGAAUGCAUCCUCUCAUGGUCUGGGCUGAGUGUAGUUCUGGUUCUGAUUAUAUGGUCUGAAUGGGGGCUGAGAGACUUGAGGAUUUUGAGGAAUUGGUUGCAUUGGUGGAGCUGGAGCUGCUGGUCCAUUCUGUUGGAAUCCUUGAGACCAUGAAAAAUUGGGGUGGUCUCUCCAUCCAGGGUUAUAUGUGUUGGAGUAUGGGUUGUAAUUCGAUGGUUUUCUCAUUACACCUAUGGCAUUGGCUUGAUCUGAGUAUGAGUCAUGGUCAUAUGGUUCUGUUGAUUUAGCAGUCGAUAACGAUGCUAUUUGUCGAGCAAGACCUUCAACCAUCUCCUUGACUUCUUUGAUUUCUGAACUUGACUCGCCACUGUAAACCUCAUUUACUCCCUUAAUCCUUCUAGUAUUCCUGAGUGAUCGACUCCGUUGUUGGGAAUUGUCCGCUUGUCGCUGGAAAAACUCUCAAAUUUCUGAUGCACUUUUUGACAUUAGCUCCCCUCCACUUGUUGCCAUUAGCCAUUCUUGCACAUUCGGUAGUAAUCCCUCCAAAACGUAUUGGCAUUGGUGCCAUUUCUCGUACCCAUGAUGUGGACACUUCAAGAGUAGCCCAUUGAAUCGCUCCCAUGUUUCGAAAAACUGCUCGUCAUCUCUCUGAGUAAACUCUGAGAUUUCCCUGCGAAUAGCAUUGGUUUUAUGCACUGGGAAAUAUUUAUUCAAAAAUUUCGUUACCAUUUGUUCCCAUGAUGAGAUGCUAUUAGCAAGUAAAGUAUUUAACCAUGAACGAGCUCUAUCCUUUAAAGAAAAUGGGAAUAAUCUGAGUUUAACAUCAUCGUCUGAAAAAUUUUCAUAUUUAAAAGUUUUACAAAUGGCAUGAAAAUCAUUCAGAUGAUUAUAUGGGUCCUCAUUUUCUAGGCCAUAAAAUGCGGGGAGACAAUUUAGCACACUAGGUUUUAAUUCAAAGCUCCUAGCAGCUACAUUUGGGUAUCUUAUGCAUGAUGUGCUCAAAUUAGCUAAAGGACUGAAGUAGUCCUUAGAGAUGGCCUCUCCUGUGGUUGCNNNNNNNNNNNNNNNNNNNNNNNNNNNNNNNNNNNNNNNNNNNNNNNNNNNNNNNNNNNNNNNNNNNNNNNNNNNNNNNNNNNNNNNNNNNNNNNNNNNNGACCUACGACCAUGCAUGCAAAACAAAUAAAAAAAAUAAAGAUGGGAACAAAAAAAUAAAAUAAAAAUAAAGAAGAGGGAGAAAUUACGAUACUAACCUUAUUGCGCUAUUACAACCUUUCUAUAAAAAUACACAAAAAUAAAUACGUGAAAUUAACUAAAAAUCAAAUUAAAACUUAAUAAAGAAAAUUAAAUUAAGAUAAACAAAAAUUACAAAGAAAAAUAACUUAAAAAUUAAAUUGCAUAAUUGUAAAGAAUAGAGAAAGAAAAUAAAUACUAACCUCUAAAUGCAGAUUCACUUUUUUUUUCUUUUUCUUUAUUAAAAAAAAAUACAAGACAACAAUUUAAAAGAAAUUAUUCACACAAAUUAAUUAUAUGAAUUAAAAUUACUUACCUCCCCGGCAACGGCGCCAAAAACUUGUUGUGCAAAUUUUAAUGUACUCGCAAGCGCACGAAUCUAUUGUAGUAUAGAUCAAUGGUGACGAGUGUCGAUCCCACGAGGAGGUGGAUUUUAAUUAUAUGUAGAAUUAAUUUUGUAAAUGGGUGGUUGAAAUUGUGGUGGAAGUGAUUUAAAUUAUCCUAAAAUUGGAAUUGAGAUUCUAAAAUUGGAAUUGCAAUGGCGAGAAUAAAUUGAAGCGAAAUCUAUUGAAAUGACGUACUUGGGUAUCUGGAUCCGUAUCAACAUGCAUCAUGGGCUAAAUAAUCCGUAUUAAUGCCAAUUAAAUCAUGAGGGGGGAAUCCACACCUCAUGAACCACGCUCUAAUCAAUAUGGUGCUAAGGGCUUAUCGUGCCAAAUAAUAAUAACCUUGUACCAGAGGGCCGGUGAAACCAAGGCGGUACUAGACAAGAUUAGUAUUAUUUGUCGACGAAAAGUCAAAACAUCCACAAAAACUAGAGGGGAAGAGAAAAUAAAUUUACCAAAUAAAACCCAUGACACAUGUUGAGACUUCACCUUCAACCCAAGCUUGAAAGAAAAUUAGCCACUCAUAAUUGAACUAGGGGCAAAAUGGGAAUUUAUUAAAAUACGAAGAAAAUACAAGAUGGAGAGGGAAUUACAGAAAAUGGAGUCCAAAAAUGGAUUCAGAGGUAUCAAAUUAGGGGGGAGAGGCCCCCUUUUUAUAGAUACAUGGAGUAAAUCAUGGCCAUCGGAUUAAAAACAAUUUGGACGCUCAGGAUUGCGCCACGUCAUCAGUCAAUAGUCCACGGUUUGACCACGUGGAUGAACAGUAACACGGUUUGACCCGGAUGAACAGUAACGCGGUUUGACCCGGAUGAACAGUAACGCGGUUUGGUUGAAAAUAAUCCUGUGUGAUGCAUGCACCGUACGCGAGAUUUUUCGUCCACUGAUAUGCUGCCACGUCACCAUCAACAGUACAUAAGAAUUUUAGUCCAACAGGAUCGUGACACCUCAUCAGUCAAUGCCACAUCAUCGGUCAAUGCCACGUCAUCGAUCCGUCUAUGUGAACAGUGUCGUGAACAGUAACGUAUACAGUCCCGUAUACGUGAAUACUACCGUACAUGUGAAUAAUGUCAUUUUUCCUUUUAUGCUCCUCCUAAGGUUUUCGACUGUCCUGAGUUCAAAAGUGAUGUCCGUUUUGCCGUCUGAUCUCUCCUUUAUUGUGAAAUGACUAUAAUGCCCCUAAAAUACAUAAAUUACUUAAUUAAAAUAAAACACACGUAAUUAAAUCACAAGAAUGUUAAAUACAUAAAAGUAAGGGUUGUUAGUAAGACUUGAAAUGUAAAAUGACGGUUUUCUCCUUUAUAAAUAUGCAUUUUCUAACACUCAACAGAAGCCAAGUGUUAAGCAUUAUCCCAAGAGCCCUAAAAUCUUUGGGCAGUUUGUCUGACUCACCGACUGGAGAAGAGUUAGUCGUCUUAGGUAUGCAAGAAAGAAUAACUGAAAUGCUUAAUCAUACUGAUGCUUUUAUUUUCCUAUCAGGAGAUCUUGUAACUCUAGAGGCACCUAUCACAUUAGCAUCUUGGGCCCAUCUGCACAUUCACUAGAAACCCAUCGGUUUGUUAAAUGUCAAUAACUUUUAUGAUGGGUUUAUCGCAUUUCUUAACCAUGCAAUAAAAAACUAUUUCAUUACUUCCACAGCAAAAAAAGCUUUUUAUUUGUGCUCACACUGCUAAUGAGCUACUUGAUCUGUUACAAGCUUAUAAACCAGGGCCAGACCCUAGGACCUUUGUGUUGGAGUCUCCAAAUAAUGAUGGUAACAGUAGCCGCAGUAAGAAGUACAAAUUAGAUUUAAUCUCCGCCUGUAAAUAUUUUCUUCUGUGUUGCACCACCCAUGUGAUGUCUUCUAAACUUUACUUUUUCCCUUUAAAGCAUUGAGGACAAUGUUUAGUUCUGGUUGGGGGGAGGGAAUAGUCGACAAUUGUGGAAUUUUGGUUAAAUUUUUAUUAAUUUUUUGUUGUAGAGACUGACCGUAACUAACUUUUUGUGUUGAAGAUGGCUAAAUAUGGUGUGUAGUUACUCUAGAAACGCAACUUCUUCGUUUAAAAAAAAUAAUAAAAAAAUAAAAAAUAUUAAUAAAAAUUUCCAGGCAUUUUCUUUUUCUUUAUUAAGCUUUGAUAAUAAUUUUUUUUCUAACUUCUUCUUUCUAAUUUCUCCUUUAUAAAUAUACACUUUCAAAUUUUUGAGUCGAAGAUGGCUGAAUAUGGAGUGUAGUGUCUCUAGAAACGCAUCUUCUUAGUUAAAAAAAAAUCAUUUUCUUUUUCUAUCAUUUUAAGUGUAACUUUUCUAAUUAGUUUUUCUUCAUCAUUUUCACAUCUCUGCAUGCAUAUUUUCCUUUCAUGUUUAGAAUAGGUUGGGGGGUAGAAUGUUGUUUGAACAAAAAAAAAAAUUUUUGUGAUUUGUUUUAAUAUUGGAUGACAUGAUGAAUUUCAAAUUUUUGUAUUUGUAUUAUCUUUGGUCUUAAGUGAUGUUACGCCAUGUUAGCUACUCUACAUGUUGAUGUCGGAGAUAAAUAUGAGUUGCUUGAAGGAAUGAACAUAUGAUAAUAAGUACCAAGUGAGUUUUUGAGCCUAUAAUUUUUCUUGAAGAGUAACUAUUUUGCCCAUUCUUUAUACAGCUUAACAGUUUAUUAUUUUAUACACGAUCUCUAGAUUUCUUUUGAGUUAACCCUUAAAAAGAAUUGUAAAAUUAAAAAAAAAAAGAAGUGUGUUGCUACAUCUGGAGGCCCAUCUAACUAGUAGAUAUGGAAGAUUAUUUAUAGCCCUAAAAGACGAUGGAAAUGCCAUCUUUGAUCUGUUUGAGCCUUUCUAGCCAUCCCUUUUAUGAAAUAUCCAUAGUUAACCCUUUUGAGCCUUUAAAAAAAAAAACCUUUUCUUUGUCAAACUUAUCAUCUUAACCCACUCCGAUUUGAAGUAUUACCCAAUAUCUUACAAGUUCCAUCACCUAUUUAUGUUUGAGAAAAAUGUAAAUAAUUAUUUUGUUAAGUGAAGUUGUGCCAAACAAAAGCAAAAAAAAAACAAAAAAAAUUGUUGUUACAAAAAAAAAGAAAAACAUAACAAUAAUAGGUGAGAUCCACCUUGCAACUUCCAAAAAAAAAUAUAUCUCUACAUUUUUCUCAAACAUACACUUUGUUUUCCUUAUUUCCCCUCCUUUGUUAGCCAUGUCCCUAGCCUACGUUACGUCCUAAUAAAAGUCCUUCUUGAUUUUAGGGAACCAUAGUAUGAAGUAGAAGCUAAUUAUAUGGGCUAAAAAGAUGCAGUGGUGCAUAAAAAUAAAUAAAUAAAUAAAUUGGGUUAACUAGCAUUUUUAUUUGACUUGAGAUCGCAUUAUUUCUAAGCUGAGGGCAUAUUUCUUUCAUCUUGGUGAGAGCGUGUGAUAUUACUUCUUCAUUAUUUUCUCUCAAUUACUAUUUCAUUGGAGUAACUAUUUUUAUUGGGUUUAAUUUCUUUGUGAGUGUUUCACUAUUUCCAGUGAGAUUUUAGGGUUUAACAUGUCAUUCUUGAAAGUAACUGUGACAAAGUCUACUGGGCUGAUUCAUGUGGAUGGUUGAUAUGGGUGUGAUAUUUCUUUAGACUGGAGAUAAUACUUAUACUUUUAUUUGAUUGCUAUCAUUAGUCUGAUUGAAUAAACACGAGUGUUUUAAGAAAAAAAAAUUGGAUUUGAAUUUUGUUUUCGCUUUAUUUGCUAGGGACUAGUAAUAAGCUGGUUGGGGGUGUGUUGAGUGUUAGAAAAUGUAUAUUUAUAAAGGGAAAAUUCGUCAUUUUACACUUCAAGUUUUACUAACACUUCUACUUUUAUGUAUUUUAAUCUCUUGUAAUUUAAUUAUGUAUAUUUUAUUUUAAUUAAGUAUUUUAUGCAUUUUAGGGGUGUCAUGGUAAUUUCACAAUGAAUGAGAGAUCAGACUGUAAAAUGGACAUCACUUUUGAACUUAGGACAGUCGAAAACCUUAGGAGUAUAAAAGGAAAAAUGGCACUAUUCACAUGUACCGUACUGUCCAUGUUACUGUUCACGACACCGUUCACACAAACGGAACGAUGACGUGGCAUUGACUGAUGAUGUGGCAUUGACUGAUGAGGUGUCACGAUUCCAUUGGAGAAAAUUCUUAUGCACUGUUGAUCAGUGACGUGGCAGCAUAUUAGUGGACCAAAAAUCGCGCGUACAGUACAUGCAUAUACACAGGGUUAUUUUCAACCAAACCGCGUCACUGUUCAAGCCGGUUGACUGUUCAAACUGCGUGGUCAAACCGUGUCACUGUUCAAACGACGUGGUCAAACCGCGUACUGUUGACUGAUGACAUGGCGCAAUCCUGAGCAUCCAAACUAUUUUUAAUCUGAUGGCCAUGAUUUACUCAAUGUAUCUAUAAAAAGGGGGCCUUUCCCCCUAAUUUGGAUCUCUGAAUCCAUUUUUGGGCUCUAUUUUCUGUAAUUCCUUCACCAUCUUGUAUUUUCUUUGUAUUUUAAUAAAUUCAUAUUUUGCCCAUAGUUCAAUUAUGAGUAACUAAUUUUCUUUCAAGCUUGGGUUGAAGGUGAAGUCUCAACAUGUGCCAUGGGCUUUAUUUGGUAAAUUUAUUUUCUCUUGCCCUUUAAUUUUUGUGGAUGUUUUGACUUUUCGUUGAAAAAUAAUAAUAACAUUGUCUAGAUACUGCCCUGAUUUCACCGGCUCCCUAGUACAAGGUUAUUAUUAUUUGGCACGAUAAGCCCUUAGCACCAUAUUUAUUAGAGUGUGGUUCAUGAGGUGUGGAUACCCCCCUCAUGAUUUAAUUGGCACUAAUAAGUAAUAUUUAGCCCAUGGUGCAUGUUGAUACGGAUCCAGAUACCCAAGUGCCGCAUUUCAAUAGAAUUCGCUUCAAUUUAUUCUCGCCAUUUUAAUAUAAAUUUUAGGAUAAUCUAAGUUACUUUCACCACAAAUCCAACCACCCAUUUAGAAAAUUAAUUCUACACUUAAUUAAAAUCCACCUCCUCGUGGGAUCGACACUUGUCACCAUUGAUCGAUACUACCAUAGAUUCAUGCACUUGUGAGUUCAAUAAAAUUUGCACAACAAUUAGGAACUUGAUUUAUUUAAUUCAUAACGUCUCAAGAGCAUUACAAUACAAAUAAAAAAAAAAAAAGAAAAAAGCUGGAACUGACAACAUUGAUUAAAAUUCCUACUUGUUAUUCUUAGUGGUAACUACAUCUAGAUCUUGAAUUUGGAAAAGCCAACAUCAUGGAGCCCAUAUUUUGCAUCAUUAAAUGAUUAGUCUUAUUGUUAUCUCUGCUUUCACUAUUGUCUUAUAAAAUAUUUAUCUUAUCAUACUAGCUGCAUAAAAAUUAACAAAUUAACAAAUUAUCAUUUUUAAGUCGUCAAUCAAGUAUAAAUAUUAUAUUAUUUAGUUAUAUAACAAAAAUAAAGAAACAACUAAAUUUCAAAAACAUAUAUUGAAUUAAAGCCAAACUAGCCAUCCAAAUAAAUAAAAGAAUACAUAUUUGCAUUUAGAAACAACUACUUUAAACCAUUUUGUAAUUACCAAAAACUUUUUCUUCAAUGAAAUAAAAUAACAUAAAAUAAAAGAAUUUAAAAAGCCAAUAUGGGCACGAAUAAUAGGAAAAAUUUUAUUAUAUGAAUUGGGGCAAACUUCAAUUCAUCCCCUUGCCAAUAAAAAUCUUCAAUUUACCCUUCAAAAACAUGGAAAUCUCGACUUACCUCAAAUUUUGUUUAGAAGAUGAACGUAAUAAUGAUCGUUAUUAGUAUUUCAACAGAUUCCUCUGUCGUAGAUUAAGUCAACGAUAAAUAUACAACAAAAUAGCGUCAAAUGCAUGCAUAAAAGACACAUGACAUAACAACACAUACUCAUAAUGGAUUAAUUUCUUCUUUUAUUAAGACAAUUUCAAUAUCACUACAAUUGAUCAUUAUUGUAAAAGCACUCAUAAAGGAUAAAAUAAAUAAUUGAUUACACAAUUUUUUUGCAUCCCCCUGGGGGACAAGGGUAGAUAUAAUCUUCGAGAGCUUUCUUUAACUCUGCAAUCAAACACUCUUCCCUUGUAAGCCCUGAACAAUCAACAAUGUCAGGUGAUGUUGUCGGAUUAAUGGAAAAUGAGGCAUCUGGGUUAGAUCCUUCGCCAAUGUGACUAGCUAAAAUAAGUCUACUUUCAGUGUUUGCCACUACAAGCAAAGCCAAGAUGAUGAAACUAAGGCUCCUCGACAUAUUUAUGCUUCUUAGGUGAAUUAUCAGUAACUUAAUUAGAAGUAACAGAGAUCUACAACAAUCAGGAUGGCAUAAGUCUCCAUUUAUAUGAAUGAAUAUUGAGAAACGUGUUGCUGUGACUUUAAUGGAAUUGAAAGAUUCCAUAAAUGAGGAUUAAAUAAAUUAUGCUAUGUUUGUUUAAAUUAACUAUUGACUUGAAUAUCAUGUUGCGUUAUGACGGCAAUUUUAACAUACAUUUAAUUAAUUCUAUAGUUUUUAGUGUUAUUUUUUUGUUUAGUUUUUUAUUGGAUUCUUUCUCAUUAUAUCAAUCGUCAAACUAUUUUUUUUUAAUAUGUAAACACGUUUCUAUAAGCCACGCCCUCCAAUGAAAUUAACCACAUCCUAUUUUAAGCAAGCUAGUGACACAAUCAAUCCCAUAUAUUUGCAUGGAUAUAUAGUAAUACUUUUAUAAAUUAAUAAUAAAGAAAUCACAAAACAUCUAUUAAUUUAAAGAGAUAUUGAUAUUAAUCAAUCAAUAAGUUGUAUAAGAGAUUAUGUUUUAUAAUUCUAUGGUCACAUUCUUACUACAAAAUAAUAAUUUGCUAGGCUUACAAACAUAAUUGUUAUAAUAUGUUAUUAAAUAAAACAUGAAUCUAUUAUUAUUUGUUUUUCUUCAAAUCUAAACAUAGUGGGAUCUCAUAUAUGAUAUUACUUAUUCUUGCUGAAUUCACAACUACAUGGAUUCUUUUUUUUUUUUUUUUGUUAAUUGUAAUCUAUAUUUAGGGGAUUAACUAACUUUGAAUUGGCUAGAUUGGUAAAAUACUAUGAAUUAUCUAGUUGAUUAAAUAUAUGUUCACUGAAUUGUAUAUACACAAUGAAUUAAUAGAUUAUUAACUAAUAGAUUAAUUUAGAUUAGUAUCCCUUUAUAUUAAUAGAUAUUAUAUGAUUAUGACAUUAUUAAUUUAUAGAGGCUUUAUUGUAUAUCCAUGCAAAUAUCUAGCAAUGUAUUGGGCCAUUUGCCUACCUAAAAUAUAGGUUGUGGUUAAUUUCAUUCUAGGACGUCGUUUCUAGAAAUAUUUUUACAUAUUGAAAAGAAUAGGCUAGCGAUUGAUAUAAAGAGAAAAAAAAUAAUAAUAAACUAAACAAAAUAAUAAGAAAAAUGAUAAAAUUAAUUAAAUAGAUGUUGAAAUCACCUUCAUAAUGCAACAAGAAAUUAAAAUCAACAGUUUAUUAAAACCAACGCAGCAUAAGUUAUUUAAACUUCAUCUUGAAUAUAUCUUUAUAUUAAUAGAUAUUGCAUGAUUUUGACAUUAUUAAUUUAUAAAGGCUUUAUUGUAUAUCCACAUAAAUAUCUAGCAUUACAUUGCGCCAACUGCUUGUCUAAAAUAUAGGAUGUGGAUAAUUUCAUUGGAGGACGUCAUUUAUAGAAAUAUUUUUAUCAAUUAAAAAGAGCAGCCUGACAAUUGAUAUAAAGAGAAAAAAUCUAAUAAUAAACUAAACAAAAUAAUAAGACCAAAAAUGAUAAAAUUAAUUAAAUACAUGUUGAAAUUACCUACAUGAUGCAUUAAGAUAUUAAAAUCAAUAGUUUAUUCAAACAAACGUAGUGUAAUUUAUUAAAGCUUCAUUUUGGAUUCUUUUCAAUUACAUUAAGGUCACUGUUGAGUGUUAGAAAAUGCAUAUUUAUAAAGGAAAAAACCGUCAUUUGACAUUUCAAGUCUUACUAACAACCCUUACUUUUAUGUAUUUAACCUUCUUUUGAUUUAAUUCCGUGUGUUUUAUUUUAAUUAAGUAUUUUAUGUAUUUUAGGGGCAUUAUAGUCAUUUCACAAUAAAGGAGAGAUCAGACGGCAAAACGGACAUCACUUUUGAACUCAGGACGGUCGAAAACCUUAGGAGGAGCAUAAAAGGAAAAAUGGCAUUAUUCACAUGUACGGUACUAUUCACGUGUACGGUAUUGUCUACGUUACUGUUCACGACACUGUUCACAUAGACGGAUCGAUGACGUGGCAUUGACCGAUGAUGUGGCAUUGACUGAUGAGGUGUCACGAUCCUGUUGGGCUAAAAUUCUUAUGUACUGUUGAUGGUGACGUGGCAGCAUAUCAGUGGACGAAAAAUCUCGCGUACGGUACAUGCAUCACACAGGAUUAUUUUCAACCAAACCGCGUUACUGUUCAUCUGGGUCAAACCGUGUUACUGUUCAUCCACGUGGUCAAACCAUGUACUGUUGACUGAUGACGUGGCGCAAUCCUGAGCGUCCAAACUGUUUUUAAUCCGAUGGCCAUGAUUUACUCCAUGUAUCUAUAAAAAGGGGGCCUCCCCCCCUAAUUUGAUAUCUCUGAAUCCAUUUUUGGGAUCCAUUUUCUGUAAUUCCUUCUCCAUCUUGUAUUUUCUUCGUAUUUUAAUAAAUUCUCAUUUUGCCCCUAGUUCAAUUAUGAGUGGCUAAUUUUCUUUCAAGCUUGGGUUGAAGGUGAAGUCUCAACAUGUGUCAUGGGCUUUAUUUGGUAAAUUUAUUUUCUCUUCCCCUCUAGUUUUUGUGGAUGUUUUGACUUCUCGUCGACAAAUAAUACUAAUCUUGUCUAGUACCGCCUUGGUUUCACCGGCCCUCUAGUACAAGGUUAUUAUUAUUUGGCACGAUAAGCCCUUAGCACCAUAUUAAUUAGAGUGUGGUUCAUGAGGUGUGGAUUCCCCCCUCAUGAUUUAAUUGGUAUUAAUAAGGAAUAUUUAGCCCAUGGUGCAUGUUGAUACGGAUCCAGAUACCCAAGUGCUUCAUUUCAAUAGAAUUAUCUUCAAUUUAUUCUCGCCAUUUCAAUUCCAAUUUUAGAAUUUAUUCUCGCCAUUUUAAUUUAAGUUUUAGCAUAUUCCAAAUCAUUUCCACCACAAAUCCAACCACCCAUUUACAAAAUUAAUUCUAUACAUAAUUAAAAUCUACCUCCUCGUGGGAUCGACACUCGUCACCAUUACUCUACACUACAAUAGAUUCGUGCGCUUGCGAGUACAUUAAAAUUUGCACAACAAGUUUUUGGCACCGUUGCCGGGGAGGUAAGUAAUUUUUAGAAUUAAUUUUUGUGAAUAAUUUCUUUUAUUUGUUUUCUUGUAUUUUUUUAUUAUUAAAAAAAGAAAAAAAAAGUGAAUCUACAUUUAAAGGUUAGUAUUUCUUUCCUUUUUCUCUUCUUUAAAAUUCUGUAAUUUAAUUUUUAAUUUAUUUUUCUUUGUAAUUUUUUUUGUUUAUUUUAUUAAUUUAAUUUUUAGUUAAUUUAUUUCACGUAUUUAUUUUUGUGUAUUUUUAUAGAAAGGUUGUAAUAGCGCAAUAAGGUUAGUAUCAUAAUUUCUCAUUCUUCUUUAUUUUUAUUUGUUUUGUUCCCAUCUUUAUUUUUAUUUUAUUUGUUUUGCAUGCAUGGUCGUAGGUCAUUAUUACCUAAUCUUGAACCUAUAGACCUUGAAUUAGAGAAAACACUUCGCACACACAAACAAAUUAAAAAUAAAAUGGAUUUGCAACCACAGGAGAGGCCAUUUAAGGAUUAUUUAAGUCCCUUAGCUAAUUUGAGCACAUCAUGUAUAAGAUACCCAAAUGUAGCUGCUAGGAGUUUUGAAUUAAAACCUAGUGUGCUAAAUUGUCUCCCAACAUUCUAUGGCCUAGAAAAUGAGGACCCAUAUAAUCAUUUGAAUGAUUUUCAUGCCAUUUGUCAAACUUUUAAAUAUGAAAAUUUUUCAGACGAUGAUGUUAAACUCAGAUUAUUCCCAUUUUCUUUAAAGGAUAGAGCUCGUUCAUGGUUAAAUACUUUACCUGCUAAUAGCAUCUCAUCAUGGGAACAAAUGGUAACAAAAUUUUUGAAUAAAUAUUUCCCAGUGCAUAAAACCAAUACUAUUCGCAGGGAAAUCUCAGAGUUUACUCAGAAAGAUGACGAGCAGUUUUUUGAAACGUGGGAGCGAUUCAAUGGACUACUCUUAAAGUGUCCACAUCAUGGGUACGAGAAAUGGCACCAAUGCCAAUACUUUUUGGAGGGAUUAUUGCCGAAUGUGCAAGAAUGGCUAAUGGCAACAAGUGGAGGAGAACUAAUGUCAAAAAGUGCAUUAGAGAUUUGGGAAUUCUUCCAGCGACAAGCGGAUAAUUCCCAACAACGGAGUCGGUCACUCAGGAAUACUAGAAGAAUUAAAGGAGUAAAUGAGGUUCACAUUGGCAAGUCCAGUUCAGAAAUCAAAGAAGUCAAGGAGAUAAUUGAAGGUCUCUCUCGACAAAUAGCAUCGUUAUCGACUGCUAAAUCAACAGAACCAUAUGACCAUGACUCAUACUCAGAUCAAGCCAAUGUCAUAGGUGUAAUGAGAAAGCCAUCAAAUUACAACCCAUACUCCAACACAUAUAAUCCUGGAUAGAGAGACCACCCCAAUUUUUCAUGGUCUCAAGGAUUCCAACAGAACGGACCAGCAGCUCCAGCUCCACCAAUUCCACAAAAUCCUCAAGCCUCUCAGCCCCCAUUUAGACCAUACAAUCAGAACCAGAACUACUCUCAACCCAGACCAUGGGAGGAUGCAUUCCAGAAUUUCAAGAAUGUUACUCACUCCACAAUUGAGCAACAGAAUCGCAAGCCCAAUCAGUUUCAAGCCUCGAGAAGAUGGUGGGACAACUUGCUUCUUCAGUUCAGACCUUGGCAAUGACUGUUGAGAAAGGCAAGUUUCCAAGUCAACCAGUGCCUGACCCUAAAGGAGUACAUGAAGCAAGUACCAGUUCACCACAGCAGCAUGGAGAGGUCAAAGCAGUCAUGACCUUACGAAAAGGAAAAGAAGUCGACAACAAAGUGGAGAUACCGGUGACAAAAGAAAAUCAAAUUGUACCUGUGAAUGUUGAAGACUCCCCACCGGAGGAAAAAAAAGAAACCAACCCACGAGAAUACGUUCCGAAAGCUCCAUUUCCUCAGAGGUUAGCGAAAGGAAAGAAGGGAAAAUCCACAGGUGAGAUUCUUGAGAUCUUCAAACAGGUAAGUGUUAACUUUCCUUUGCUUGAUGCUAUUAAACAAGUUCCAUUUUAUGCCAAGUUUUUUAAAGACCUUUGUACUAAAAAGAGAAAUAUGCGUGUUCAAAAGAAGGCAUUUUCAACAGAAAACGUUAGUUCUAUACUCCAACAUAAAAUUCCUCUAAAAUGUAAAGACCCAGGCUCCCCCACUAUCUCAUGUAGCAUAGGGAACCAUACAAUUGAGAAUGCUUUGUUGGAUUUAGGAGCUAGUGUAAAUAUGUUACCUUAUUCAGUGUUUGUGAAACUUGGACUUGGAGAAUUACACCCAACUCCAGUGGUGUUACAACUUGCAGAUCGGUCCACAAAAAUACCUCGUGGUAUUGUGGAGGACGUGCUUAUCCAGGUAGACAAGUUUUAUUUUCCUGUUGAUUUCAUUGUAAUUGACACUUAACCAAUACAGGAUUCAAGGAAGCACAUCCCCAUUAUUUUAGGCCGACCUUUCUUGGCAACUGCGGAUGCUCACAUUCAAUGCAGGACUGGAAAUAUGCAGUUGUCCUUCGGCAACAUGACUAUGGAGCUGAACAUCUUCAACAUUGCCAAACAACCUCAUAAUGCAGAUGAUGGAAUUGUUGAUGUGGAUUUAAUUGAAGCAUUAGUUGAUGACACUUUUAUUUCAAACCUUAGUGAUGAUCCUUUACAAACAUGUUUAACUCAUUUUGGUUUGGAUUUUGAUAUUGACAGAUCAGUCGAUGAGGUCAACACCCUACUUGACUCCGCACCAUCCUUGGACACUAAUAAAUGGAAGUCAAGAGUUAAACAACUAGCACCAUCAGAGAAGAAACUCAUCCCCUUAUCAGAAUCACCACCGAAACUUAAGCUCAAACCAUUGCCCAACACAUUGGAAUAUGCAUUUUUGGGAGAAGAAAGUACUCUACCGAUAAUCAUCUCAUCAUCCCUAAAUGACGAACAAAAAGGUAAGUUGUUGGAUGUUUUAAAAGAGCACAAAGGAGCAUUAGGAUGGACCAUAGCAGACAUAAAAGGUAUAAACCCAGUAGACUGCAUGCAUUACAUUCACCUUGAUGAAAAUGCUAAAUCUACUAGGGAAAUGCAAUGUCGGUUAAAUCCUAAUAUGAAAGAAGUUGUUAGAACUGAAGUCCUUAAACUAUUAGACUCAGGUAUCAUUUACCCAAUUUCUGAUAGUUCAUGGGUUAGUCCUGUGCAAGUUGUCCCCAAAAAGUCAGGAGUCACAGUAGUUACCAAUGCUGAUAAUGAAUUGAUACCAACUAGGGUAACUACAGGAUGGCGUGUAUGCAUUGAUUAUAGAAAAUUGAAUUCUGUCACACGUAAAAACCAUUUUCCUUUACCAUUUAUUGAUCAAAUGCUUGAUAGAUUAGCAGGUCAUGAAUUUUAUUGCUUUCUAGAUGGCUACUCAGGAUACAAUCAGAUCCCCAUAGCACCAAAAGAUCAAGAGAAAACUACUUUCACUUGCCCUUUUGGCACAUUUGCAUAUAGGAGAAUACCAUUUGGAUUAUGCAAUGCACCUGCUACAUUUCAACGAUGCAUGUUGAGCAUUUUUUCUGAUAUGGUUGAACGAUUCCUUGAAGUCUUUAUGGAUGACUUUUCUGUCUUUGGUGACUCGUUUGAUCAAUGUUUACAUCAUCUAACACUAGUUCUGCAGAGAUGUAUCGAGAAGAAAUUGGUCUUAAAUUGGGAGAAGUGUCAUUUUAUGGUAAAACAAGGUAUUGUUCUCGGUCACAUCAUUUCGAGCAAAGGUAUUGAGGUUGACAAAGCCAAGGUGAAUCUCAUUUCUAAUCUUCCUCCACCCAAAACAGUCAAAGAAGUAAGAUCUUUCCUUAGACAUACUGGUUUCUAUAGACGUUUCAUUAAAGAUUUUAGCAAAGUUUCUAGACCCUUAUGCAAUUUACUUGCUAAAGAUGUACCUUUUACCUUUAAUGAUUCAUGUCUUGUGGCUUUUGAAAAAUUGAAGUAGUUGUUGACAUCAUCACCCAUCAUUCAAGCCCCAAACUGGAGCUUACCAUUUGAGCUCAUGUGUGAUGCAUCUGAUUAUGCAGUAGGAGCAGUAUUAGGACAAAGAGUUGAUCGAAUUCUCCAUGUUAUUUAUUAUGCUAGUAUGACAUUGAAUGAUGCACAGUUGAACUAUUCAACUAUUGAAAAAGAAAUGCUAGCAGUAGUGUUUGCAUUAGAGAAAUUUCGAUCUUAUCUCAUUGGUUGUAAAAUAAUUAUAUUCACAGAUUUUGUUGCUCUUAAAUAUCUUCUCACAAAGAAAGAUGCAAAAGCUAGACUAAUUCGUUGGGUGUUACUUUUGCAGGAAUUUGACUUGGAAUUCAAAGAUAAGAAAGGGACAGAAAAUGUUGUGGCGGACCAUCUCUCUCGUCUUCAUUUUGACACAAUUACAGAGCCAUUAAUAUUGAAUGAGUCAUUUCCAGAUGAACAAUUAAUGAAUGUGGAAGUAUUACCUUGGUAUGCUGAUAUAGUUAAUUAUCUUGUUACAGGUAAACUUCCAGAGCAUUGGACCAAGCAAGACAAGGCCAAAUUCUUUGCAGAGAUAAAGAAUUUCUUUUGGGAUGACCCGUAUUUGUUCAAGUAUUGUGCAGACCAAAUUGUUAGACGAUGUGUCCCAGAAAGUGAAAUUCAGAAUAUCCUUUCAUUCUGCCAUGAACAAGCUUGUGGAGGCCAUUUCAGUGCUAAGAAAACAGCGACUAAAGUAUUACAAUGUGGUUUCUAUUGGCCAUCUAUAUUUCGAGACGCUUACACUUUCUGUUCUUCAUGUGAUAGGUGUCAACGAAUGGGAAGCAUUACAAGAAGGAACAUGAUGCCACUAAAUCCAAUUUUAGUGGUUUAGAUUUUUGACGUAUGGGGUAUCGACUUCAUGGGACCCUUUCCCCCUUCUUUUGGCCAUCAAUACAUAUUGGUUGCUGUUGACUACGUAUCCAAAUAGGUAGAAGCAAUUCCAUGCAGAACUAAUGAUCACAAGGUGGUGAUAGGAUUUUUGAAAAGCAACAUUGUCUCACGCUUUGGAUUCUCUCGAGCAAUAAUCAGUGAUGGUGGUGCCCACUUUUGUAACAAAGCAUUCAAGUCUCUUUUGACAAAGUAUUCAAUCACUCACAAAGUGGCGACCCCAUAUCAUCCGCAAACCAGUGGCCAAGUUGAAAUUUCCAAUCGAGAAAUAAAGCACAUAUUAGAAAAAACGGUGAGGCCAGACAGGAAAGAUUGGUCAUUAAGACUUGAUGAUGCAUUAUGGGCAUACAGAAUGGCUUUCAAGACCCCGAUUGGGAUGUCACCCUACAGGCUAGUGUAUGGAAAACCUUGCCACCUACCUAUGGAACUCGAGCAUCGUGCAUAUUGGGCCAUCAAGAAAUUCAACUUUGACAUGCAGCAAGCCAGUUCAGAAAGAAGAUUACAACUGGCAGAACUUGAAGAAAUUCGCAAUGACGCAUACGAAACUGUCAAGAUUUACAAGCAACGGAUGAAAGUCUUGCAUGACAAGCAAAUUAUGAGAAAAUCGUUCACUCCAGGUCAGAAAGUGCUUUUAUUCAAUUCUCGCUUGCACCUAUUCCCAGGUAAGUUACGCUCUCGAUGGUCUGGUCCCUUUAUUGUUCAUACUGUUUUUCCACAUGGGGCAAUUGAAAUUAAUGAUCAAAAGAAUGGUGUCACGUUUAAAGUUAAUGGUCAAAGAUUAAAGCCAUAUCUAGAGUACCAACCACAUGGAGAAGACACCGAAAUAAAUUUGAAUGACCCACCAGAGUUGAAUUGAUUUUUUUUUCUUUUCGUUGAUUUGAUUUUUUUUUCUUUCUUUAUAUUAUUCUUCUACUAAUUGAAAUUAUUUUUGCAUAAGUGUGUUUGUUUAACUAUUAAGUUUUCUUUUAUCAUUUUUAAUCAUGAGUACCUUACUAAGAUCGUUCCUCCUGAACAUUCUUAAACCACUUCAACGUGUCAAAACUCAUCUAAAAAAGCAGAUUCAAUUUUGUAAAACAUAUCGCAUUUGGGCUCUACAACCACCAGAGUUAGUAGCCUAUGUUGAGGGUUUAGAAAGCCAACUCAGAGACAUUGAGAGAAGUGUUUACGACAUCCAGUUGGAGCUUGAGGUAAAUUCAAUAAGAGGACGAUUUUAAUUUUCUUUGUGUGUUUUAAUUUAUUUUUCUGUUUGUGUGCUUUAGUUUGUUACCCCGGUGAAGUGGCGGAUAACGGUACUCCGUGACAAUCAAGUCGGUACUUCAGUUUCCCAUAAUAACUGAUAUUCUGAGGCGAAGGUAUGGACAGAAAUGAGAUUCUAGCAAAACUUCACAAGCGAUUCCCUUCACUUCCUCAGAAUGCCCUCCUUACGAUCUAUAAAGCUCGGUCCGAACGCAUGCGAUUUCUCAUGAGGAAUAACAUACCUGCUGACAUCCGUUGGUUAAUCGAGGCUAAAAUACAAUCGGAAGGUGAGUUACCUCCAAAAUUUAUUGCAUACAUGCCUGGUUGUGGUAAAGGAAAUUAUGCAAGAAAACGACGAGCUCGAAGAAUUUUUGUUGCUUGUCAUAAGUGCGCCAGAAUGAGUUGCACUAAAAACCCAUGUUCUUUAGAAUGGUGUCUGAUAACAGGGAAGAUAAAAUUCAAUUCAUUAGGGAUGGCUUGAAUAAGGAGUCAUUGGAUGAUAUCCUUUUGUCUCUUGAAACGCAUCCCAGUGGAUAUGUGCAAGGAGCGAUUCUCCAGUUAUGGCCAUUAUUCCAGAAAGAGCAUGCACGAUACAGUCUCAGGAAUCUGACUAUAAACGACCUUGUUUGCCAGUUUGUAAGAAAACUAGAUAGGAAGCCCAUCCUCGACCCAUAGAGGGCGUUCAAUCCGUUUCUGGACAUAAAACCAGAGGAAGAUGUGAGCCACAGUCCCAACUACCUGUAAAUAUCCUUUUACUUUACUGUUAUUUUAUUUCACUAUUAUUUUAUUGUGUGCAUUAUUGUCUUUAAUAAUUUUAUUACUAUUUGCUUUUUCCUCAUUACUGCUUGCUUUUUCAUUUUUACUGUUUCCUUUUUGACUCGCGAGCUAUGUACUUUACGCGUUAUUUGACACUGACAUGUUACCUCAUACACAACUGUGACCCACUAUCAUCAAGACUCUUAAAUGUGAUUUUAUUUGUCAAGCACUCACAAAUUAUUUUUUGAGAAGUAUCCCAAUGGCAGCUACUCCAAAUAGACAAUUCAAGAACAUUUGUGUGCUUUCUGGAUUUACCUAUGGCAAACAUAAAGAGUUCAUUGAGGCAGCCAUCGAUCUUGGUCGAAGCAUAGCAGCGAGACAAUUACACUUAGUGUAUGGAGGAGGUAACCGAGGGUUAUCAAAAAUGGUCUCAGAAGCAGCUUUUAUCAGAGGAAGUCAAGUGUUAGGCAUCAUCCCAAGAGUCUUAAAACCAUUGGGCAGUUCGUCUGACUCAUCAACUGGAGAAGAGUUAGUCGUCUCAGGUAUGCAAGAAAGAAUAACUGAAAUGCUUAAUCAUGCUGUUGCUUUUAUUUUCCUUCCAGGAGAUCUUCCAACACUAGAGGCACUUAUCACACUAGCAUCUUGGGCCCAUCUGCACAUCCACCAGAAACCCAUCGGUUUGUUAAAUUUCAAUAACUUUUAUGAUGGCUUUAUCGCAUUUCUUAACCAUGCAAAAAAAACUAUUUCAUUCCUUCUAAUGUGAAAAAACUUUUUAUUUGUGCUCACACUGCUAAUGAGCUACUUGAUCUGUUACAAGCUUAUAAACCGAAGCCAGACCCCUGGACCUUUGUGUUGGAGCGCCCAAAUAAUGAUGGUAACAGUAGCCGCAGUAAGAAGUACAAAUUAGAUUUAACUCUCCGCUUGUAAAUAUUUUCUUCUGUGUUACACCACCCAGGUGAUGUCUUCUAAACUCUACUUCUUUCCUUUCAAACAUUGCGGACAAUGUUUUGUUCUGGUUGGGGGGAGGGAAUAGUCGACAAUUGUGUAAUUUUGGUUAAGUUUUUACUAAUUUUUUGUUGUAGAAACUAACUGUUGCUAACUUUUUGUGUUGAAGAUGGCUGAAUAUGGAGUGUAGUGACUCUAGAAACGCAUCUUCAUCGUUUAAAAAAAAAUAAAAAAAAAAUUCAGACAUUUAUUUUUCUUUAUUAUGUUUUUAUGUUUAUUUUUCUUCUUUUUAAUUUCUCCUCUAUAAAUAUACAUAUUCCAACUUGUGAGUCGAAGAUUGCUGAAUAUGGAGUGUAGUGUCUCUAGAAACGCAUCUUCUUAAAAAAAAAAAUUAUUUUCAUUUUUUAUCAUUUUACGUGUAACUUUUCUAAUUAGUUUUUAUGCAUCAUUUUCACAUUUCUGCAUGCAUAUUUUCCUUUCAUGUUUAGAAUAGGUUGGGGGGUAGAAUAUUAUUUGAAAAAAAAAAUUUGUGUGAUUUGUUUUAACAUUGGAUGACAUGAUUAAUUUCAAAUUUAGUAUUUGUAUUAUCUUUGGUCUUAAGUGAUGUUACGCUAUGUUUGCUACUUUACAUGUUGAUGUCGGAGACAAAUAUGAGUUGCUUGAAAGAAUGAACAUGUCAUAAAUAAGUGCCAAGUGAGUUGUUAAGCCUAUCAUUUUCUUGGAGAGUAACCCUUUUGCCCAUUCUCUAUACAGUUUAGCAGUUUAUUAUUUUAUACACGAUCUCUAGAUUUCUUUUGAGUUAACCCUUAAAAAAAAUGGUAAAAAAAAAAAAAAAAGAAAAAGAAAAAGAAAAAGAAAAUAUGUGUUGCUACAUUGGGAGACUCGUCUAACAAGUAGAUAUGGAUGAUUAUUUAGAGCCCUAAAAGACGAUGGAAAUGCCAUCUUUGAUCCGUUUGAGCCUUUCUAGCCAUCCCUUUUAUUAAAUAUCCAUAGUUAACCCCUUUUGAGCCUUUAAAAAAAACAAAAAAAACAAAAAAAAAACAUUUUCUUUGUCAACUUAUCAUCUUGACCCACUCCAAUUUGGUGUAUUACCCGAUGUCUUAUAAGUUCCAUCACCUAUUUAUGUUUGAGAAAAUGUAAAUAAUUAUGUUGUUUAGUGAAGUUAUGCCAAAUAAAAGCAAAAAAAACAAAACAAAACUUGUUGUUUCAAAAGAAUAAAAAUAACAACAAUAGGUGAAAUCCACCUUGCAACUUCAAAAAAAAAAACAAAAAAAAUUCCUCUGCAUUUUUCUCAAACAUACACUUUGUUUUCCUUAUUUCCCUUAUUUGUUAGCCAUGUCUCUAGCCUACGUUAUGUCCUAAUAAAAGUCCUUCUUGAUUUUAGGGAACUAUAGUUUGAAGUAGAAGCUAGUUAUAUGGGCUAAAAAGAUAUAGUGAUGCAUAAUAAUAAUAAAAAAAUGAUAAAUAAAGUGGGUUGACUAGCAUUUUUAUUUGACUUGAGAUCGUAUUAUUUCUAAGCUGAGGGCAUAUUUAUUUCAUCUUGGUGAGAGCAUGUGAUAUCACUUCUUUAUUAUUUUCUCUCUCAAUUACCAUUCAUUGGAGUGACUAUUUUUAUUAGUUUUAAUUUCUUUGUGAGAGUGUCACUACUUCCAGUGAGAUUUUAGGGGUUUGACAUGUCAUUCUUGAAAGUAGCUAUAACAAAGUCUACUGGGUUGAUUCAUGUGGAUGGUUGAUGUGGGUGUGAUGUUGCUUUAGACAGGAGAUAAUGCUUAUACUUUUAUUUGAUUGCUAUCAUUAAUCUGAUGGAAUAAAUACGAGUGUUUCUAUUAAAAAAAAAUUAUUAUUUUGAAUUUGAAUUUUGUUUUCGCUUUAUGUUGUUUAGUGAAGGUGUGUUGAGUGUUAGAAAAUGCAUAUUUAUAAAGGAGAAAACCGUCAUUUGAUAUUUCAAGUCUUACUAACAACCCUUACUUUUAUGUAUUUAACCUUCUUUUGAUUGAAUUCUGUGUGUUUUAUUUUAAUUAAGUAUUUUAUGUAUUUUAGGGGCAUUAUAGUCAUUUCACAAUAAAAGAGAGAUCAGACGGCAAAACAGACAUCACUUUUGAACUCAGGACGGUCGAAAACCUUAGGAGGAACAUAAAAGGAAAAAUGGCACUAUUCACAUGUACGGUACUAUUCACAUGUACGGUACUGUAUACGUUACUGUUCACGACACUGUUCACAUAGACGGAUGAUGACGUGGCAUUGACCGAUGAUGUGGCAUUGACUGAUGAGGUGUCACGAUCCUGUUGGGCUAAAAUUCUUAUGUACUGUUGAUGGUGACGUGGCAGCAUAUCAGUGGACGAAAAAUCUCGCGUACGGUACAUGCAUCACACAGGAUUAUUUUCAACCAAACCGCGUUACUGUUCAUCCGGGUCAAACCGUGUUACUGUUCAUCCGUGUGGUCAAACCGCGUACUGUUGACUGAUGACGUGGCGCAAUCCUGAGCGUCCAAACUAUUUUUAAUCUGAUGGCCAUGAUUUACUCCAUGUAUCUAUAAAAAGGGGGCCUCCCCCUCCUAAUUUAAUAUCUCUGAAUCCAUUUUUGGGAUCCAUUUUCUGUAAUUCCUUCUCCAUCUUGUAUUUUCUUCGUAUUUUAAUAAAUUCCCAUUUUGCCCCUAGUUCAAUUAUGAGUGGCUAAUUUUCUUUCAAGCUUGGGUUGAAGGUGAAGUCUCAACAUGUGUCAUGGGCUUUAUUUGGUAAAUUUAUUUUCUCUUCCCCUCUAGUGUUUGUGGAUGUUUUGACUUCUCGUCGACAAAUAAUACUAAUCUUGUCUAGUACCGCCUUGGUUUCACCGGCUCUCUAGUACAAGGUUAUUAUUAUUUGGCACGAUAAGCCCUUAGCACCAUAUUGAUUAGAGUGUGGUUCAUGAGGUGUGGAUUCCCCCCUCAUGAUUUAAUUGGUAUUAAUAAGGAAUAUUUAGCCCAUGGUGCAUGUUGAUACGGAUCCAGAUACCCAAGUGCUUCAUUUCAAUAGAAUUAUCUUCAAUUUAUUCUCGCCAUUUCAAUUCCAAUUUUAGAAUUUAUUCUCGCCAUUUUAAUUUAAGUUUUAGCAUAUUCCAAAUCAUUUCCACCACAAAUCCAACCACCCAUUUACAAAAUUAAUUCUAUACAUAAUUAAAAUCCACCUCCUCGUGGGAUCGACACUCGUCACCAUUAGUCUAUACUACAAUAGAUUCGUGCGCUUGCGAGUACAUUAAAAUUUGCACAACAAUCACUACAACACAUUUCUCAAUAUUCCUUUAUAUAAAUAGAGACUCAUGCCUUUCUAAUUCUGACACAUCCAUUUUAAUUCAAAUUAAGCUUUUUAGAAUUCAAUUAAGAAAUUGAAAAAAUGUCAAAGAGCUCAGUUUCAUCAUGCUUGUAAUGGCAAACACUAAAUGCAUGCUAGCCUAGAUGCUUCAUUUUCUAUUUCCCUAGGUUUACAAGUGAAAAUUAUUUGUUCGAGAAGUUACUAUACCUACACAUGCCUCGAGGGGAAUGUAAAAGAUUUUGAUAAUCAGUUUUUUCUUUUAUCUUUUAUUAGUGUUUUUAUGAUAAUGAUUAAUCGUAGUGAAAUUAAAACUAUGUUUUAAUUAAAGAAGAAAUUAAUCCGCUAUGAGUGCUUAAUGUUUUGUCAUGUGCUUUUUUUGUGUGUGUUUUUGGUUUGCUUUGUUUUAUACGUAUCAUUGAAUCAAUCUAUGAGAGAAAAAUUAGUUGAAACGCUAAUAUUGAUCAAGCAGUCAUAACUACAAUGUUAGUACCGUACGUAAUAUUUAUAUUUUAAAUCUAUUUUCUUUUAGGGUGAGGCUAUAUAGAUCCUAUUUUUAUCAAAAUCUAUUUUUUUUUCUAAAUCUUAUAUUACUAACCUAUCUGAUUUAAUUUAUGGCUAAAUUCAACUUAUGUAUAGAGAACCUUCAAUUUACCACAAAAAAUGAGAAAAAAUCAAUUCACCCCCAUUUACUACUACGAAAAUAAAUAAAAGAUCAUCAACCUAGCCCCUAUUUAAGCUCAUUUUUUGAAAAAACAAAUUAGUGUAAAUUGAGGUUCUCAUGCUCUUAGAGGGUAAACUGAAGAUUGUUAUUAGGAGGGGGAUGAAUUAAAGUUUACCUCAAUUAAUAUAAGAAAACUUUUCAUAUUAUUCCUGACACAUUUGUCGUGUUGAUAUGCCCACAUCAAUUCAAUUGGUAACUCAUGUUGAAUGAACGGAUUGAUUAGAUAAAUUAUCAUCGGAUGUUAGGCAAUCUUGUAUUCUACAUGCCUUACUAACUUAUUUCUUAAGAAUUUUUGUAAUUGUGUUUGUUGUAAUUUGUAGUGGCUAAUUACAACAACUGACUCAAUACUUCAAUAUUUAAUCAAUCAAGAUCGAUUUGGAAUCAAAAUUGAUAAAGAACAGAGAAAAGAAUAGAAAACGGAAUUGGAUUGCAAAGAACAAGUUACCAGAUUUGAAGGAAAAAUUCACACUCUUUCAUUAAUCAAAACUGAGUACGAACAGAUCACAUCUGAAGAGGAGAUUACAAUAAUCACGUGUAAAGAAGAAUUAUUUUAAUUGGAGAAGAAAUCAAUUAUAUGUCAGAUGACUUGUUAUCCACUUGCCUCUACUUUUCUAUUCAAUCCACACAGUAGCGCUGAAUCCCCCAACUUGCCCAAAGGACUUAUGUUGUGUUUACUAAAUUGGAAUCGGAAUCAGCUGGAAUCAGAAUGGGCAGGAAUGAGAAUGAGCUGAAAUGGGAAUAGGGAAUGAGAAUCAGAAUAAGUUGUUUACUUGAAUUGUAGGAAUCGAAAUCGGAAUGAGCUGGAUUACCUUAAAUGUGCUAACUUUGUCUUGGAAUCGGAAUCGAAAUGAGUUAGAUUGUAACAAAUUACUAAAAAGUACUUAAUGAAUUAUUGUCAUAAUUAUUAUUUUAUAUUUGAAUUAUAGUGAUUAUUUAUUCAAAAAUAUUAUUAUUAUUAAUUAUUGUCAAUAAUAUAUUGAUAUAUUAAUUAAUUAUAAAAAUUAUUAAUGAAUUAAUUAUAUUAAUAAUUAUUAUAAAAUAUAUUAAUUAAUAAUAUUAAUAUUACUUAUUUAAUUAUAAUAAUAUAUUAAUUAUUGUGAUUAUUUAUUCAAAAACUAUAAUUAUUAAUAUAUUGUUGUUAAUAAUGUAUUAAUAUAUUAAUUAAUUAAUAAUAAUAUAUGAAUAAAUUAUAAUAAUUAUAUUUAUUAUUAAUAAUUAUAGUUUUUAUAUUAAUUAAUAGUGCUAAUUAUUGCAAUUAAUUAAUGAUAAUAUAUGAAUUCAUUAUAAUAACUAUAUUAAUAAUUAUUAUAAUAGUAUAGUAAUUAAUUAAUUAUAAUUAUAAUAUAUUAAUUAUUGUGAUUAUUUAUUUAAAAUUUCAAUUAUUAAUAAUUCUUGUUAAUAAUGUAUCAAUAUACUAAUUAACUAUAAUAUACUAAUUAAUUAAUUAUAAUAAUAUAUUAAUUAAUUAUAUAUUUGGCUUUUUUAUUUUUGAUAUUUAUAUUUUUUAUUUAAAGGAGGGGCAUUUUAGGAAAAUUUGAAUGUCAAUGGAGGUAAAAUGGGAACUCUAGGGAAUGAGAGAUUGAUUCCCACCUCCCCCCAUAGGAAUCAAUCUGCCCGUUCCCAAAUAGUGAUGGGUCCCACAAUUUUGAUUCCGAUUCCUGCUCCAUUUUUGUGAAGUAAACGCCGUCAAUCAUUCCGAUUCUGAUUCCCUAAUCCAGGAAGUAAAUACACCAUUAAUUAAUUCACUCAAGUCUUUUUGGUCACUCAGUUUGAGAAUUUAUUUCUUGUUUUUUAUGAUGCUUCCUAUGUAAUAACUGCGUGUGAUUAGGAACUUGUAUUUAUUUAAUUUGUAACAUCUCAAGAGCGUUACAAUAAAAAGACAGAAAAAGAAAAGUUGAAACUAACAAUAUUGAUUAAAAUUCCUACUUGUUAUUCUUAGUGGUAACCACAUUUAAGUCUUGAAUUUGCAGGAGCCAACACCACGAAGCCCAUAUUUUGCAUCAUUAAAUGAUUAAUCUUAUUGUUAUCUCUACUUUCACUAUUGUCUUAUCAAAAGUUUUUUCUUAUCAUACUAGCUUCAUAAAAAUUAACAUAUUAUCAUUUUUAAGUCGUCCAUCAAGUAUAAAUAUUAUAUUAUUUAGUUAUAUAAUAAAAAUAAAGAAAUGUCUAAAAUUAAAAGACAUCUUAAAUUAAAGCCAAACUAUCUAUCGUAAAUAAAUAAAAGAAUACAUAUUUGCAUUUAGAAACUACUGCUUUAAACCAUUUUGUAAUUACCAAAACUUUUUCUUAAAUAAAAUAAAAUAACAUAAAGUAAAAGAAAUUAAAAGUCAAUAUUUUUAUUUUCAAGUGAUGAAAUUAAAAUUUUGGUUAUAAUUACAUAAGGCAAAAGAAAGGUGGUGCAAUGAUAAUUUCAAGUGAUGAAAUUGAAAUUAAUUAUAUUCAAGUGAUGAAUAUGUUAGAACUUUGCGGGGGUUGGAUGAAUAUAAGGUAAAAGAAAGGUGGUGCAAUGAUAAUUUCCCUUUUUUCUUUUUAUGGUGCUUCUUAUCUAAUAAGUGCAUGAAUUAGAGCUUGUAUUUACUUAAUCAUAGCAUCCAAAAGCAUUACAGAAGAGAGACAAAGCAAGAAAAGUUGAAUACUAACUAUUUGAUGAAGAUUCCUGGUACUAAUUAAUCCUACAUGUUACUCUUCACGAUAACCACAUCUGGGUCUUGAACUUGUAGGAGUCAACAACACUUGACACACGCACAAAAAACACAUGACAAAAUAUUGCAUACUCAUAAUGGAUUAAUUUCUUCUUUUACUAAAACACAGUUUUAAUUCCACUACAGUUGAUCAUUAUUGUAAAAGCACUCAUAUAAGAUAAAAUAAAUAACUUAUUUUGAAAUUCAUUUGCAUCCCUUGCAGAACAAGGGUAGAUAUAGUCUUUAGGAGCCUUUUUUAACUUCUCGAUCAAAUACUCUUCCCUUGUAAACCCUAAACAAUAAAUAAUGUCAGGUGUGCUGUAGGAUUAAAGGAAAAUGAAGCAUUGGGAUUAGAUUCUGGGCGAGUACUGUUGAGUGUUAGAAAAUACAUAUUUAUAAAGGAGAAAACCGUCAUUUUACAUUUCAAGUCUUACUAACAACCCUUACUUUUAUGUAUUUAACCUUCUUGUGAUUUCAUUACAUGUGUUUUAUUUUAAUUAAGUAUUUUAUGUAUUUUAGGGGUAUUAUAGUCAUUUCACAAUAAAGGAGAAAUCAGACGGCAAAACGGACAUCACUUUUGAACUCAGGACGGUCGAAAACCUUAGGAAGAGCAGAAAAGGAAAAAUGGCACUAUUCACAUGUACGGUACUAUUCACGUGUACGGUACUGUAUACGUUACUGUUCACGACACUGUUCACAUAGACGGAUGAUGACGUGGCAUUGACCGAUGAUGUGGCAUUGACUGAUGAGGUGUCACGAUCCUGUUGGGCUAAAAUUCUUAUGUACUGUUGAUGGUGACAUGGCAGCAUAUCAGUGGACGAAAAAUCUCGCGUACGGUACAUGCAUUACACAGGAUUAUUUUCAACCAAACCGCGUUACUGUUCAUCUGGGUCAAACCGUGUUACUGUUCAUCCGCGUGGUCAAACCGUGGACUGUUGACUCAUGACGUGGCGCAAUCCUGAGCGUCCAAACUGUUUUUAAUCCGAUGGCCAUGAUUUACUCCAUGUAUCUAUAAAAAGGGGGCCUCCCCCCCCCUAAUUUGAUAUCUCUGAAUCCAUUCUUGGACUCCAUUUUCUGUAAUUCCCUCUCCAUCUUGUAUUUUCUUCAUAUUUUAAUAAAUUCUCAUUUUGCCCCUAAUUCAAUUAUGAGUGGCUAAUUUUCUUUCAAGCUUGGGUUGAAGGUGAAGUCUCAACAUGUGUCAUGGGCUUUAUUUGGUAAAUUUAUUUUCUCUUCCCCUCUAGUUUUUGUGGAUGUUUUGACUUCUCAUCGACAAAUAAUACUAAUCUUGUCUAGUACCGCCUUGGUUUCACCGGCCCUCUAGUACAAGGUUAUUAUUAUUUGGCACGAUAAGCCCUUAGCACCAUAUUGAUUAGAGUGUGGUUCACGAAGUGUGGAUUCCCCCCUAAUGAUUUAAUUGGCAUUAAUAAGGAAUAUUUAGCCCAUGAUGCAUGUUGAUACGGAUCCAGAUACCCAAGUACGUCAUUUCAAUAGAAUUCUCUUCAAUUUAUUCUUGCCAUUUCAAUUCCAAUUUUAGAAUUUAUUCUCGCCAUUUUAAUUUAAGUUUUAGCAUAUUCCAAAUCAUUUCCACCACAAAUCCAAUCACCCAUUUACAAAAUUAAUUCUACACAAUUAAAAUCCACCUCCUCGUGGGAUCGACACUCGUCACCAUUAGUCUAUACUACAAUAGAUUCGUGCGCUUGCGAGUACAUUAAAAUUUGCACAACAAGUUUUUGGCGCCGUUGCCGGGGAAGGUAAGUAGUUUUAAUUCAUAAAAUUAAUUUUUUUUUUAAUAAUUUCUUUUAAUUGUUUUCUUGUAAUUUUUUUUAUUAAAAAAAACAGAAAAAAAAGAGUAAAUUUAUAUUUUGAGCUAAGAAUUUUAUUUAUUUAUUUUCUCUCUUCUUUAAAAUUCUGUAAUUUAAUUUUGAAUUUAUUUUUCUUUGUAAUUUUUUUAUCUUAUUAAUUUAUUUUUAGUUAAUUUAUUUCACGUAUUUGUUUUUGUGUAUUUUUAUAGUAAGGUUGUAAUAGCGCAAUAAGGUUAGUAUCGUAAUUUCUCCCUCUUCUUUAUUUUUAUUUAUUUUAUUCCCAUCUUUAUUUUUUAUUUUAUUUGUUUUACAUGCAUGGUCGAAGGUCAUUAUUACCCAAUCUUGAAUCUAUAGACCUUGAACUUGAGAAAACACUUCGCACACACAAACAAGUAAAAAAUAAAAUGGAUUUGCAACCACAGGAGAGGCCAUUUAAGGAUUAUUUCAGUCCUUUAGCAAAUUUGAGUACAUCAUGUAUAAGAUAUCCAAAUGUAGCUGCUAGGAGCUUUGAAUUAAAACCUAGUGUGCUAAAUUGUCUCCCCACAUUUUAUGGCCUAGAAAAUGAGGACCCAUAUAAUCAUCUGAAUGAUUUUCAUGCUAUUUGUCAAACUUUUAAAUACGAAAAUUUUUCAGAUGAUGAUGUAAAGCUUAGAUUAUUCCCAUUUUCUUUAAAGGAUAGAGCUCGUUCAUGACUUAAUACAUUGCCUGCUAAUAGCAUUGCAUCAUGGGAACAAAUGGUAACGAAAUUUUUGAAUAAAUAUUUCCCAGUGCAUAAAACCAAUGCUAUUCGCAGGGAAAUCUCAAAGUUUACCCAGAGAGAGGACAAGCAAUUUUUCGAAACAUGGGAGCGAUUCAAUGGGCUACUCUUGAAGUGUCCACAUCAUGGGUACGAGAAAUGGCACCAAUGCCAAUACUUUUUGGAGGGAUUACUACCGAAUGUGCAAGAAUGGCUAAUGGCAACAAGUGGAGGGGAGCUAAUGUCAAAAAGUGCAUCAGAAAUUUGAGAGUUUUUCCAGCGACAAGCGGACAAUUCCCAACAACGGAGUCGAUCACUCAGGAAUACUAGAAGGAUUAAGGGAGUAAAUGAGGUUUACAGUGGCGAGUCAAGUUCAGAAAUCAAAGAAGUCAAGGAGAUGGUUGAAGGUCUUGCUCGACAAAUAGCAUCGUUAUCGACUGCUAAAUCAACAGAACCACAUGACCAUGACUCAUACUCAGAUCAAGCCAAUGCCAUAGGUGUAAUGAGAAAGCCAUCAAAUUACAACCCAUACUCCAACACAUAUAACCCUGGAUGGAGAGAUCACCCCAAUUUUUCAUGGUCUCAAGGACUCCAACAGAAUGGACCAGCAACUCCAGCUCCACCAAUGCAACCAAUUCCUCAAAAUCCUCAAGCCUCUCAGUCCCCAUUUAGACCAUACAAUCAGAACCAGAACUACUCUCAACCCAGACCAUGGGAGGAUGCAUUCCAGAAUUUCAAGAAUGUUACUCACUCCACGAUUGAGCAACAAAACCGCACCAUUGAUGGACUACGAAAUGAGUUGAGAGCGGGCUUCAACUCACAAGCUCAAUCAGUUUCAAGCCUCGAGAAGAUAGUGGGACAACUUGCUUCUUUAGUUCAAACCUUGGCAAUGACUGUUGAGAAAGGCAAGUUUCCAAGUCAACCAGUGCCUAAUCCUAAAGGAGUACAUGAAGCAAGUACCAGUUCACCACAACAGCAUGGAGAGGUCAAAGCAGUCAUGACCUUGCGAAAAGGAAAAGAAGUCGACAACAAAGUGGAGAUGCUGGUGACAAAAGAAAAUCAAAUUGUACCUGUGAAUGUUGAGGACUCAUCACCGGAGGAGAAAGAAGAAACCAACCCACGAGAAUAUGUUCCGAAAGCUCCAUUUCCUCAGCGGUUAGCUAAAGGCAAGAAGGGAAAAUCCACAGGUGAGAUUCUUGAAAUCUUCAAACAAGUAAGUGUUAACAUUCCUUUGCUUGAUGCUAUUAAACAAGUUCCAUCUUAUGCCAAGUUUCUUAAAGACCUUUGUACUAAAAAGAGAAAUAUGCAUGUUCAAAAGAAGACAUUUUUAACAGAAAACGUUAGUUCUAUACUCCAACAUAAAAUUCCUCUAAAAUGUAAAGACCCAGGCUCCCCCACUAUCUCAUGUAGUAUAGGGAACCACACAAUUGAGAAUGCUUUGUUGGAUUUAGGAGCUAGUGUAAAUCUGUUGCCUUAUUCAGUAUUUGUGAAACUUGGACUUGGAGAAUUACACCCAACUCCAAUGGUGUUACAGCUUGCAGAUCGGUCUACAAAAAUACCUCGUGGUAUUGUGGAGGACGUGCUUAUCCAGGUAGACAGGUUUUAUUUUCCUGUUGAUUUCGUUGUAAUUGACACUCAACCAAUACAGGAUUCAAGGAAGCACAUUCCCAUUAUCCUAGGCCGACCUUUCUUGGCAACUGCGGAUGCUCACAUUCAAUGCAGGACUGGAAAUAUGCAGUUGUCCUUCGGCAACAUGACUAUGGAGCUGAACAUCUUCAACAUUGCCAAACAACCUCACAAUGCAGAUGAUGGAAUUGUUGAUGUGGAUUUAAUUGAAGCAUUAGUUGAUGAUACUUUUGUUUCAAACCUUAGUGAUGAUCCUUUACAAACAUGUUUAACUCACUUUGGUUUGAAUUUUGAUAUUGACAGAUCGGUCGAUGAGGUCAACGCCCUGCUUGACUCAGCACCAUCUAUGGACACUAAUAAAUGAAAGUCAAGAGUUGAGCAACUAGCACCAUCAGAGAAGAAACUCAUCCCAUCAUCAGAAUCACCACCGAAACUCGAGCUCAAACCAUUACCCAACACUCUGGAAUAUGCAUUUUUGGGAGAAGAAAGUACUUUGCCGGUAAUCAUCUCAUCAUCCCUAAAUGACGAACAAAAAGGUAAGUUGUUGGAUGUUUUGAAAGAGCACAAAGGGGCAUUAGGAUGGACCAUAGCAGACAUAAAAUGUAUAAACCUAGUAGACUGCAUGCAUUACAUUCACCUUGAUGAAAAUGCUAAAUCUACUAGGGAAAUGCAACGUCGGUUAAAUCCUAAUAUGAAAGAAGUUGUGAGAACAUAAGUCCUUAAGCUAUUAGAUGCUGGUAUCAUUUACCCCAUUUCUGAUAGUUCAUGGGUCAGUCCUGUACAAGUUGUCCCUAAAAAGUCAGGAGUCACAGUAGUUACCAAUGCUGAUAAUGAAUUGAUACCCACUAGAGUAACUAUAGGAUGGCGUGUAUGUAUUGAUUAUAGGAAGUUGAAUUCUGUCACAUGUAAAGACCAUUUUCUUUUACCAUUUAUUGAUCAAAUGCUUGAUAGAUUAGCAGGCCAUGAAUUUUAUUGCUUUCUAGAUGGCUACUCAGGAUAUAAUCAGAUUCCCAUAGCACCAAAAGAUCAGGAGAAAACUACUUUCACUUGCCCUUUUGGCACAUUUGCAUAUAGGAGAAUGCCAUUUGGAUUAUGUAAUGCACCUGCUACAUUUCAACGAUGCAUGUUGAGCAUUUUUUCUGAUAUGGUGGAACGAUUCCUUGAAGUCUUUAUGGAUGAUUUUUUUGUCUUUGGUGACUCGUUUGAUCAAUGUUUACAUCAUCUAACACUAGUUCUGCAGAGAUGUAUCGAGAAGAACUUGGUCUUAAAUUGGGAGAAAUGCCAUUUUAUGGUAAAACAAGGUAUUGUUCUCGGUCACAUCAUUUCGAGCAAAGGUAUUGAGGUUGACAAAGCCAAGGUGGAUCUCAUUUCUAAUCUUCCUCCACCCAAAACAGUCAGAGAAGUAAGAUCUUUCCUUGGGCAUGCUGGUUUCUAUAGACGUUUCAUUAAAGAUUUUAGCAAAGUUUUUAGACCCUUAUGCAAUUUACUUGCUAAGGAUGUACCUUUUAUCUCUAGUGAUUCAUGUCUUAUGGCAUUUGAAAAAUUAAAACAGUUGUUGACAUCAUCACCCAUCAUUCAGGCCCCAAACUGGAGCUUACCAUUUGAGCUAAUGUGUGAUGCAUCUGAUUAUGCAGUAGGAGCAGUAUUAGGACAAAGAGUUGAUCGAAUUCCCCACGUUAUUUAUUAUGCUAGUAUGACAUUAAAUGAUGCACAGUUGAACUAUUCAACUACUGAAAAAGAAAUGCUAGCAGUAGUGUUUGCAUUGGAAAAAUUUCGAUCAAAUCUCAUUGGUUGUAAAAUAAUUAUAUUCACGGAUCAUGCUGCUCUUAAAUAUCUUCUCACAAAGAAAUAUGCAAAAGCCAGACUAAUUCGUUGGGUGUUACUUUUGUAGGAGUUUUACUUGGAAUUCAAAGAUAAGAAAGGCACAGAGAAUGUUGUGGAGGACCACCUCUCUCGUCUCCAUUUUGACACAAUUACAGAAUCAUUACCAUAGAAUGAGUCAUUUCCAGAUGAACAAUUAAUGAAUGUGGAAGUAUUACCUUGGUAUGCUGAUAUAGUUAAUUAUCUUGUUACAGGUAAACUUCCAGAGCAUUGGACCAAGCAAGACAAGGCUAAAUUCUUUGCAGAAAUAAAGAAUUUCUUUUGGGAUGACCCGUAUUUGUUCAAGUAUUGUGCAGACCAAAUUGUUAGACGAUGCGUCCCAGAAAGUGAAAUUCCGAAUAUCCUUUCAUUCUGCCAUGAACAAGCUUGUGGAGGCCAUUUCAACGCUAAGAAAAUAGCGACUAAAGUUUUACAAUGUGGUUUCUAUUGGCCAACUAUAUUUCGAGAUGCUUACACUUUCUGUUCUUCAUGUGAUAGGUGUCAACGAAUGGGGAGCAUUACACGAAGGAACAUGAUGCCAUUAAAUCCAAUUUUAGUGGUUGAAAUUUUUUAUGUAUGGGGUAUCGACUUCAUAGGACCCUUUCCCCCAUCUUUUGGCCAUCAAUACAUAUUGGUUGCAGUUGACUAUGUAUCCAAAUGGGUAGAAGCAAUUCCAUGCAGAACUAAUGAUCACAAAGUGGUGAUAGGAUUUUUGAAAAGCAAUAUUGUUUCACGCUUUGGAUUCCCUCGAGCGAUAAUCAGUGAUGGUGGUGCCCACUUUUGUAACAAAGCAUUCAAAGCUCUUUUGACAAAGUAUUCAAUCACACACAAAGUGGCAACUCCGUAUCAUCCGCAAACCAGUGGCCAAGUUGAGAUAUCCAAUCGAGAAAUAAAGCACAUAUUAGAAAAAAUGGUGAGGCCAGACAGGAAAGAUUGGUCAUUAAGACUUGAUGAUGCAUUAUGGGCAUAUAGAAUGGCUUUCAAGACCCCGAUUGGGAUGUCACCCUACAGGCUAGUGUAUGGAAAAGCUUGCCACCUACCUGUGGAACUCGAGCAUCGUGCAUAUUGGGCCAUCAAGAAAUUCAACUUUGACAUGCAGCAAGCCAGCUCAGAAAGAAGAUUACAACUGGCAGAACUUGAAGAAAUUCGCAAUGAUGCAUACGAAAAUGCCAAGAUUUACAAGCAACGGAUGAAAGUCUUUUAUGACAAGCAAAUUAUGAGAAAAUCGUUCACUCCAGGUCAGAAAGUGCUUUUAUUCAAUUCUCGCUUGCACCUAUUCCCAGGUAAGUUACGCUCUCGUUGGUCUGGUCCCUUUAUUGUUCAUACUGUUUUUUCCACAUGGGGCAAUUGAAAUUAAGGACCCAAAGAACGGUGUCACGUUUAAAGUUAAUGGUCAAAGAUUAAAGCCAUAUCUAGAGUACCAACCACAUGGAGAAGACACCGAAAUAAAUUUGAGUGACCCACCAAAUUUGAAUUGAUUUUUUUUCUUUAUUUUCGUUGAUUUGAUUUUGUUUUCUUUCUUUCUUUAUAUUAUUCUUCUGCUAAUUGAAAUUAUUUUUGCAUAAGUGUGUUUGUUUAACUAUUCAGUUUUCUUUUAUCAUUUUUAAUCAUGAGUACCUUACUUAGACCGUUCCUCCUGAACAUUCUUAAACCACUUCAACGUGUCAAAACUCAUCUCAAACCGCAUAUUCAAUUUUGUAAAACACAUCGCAUUUGGGCUCUACAGCCACUAGAGUUAGUAGCCUAUGUUGAGGGUUUAGAAAGCCAACUCAGAGACAUUGAGAGAAGUGUUUACGACAUCCAGUUGGAGCUUGAGGUAAAUUCAAUAAAAGGACAAUUUUAAUUUUCUUUGUGUGUUUUAAUUUGUUUUUCUGUUUGAGUGCUUUAGUUUGUUACCCCGGUGAAGUGGCGUAUAGCGGUACUCCGUGACAAUCAAGUCGGUUACUUCAGUUUCCCAUAAUAACUGAUAUUCUGAGCCGAAAGUAUGGACAGAAACGAGACUCUAGCAAAGCUUCACAAGCGAUUCCCUUCACUUCCUCAGAAUGCCCUCCUUACGAUCUAUAAAGCUCGGUCCGAACGCAUGCGAUUGCUCAUGAGGAAUAACAUACCUGCUGAUAUCCGUUGGUUAAUUGAGGUGAAAGUACGAUCGACAGGUGAGUUACCUCCAAAAUUUAUUGCAUUCAUGCCUGGUUGUGGUAAAGGAAAUUAUGCAAGAAAACGACGAGCUCGAAGAAUUUCUGUUGCUUGUCAUAAGUGUGCCAGAAUGAGUUGCAAUAAAAACCCAUGUUCUUUAGGAAUGGUGUCUGAUAACAGGGAAGAUAAGAUUCAAUUCAUUAGGGAUGGCUUGAAUAAGGAGUCAUUGGAUGAUAUCCUUUUGUCUCUUGAAACGCAUCCCAGUGGAUAUGUGCAAUGAGCGAUUCUCCAGUUAUGGCCAUUAUUCCAGAAAGAGCAUGCACAAUACAGUCUCGGGAAUUUGACUAUAAACGACCCUGUUUGCCAGUUUAUAAGAAAACUGGAUGGGAAGCCUAUCCUCGACCCAUAGAGGGCAUUCAAGCCGUUUCUGGACGUAAAACCAGAGGAAGAUGUGAGCCACAGUCACAACUACCUGUAAAUAUCCUUUUACUUUAUUGUUAUUUUAUUUUACUAUUGUCUUUAAUAAUUUUAUUACUGUUUGCUUUUUCCUUAUUACUGUUUGCUUUUUCCUUUUUACUGUUUCCUUUUUGACUCGCGAGCCACGUGCUUUACGCGUUAUUUGACACGGACAUGUGACCUCAUACACAACUGUGACCCACUGUCACCAAGACUCUUAAAUGUGAUUUCUUUUGUCGAGCACUCACAAAUUAUUUUUGAGAAAUAUUCCAAUGGCAGCUACUCCAACUAGACAAGUCAAGAACAUUUGUGUGCUUUCUGGAUUUACCUAUGGCAAACAUAAAGAGUUCGUAGAGGCAGCCAUAGAUCUUGGUCGAAGCAUAGCAGCGAGAAAAUUACACUUGGUGUAUGGAGGAGGUAACCGAGGGUUAUCAAAAAUGGUCUCAGAAGCAGCUUUUAUCAGAGGAAGUCAAGUGUUAGGCAUCAUCCCAAGAGUCUUAAAACCAUUGGGCAAUUCGUCUGACUCAUCAACUGGAGAAGAGUUAGUCGUCUCAGGUAUGUAAGAAAGAAUAACUGAAAUGCUUAAUCAUGCUGAUGCUUUUAUUUUCCUUCCAGGAGAUCUUGCAACACUAGAGACACUUAUCACACUAGCAUCUUGGGCCCAUCUGCACAUCCACCAGAAACCAAUCGGUUUGUUAAAUGUCAAUAACUUUUAUGAUGGCUUUAUUGCAUUUCUUAACCAUGCAAUAAAAAACUAUUUCAUUCCCGCUAAUGUGAAAAAACUCUUUAUUUGUGCUCACACUGCUAAUGAGCUACUGGAUCUGUUACAAGCUUAUAGACCGGAGCCAGACCCCUGGACCUUUGUGUUGGAGCGUCCAAAUAAUGAUGGUAACAGUAGCAGCAGUAAGAAGUACAAAUUAGAUUUAACUCUCCGCCUGUAAAUAUUUUCUUCUGUGUUGCACCACCCAGGUGAUGUCUUCUGAACUCUACUUCUUUCCUUUAAAACAUUGAGGACAAUGUUUCGUUCUGGUUGGGGGGAGGGAAUAGUCGACAAUUGUAGAAUCUUGGUUAAGUUUUUACUAAUUUUUUAUUGUAGAAAUUAACUGUUGCUAACAUUUUGUGUUGAAGAUAGCUGAAUAUGGAGUGUAGUGACUCUAGAAACGCAUCUUCAUUGUUAAAAAAAAAAAUUUUUUAAAAAAUUAAAAAAAAUCAGACAUUUUCUUUUUCUUUAUUAUGUUUUGAUGUUUAUUUUUCUUCUUUUUAAUUUCUCCUCUAUGAAUAUACAUUUUCCAACUUUUGAGUCAAAGAUGGUUGAAUAUGGAGUGUAGUGCCUCUAGAAACGCAUCUUCUUAGUAAAAAAAUAAAAAUAAAAAAAAAUAUAAAAAACCAUUUUCUUUUCUAUCAUUUUAAGUGUAACUUUUCUAAUUAGUUUUUCUACAUCAUUUUCACAUUUCUGCAUGUAUAUUUUCCUUUUAUGUUUAGAAUAGGUUGGGGGGUAGAAUGUUGUUUAAAAAAAAAAAAUUGUGUGAUUUGUUUUAACAUUGGAUGACAUGAUUAAUUUCAAAUUUUAGUAUUUGUAUUAUCUUUGGUCUUAAGUGAUGUUACAUUAUGUUUGCUACUCUACAUGUUGAUGUCGGAGACAAAUAUGAGUUGCUUGAAGGAAUGAACAUGUCAUAAUAAGUACCAAGUGAGUUUUUGAGCCUAUCAUUUUUCUUGGAGAGUAACCCUUUUGCCCAUUCUUUAUACAGCUUAGUAGUUUAUUAUUGUAUACACGAUCUCUAGAUUUCUUUUGAGUUAACCCUAAAAAAAAAAAUGUGUGUUGCUACAUUUGGAGGCCCAUCUAACUAGUAGAUAUGGAAUGUUAUUUAGAGCCCUAAAAGAUGAUGGAAAGGCCAUCUUUGAUCCGUUUGAGCCUUUCUAGCCAUCCCUUUUAUCAAAUAUCCAUAGUUAACCCUUUUUGAGCCUUUAAAAAAAAAAAAACUUUUCUUUGUCAAAAUUCUCAUCUUAACCCACUUUGAUUUGGAGUAUUACCCAAUAUCUUACAAGUUCCACCACCUAUUUUUGUUUGAGAAAAAUAUAAAUAAUUAUUUUUGUUCAGUGAAGUUGUGCCAAGCAAAAGCAAAAAAAAAAAUGUUUCAAAAAAAAGAAAAAAAAAGAAAAAAAUAAUAAUAACAAUAAUAGGUGAAAUCCACCUUGCAACUUCCAAAAAAAUAAAAUAAAAUUCAUCUGCAUUUUUCUCAAACAUACACUUUGUUUUCCUUAUUUCCCUUCUUUGUUAACCAUGUCCCUAGCCUACGUUACAUCCUAAUAAAAGUCCUUCUUGAUUUUAGGGAACUAUAAUCUGAAGUAGAAGCUAGUUAUGUGGGCUAAAAAGAUGUAGUGAUGCAUAAUAAAAAAAAAGAUAAAUAAAGUGGGUUGACUAACAUUUUAUUUGACUCGAGAUCGUAUUAUUUCUAAGCUGAGGGCAUAUUUAUUUCAUCUUGGUGAGAGCAUGUGAUAUCACUUCUUUAUUAUUUUCUCUCUCAAUUACCAUUCAUUGGAGUGACUAUUUUUAUUGGGUUUAAUUUAUUUGUGAGAGUGUCACUACUUCUAGUGAGAUUUUGGGGUUUGACAUGUCAUUCUUGAAAGUAGCUAUAACAAAGUCUACUGGACUAAUUCAUGUGGAUGGUUGAUGUGGGUGUGAUGUUGCUUUAGACUGGAGAUAAUGCUUAUACUUUUAUUUGAGUGCUGUCAUUAAUCUGAUUGAAUAAAUACGAGUGUUUUUAUUAAAAAAAAAAUCAUUUUAGAUUUGAAUUUUGUUUUUGCUUUAUUUGCUAGGGACUAGCAAUAAGCUGGUUGGGGGGUGUGUUGAGUGUUAGAAAAUGCAUAUAUAUAAAGGAGAAAACCGUCAUUUUACAUUUCAAGUCUUACUAACAACCCUUACUUUUAUGUAUUUAACUUUCUUGUGAUUUCAUUACAUGUGUUUUAUUUUAAUUAAGUAUUUUAUGUAUUUUAGGGGUAUUAUAGUCAUUUCACAAUAAAGGAGAAAUCAGACGGCAAAACGGACAUCACUUUUGAACUCAGGACGGUCGAAAACCUUAGGAGGAGCAUAAAAGGAAAAAUGGCACUAUUCACAUGUACGGUACAAUUCACGUGUAUGGUACUGUAUACGUUACUGUUCACGACACUGUUCACAUAGACGGAUGAUGACGUGGCAUUGACCGAUGAUGUGGCAUUGACUGAUGAGGUGUCACGAUCCUGUUGGGCUAAAAUUCUUAUGUACUGUUGAUGGUGACGUGGCAGCAUAUCAGUAGACGAAAAAUCUCGCGUACGGUACAUGCAUCACACAGGAUUAUUUUCAACCAAACCGCGUUACUGUUCAUCUGGGUCAAACCGUGUUACUGUUUAUCCGCGUGGUCAAACCGUGGACUGUUGACUGAUGACGUGGCGCAAUCCUGAGCGUCCAAACUGUUUUUAAUCCGAUGGCCAUGAUUUACUCCAUGUAUCUAUAAAAAGGGGGCCUCCCCCCCUAAUUUGAUAUCGCUAAAUCCAUUCUUGGACUCCAUUUUCUGUAAUUCCCUUUCCAUCUUGUAUUUUCUUCGUAUUUUAAUAAAUUUCCAUUUUGCCCCUAGUGCAAUUAUGAUUGGCUAAUUUUCUUUCAAGCUUGGGUUGAAGGUGAAGUCUCAACAUGUGUCAUGGGCUUUAUUUGGUAAAUUUAUUUUCUCUUCCCCUCUAGUUUUUGUGGAUGUUUUGACUUCUCGUCGACAAAUAAUACUAAUCUUGUCUAGUACCGCCUUGGUUUCACCAGCCCUCUAGUACAAGGUUAUUAUUAUUUGGCACGAUAAGCCCUUAGCACCAUAUUGAUUAGAGCGUGGUUCAUGAGGUGUGGAUUCCCCCCUCAUGAUUUAAUUGGCAUUAAUAAGGAAUAUUUAGCCCAUGAUGCAUGUUGAUACGGAUCCAGAUACCCAAGUACGUCAUUUCAAUAGAAUUCUCUUCAAUUUAUUCUUGCCAUUUCAAUUCCAAUUUUAGAAUUUAUUCUCGCCAUUUUAAUUUAAGUUUUAGCAUAUUCCAAAUCAUUUCCACCACAAAUCCAAUCACCCGUUUACAAAAUUAAUUCUACACAAUUAAAAUCCACCUCCUCAUAGGAUCGACACUCGUUACCAUUAGUCUAUACUACAAUAGAUUCGUGUGCUUGCGAGUACAUUAAAAUUUGCACAAUAAGUACGACAUGCUGAAAUAGGUGUGCCUUUAGUGUUUCCUACUACAAGCAAGGUUAAGAUGAUGAAACUUAAAAUCUUUGACAUUUUUAAGUUUCAUCAACAUGCUGGCUGGCGACAAGUUUACCUCCAAGUCCCCCAACACGGUGACCAAAUUAAAAGAGCAUUAGUUAUUGGCUCAUUGGACUUGUUAUCAGCUUGCUGCUACUUUUCUAUUCAACCCACAAGUAGGCCUGAAUCCCCCAACUUGCUCAAAAGACUUAAUUCAUUGCCUCAAGUCUUUUUGGCCACCCGAUUUGAGAAUUUGAUUCUUCUAUUGAUGAUGCUUCCUAUCUAAUAAGAGCGUGUGAUUACGAACUUGUGUUUGUUUAAUUCAUAACAUCUCAAGAGCAUUACAACAAAAAGACAAGAAAAGAAAAGAAAAGCUGAAACUUGUUAACCUGAAUAUGUUAAUAAUAUUGAUUUUGAUGAUAACAAACUUUAAAUGAUUUUUGAUUAAAAUGUUGGAGCUAUUUCUUAAUAAAUGAGAGCCUUAUAAACAUUCCAAUUAUAUUCAUAAAAGAUGGAUCACUGUUAAAUUUCAAAUUGGAAAAUGAUUCUCAGCAAAAUUUGGCUUAAACUGUUAUUCUGGAAAUAAGCGGUGAACCGUUUAUUUAAACGGUUAACCGACUAAAAACAAAGAGCAACAUAUUGCCUAAGCUCUAACCGAUUAAGAAAAACGAAAAACACAAAAAGCUGGGAAGGCUACUGGAAUUUAACGGCGAACCGUUUAUUGAAACGGUUAAUCGAUAAAAUCCAGAAUGAAAGAUUGUACCUGGAAACAAACGGCAAAAGCUUAACUGAAACGGAUAAAGCUAACUCGUUUUGCAGGUUACUGGAAACAAACGGUGAACCGUUAAUUACAAACGGCUAACCGAUAAUUUCCAGAGAAGUCAUUUCAUGCAAAUCCUUAACCGUUUAAUAUAAACGGAUAACUGAUGUUCAUCUUGCAGGUCUCUGGGAAUUAACGGCGAAAGGGUAACCAUAAACGGUAAACCGUUUAUUUGAAAUUUGGCCCAACGGUAACUUUUGACCGGCCUAAAUGGUUAACCGUUAAUGGUUAACGACAAACCGUUUUCGGGCAGACAAUUUGUAAUGGCUAGUUUUUCAGCUCCAACUAUAAAUAAGCUCAUUCAAGUUCAAACAAGAUUGAUCACAACACGACCAUUGAGCUUAUAUUCGAGAAUACAAUCUUCAUAGAGCUUUAAAACACAUUCUUGCUUCAUCUAUUCACACAUUGGGCAUUGAUUUGUAAUCUUAAAUAUUGUGUGAGAGAAAAAUAAUUUUUAAUCUUUUACUUUGAGUGAUUGUAAGUGUUGGGAUACACUUGGGUUAAGAGAUUAGGGAUAAUCUCUUGUUGUAAAGGGUCAUUGACACCUUGGAAGUCAAGUGUAAGCAUUUGAAGCCUUGGAGGCGUGCUUAGUGAAAUCCUCAAGCCCGGAAAGCUUGGAGGCGUGGACGUAGGCGAGGUUGGCCGAACCACAUAAAAAUUUUCAUGUUUGAAUCUCUCUUCCCUUAUCUUUUUAUAUUGUAAUUGAUUUAAGUGUUAUUCCAUUAAAUUCAUUUUAGAUUUGGUUGAUAAUUAGUUUAGAAUCAAAUAAUUUUUUAGAAUCCCAAUUCACCCCCCUCUUGGGUUGCAUAAUUGUAUUUCAUUUGGUAUCAGAGCUUGGUUCUCUUGUUAGGACUUAACCGUCUAGAGUAAAAGAUCUAUGGUAACCCAAAAUGACUCAACCUUUAGGAAAGGACAGUCCACAACUAGACCACUGUUCUUUGACAUAAAUGACUACCCAUAUUGGAAAACUAGGAUGAGAAUUUAUUUACAAGCACUAGAUUAUAAAAUUUGGGAAGUUGUAUGUGAUGGUCCGUUUUUGCCCCUAAAUAAAAAUGAAGUCGGGGAAGAUAUUCCAAAACCUUCAAGGGAAUGGAAUGAAUUGGAAAAGAGAAAAGUUUCUCUAAAUUCCAAAGCUAUGAAUGCUUUAUUUUGUGCACUUGAUAAGAAAGAAUUUCAUCGAGUCUCUAGUUGUGAAAGUGCCAAUGAAAUUUGGCACAAACUUGAAGUAGUCUAUGAAGGCACAAAUCAAGUGAAAGAGUCAAAAAUCAGUAGGUACACUCGACAAUAUGAGUUGUUCCAAAUGGAACAAAAUGAGAGUGUGUACUCUAUUUAUACGAGAUUUACGGACAUAGUAAACACCCUAGGAGCCUUAGGAAAGGUCUUCUCAAAUAGCGAGAAAGUUAAGAAAAUCAUUAGGUCACUUCCAAAAGAAUGGAGACCUAAAAGAACCGCUAUUGAAGAGGCCAAAGAUUUAAAUGCUUUACCUCUUGAUGAUUUAAUUGGUUCUCUCAUUUCAUGUGAAGAAGAUUUGGCCGCAGAAAAAGGGCAUGAGGAGAAAAAAAAAAGCAUUGCUCUCAAAGCUUCAAAAUAUGAGAGUGACGGGGAGAGUGAACCAGAUGAUGAAGAGCUGGCCAUGCUAGCAAGGAGGUUCAGAAAAUUCUUCAAGAAAACCGGAGAGCGAAGAAAUUUCAGAAACUUCAAGAACCAAAGGGAGAAGAAAGAGGUAAUCACAUGCUAUGAAUGCAAGAAGCCUGGCCAUAUAAGAUCGGAGUGCCCACUUAUCAAUAAACUCAAGAAGAAAGCCAUGGUUGCAACUUGGGAUGAUAGCGAGGAAGAUUCAAGUGAUGAAGAAUGGUCGCAAGAAGUAUCAAAUCUAGCGCUUAUGGCAAUAGGAGGGGAUGAUAAUCUCAAUAAGAUAAGUGAUCCCACCUAUGAUGAAUUGUAUGAUGCUUUUAAAGAAUUGCAUAAUGAGUUGAUGAAGAUUGGUAAAAAGAAUGUAUGUCUUAAAAAGGAAAUGACAAAGUUUAAAAAUGAAAAUGAAUCUCUAAAUGCAAGAAUUGCAUGCCUAGAAGUAGAGAACAAAACAUUGCAUGAUGAAAUUGCAUAUCAAAUGAGAAACCUAGCAUCUCACAUGAGCAUUUAGAAUCACACAUAGAUGAUUUGAAAAAUGAAAACCAAAUGCUUAAGAAAAAGAGCAAUGAGUUGAAUGAGGUUGUUUUGAAAUUUACAAAUGGGCAAAAGAUGUUGGACAAUAUGCUUAACUCACAAAAAUGUAUUUUUGAUAAAUGAGGACUUGGGUAUAAACCUAACUUGAAACAAAAGUAUUAUAAGAAUUAUUUUGUUAAAGCUACCUCCACAAGUGAUCAUAAGAUUGUAUGUCAUUUUUGUAAUCAAGAUGGUCAUAUAAAAAAUAGAUGUCCAGUAAAAAGAAAUGCAUAUUAUGGUAUGAAAUACAUUUGGGUUCCAAAAGGAAUCACUAUUAACUCUCAAGGACCCAAAAAGCUUUGGGUACCUAAAACUUGAGUUUUUCUUUGUAGGGCUUGAAGAAGAAGAAAAAUAAAUGGUACUUGGAUAGUGGUUGUUCAAGGCACAUGACCGGAAACUAUGCAUGGUUCUCAAGCUUCACCAAAAUCGAAAAUGGUGGAGACGUAUCUUUUGGAGACAACUCAAAAGGAAAAAUUCUUGGAAUUGGAAAUGUUGGUAAAUUUUCCUCAACUCUAAUUGAGAAUGUUUGUUUGGUUGAGAACUUGAACACAACUUAAUUAGUAUUAGUCAAUUAUGUGACAAAGGUUAUAAAGUUAUCUUUGAUAAAUUUAGUUGUGUUAUUGAGAAUUCAUGUGAUGGCAAGAUUUUACUUGUUGGGAAUAGAUGUGGUAAUGUUUAUAUCAUUGACAUAGAAUGUGCAUCUACUCUUGAUAAAUGUUUUUCGGCAUUGCAUGAUGAUAGUUGGUUAUGGCAGAGAAGGUUAGGACAUGCAAGUAUGGAUUUGAUUUCGAAAAUUUUGAAAAAUGAUUUAGUUAAAGGUCUUUCAAAAAUUGGUUUUCAAAAAGAUAAGAUUUGUGGAGCCUGUCAAUUUGGAAAACAAAGCAAAACAUCUUUCAAAAAUAAAAAUCAUAUUUCUACUUUAAAACCACUUCAACUUCUUCACAUAGAUUUAUUUGGGCCUUCUAGAUAUGCUAGUCUAAAUGACAAAUAUUAUGCAUUUGUGAUAGUGGAUGAUUAUUCUAGAUAUACAUGGGUAUUAUUCUUAGCCAAUAAAGAUGAUGCUCUUGAUACCUUUAAAGUGCUUUGUAAGAAAAUACAAAAUGAAAAAGGGUAUGGUAUUGCAUGCAUUAGGAGUGAUCAUGGAGGAGAGUUUGAAAAUCAUGCAUUUGAGAUUUUUUGUAAUGAUUUUGGCAUUGAGCAUCAAUUUUUAUCACCUAGAACUCCACAACAAAAUGGAGUUGUUGAGAGAAAGAAUAGAUCCAUUCAAGAAAUGGCUAGGACUAUGUUGAAUGAAAAUUCAUUGCCUAAGUAUUUUUGGGCCGAUUCCAUCAACACCGCUUGUUAUGUUUUAAAUUGUGUGUUGAUUAGAUCUAACCUUAACAAAACUCCAUAUGAGCUUUGGAAACAUAGAAAACCUAAUAUUGGUUAUUUCAAAUUUUUUGGAUGCAAAUGUUUUAUUUUGAACACAAAAGACAAUCUUGGCAAAUUUGAUCCAAAAUCUAAUGUUGGUAUUGUUGUGCAAAUUUUAUUGAACUCGCAAGUGCACAAAUCUAUUGUAGUGUAGAUCAAUGGUGACGAGUGUCGAUCCCACGAGGAGGUGGAUUUUAAUUGUGUGUAAAAUUAAUUUUCGGAAUGGGUGGUUGGAUUUGUGGUGAAAAUGAUUUGGAUUAUCCUAAAAUUCGAAUUAAGAUGGCAAGAGUAAGUUGAAGUAAAAAUCUAUUAAAUUGACAUACUUGGGUAUUUGGAUCCGUAUCAACAUGCAUCAUGGGCUAAAUAUUCCUUAUUAAUACCAAUUAAAUCAUGAGGGGGGAAUCCACACCUCAUGAACCACACUCUAAUCAAUAUGGUGCUAAGGGCUUAUCGUGCCAAAUAAUAACAAUCUUGUACUAGAGAGUCGGUGAAACCAAUGCGGUAUUUAGACAAGAUUAUUAUUAUUUGUCAACAAGAAGUCAAAACAUUCACAAAAACUAGAGGGGAAGAGAAAAUAAAUUUACCAAAUAAAGCCCAUGACACAUGUUGAGACUUCACCUUCAACCUAAGCUUGAAAGAAAAUUAGCUACUCAUAAUUGAACUAGGGGCAAAAAGAAAAUUUAUUAAAAUACGUAGAAAAUACAAGAUGGAGAGGGAAUUACAGAAAAUGGAGUCCAAAAAUGGAUUCAGAGCUCUCAAAUUAGGGCGGAGACCCCUUUUUUAUAGAUACAUUGAGUAAAUCAUGACCAUCGGAUUAAAAACAGUUUGGACGCUCAAGAUUGUGCCACGUCAUCAGUCAACAGUACGCGGUUUGAACAGUAACACGGUUUGACCCGGCUUGAACAGUAACGCGGUUUGGUUGAAAAUAAUCCUGUGUAAUGCAUGUACCGUACGCGAGAUUUUUGUUAGUCUAAAGGGCUAUACAUCAUGUAAUUUUGAUGAUAACAAACAUAUGUAUUGAGUGAUUUAAUAAAUAUUGUAUUUCACAUUUUCACUAGUUUUUUAAGGAUAAUAUUUAUGCAAGUGAAUCAAGUGAAAUCAAGAUUGAAGUCACUCAACGGACAACGGCGACAUCAAGAAUAGUCUAGAGCUCAACGAACAAAUUAGUGCGAUAAAUUCUUGUAAAGGCGGUAUGAUUUAAUUGAUGUUUGAUUUAGCAUUUGAGAAGCUCAAGAAAUUAAUUUAAUUAAAUACUUUUCAUAAACUAAAAGUUUUUGUUUUUAUAAAGAAAAGUAUUUUGUGAAUUUAAGUAAUUUGGACUUAAAUGCUAAGAUUUGAAAUCUUUGAUUUUAAUAAGUAUUAAAUUUUGGAUUUGGACGUUUUUACAAACAUUGGAAAUGUUUUGGGCCAUACUAUAAUUUAUGAAUAUUUUGGACUAAAGUGAAAGGUUUUGAGAACUUCGAAAAAUAUGGGUAUUAUGUUGAAAAUGACCUUUGUGCGAAAUAAUAAAAUCUUUGGGGUCAUAUCAUAAUUUUAGAAAGUUUGGGAAAGACAACUAUUCUUAGGAAGUAUUGAAAUUGGACCUAUUUGCUAAGUUUUCUGACGUUCUGGGUCAUAGUACAAUUAUAGAACGUUUUGGGCCAAAGUGUAAUUUUAGUGAACAGUGUUACUGUGGCAAAAUUCAAAAAUAAUGGUAAUAUCACUGUUACUGAGCGGCAAGCCGGAUAAAUAAGCGGCUAGCCGCUUGGGCGCUGGAAUUUGCCUAUAACGGCUAGUUUUCGGGCUUUCACUAUAAAAACUCAACUCCAACUUUAUUUUAAAGAUGAACACAAGCAAAUAUAAGAUCAUAUAACAUAUAUUGAGUUUCCAUUUCGCAAAUCAUCAUUUAUUGAAUCAUUAUUGAGCUAUAAUUUGUUAUCCACUCUUAAAGAGAGUUUUGUUGUUGUGAUUUUCAUUUCUCAUUAAAUUGUGAGUGUACAAGUGUGGGAAACACUUGGAGUAAAGAGAUUGGGGAUAUAAUCUCUUGUUGUAAAGGUUCAUUGACACCUUGAAAGUCAAUUGUAAACAUUUGAAGUCUUGGGAGGCUUGGAUAGUGAAACCCUCAAGCCGGGUGAGUUUGGAGGCGUGGACGGAGGCAGGGAUAGUCGAACCACGUAAAAAUCCUUGUGUUCGUUUUUCUCUUCCCUUACUCUUUUAAUAUUGUGCUUGAUUGAAUUUAUUGUUUUGAUUUGAUUAAGGCAAUAGAUUAAAUUGUUGUACGAAUUGUAUUGCAUAAAUUUUAAAAUCCCAAUUCACCCCCCCUCUUGGGUUGCAUAACUUGCAUUUCAAUUUUUAGUCCAUUGAUAUGCUGCCACAUCAUCGAUCAACAGUACAUAAGAAUUUUAGUCCAACAGGAUCAUAACACCUCAUCAGUCAAUGCCACAUCAUCGGUCAAUGCCACAUCAUCAAUCCGUCUAUGUGAACAGUGUCGUGAACAGUAACGUAGACAGUACCGUACAUGUGAACAGUGCCAUUUUUCCUUUUAUGCUCCUCUUAAGGUUUUCGACCGUCCUGAGUUCAAAAGUGAUGUCCGUUUUGCCGUUUGAUCUCUCGUUUAUUAUGAAAUGACGAUAAUGCCCCUAAAAUACAUAAAAUACUUAAUUAAAAUAAAACACACAUAAUUAAAUUACAAGAAGCUUAAAUACAUAAAAGUAAGGGUUGUUAGUAAGACAUGAAAUAUAAAAUGACGAUUUUCUCCUUUAUAAAUAUGCAUUUUCUUACACUCAACACACCUCUCAACCAACUUAUUGCUAGUCCCUAGCAAAUAAAGCGAAAACAAACUUCAAAUCCAAAAUAAGUUUUUUUUUUUAACAAUCAUGUUUAUUCAAUCAGACUAAUGAUAGUAAUCAAAUAAAAGUAUAAGCAUUAUCUCCAGUCUAAAGAAACAUCACACCCACAUCAACUAUCCACAUGAAUCAACCCAGUAGACUUUGUCAUAGCUACUUUCAAGAAUGACAUGUCAAACCCCAAAAUCUCACUGGAAGUAGUGACACUCUCACAAAGAAAUUAAACCCAAUAAAAAUAGUCACUCCAAUGAAUGGUAAUUGAGAGAAAAUAAUAAAGAAGUGAUAUCACAUGCUCUCACCAAGAUGAAAGAAAUAUGCCCUCAGCUUAGAAAUAAUACGAUCUCAAGUCAAAUAAAAAUGCUAGUCAACCCAAUUUAUUUAUUUAUUUUUUAUUUUUUUUAUGCACCACUACAUCUUUUUAGCCCAUAUAACUAGCUUCUACUUCAGACUAUAGUUCCCUAAAAUCAAGAAGGACUUCUAUUAGGACGUAACGUAGGCUAGGGACAUGGCUAACAAAGGAGGAAAAAUAAGGAAAACAAAGUGUAUGUUUGAGAAAAAUAUAGAAUUUUUUUUAGGAGUUGCAAGGUAGAUUUCACCUAUUAUUGUUUUUUUUAAACAACAAUUUUUUUCUUUUUUUUUUGUUUUUGUUUGGCACAACUUCACUGAACAAAAUAAUUAUUCACAUUUUUCUCAAACAUAAAUAGGUGAUGAAACAUGUAAGAUAUUGGGUAAUACUCCAAAUCGGAGUGGGUUAAAAUGAUAAGUUUGACAAAGAAAAUAUUUUUUUUAAAGGCUCAAAAGGGUUAACUAUGGAUAUUUCAUAAAAGGGAUGGCUAGAAAGGCUCAAACAGAUCAAAGAUGGCCUUUUCAUCGUCUUUUAGGGCUAUAAAUAAUCUUCCAUAUCUACUAGUUAGAUGGGCCUCCAAAUGUAGCAACACACAUUUUUUUCUCUCUUUUUUUUAAUUUUAUAAUUUUUUUAGGGGUUAACUCAAAAGAAAUCUAGAGAUCGUGUAUAAAAUAAUAAACUGCUAAGCUGUAUAAAGAAUGGGCAAAAGGGUUACUCUCCAAGAAAAAUAAUAGGCUCAAAAACUCACUUGGUACUUAUUAUGACAUGUUCAUUCCUUCAAGCAACUCAUAUUUUUCUCCGACAUCAACAUGUAAAGUAGCAAACAUAGCGUAACAUCACUUAAGACUAAAGAUAAUACAAAUACUAAAAUUUGAAAUUAAUCAUGUCAUCCAAUGUUAAAACAAAUCAUACAAUUUUUUUUUAAACAACAUCCUACCCCCCAACCUAUUCUAAACAUGAAAGGAAAAUAUGUAUGUAGAAAUGUGAAAAUGAUACAAAAAAACUAAUUAGAUAAUGAUAGAAAACGAAAAUGGUUUUUUUUUUAACUUAAGAAGAUGCGUUUCUAGAGGCACUACACUCCAUAUUCAACCAUCUUUGACUCAAAAAAAAUUGAAAAUGUAUAUUUAUAAAGGAGAAAUUAAAAAGAAGAAGAAAUAUGAACAUCAAAACAUAAUAAAGAAAAAGAAAAUGUCUGAAUUUUUUUUUUGGUUUUUUUUUCAAACGAUGAAGAUGCGUUUCUAGAGUCACUACACUCCAUAUUCAGCCAUCUUCAACACAAAAAGUUAGCAACAGUUAGUUUUUACAAUAAAAAAUUAGUAAAAACUUAACCAAGAUUCCACAAUUGUCGACUAUUCCCUCCCCCCAACCAGAACGAAACAUUGUCCUCAAUGUUUUAAAGGAAAUAAGUAGAGUUUAGAAGACUUCACCUGGGUGGUGCAACACAGAAGAAAAUAUUUACAGGCGGAUGGUUAAAUCUAAUUUAUACUUCUUACUGCGGCUACUAUUACCGUCAUUAUUUGGAUGCUCCAACACAAAGGUCCAGGAGUCUGGCUUUGAUUUAUAAGCUUGUAACAUAUCAAGUAGCUCAUUAGCAGUGUGAGCAUAAAUAAAAAGCUUUUUCGCAUUGGAAUGAGCGAAAUAGUUUUUUAUUGCAUGGUUAAGAAAUGCGAUGAAGCCAUCAUAAAAGUUAUUGAUAUUUAACAAACCGAUGGGUUUCUGGUGAAUGUGCAGAUGGGCCCAUGAUACUAGUGUGAUAAGUGCCUCUAGUGUUGCAAGAUCUCCUGGAAGGAAAAUAAAAGCAUCAGCAUGAUUAAGCAUUUCAGUUAUUCUUUCUUGCAUACCUAAGACAACUAACUCUUCUCCAGUCGAUGAGUCAGUCAAACUGCCCAAAGGUUUUAAGGCUCUUGGGAUGAUGCCUAACACUUGGCUUCCUCUGAUAAAAGCAGCUUCUGAGACCAAUUUGGAUAACCCUCGGUUACCUCCUCCAUACACCAAGUGUAAUUUUCUCUCUGCUAUGCUUCGACCAAGAUCUAUUGCUGCCUCAAUGAACUCAUUAUAUUUUCCAUAGUUAAAUCUAAAAAGGACACAAAUGUUCUUGAAUUAUCUAUUGGGAGUAGCUGCCAUUGGAAUAUUUCUCAAAAACAAUUUGUGAGUGCUUAACAAAAAGUCAUAUUUAAGAAUCUUGGUGACAGUGGGUUACAACUGUGUAUGAGGUGGCAUGUCAGUGUCAAAUAACGCGUAAAGCACAUGGAUCGCGAGUCAAAAAGGAAACAGUAAAAAGAAAAAGAAAUAAUGAUAAAAUAAAAUUGUUAAAGACAAUAAUGGAAAAGAUAAAAUAACAGUGAAAUAAAAUAACAGUGAAGUAAAAGGAUAUUUACAGGUAGUUGGGACUGUGGCUCACAUCUUCCUUUGGUUUUACGUCCAUAAACGGCUUGAACGCCCUCUAUGGGUCAAGGACAGGCUUCCCAUCCAGUUUUCUUAUAAACUGGCAAACAAGGUCGUUUAUAGUCAGAUUUUCGAGACUAUAUCGUGCAUGUUCUUUCUAGAAUAAUGGCCAUAACUGGAGAAUCACUCUUUUCACAUAUCCACUGGGAUGCGUUUCAAGAGACAGAAGGAUAUCAUCCAAUGACUCCUUAUUCAAGCCAUCCCUAAUGAAUUAAAUCUUAUCUUAUCUGUUAUCAGACAUCAUUCCUAAAGAACAUAGUUUUUUAUCGCAACUCAUUCUGGCACACUUAUGACAAGCAACAAAAAUUCUUCGAGCUCGUCAUUUUCUUGCAUAAUUUCCUUUACCACAACCAGGCAUGUAUGCAAUAAAUUUUGGAGGUAACUCACAUGCCAAUCGUACUUUAGCCUCGAUUAACCAACGGAUGUCAGCAAGUAUGUUAUUUCUCAUGAGCAAUUGCAUGCGUUCGGACCGGGCUUUAUAGAUUGUACGGAGGGCAUUCUGAGGAAGUGAAGGGAAUCGCUUGUGAAGCUUCGCUAGAAUCUCGUUUCUGUCCAUACCUUCACCUCAGAAUAUCAGUUAUUAUAGGAAAACUGAAGUAACCGACUUGAUUGUCAUGGAGUACUGUUAUCCGCCACUUCACCGGAGUAACAAACUAAAGCACACAAACAGAAAAACAAAUUAGAACACACAAAGAAAAUUAAAAUUGUCCUCUUAUUGAAUUUACCUCAAGCUCCAACUGGAUGUCGUAAACACUUCUCUCAAUGUCUCUGAGUUGGCUUUCUAAACCCUCAACAUAGGAUACUAACUCUGGUGGUUGCACAGCCCAAAUACGAUGUGUUUUACAAAAUUGAAUAUGCCUUUUGAGAUGAGAUUUUACACGUUGAAGUGGUUUAAGAAUGUUCAGGAGGAACGGUUUAAGUAUGGUGCUCAUGAUUAACAAUGAUAAGAAAAAAAAACUUAAUGGUUAAACAAACACACUUAUGCAAAAAUAAUUUCAAUUAGCAAAAAUAAUAAAAAGAGAGAAAGAAAAAAAAUCAAAUCACCGAAAAGAAAGAAAGAAAAACUUAAUUCAAAUCUGGUGAGUCACUCAAAUUUAUUUCGAUGUCCUUUCCAUGUGGUUGGUACUCUAGAUAUGGCUUUAAUUUUUUACCAUUAACUUUAAACGUGACACCGCUCUUUGGUCCUUAAUUUCAAUUUCCCCAUAUGGAAAAAUAGUAUGAACAAUAAAGGGGCCAGACCAUCGAGAGCGUAAUUUACCUGGGAAUAGGUGCAAGCGAGAAUUGAAUAAAAACACUUUCUGACCUGGAGUGAACGAUGUUCUCAUAAUUUGCUUGUCAUGGAAGACUUUCAUUCGUUGCUUGUAAAUCUUGGCAUUUUCAUAUGCAUCAUUGCAAAUUUCUUCAAGUUUUGCCAGCUAUAAUCUUCUUUCUGAGCUAGCUUGCUGCAUGUCAAAGUUGAAUUUCUUGAUGGCCCAAUAUGCACGAUGCUCGAGUUCCACGGGUAGGUGGCAAGCUUUUCCAUACACUAGCCUGUAGGGUGACAUCCCGAUCGGGGUCUUGAAAGCCGUUCUAUAUGCCCAUAAUGCAUCAUCAAGUCUUAAUGACCAAUCUUUUCUGUCCGGCUUCACCGUCUUUUCUAAUAUGUGCUUGAUUUCUCGAUUGGAGAUCUCAACUUGGCCACUGGUUUGCGGAUGAUAAGGGGUCGCCACUUUGUGAGUGAUUGAAUACUUCGUCAAAAGAGUCUUGAAUGCUUUGUUACAAAAGUGGGCACCACCAUCACUAAUUAUUGCUCGAGGGAAUCCAAAGCGUGAAACAAUGUUGCUUUUCAAAAAUCCUAUCACCACCUUGUGAUCAUUGGUUCUACAUGGAAUUGCUUUUACCCAUUUCGAUACGUAGUCAACAGCAACUAAUAUGUAUUGAUGGGCAAAAGAAGGGGGAAAAGGUCCCAUGAAGUCGAUACCCCAUACAUCAAAAAUCUCAACCACUAAAAUUGGAUUUAGUGGCAUCAUAUUCCUUCGCGUAAUGCUCCUCAUUUGUUGACACCUAUCACAUGAAGAACAGAAAAUGUAAGCAUCUCAAAAUAUAGUUGGCCAAUAGAAACCACAUUGUAAAACUUUAGUAGCUGUUUUUUAGCACUGAAAUGGCCUCCACAAGCUUGUUCAUGGCAGAAUGAAAGAAUAUUCUGAAUUUCAUUUUCUGGGACACAUCGUCUAACAAUUUGAUCUGCACAAUACUUGAACAAAUACGGGUCAUCCCAAAAGAAAUUCUUUAUUUCUGCAAAGAAUUUAGCAUUGUCUUGCUUGGUCCAAUGCUCUGGAAGUUGACCUAUAACAAGAUAAUUAACUAUAUCAGCAUACCAAGGUAAUACUUCCACACUCAUUAAUUGUUCAUCUGGAAAUGACUCAUUUAAUGUUAAUGGCUCUGUAAUUGUGUCGAAAUGGAGACGAGAGAGAUGGUCAGCUACAACAUUCUCUGUGCCUUUCUUAUCUUUAAAUUCUAAGUUGAACUCCUACAAAAGUAACACCCAACGAAUUAGUCUAGCUUUUACAUCUUUCUUUGUGAGAAGAUAUUUAAGAGUAGCAUGAUCUGUGAAUACAAUUAUUUUACAACCAAUGAGAUAAGAUUGAAAUUUCUCUAAUGCAAACACUACUGCUAGCAUUUCUUUUUCAGUAGUUGAAUAGUUCAACUGUGCAUCAUUCAAUGUCAUACUAGCAUAGUAAAUAACAUGGGGAAUUCGAUCAACUCUUUGUCCUAACACUGCUCCUACUGCAUAAUCAGAUGCAUCACACACGAGUUCAAAUGGUAAACUCCAGUUUGGGUCCUGAAUGAUGGGUGAUGAUGUCAACAAUUGCUUUAAUUUUUCAAAAGCCACAAGACAUGAAUCAUUAAAGAUAAAAGGUACAUCCUUAGCAAGUAAAUUGCAUAAGGGUCUAGAAACUUUGCUAAAAUCUUUAAUGAAACAUCUAUAGAAACCAGCAUGCCCAAGGAAAGAUCUUACUUCUCUGACUAUUUUGGGUGGAGGAAGAUUAGAAAUGAGAUCCACCUUGGCUUUGUCAACCUCAAUACCUUUGCUCGAAAUGAUGUGACCGAGAACAAUACCUUGUUUUACCAUAAAAUGGCACUUCUCCCAAUUUAAGACCAAGUUCUUUUCGAUACAUCUCUACAAAACUAGUGUUAGAUGAUGUAAACAUUGAUCAAAGGAGUCACCAAAAAUAGAAAAGUCAUCCAUAAAGACUUCAAGGAAUCAUUUAACCAUAUUAGAAAAAAUGCUUAAUAUGCAUCGUUGAAAUGUAGCAGGUGUAUUACAUAAUCCAAAUGGCAUCCUCCUAUAUGCAAAAGUGCCAAAAGGGCAAGUGAAAGUGGUUUUCUCUUGAUCUUUUGGUGCUAUGGGAAUCUGAUUAUAUCCUGAAUAGCCAUCUAGAAAGCAAUAAAAUUCAUGGCCUGCUAAUCUAUCAAGCAUUUGAUCAAUAAAUGGUAAAGGAAAAUGGUCUUUACGUGUGACAGAAUUCAACUUUCUAUAAUCAAUGCAUACACGCCAUCUUGUAGUUACUCUAGUUGGUAUCAAUUCAUUAUCAGCAUUGGUAACUACUGUGACUCCUGACUUUUUAGGGACAACUUGUACAGGACUGACCCAUGAACUAUCAGAAAUUGGGUAAAUGAUACUUGCGUCUAAUAGCUUAAGGACUUCAGUUCUAACAACUUCUUUCAUAUUAGGAUUUAACCGACGUUGCAUUUCCCUAGUAGAUUUAGCAUUUUCAUCGAGGUGAAUGUAAUGCAUGCAGUCUACUGGGUUUAUACCUUUGAUGUCUGCUAUGGUCCAUCCUAAUGCUCCUUUGUGCUCUUUUAAAACAUCCAACAACUUACCUUUUUGUUCGUUAUUUAGGGGUGAUGAGAUGAUUACCGGCAGAGUACUUUCUUCUCCCAAAAAUGCAUAUUCUAGAGUGUUAGGCAAUGGUUUGAGCUCGAGUUUCGGUGGUGAUUCUGAUGAUGGGAUGAGUUUCUUCUCUGAUGGUGCUAAUUGUUCAACUCUUGACUUCCAUUUAUUAGUGUGCAUAAAUGGUGCUGAGUCAAGCAGGGCGUUGACUUCAUCAACUGAUCUAUCAAUAUCAAAAUCAAAACCAAAGUGAGUUAAACAUGUUUGAAACAAAAGUAUUAUCAACUAAUGUUUCUAUUAAAUCCACAUCAACAAUUUCAUCAUCUACAUUGUGAGGUUGUUUGGUAAUGUUAAAGAUGUUUAGCUCCAUAGUCAUGUUGCCAAAGGACAACUGCAUAUUUCCAGUUCUGCAUUGAAUGUGAGCAUCGGCAGAUGCCAAGAAAGGUUGGCCUUGGAUAAUGGGGAUGUGCUUCCUUGAAUCAUGUAUUGGUUGAGUGUCAAUUACAAUGAAAUCAACAAGAAAAUAAAACUUGUCGACCUGGAUAAGCACGUCCUCCACAAUACCACGAGGUAUUUUUGUGGACGGAUUUGCAAGCUGCAACACCACUGGAGUUGGGUGUAAUUCUCCUAGUCCAAGUUUCACGAAUACAGAGUCAGGCAACAAAUUUACACUAGCUCCUAAAUCCAAUAAAGCAUUCUCAAUUGUGUGGUUCCCUAUACUACAUGAGAUAGUGGGGGAGCCUGGGUCUUUGCAUUUUAGAGGAAUGUUAUAUUGGAGUAUAGAACUAACGUUUUCUGUCAAAAAUGCCUUCUUUUGAACAUGAAUGUUUCUCUUUUUAGUACAAAGGUCUUUAAAAAACUUGGUAUAAGAUGGAACUUGUUUUAUAACAUCAAGUAAAGGGAUGUUAACACUUACCUGUUUGAAGAUUUCAAGAAUCUCACCUAUGAAUUUUCCUUUCUUUCCUUUAGCUAACCUAUGAGGAAAUGGAGCUUUGGGAAUAUAUUCUCGUGGGUUGGUUUCUUCUUUCUCCUCCGGUGGUGAGUCCUCAACACUCACCAGUACAAUUUGAUUUUCUUUUGUCACCGGCAUCUCUACUUUGUUGUUGACUUCUUUUCUUUUUCGCAAGGUCAUGACUGCUUUGACCUCUCCAUACUGCUGUGGUGAAUUGGUACUUACUUCAUGUACUCCUUUAGGAUUAGGCACUGGUUGACUUGGAAAUUUACCUUUCUCAACAGUCAUUGCCAAGGUCUGAACUGAAGAAGCAAGUUGUCCCACCAUCUUCUCGAGGCUUGAAACUGAUUGGGUUUGUGAGUUAAAGCCUGCUCGCAACUCAUUUCGUAGUCCAUUAAUGGUGCGGUUUUGUUGCUCAAUCGUAGAGUGAGUAACAUUCUUGAAAUUCUGGAAUGCAUCAUCCCAUGGUCUGGGUUGAGAGUAGUUCUGGUUCUGAUUGUAUGGUCUAAAUGGUAGCUGAGAGGCUUGAGGAUUUUGAGGAAUUUGUUGCAUUGGUGGAGCUAGAGCUGCUGGUCCAUUUUGUUGGAAUCCUUGAGACCAUGAAAAAUUGGGGUGGUCUCUCCAUCCAGGGUUAUAUGUGUUGGAGUAUGGGUUGUAAUUUGAUGGUUUUCUCAUUACACCUAUGGCAUUGGCUUGAUCUGAGUAUGAGUCAUGGUCAUGUGGUUCUGUUGAUUUAGCAGUCGAUAACGAUGCUAUUUGUCGAGAGAGACUUUCAACCAUCUCCUUGACUUCUUUGAUUCCCGAAGUUGACUCGCCAAUGUGAACUUCAUUCACUCCUUUAAUUCUUCUAGUAUUCCUGAGUGAUCGACUCCGUUGUUGGGAAUUAUCCGCUUGUCGCUGGAAGAAUUCCCAAAUCUCUGAUGUACUUUUUGACAUUAGCUCUCCUCCACUUAUUGCUAUUAGCCAUUCUUGCACAUUCGGCAAUAAUCCCUCCAAAAAGCAUUGGCAUUGGUGCCAUUUCUCGUACCCAUGAUGUGGACACUUCAAGAGUAGCCCAUUGAAUCGCUCCCAUGUUUCGAAAAACUGCUCGUCUUCUCUCCGGGUAAACUUUGAAAUUUCCCUGCGAAUAGCAUUGGUUUUAUGCACUGGGAAAUAUUUAUUCAAAAUUUUUGUUACCAUUUAUUCCCAUGAUGUGAUGCUAUUAGUAGGCAAUGUAUUGAGCCAUGAACGAGCUCUAUCCUUUAAAGAAAAUGGGAAUAAUCUAAGUUUAACAUCAUUAUCUGAAAAAUUCUCAUAUCUAAAUGUUUGACAAACAGCAUGAAAAUCAUUCAAAUGAUUACAUGGGUCCUCAUUUUCUAAGUCAUAGAAUGUGGGGAGACAAUUUAGCACACUAAGUUUUAGUUCAAAACUCCUAGCAGCUACAUUUGGGUAUCUUAUACAUGAUGUGCUCAAAUCAGCUAAGGGACUAAAAUAGUCCUUAAAUGGCCUCUCUUGUGGUGCUUGUAAAUCCAUUCCAAAUUUAUUUUUAACGUGCUUGUGUGUGUGAAGUGUUUUUUCUAGUUUAAAGUCUAGGUUCAAAAUUAGGUAAUAAUGACCUACGACCAUGCAUGCAAGAAACACAAAAAUAAAUGGGAACAAAACAAAUAAAAAUAAAGAAGAAGGAGAAAUUACGUUACUAACCUUAUCAUGCUGUUAAAACAUUUCUACAAAAAUACACAAAAAUAAAUACGUGAAAUAAAUUAACUAAAAAUAAAUUAAUAAGAUAAACAAAAAAAAUUUACAAAAAAUAAAUUGAAAAUUAAAUUACAGAAUUUUAAGGAAGAGAAAAAGAAAAGAAAUAUUAACCUUUAAAUGUAGAUUCACUUUUUUAAAAAAAAAUGCAAGAAAACAAUUAAAUGGAAUUAUUCACAAAAAUUAAUUCUAUGAAUUAAAAUUACUUACCUCCCCGGCAACGGCGCCAAAAACUUGUUGUGCAAAUUUUAUUGAACUCGCAAGUGCACAAAUCUAUUGUAGUGUAGAUCAAUGGUGACGAGUGUCGAUCCCACGAGGAGGUGGAUUUUAAUUGUGUGUAUAAUUAAUUUUCUAAAUGGGUGGUUGGAUUUGUGGUGAAAAUGAUUUGGAUUAUCCUAAAAUUCGAAUUGAGAUGGCAAGAGUAAAUUGAAGUGAAAAUCUAUUAAAUUGACGUACUUGGGUAUCUGAAUUUGUAUCAACAUGCAUCAUGGGCUAAAUAUUCCUUAUUAAUACCAAUUAAAUCAUGAGGGGGGAUCCACACCUCAUGAACCACACUCUAAUCAAUAUGGUGCUAAGGGCUUAUCGUGCCAAAUAAUAACAACCUUGUACUAGAGAGCCGGUGAAACCAAAGCGGUAUUUAGACAAGAUUAUUAUUAUUUGUCGACAAGAAGUCAAAACAUCCACAAAAACUAGAGGGGAAGAGAAAAUAAAUUUACCAAAUAAAGCUUAUGACACAUGUUGAGACUUCACCUUCAACCCAAGCUUAAAAGAAAAUUGGCUACUCAUAAUUGAACUAGGAGCAAAAAGGAAAUUUAUUAAAAUACGUAGAAAAUAUAAGAUGGAGAGGGAAUUACAGAAAAUGGAGUCCAAAAAUGGAUUCAGAGCUCUCAAAUUAGGGGGGGAGGCCCACUUUUUAUAGAUACAUUGAGUAAAUCAUGGCCACCGGAUUAAAAAUAGUUUGGACGCUCAGGAUUGUGCCACAUCAUCAGUCAACAGUACGCGGUUUGAACAGUAACACGGUUUGACCCAGCUUGAACAGUAACGCGGUUUUGUUGAAAAUAAUCCUGUGUAAUGCAUGUACCGUACGCGAGAUUUUUAGUCCACUGAUAUGCUGCCACGUCAUCGAUCAACAGUACCUAAGAAUUUUAGUCCAACAAGAUUGUGACACCUCAUUAGUCAAUGCUACAUCAUCGGUCAAUGCCACGUCAUCAAUCCGUCUAUGUGAACAGUGUCGUGAACAGUAAUGUAGGCAGUACCGUACAUGUAAACAGUGCCAGUUUUCCUUUUAUGCUCCUUUUAAGGUUUUCGACCGUCCUGAGUUCAAAAGUGAUGUCCGAUUUGCCGUCUGAUCUCUCGUUUAUUAUGAAAUGACCAUAAUGCCCCUAAAAUACAUAAAAUACUUAAUUAAAAUAAAACACACAUAAUUAAAUUACAAGAAGCUUAAAUACAUAAAAGUAAGGGUUGUUAGUAAGACGUGAAAUGUAAAAUGACAAUUUUCUCCUUUAUAAAUAUGCAUUUUCUAACACUCAACAGGUAUUUUUCUUGGUUAUUCAAACUCAAGCAAAGCUUAUAGAGUUUAUAACAAAAAUACACUAGUUGUAGAAGAAUCUAUUCAUGUUACAUUUGAUGAGUCUAACCCCUCCUCUGCGGAGAAAGGAAUAAAUUAUGAUGAUGCAAAUGGAGAGUUACAAGAAGAACCAUCAAAGGAUAAUCAAGAGAAUGCACCACAAAGAAAUCAAAAGGAUGAACAAAAAGAGCAAACAAAUAUGGAGCAACAUGAAGGUACUUCUCAAGCACUCCCCAAGGAGUGGAGGUAUGUUUCUUCUCACCCUAAAGAUAUAAUCUUAGGAGAUCCAUCACGAGGUGUUACAACUAGAUCAUCACUUAGGAAUACUUGUGAGCAUAAUGCAUUCAUUUCUCAAAUUGAACCCAAAUCCUUUGCGGAUGCGGAAAAUGAUGAAUCUUGGAUUAUGGCAAUGCAAGAGAAGUUAAAUCAAUUUGAAAGAAACAAUGUGUGGGAAUUAGUUCCUAAACCGGAACAUCAAUCCGUCAUAGGUACUAAAUGGAUAUUUAGAAAUAAGAUGGAUGAAUCCAGUGUGGUUGUAAGAAAUAAAGCUAGAUUAGUGGCUCAAGGUUACAACCAAGAAGAAGGAAUUGAUUUUGAUGAAACUUUUACACCUGUUGCUAGACUAGAAUCAAUUAGAAUAUUGUUGGCAUUUGCAUGUCAUAAAGAUUUCAUUUUAUUUCAAAUGGACGUGAAAAGUGCUUUCUUAAAUGGGUAUAUUAUGGAAGAAGUGUAUGUAAAACAACCCCCUGGUUUUGAAAAUGAAAAAUUUCCAAAUCAUAUUUAUAAGUUGUUUAAAGCCUUGUAUGGAUUAAAACAAGCACCUAGAGCAUGGUAUGAUAGGCUUAAGAAUUUCUUGUUAGAAAAUGAUUUUUUCCAUGGGUAAAGCGGAUACUACUCUCUUUGUCAAACAUAAGGACAAAGACAUACUUGUUGUUCAAAUUUAUGUUGAUGAUAUUAUUUUUGGGUCUACUAAUAAAUUAUUGUGUAAAGAAUUUUCAUCUUGCAUGAGUAAUGAAUUUGAAAUGAGUAUGAUGGAAGAGUUAAAGUACUUUCUUUGGCUGCAAAUAAAACUUAAUGAGGAAGGAAUUUUCAUAAAUCAAGCCAAGUAUGUAAAAGAUCUACUCAAAAGAUUCGGCAUUGAUGACUCAAAGACCAAAAACACUCCAAUGAGCACAACAACCAAACUUGACAAAGAUGAAAAAGGCAAGGAAGUUGAUAUCAAAAUGUAUCGAGGUAUGAUCGGAUCUUUACUUUAUUUAACUGCAAGCAGACCCGAUAUCAUGUUUAAUGUAUGUUUGUGCGCAAGAUUUCAAUCAUGUCCCAAGGAAUCCCAUUUGCUUGCUGUUAAAAGAAUUUUCCGUUAUUUGAGUGGAACAAUAGAUAUCAACCUUUGGUAUCCUAGGAGAACUCAUAUAGAUUUAACAUGCUAUUCGGAUGCGGACUUUGCCGGUUAUAAAGUUGAUAGGAAAAGCACUAGUGGAACUUGCUAUAUUAUAGGUCACUCACUUGUUUCAUGGUUUAGCAAGAAACAAAAUUUUGUUGCACUUUCAACUACCGAGGCUGAAUAUAUAGCUGCAGGAAGUUGUUGUGCGCAAGCUCUUUGGAUGAAACAAACACUUAGAGACUAUGAUAUUAACCUAGAACAAAUUCCUAUUAAGUGUGAUUAUACUAGUGCUAUAAAUCUUUCAAAGAAUCCCAUUCAACACUCUAGAACCAAGCAUAUAGAAAUAAGUAAUCAUUUCUUGAGAGAUCAUGUUCAAAAGGGAGAUAUUGUAUUAGAGUUUAUUUCUACAGAAAAAAAACUUGCCGAUAUUUUUACCAAACCCCUUGGCGAAGAACAAUUUUCGAAAAUUUGGCAUGAACUUGGGAUGAUAAAAUUUUUGCAUUAAUGUCUCUAUUCAUGCUAUUGAGUUUAUUGAAUUGAUUGACUUAUUGGUGAUUUAAUAUUUAUGAAAUGCUUAAACUUGAUAUUCAAAUGAUGUAUUUGCUUUGUUAAUUCUUGAUUGAUUAUAUGAAUUAACUGCUGGAAUACAUGUUCAUGAAUCAUGAAUUAAAAUGGCUCAUAAAACAUUUUUAGAUCAAUUAAAUGACCUUGGAAUGUAUUAUUUGCUGGCCAAAAAUUAAAUCAAAUGUACGAAAUUAUAGAUAAAAUAAACGGAUAACCGUUUCCAAUAAACGGUGAACUGUUUUAUUCUAGAAACGAGACUAUAUGUCUGUCUUUUUACCGUUGCACCGUUUGAUGCAAUCGGUAAACCGUUUAAAAACAUAGAGUCCUCUAACAGUUACUCCUUAGCCGUUAAGAGCUUAAACUUUCACCGCUCCCUAUUUUUUAGCCUCUGAAAGUUACCCCUUAACCGUUUAAAUAAACGGUUAACCGUUUUCAUGAUUAUAAAACUAUUCAAAGGUUUUUCUUCUCCUUCUCCAGUUGCCCUUUCACCGUUUCGGCCAUUGUUGCGCAGCCGAAGCUUCCUCUGCCCUCAAACCUUCAUUUUUCUUAUUUUUCUUGCUAAAUCAAACCUAUAACAUCAUUUCUUAUCACCUUUAGAACACUUUCACCGAUUCAAAUCUUCAAAUCAAGCCCAAAAUUGAAAAAUCCCAAAUCUAAACCCUAACUGCAGCCGUUCGGGUUUAUUCUUUUUUUAACCUGAUUCUUGCCCUUCUUCAACCAAAUUGAGCCUCAAAAUCACAUCCUUUACUUAUUCCUAAGCAAAUAAUCAGUUCAUCUUCUUCUCAUCCCAUCUCUCUCGCAAUUUUCAAACUCCUUUAUUCUUCACCAUGGCUACACCCCCUCAGAGAAAUCUCAGGCAAAAAUCUGUGCCUCCAAGGAAUCCUAUACCACCACGGGAAGUCUCUGAGUUCACAAGAAUUCAUUUCCCCACGCCUUUCUUGGCCAAGCGGUUCGAGGAUCGCUUCAAUGGUCGCAAGGUACUUGACUCUUCCUAUGUUGAAAUAGAUGAUUUCAGUACCUUAGUUGUAUGUGGUAGAAGCAUUAGGGAUAUGCUUCAGCCUUAGGAGUCUGCCAUUGACUUUGAUGACCGAGUUUAUCCCAAUUUAGUGUGAGUCUUUUAUUCGAACAUGGAACUCUCCGCAACUCGCCUAGAUAGGAUAGUUACUCAAGUCGGCGGUGUGCCUAUAGAAUUUGAUGAUGAGGACCUAAAUGGCUUUUUAGGUAUCUCUAGUGAGUGUCAUGAAAUUUAUACUUCUAGGAAAGCCUUUUCGUUUGACGGUUUUAGUCAUGUUGAUGGAGUCCACAAUAUUUGUCGCCGUCGAGACUUGUCUAAUGAGAUAUGUAAUCUACCUUUUCGGUCUCAACUUUUACCUCUCCAAGUUCGCAUUCUUCACACUAUUUUGUAGCACAUAGUGACUCCUAGGAAGGGUCACUCUGAUGAGGUUACGAGGUUGAACGUUGGCCUAUUAGACAGCCUCAUUACAAGUCGUCCCAUUAACCUCGGCUAUGUUAUUGUGCGGCACAUGUUGAGUACUCCCGCGGUUAACCACUGCUUGCUUCCAUAUGGCAGUAUCAUUACUAAGAUACUGCGACACUUUGAGGUGCCUCUUCUCGAUACUGGUUAUAUGGAGACUAGACGGAUUGGUCUAGAGGCCAUGACUAGUAUCGGUUUUUCUAGGAAGAAUGGAGAGUGGAUAAAGACUAAAACCUCCAAAAACUGGGAUACCUUGAUUGGUCCAGAAGACAAUCAGAUGCUCAACAAUGUCUAUCCUCCUGAUAAAUUUCUAGAUUUUAUAUUAGGAGCUCAUCAUUAUCCUCCGCGUCUCCGUUUUGUUCCCUGGCCUCCAGCUGACUUUGACUCUGAAGAGAGUGCGAUGGAUGCUGACAUUCCCUCCUCUUCCGAGUCACCUCUAGCUCCCGACCAGCCUCCUGCUCCUGAGCCAUCUGCUGUUCCUGAGCAGCCCUCUACCUCUAAGCCACCUCCAGCUCCAGUUCAGCCCCCUGCUUCAGACGUUGUGCAGCAGUUGAUUGCUGAUGUUCACCAAAUUUCGGAGCGCCAGCAGCUGAUUCUCGAUCGGUAGGACACUUUUUCCCGUGACCACCAGCAGCUACGUUCUGACUUUCAGACCUUCCAGCAGCAGAGCAUUGAUCAGCAGCUUGAGCUUAUAGCUGGACAACACACUCUUCUUCGUUAUUUUGGUUAUGAUCCGGGGAGCACAUCUUCUCCACCUCCAUAGUUUCUGAGUUCUAUUUUCGCACAUACAUUUCAUAUUUUGUUUGUUUGUGUGUUGCUAUUUAUAUUUUUAUAUACACUGCUACCUCUAUAUGAUCUUGAUGGAUUUUGAUGACAUGUUUUUGUGAUGUUCUUGAUGUUGGAUGACUUGAUAUUGGUUGAUGAAAUUGUUGGUUUAUGGGUUAAUGGAGUUGUUGGUUUGUUGGUUGAUGGAGUUGUUAGUUUGUUGGAUGAUGGAGUUGUUGUUAAUAUAUUUUGGAAGUGUCUUAAUCUCAUUUUGUAUUAGUGGUUUUGCUCCAUUUUAAGGGGAAACUCUGCCAAAUUUUCGCUCGCCAGAGCUGGGUCACUUUUUUAUUCUUCGGAUUUACGGAUUUCUUUUCUCUCUUUUCUUUUGAUGAUGAAGGGGGAGAUAAUUAUGGGGAGAUUUGAAAUGAAUUUUUUUUUUAAAUGAAUUUUGUUUUUAAAAUGAUUCCUUUGAGCAAAAAUAAUUUUAUUGGACAUAUUUUUUAAAUUGGUCAUAUAUUAAGGGGGAGUAAAAUAUUAAUUGAAGUUUGUCAUCAUAAAAAAGGGGAGAUUGUUAACAUGAAUAUGUUAAUAAUAUUAAUUUUGAUGAUAACAAACUUUAAAUGAUUUUUGAUUAAAAUGUUGGAGUUAUUUCUUAAUAAAUGAGAGCCUUAUAAACAUUCCAAUUAUAUUCAUAAAAGAUGGAUCACUGUUAAAUUUCAAAUUGGAAAAUGAUUCUCAGCAAAAUCUGGCUUAAAUUGUUAUUCUGGAAAUAAACGAUGAACCGUUUAUUUAAACGGUUAACCGACUAAAAAUAGAGAGCAACAUAUUGCCUAAGCUCUAACCGAUUAAGAAAAACGGAAAACACAAAAAGCUGGGAAGGCUACCGGAAUUUAACGACGAACCAUUUAUUGAAAUGGUUAACCGAUAAAAUCCAGAAUGAAAGAUUGUACCUGGAAACAAACGGCAAAAGCUUAACUGAAAUGGAUAAAGCUAACUCGUUUUGCAGGUUACUGGAAACAAACGGCGAACCGUUAAUUACAAACAGCUAACCGAUAAUUUCUAGAGAAGUCAUUUCAUGCAAAUCCUUAACUGUUUAAUAUAAAUGGAUAACUGAUGUUCAUCUUGCAGGUCUCUGGGAAUUAACGGCGAAAGGGUAACCAUAAACGGCAAACCGAUUAUUUGAAAUUUGGCCCAACGGUAACUUUUGACCGGCCAUUGAGCUUAUAUUCGAGAAUACAAUCUUCAUAGAGCUUUAAAACACAUUCUUGCUUCAUCUAUUCACACAUUGGGCAUUGAUUUGUAAUCUUAAAUAUUGUGUGAGAGAAAAAUAAUUUUUAAUCUUUUACUUUGAGUGAUUGUAAGUGUUGGGAUACACUUGGGUUAAGAGAUUGGGGAUAAUCUCUUGUUGUAAAGGUUCAUUGACACCUUGGAAGUCAAGUGUAAGCAUUUGAAGCCUUGGAGGCGUGCUUAGUGAAAUCCUCAAGCCCGGAAAGCUUGGAGGCAUGGACGUAGGCGAGGUUGGCCGAACCACAUACAAAUCUUCGUGUUUGAAUCUCUCUUCCCUUAUCUUUUUAUAUUGUAAUUGAUUUAAGUGUUAUUCCAUUAAAUUCAUUUUAGAUUUGGUUGAUAAUUAGUUUAGAAUCAAAUAAUUUUUUAGAAUCCCAAUUCACCCCCCCUCUUGGGUUGCACACUUGUAUUUCAAAAAUAACAACAUUGAUUAAAAUUCCUACUUGUUAUUCUUAUUGGUAACCACAUCUAGGUCUUGAAUUUGCAUGAGCCAACAUCAUGAAGCCCAUAUUUUGCAUCAUUAAAUGAUUAAUCUUAUUGUUAUCUCUGUUUUCACUAUUGUCUCAUCAAAAAAAUUUCUUAUCAUAUUAGCUGCAUAAAAAUUAACAAAUUAACAUAUUAUCAUUUUUAAGCCAUCAAUCAAGUAUAAAUAUUAUACUUGUUAGUUAUAUAACAAAAAUAAAGAAAUAACUAAAUUUUAAAAACAUAUAUUGAAUUAAAGCCAAACUAGCCAUCCAAAUGAAUAAAAGAAAACAUAUUUGCAUUUAGAAACAACUACUUUAAACCAUUUUUGUAAUUACCAAAAAAAUUUUCUUCAAUGAAAUAAAAUAACAUAAAAUAAAAGAAAUUAAAAAGCCAAUAUCCUUAUUUUCAUAUGAUGAAAUUAAAAUUCUAGUUACAAUUACAUGUGACUUCUGUUGUGUUGCCUAGCCAAUAAAUUGUCCAUUUCCUUAUGUAAUUUUUUUUUUCAUCUUGAAUGCAAUUUGCGAAUCAGCAAUGACAACAUGGCAACUAAUUAGAGAAAGACUUCCAUAUGUUUAGUAGAUGAGGCAAAUACGGGCCUGAAUAAUAUGAAAAAUUUUGUUAUAUUAAUUGGGGCAAAUUUCAAUUCAUCCCCUUGCCAAUAGAAAUCUACAAUUUACCCUUCAAAAACAUGAAAACCUCAACUUACCUCAAUUUUUCUCAUUAUGGAUCACCCGGGUGCCUACAAUAUCAUAUUGGGUAGGUCGUUCUUAGUAGCAACUAAAGCAGUGAUAUCCAUGCACUACCUCGCCAUGAAAGUCCCAGCCGCCUAAGAAGUUAUCACCAUUAAAGGGGACCAGCAGUCAGCUCGUGGUUGUUACUCCGUGGCCUCCAAAGUCACUUACCAAAUAGCUUUCGAUUCGCCAGUAAAGGGGUACCCCAGUGGUAGCAAGCCCACACUUUAUCCCACGACGCGAGCACUUGCUAGACAGCGAAGAGAAGUACUCAAUAAAACUUCUCAGGUAGCGGACCCACCAAAAUAGUUGGGAACCUUGCCAAUGGGUGUAGAAACAGUCACUUCGGAUGACUCGGGGGUACCUCACGGGGACCAUGUUGAGCCCAGAUGUGAAUUUAAGGCACCUUUGGAUCCCCGAAUAUCGAAAAAUGAAAAACGGGGCGCCCCGGUUGAAGACCUUGUUUCAAUCUUGAUCUGCACCACUGACCCAACAAAGACCGUGAAAAUGGGUUCCAAUCUUUCAGAAGAACAACAAAGAAAAGUCAUACUACUAGUAAAGUGAUAACACUCUACCUCCUUCUUCUUAUUUUAUUUGUUUUUUUUUUAUGCUUGUGUGUUUGAAAUAUAUGCUUGGCCAUGUGGGGUACCUAGAGAGUACCCCAAGCUAGUUAGUUUCCUAAGUCUUUAAUGACAAUAACAAGUGAUCCCGGGAUCCCCCAUAUUCGCCUUAGGAUAACAAAAUAGUGUCAUAUAAUGAUUCAUAUCUCCAUUCCCUAUGAAUGCAUUUGCUUUACAAAAUUUGGUGACGUAUGCUCUUAUUUGUCUUUUGAUUAUUUGGUAUGGAUGAAUAGUUUAAAAUGUUAUAAGAAUAUGUUCACCAUUAAACUAACUUCAUAUAUAUUGUUGAGUAUUGUUUAUUAUGGCGCAAGAUAGUAUCCAGAGAUCACUUUAUUCUAAGGUACCCAAACUACCUGGCCUACCCCGAUCAUGAUGACCUAUUCAACAUCAGACCCAGCAAAAGGGCACGCUAGUUGCCGCAUUUCAUCAUUAUUUGUUCGCCAUAUUUGAUUCUGAGCGAAUGGUGGAUCAUGAGGUUUCGACCAUCUCGCAUAAGGGUAGCCGAGCAGCCACCUUCAUCUUUAUCUAUAUUGUCUAUUUGAUUCUACGCGAAUAGUGAAUCAUGAGGUUUUCGACCAUCUCACAUAAAGGUAGGCGAGCAGCUACAUUUAUCUCAAUCUAUGUUGUUUAUUUGAUUCCAUGCGAAUGGUGGAUCAUGAGAUUUUCGACCAUCUCACAUAAGGGUAGGCGAACAGCUACCUUUAUCUCAAUCUAUGUUGUCUAAUUAAUUACAAGCAAAUGACGGAUCAUGAGGUUUUCAAUCAUCUCGCAUAAGGGUAGGUGAGCAGCCACCUUUAUGACUAUUUGUGUUACGUAUUUGAUUUAGAGCGAAUGGUGGAUCAUGAGGUUUUCGGCCAUCUCACAAAAGGAUUCACCAUGAUUUUUAUUGAGAUUUGCAGCAAGCAUAUCUAAGUAAAUCGCCAUAUACUGAUGAGAUAAGAUUAAGGGUACCCAUAGUACAUGGGGUACCCUACGACAGAAAGUCGUUCCUCGUGUACAUCAAGAGAAACCCUAAGAAAACUUGAGAUAUGCAGCAUAUCUGGAGAAAUCACCAUAUGUUUAAUGAAAUUGGGUUAUUCCGGCAUGAAGUAACAGAUAACUCAGUGAAUAUCCAAGCUUAAGGGUACCUGAAGAAAUCACAAUAUGUUUGAUGAAAUUGGGUUAUUCCAGCAUGAAGUAACAGAUAACUCAGUGAAUAUCCAAGCUUAAGGGUACCUGAGGUACCCCACGUACCUUGUCAGUAAUGCCGAACAGGGUUACACAGUAGGAUGAUUAUCUUCACAUUCAUCUCUUAAGAUAAGGGGAUCAACAAAAGUGCUAAAAGUAGCAGAAAAACAAGCAUCGGUAUCAGGGGUACCUUAUGGAGACUUCAUUAGAGAUACCUGUUGGUUAUUUUUAUAAGCAAUUGCUACCAAUGCCAAUGUGCAAGUAUACACAACAAGUAAUAAAGUGAUGAGUAUUCAAGAUCGUCUCCACAGGGAUUGAUGUUACUAGAAAUGCUAUAGCAAUCACAAUAGUGCAAAUCAACUUAAGGCUGAAGCUAACAAUUGUAAAGUAAUUUCUAUCGUAAUUAAUGAUUGUGAGAGAAUUAAAUAAAACAAUACUGUAAUGAAAUAAACUAUGUUAAAUGUGUCUAAAAUUCAAUUGAGAUCAUAGUAGUUGAAUGAUCAAAUUCUCCUUACGGGGAUGACUAUUUUGUUCAUCAAUUUAUCACCAGUUGUUACGGCAAGUGCUGCAGCACUGGACAGAAUAAAUCUGCAUCCUCAGCUAUGGCAUAUUGGAAGUCUCAUACCCUUAAAUCUAUUAACAAUGACCAGUUGCUAAUCUACUUAUGGCAUGACAUUAUGAUCUUUAGUCUCUCCACCCUACAAGGUGAACACCUAUGUCUAGUGUGUCAUAAAUCCUAACUUCAAAUAUUGCCCUUAUGGGAUUCAAGAUAACUUAAUCUAGGAAACUCAACUUAAGAUCAGGUAAUACUUUAAUAAUAUCCACUAAGACAUGCCAUUUUGCUGCUUUAUGUUAAUUGAAACUAUUAAAUAGGUGGUCAACCGAAAUAAUAGUUAUAUUCAUACAAACUACUAGAGUAAAAUGCUACAGCAAUGACAUAACAACUUAUAAGAACAGUCAAGAACCCAAUGGAUUAUUUGUCACUCAAUUACAAGUAAAUCUAGUUAAUAUUCUGAAUGAGAAAAAUAAACAUAAAUAUAUUGAUCAAGGGAUACAUUAAACAAUUAAAGGAAGAAGAGAAAUAUAAGUUGAGCACGGUGAAAGACAAAUCCAAAUAAUUCUGCACAAUUCUUCAAUGUUGCCGAAACAGCACUCUCCAAUUCUGAUCUUCCUCUUAUUUCCUUUGUAAUUAUUCUAAUGAUAAUUCCCUUCCGUCGUUCUAUGUCGUGCAUGCCUCCCUUUUAUAUUGCAAAUUAGGGUAAACAAAAGCCCAUGAGCGUGUAUGCAUUAAAUUAGGAACAUGCAGAUUAUGAUUCUGUGGUUGACCCGCGCCUAAGUUUUCUCCCGCAUUGUUCUCAGAUUGCUACAACACUGGUUGCUCUAACAUCUGCAACCACACUGCACUAUUCCCUAUUGUGCUUUACUUCUUUUGUGGUUGUCUUCUUUCCUCCUCUUGCUCGCCUAAUGCCUCAACAUCCCCUCAUGAAUCAAGACUUUCUGAAAACCUACAAUUAUGCACCUGAUUUUAGUACAAAUUACUUUGAUUUAAGCAAAACUUAUUAAGACUCAACUAAAAUGAAUGUUUACGCAAAAUAUAACCAAAAUGUAAUAAAACCAUCUUCUUUGAUCUCUAAGUUAUCUUGAUUUAAGCCUAGAAAAGAUGUAAUAACUCUCAUUUCCUAGAGUUAUCAGUACCCCUACUUAUCUCCAUGGGCUUUCAGACCAAGAUUUGUUAGGAGACCUGCUAUCCUCAAUCGCCUUCAAGAUGGCUGACUUGGCUACUCACUUCUCCACUCUUGGCACAACUAGCCUCAGAUUAGCACUUCAUUCUUUGGUCAUGAUGCGUUCAAAAGUAUUGUCAACUAUGUUCUUCUGUUGAGGGUACCUCUGAAGCUGCAAGAAAGGAGCCCUAUGAUUUUGCUUUCGUCCUUAAAGUAUGUGAAGGAAAGGUACCCUUAAUUGAAGUAGAUUUUGAGGUAAUCGAUAAACCACUUCUCAAAUGACUGAAGAAGGCAUUAAAGUCCUCACCAGAGUGAUCUAUACAUGGCAGUCACUAGAAAACAAAAUAUGGGUGAUGGUAGGGUACCCUUACAACACCCUCUACUUAUACUUGGUGGUUUAUCCUCAAAAGCAGAUGAACAGUUUGGGUUAAUUAGCUUCGCCCUCUUCAACUUGUCCAAAUUGGCAGCCAUUUCUAAGCAAAUAGGAAAGGGAGCCCAUCUUUCUUUUUUGGGUUCUCGGAGUACUCCUUCAGCCGUUAUCUUUUAUCUUGGUACAUCUGUUCCAACACUUUUACUGAGUAAGAGAGGAUGUAUUGUCUGAGUUUUUGGGUGACCUGGUUCACAUCUUAAGAUGUGAGGAGGUUAGGUACACCUCAUAGAAGAAGUCGUACCUGUUGAGUGUUAGAAAAUGCAUAUUUAUAAAGGAGAAAACCGUCAUUUUACAUUUCAAGUCUUACUAACACCUUUACUUUCAUGAAUUUAACCUUCUUUUGAUUUAAUUCCGUUUGUUUUAUUUUAAUUAAGUAUUUUAUGUAUUUUAGGGGCAUUAUAGUUAUUUCACAAUAAAGGAGAGAUCAGACGGCAAAACGGACAUCACUUUUGAACUCAGGACGGUCGAAAACCUUAGGAGGAGCAUAAAAAGAAAAAUGGCACUAUUCACAUGUAUGGUACUAUUCACGUAUAUGGUACUGUAUACGUUACUGUUCACAACAUUGUUCACAUAGACGGAUCGAUGACGUGGCAUUGACCGAUGAUGUGGCAUUGACCGAUGAGGUGUCACGAUCCUGUUGGGCUAAAAUUCUUAUGUACUGUUGAUGGUGACGAGGCAGCAUAUCAGUGGAUGAAAAAUCUCGCGUACGGUACAUGCAUCACACAGGAUUAUUUUCAACCAAACCGUGUUACUGUUCAUCCGAGUCAAACCGCGUUACUGUUCAUCUGAGUCAAACCGUGUUACUGUUCAUCCGCAUGGUCAAACCGUGGACUGUUGACUGAUGACGUGGCGCAAUCCUGAGCGUCCAAACUGUUUUUAAUCCGAUGGCCAUGAUUUACUCCAUGUAUCUAUAAAAAGGGGGCCUCCCCCCCCUAAUUUGAUAUCUCUGAAUCCAUGUUUGGACUCUGUUUUCUGUAAUUCCCUCUCCAUCUUGUAUUUUCUUCGUAUUUUAAUAAAUUCCCAUUUUGCCCCUAGUUCAAUUAUGAGUGGCUAAUUUUCUUUCAAGCUUGGGUUGAAGGUGAAGUCUCAACAUGUGUCAUGGGCUUAAUUUGGUAAAUUUAUUUUCUCUUCCCCUCUAGUUUUUGUGGAUGUUUUGACUUCUUGUCGACAAAUAAUAAUAAUCUUGUCUAGAUACCGCCUUAGUUACACUGGCUCUCUAGUAUAAGGUUAUUAUUAUUUGGCACGAUAAGCCCUUAGCACCAUAUUGAUUAGAGCGUGGUUCAUGAGGUGUGGAUUCCCCCCUCAUGAUUUAAUUGGCAUUAAUACGGAUUAUUUAGCCCAUGAUGCAUGUUGAUACGGAUCCAGAUACCCAAGUACGUCAAUUUAAUAGAUUUUCUCUUCAAUUUAUUUUCUCCAUUGCAAUUCCAAUUUUAGAAUUUAUUCUCGCCAUUUUAAUUUAAGUCUUAGCAUAUUCCAAAUCGUUUCCACCAUAAAUUCAACCACUCAUUUACAAAAUUAAUUCUACACAUAAUUAAAAUCCACCUCUUCGUGGGAUCGACACUCGUCACCAUUGAUCUAUACUACAAUAGAUUCGUGCGCUUGCUAGUACAUUAAAAUUUGCACAACAAGUUUUUGGCGCCGUUGCCGGGGAGGUAAGUAAUUUUAAUUUAUAGAAUUAAUUUUUGUGAAUAAUUUCUUUUAUUUGUUUUAUUGUAUUUUUUAUUAAAAAAAAAAAAGUGAAUCCGCAUUUAGAGGUUAGUAAUUUCUUUUCUUUUUCUCUUCUUUAAAUUUAUGUAAUUUAAUUUUCAAGUUAUUUUUUUUUCUUUGUAAUUUUUGUUUAUCUUACUAAUUCUUUUUAGUUAAUUUAUUUCACGUAUUUAUUUUUGUGUAUUUUUAUAGAAAGUUUGUAAUAGCGCAAUAAGGUUAGUAUCGUAAUUCCUCCCUCUUCUUUAUUUUUAUUUAUUUUGUUCGCAUCUUUAUUUUUUAUUUUAUUUGUUUUGCAUGCAUGGUCGAAGGUCAUUAGUACCCAAUCUUGAACCUAUAGACCUUGAACUUGAGAAAACACUUCGCACACACAAACAAGUAAAAAAUAAAAUGGAUUUGCAACCACAUGAGAGGCCAUUUAAAGAUUAUUUCAGUCCUUUAGCAAAUUUGAGCACAUCAUGUAUAAGAUACCCAAAUGUAGCUGCUAGGAGUUUUGAAUUAAAACCCAGUGUGCUAAAUUGUCUCCCCACAUUUUAUGGCCUAGAAAAUGAGGAUCCAUAUAAUCAUCUGAAUGAUUUUCAUGCCAUUUGUCAAACUUUUAAAUAUGAAAAUUUUUCAAACGAUGAUGUUAAACUUAGACUAUUCCCAUUUUCUUUAAAAGAUAGAGCUCGUUCAUGGUUAAAUACUUUACCUGCUAAUAGCAUUUCAUCAUGGGAACAAAUGGUAACGAAAUUUUUGAAUAAAUAUUUCCAGUGCAUAAAACCAACGCUAUUCGCAGGGAAAUCUCGGAGUUUACCCAGAGAGAGGACGAGCAGUUUUUCGAAACAUGGGAGCGAUUCAAUGGGCUAUUCUUGAAGUGUCCACAUCAUGGGUACGAGAAAUGGCACCAAUGCCAAUACUUUUUAGAGGGAUUAUUACCAAAUGUGCAAGAAUGGCUAAUGGCAACAAGUGGAGGAGAGCUAAUGUCAAAAAGUGCAUCAGAGAUUUGGGAAUUCUUCCAGCGACAAGCGGAUAAUUCCCAACAACGGAGUCGAUCAUUCAAGAAUACUAGAAGAAUUAAGGGAGUAAAUGAGGUUCACAUUGGCGAGUCAACUUCGGGAAUCAAAGAAGUCAAGGAGAUGGUUGAAGGUCUUGCUCGACAAAUAGCAUCGUUAUCGACUGCUAAAUCAACAGAACCACAUGACCCUGACUCAUACUCCGAUCAAGCCAAUGCCAUAGGUGUAAUGAGAAAGCCAUCAAAUUAUAACCCAUACUCCAACACAUAUAACCCUGGAUGGAGAGACCACCCCAAUUUUUCAUGGUCUCAAGGAUUCCAACAGAAUGGACCAGCAGCUCCAGCUCCACCAAUUCCUCAAAUUCCUCAAGCCUCUCAGCCCCCAUUUAGACCAUACAAUCAGAACCAGAACUAUUCUCAACCUAGACCAUGGGAGGAUUCAUUCCAGAAUCUCAAGAAUCUUACUCACUCUACGAUUGAGCAACAGAACCGCACCAUUGAUGGACUACGAAAUGAAUUGAGAGCGGGCUUCAACUCACAAGCCCAAUCAGUUUCAAGCCUCGAGAAGAUGGUAGGACAACUUGCCUCUUCAGUUCAAACCUUGGCAAUGACUGUUGAGAAAGGCAAAUUUCCAAGUCAACCAGUGCCUAAUCCUAAAGGAGUACAUGAAACAAGUACCAGUUCACCACAGCAGCAUGGAGAGGUCAAAGUAGUAAUGUCCUUGCGAAAAGGAAAGGAAGUCGACAACAAAGUGGAGAUGCCGGUGACAAAAGAAAAUCAAAUUGUACCUGUGAAUGUUGAGGACUCACCACCGGAAGAAAAAGAAGAAACCAACCCACGAGAAUAUGUUCCUAAAGCUCCAUUUCCUCAGAGGUUAGCAAAAGGCAAAAAGGAAAAAUCCACAGGUGAGAUUCUCGAAAUCUUCAAACAGGUAAGUGUUAACAUCCCUUUACUUGAUGCUAUUAAACAAGUUUCAUCUUAUGCCAAGUUUCUUAAAGACCUUUGUACUAAAAAGAGAAAUAUGCAUGUGCAAAAGAAGGCAUUUUUAACAGAAAACGUUAGUUCUAUACUCCAACAUAAAAUUCCUUUAAAAUGCAAAGACCCAGGCUCCCCCACUAUUUCAUGUAGCAUAGGGAACCACACAAUUGAGAAUGCUUUGUUGGAUUUAGGAGCUAGUGUAAAUUUGUUGCCUUAUUCUGUAUUUGUGAAACUUGGACUUGGAGAAUUACACCCAACUCCAGUGGUGUUACAGCUUGCAGAUCGGUCCACGAAAAUACCUCGUGGUAUUGUGGAGGACGUGCUUAUCCAGGUAGACAAGUUUUAUUUUCCUGUUGAUUUCAUUGUAAUUGACACUCAACCAAUACAGGAUUCAAGGAAGCACAUCCCCAUUAUUCUAGGCUGACCUUUCUUGGCAACUGCGGAUGCUCACAUUCAAUGCAGGACUGGAAAUAUGCAGUUGUCCUUCGGCAACAUGACUAUGGAGCUAAACAUCUUCAACAUUGCAAAACAACCUCACAGUGCAGAUGAUGGAAUUGUUGAUGUGGAUUUAAUUGAAACAAUAGUUGAUAACACUUUUCUUUCAAACCUUAGUGAUGAUCCUUUACAAACAUGUUUAACUCACUUUUGUUUGGAUUUUGAUAUUGACAGAUUGGUCGAUGAGGUCAACGCCCUACUUGACUCAGCACCAUCCAUGGACACUAAUAAAUGGAAGUCAAGAGUUGAACAACUAGCACCAUCAGAGAAGAAACUCAUCCCAUCAUCAUAAUCACCACCGAAACUCGAGCUCAAACCAUUGCCCAACACAUUGGAAUAUGCAUUUUUGGGAGAAGAAAGUACUCUGCCGGUAAUCAUCUCAUCAUCCCUAAAUGACGAACAAAAAGGUAAGUUGUUGGAUGUUUUAAAAGAGCACAAAGGAGCAUUAGGAUGGACCAUAGCGGACAUAAAAGGUAUAAACCCAGUAGACUGCAUGCAUUACAUUCACCUUGAUGAAAAUGCUAAAUCUACUAGGGAAAUGCAACGUCGGUUAAAUCCUAAUAUAAAAGAAGUUGUUAGAACUGAAGUCCUUAAGCUAUUAGAUGCAGGUAUCAUUUACCCAAUUUCUGAUAGUUCAUGGAUUAGUCCUGUACAAGUUGUCCCCAAAAAGUCAGGAGUCACAGUAGUUACGAAUGCUGAUAAUGAAUUGAUACCCACUAGAGUAACUACAGGAUGGCGUGUAUGCAUUGAUUAUAGAAAGUUGAAUUUUGUCACACGUAAAGACCAUUUUCCUUUACCAUUUAUUGAUCAAAUGCUUGAUAGAUUAGCAGGCUAUGAAUUUUAUUGCUUUCUAGAUGGCUACUCAGGAUAUAAUCAGAUUCCUAUAGCACCAAAAGAUCAAGAGAAAACUACUUUCACUUGCCCUUUUGGCACAUUUGCAUAUAGGAGAAUGCCAUUUGGAUUAUGUAAUGCACCUGCUACAUUUCAACGAUGCAUGUUGAGCAUUUUUUCUGAUAUGGUUGAACGAUUCCUUGAAGUCUUUAUGGAUGACUUUUCUGUCUUUGGUGACUCAUUUGAUCAAUGUUUACAUCAUCUAACACUAGUUCUGCAGAGAUGUGUCAAGAAGAACUUGGUCUUAAAUUGGGAGAAAUGUCAUUUUAUGGUAAAACAAGGUAUUGUUCUCGGUCACAUCAUUUCGAGCAAAGGUAUUGAGGUUGACAAAGCCAAGGUGGAUCUCAUUUCUAAUCUUCCUUCACCCAAAACAGUCAGAGAAGUAAGAUCUUUCCUUGGGCAUGCUGGUUUCUAUAGACGUUUCAUUAAAGAUUUUAGCAAAGUUUCUAGACCCUUAUGCAAUUUACUUGCUAAGGAUGUACCUUUUAUCUUUAAUGAUUCAUGUCUUAUGGCGUUUGAAAAAUUAAAACAGUUGUUGACAUCAUCACCCAUCAUUCAGGCCCCAAACUAGAGCUUACCAUUUGAGCUAAUGUGUGAUGCAUCUGAUUAUGCAGUAGGAGCAGUAUUAGGACAAAGAGUUGAUCGAAUUCCCCACGUUAUUUACUAUGCUAGUAUGACAUUAAAUGAUGCACAGUUGAACUAUUCAACUACUGAAAAAGAAACGCUAGCAGUAGUGUUUGCAUUGGAAAAAUUUCGAUCAUAUCUCAUUGGUUGUAAAAUAAUUAUAUUCACGGAUCAUGCUGCUCUUAAAUAUCUUCUCACAAAGAAAUAUGCAAAAGCCAGACUAAUUCGUUGGGUGUUACUUUUGUAGGAGUUUGACUUGGAAUUCAAAGAUAAGAAAGGCACAGAGAAUGUUGUGGCGGACCACCUCUCUCGUCUCCAUUUUGACACAAUUACAGAAUCAUUACCAUUGAAUGAGUCAUUUCCAGAUGAACAAUUAAUGAAUGUGGAAGUAUUACCUUGGUAUGCUGAUAUAGUUAAUUAUCUUGUUAUAGGUAAACUUCCAGAGCAUUGGACCAAGCAAGACAAGGCUAAAUUCUUUGCAGAAAUAAAGAAUUUCUUUUGGGAUGACCCGUAUUUGUUCAAGUAUUGUGCAGACCAAAUUAUUAGACGAUGCGUCCCAGAAAGUGAAAUUCAGAAUAUCCUUUCAUUCUGCCAUGAACAAGCUUGUGGAGGCCAUUUCAGCGCUAAGAAAACAGCGACUAAAGUUUUACAAUGUGGUUUCUAUUGGCCAACUGUAUUUCGAGAUGCUUACACUUUCUGUUCUUCAUGUGAUAGGUGUCAACGAAUGGGGAGCAUUACGCGAAGGAAUAUGAUGCCACUAAAUCCAAUUUUAGUGGUUGAGAUUUUUGAUGUAUGGGGUAUCGACUUCAUGGGACCCUUUCCCCCGUCUUUUGGCCAUCAAUACAUAUUGGUUGCUGUUGACUACGUAUCGAAAUGGGUAGAAGCAAUUUCAUGUAGAACCAAUGAUCACAAGGUGGUGAUAGGAUUUUUGAAAAGCAAUAUUGUCUCACGCUUUGGAUUCCCUCGAGCAAUAAUCAGUGAUGGUGGUGCCCACUUUUGUAACAAAGCAUUCAAAGCUCUUUGACAAAGUAUUCAAUCACACACAAAGUGGCGACUCCGUAUCAUCCGCAAACCAGUGGCCACGUUGAGAUCUCCAAUAGAGAAAUAAAGUACAUAUUAGAAAAAAUGGUGAGGCCAGACAGAAAAGAUUGGUCAUUAAGACUUGAUGAUGCCUUAUGGGCAUAUAGAACGGCUUUCAAGACCCCGAUUGGGAUGUCACCCUACAGGCUAGUGUAUGGAAAAGCUUGCCACCUGCCUGUGGAACUCGAGCAUCGUGCAUAUUGGGCCAUCAAGAAAUUCAAUUUUGACAUGCAGCAAGUCAGCUCAGAAAGAAGAUUACAGCUAGCAGAACUUGAAGAAAUUCGCAAUGAUGCAUACGAAAAUGCCAAGAUUUACAAGCAACGAAUAAAAGUCUUCCAUGAUAAGCAAAUUAUGAGAAAAUCGUUCACUCCAGGUCAGAAAGUGCUUUUAUUCAAUUCUCGCUUGCACCUAUUCCCAGGUAAGUUACGCUCUCGUUGGUCUGGCCCAUUUAUUGUUCAUAUUAUUUUUCCACAUGGGGCAAUUGAAAUUAAGGACCCAAAGAACGGUGUCACGUUUAAAGUUAAUGGUCAAAGAUUAAAGCCAUAUCUAGAAUACCAACCACAUGGAGAAGACAUCGAGAUAAAUUUGAGUAACCCACCAAAUUUGAAUUGAUUUUUUUUCUUUUCGUUGAUUUGAUUUUUCUUUCUUUCUUUUUAUUAUUAUUCUUUUGCUAAUUGAAAUUGUUUUUGCAUAAGUGUGUUUAUUUUACCAUUAAGUUUUCUCUUAUCAUUUUUAAUCAUGAGUCUCAUACUUAGACCGUUCCUCUUGAACAUUCUUAAAUCACUUCAACGUGUCAAAACUCAUCUCAAAAGGCAGAUUCAAUUUUGUAAAACACAACCCAUUUGGGCUCUACAACCACCAGAGUUAGUAGCCUAUGUUGAGGGUUUAGAACGCCAACUCAGAGACAUUGAGAGAAGUGUUUACGACAUCCAGUUGGAGCUUGAGGUAAAUUCAAUAAGAGGACGAUUUUAAUUUUCUUUGUGUGUUUUAAUUUUUUUUUUCUAUUUGUGUGCUUUAGUUUGUUACCCCGGUGAAGUGGCGGAUAACGGUACUCCGUGACAAUCAAGUUGGUUACUUCAAUUUCCCAUAAUAACUGAUAUUCUGAGGCGAAAGUAUGGACAGAAACGAGACUCUAGCGAAGCUUCACAAGCGAUUCCCUUCACUUCCUCAGAAUGCCCUCCUUACGGUCUAUAAAGCUCGGUCCGAACGCAUGCGAUUACUUAUGAGGAAUAACAUACCUGCUGACAUCCGUUGGUUAAUUGAGGCUAAAGUACGAUCGGCAGGUGAGUUACCUCCAAAAUUUAUUGCAUACAUGCCUGGUUGUGGUAAAGGAAAUUAUGCAAGAAAACGACGAGCUCGAAGAAUUUCUGUUGCUUGUCAUAAGUGUGCCAGAAUGAGUUGCAAUAAAAACCCAUGUUCUUUAGGAAUGGUGUCUGAUAACAGGGAAGAUAAGAUUCAAUUCAUUAAGGAUGGCUUGAAUAAGGAGUCAUUGGAUGAUAUCCUUUUGUCUCUUGAAACGCAUCCCAGUGGAUAUGUACAAGGAGCGAUUCUCCAGUUAUGGCCAUUAUUCCAGAAAGAGCAUGCACGAUAUAGUCUCGGGAAUCUGACUAUAAACGACCCUGUUUGCCAGUUUAUAAGAAAACUGGAUAGGAAGCCUAUCCUCGACCCAUAGAGGGCGUUCAAACCGUUUCUGGACGUAAAACCAGAGGAAGAUGUGAGCCACAGUCGCAACUACCUGUAAAUAUCCUUUCACUUUACUGUUAUUUUAUUUCACUAUUGUUUUAUUGUGUGUAUUAUUGUCCUUAAUAAUUUUAUUACUGUUUGCUUUUUCCUUUUUACUGUUUCCUUUUUGACUCGCGAGCCACGUACUUUACGCGUUAUUUGACACUGACAUGUUACCUCAUACACAACUGUGACCCAUUGUCACCAAGACUCUUAAAUGUGAUUGUUUUUUGUCAAGCACUCACAAAUUUUUUUUUGAGAAGUAUCCUAAUGGCAGCUACUCCAAAUAGACAAUUCAAGAACAUUUGUGUGCUUUCUGGAUUUACAUAUGGCAAACAUAAAGAGUUCGUUGAGGCAGCCAUAGAUCUUGGUCGCAGCAUAGCAGCGAAAAAAUUACACUUGGUGUAUGGAGGAGGUAAUCGAGGGUUAUCAAAAAUGGUCUCAGAAGCAACUUUUAUCAGAGGCAGCCAAGUGUUAGGCAUCAUCCCAAGAGCCCUAAAACCUUUGGGCAGUUCGUCUGACUCAUCAACUGGAAAAGAGUUAGUCGUCUCAGGUAUGCAAGAAAGAAUAACUGAAAUGCUUAAUCAUGCUGAUGCUUUUAUUUUCCUUCCAUGAGAUCUUGCAACACUAGAGGCACUUAUCACACUAGCAUCUUGGGCCCAUCUGCACAUCCACCAGAAACCCAUCGGUUUGUUAAAUGUCAAUAACUUUUAUGAUGGCUUUAUCGCAUUUCUUAACCAUGCAAUAAAAAACUAUUUCAUUCCCUCUAAUGCGAAAAAACUUUUUAUUUGUGCUCACACUGCUAAUGAGCUACUUGAUAUGUUACAAGCUUAUAGACCAGAGCCAGACCCCUGGACCUUUGUGUUGGAGCAUCCAAAUAAUGAUGGUAACAGUAGCCGCAGUAAGAAGUACAAAUUAGAUUUAACUCUCCGCUUGUAAAUAUUAUUUUCUGUGUUGCACUACCCAGGUGAUGUCUUCUAAACUCUACUUCUUUCCUUUCAAACAUUGAGGACAAUGUUUCGUUCUGGUUGGGGGGAGGGAAUAGUCGACAAUUAUGAAAUUUUGGUUAAGUUUUUACUAAUUUUUUGUUGUAGAAACUAACUAUUGCUAAUUUUUUGUGUUAAAGAUGGCUGAAUAUGGAGUGUAGUGACUCUAGAAACGCAUCUUCAUCGUUUAAAAAAAAAUUUUCAGACAUUUUCUUUUUCUUUAUUCUAUUUUUAUGUUUAUUUUUCUUCUUCUUUUUAUUUUCUCCUCUAUAAAUAUACAUUUUCCAACUUUUGAGUCGAAGAUGGCUGAAUAUGGAGUGUAGUGCCUCUAGAAACGCAUCUUCUUUAAAAAAAAAUCAUUUUCUUUUUCUAUCAUUUUAAGUGUAACUUUUCUAAUUAAUUUUUCUACAUCAUUUUCACAUUUCUGCAUGCAUAUUUUUCUUUUAUGUUUAGAAUAGGUUGAGGGGUAGAAUGUUGUUUAAAAAAAAAAAAUUGUGUGAUUUGUUUUAACAUUGGAUGACAUGAUUAAUUUCAAAUUUUAGUAUUUGUAUUAUCUUUGGUCUUAAGUGAUGUUACAUUAUGUUUGCUACUCUACAUGUUGAUGUUGGAGACAAAUAUGAGUUGCUUGAAGAAUGAACAUGUCAUAAUAAGUACCAAGUGAGUUUUGAGCCUAUUAUUUUUCUUGGAGAAUAACCCUUUUGCCCACUCUUUAUACAGCUUAGCAGUUUAUUAUUUUACACACGAUCUCUAGAUUUCUUUUGAGUUAACCCUUAAAAAAAAAAAAAAAGUGUGUUGCUACAUUGGGAGGCCCAUCUAACUAGUAGAUAUGGAUGAUUAUUUAGAGCCCUAAAAGACGAUGGAAAUGCCAUCUUUGAUCCGUUUGAGCCUUUCUAGCCAUCCCUUUUAUUAAAUAUCCAUAGUUAACCCUUUUGAGCCUUUAAAAAAAAAAAAAACCUUUUCUUUGUCAACUUAUCAUCUUGACCCACUCCGAUUUGGAGUAUUACCCGAUGUCUUAUAAGUUCCAUCACCUAUUUAUGUUUGAGAAAAUGUAAAUAAUUAUGUUGUUCAAUGAAGUUAUGCCAAAUAAAAGCAAAAAACAAAAAUAAAAGUUGUUGUUUCAAAAGAAUAAAAAUAAAAAUAAUAGGUGAAAUCCACCUUGCAACUUCAAAAAAAAAAAAAAAUUCUCUGCACUUUUCUCAAACAUACACUUUGUUUUCCUUAUUUCCCUUCUUUGUUAGCCAUGUCCCUAGCCUACGUUACGUCCUAAUAAAAGUCCUUCUUGAUUUUAGGGAACUAUAGUUUGAAGUAGAAGCUAGUUAUAUGGGCUAAAAAGAUGAAGUGAUGCAUAAUAAUAAAAAAAAAGAGAUAAAUAAAGUGGGUUGACUAGCAUUUUUGUUUGACUUGAGAUCGUAUUAUUUCUAAGCUGAGGGCAUAUUUAUUUCAUCUUGGUGAGAGCAUGUGAUAUCACUUCUUUGUUAUUUUCUCUCAAUUACCAUUCAUUGAAGUGACUAUUUUUAUUGGUUUUAAUUUCUUUGUGAGAGUGUCACUACUUCCAGUGAGAUUUUGGGGUUUGACAUGUCAUUCUUGAAAGUAGCUAUGACAAAGUCUACUGGGCUGAUUCAUGUGGAUGGUUGAUGUGGGUGUGAUGUUGCUUUAGACUGGAGAUAAUGCUUAUACUUUUAUUUGAUUGCUAUCAUUAAUCUGGUGGAAUAAAUAUGAGUGUUUCUAUUAAAAAAAAAAUAUUUUGAAUUUGAAUUUUGUUUUCGCUUUAUUUGCUAGGGACUAGCAAUAAGCUGGUUGGGGGGUGUGUUGAGUGUUAGAAAAUGCAUAUUUAUAAAGGAGAAAACCGUCAUUUUACAUUUCAAGUCUUACUAACACCUUUACUUUCAUGAAUUUAACCUUCUUUUGAUUUAAUUCCGUUUGUUUUAUUUUAAUUAAGUAUUUUAUGUAUUUUAGGGGCAUUAUAGUCAUUUCACAAUAAAGGAGAGAUCAGACGGCAAAACGGACAUCACUUUUGAACUCAGGACGGUCGAAAACCUUAGGAGGAGCAUAAAAAGAAAAAUGGCACUAUUCACAUGUAUGGUACUAUUCACGUAUAUGGUACUGUAUACGUUACUGUUCACAACAUUGUUCACAUAGACGGAUCGAUGACGUGGCAUUGACCGAUGAUGUGGCAUUGACCGAUGAGGUGUCAUCCGAGUCAAACCGUGUUAUUGUUCAUCCGCAUGGUCAAACCGUGGACUGUUGACUGAUGACGUGGCGCAAUCCUGAGCGUCCAAACUGUUUUUAAUCCGAUGGCCAUGAUUUACUCCAUGUAUCUAUAAAAAGGGGGCCUCCCCCCCCUAAUUUGAUAUCUCUGAAUCCAUUUUUGGACUCUGUUUUCUAUAAUUCCCUCUCCAUCUUGUAUUUUCUUCGUAUUUUAAUAAAUUCUCAUUUUGCCCCUAGUUCAAUUAUGAGUGGCUAAUUUUCUUUCAAGCUUGGGUUGAAGGUGAAGUCUCAACAUGUGUCAUGGGCUUAAUUUGGUAAAUUUAUUUUCUCUUCCCCUCUAGUUUUUUUGGAUGUUUUGACUUCUCGUCGACAAAUAAUAAUAAUCUUGUCUAGAUACCGCCUUGGUUACACCGGCUCUCUAGUAUAAGGUUAUUAUUAUUUGGCACGAUAAGUCCUUAGCACCAUAUUGAUUAGAGUGUGGUUCAUGAGGUGUGGAUUUUCCCCUCAUGAUUUAAUUGACAUUAAUAAGGAAUAUUUAGCCCAUGGUGCAUGUUGAUACGGAUCCAGAUACCCAAAUACGUCAUUUUAAUAGAUUUCUCUUCAAUUUAUUCUCGCCAUUUCAAUUCCAAUUUUAGGAUAAUCUAACUCACUUUCACCACAAAUCCUACCACCCAUUUAGAAAAAUUAAUUCUACACACAAUUAAACUCCACCUCCUCAUGGGAUCAACACUCGUCACCAUUGAUCUAUUCUAUAAUAGAUUCGUGCGCUUGCAAGUUCAAUAAAAUUUGCACAACAAGUUUUUGGCGCCGUUGCCGGGGAGGUAAGUUAUUUUAAUUCGUAAAAUUAAUUUUUGUGAAUAAUAUCUUUUAUUUAUUUUCUUGUAUUUUUUUCUUAUUAAAAAAAAAGAAGAAAAAAAAGUGAAUCUGCGUUUGGAAGCAAUAAUUUCUUUUCUUUCUCUAUUCUUUACAAUUCUGUAAUUUAAUUUUCAAGUUAUUUUUUUUUCUCUUUGUAAUUUUUAUUUAUCUUACUAAUUUAUUUUUAGUUAAUUUAUUUCACGUAUUGUUUUUGUCUAUUUUUAUAGUAAGGUUUUAACAGCGUAAUAAGGUUAGUAUUGUAAUUUCUCAUUCUUUAUUUUUAUUUGUUUUGUUCCCAUUUAUUUUGUGUUCUUUGCAUGCAUGGUCAAAGGUCAUUAUUACCUAAUCUUGAACUAGAAAAAAACAAUGCACACACACAAACACGUUAAAAAUAAAAUGGAUUUGCAACAACAAGCACCACCACAGGAGAGGCCAUUUAAGAACUACUUCAGUCCUUUAGCUAAUUUGAGCACAUCAUGCAUAAGAUACCCAAAUGUAACUGCUAAGAGUUUUGAACUAAAACCUAGUGUGCUAAAUUGUCUCCUAACAUUUUAUGGCUUAUAAAAUGAGGACCCAUAUAAUCAUCUGAAUGAUUUUCAUGCUAUUUGUCAAACUUUUAAAUACGAGAAUUUUUCAGACGAUGAUGUUAAACUCAGAUUAUUCCCAUUUUCUUUAAAGGAUAGAGCUCGUUCACGACUCAAUACAUUACCUGCCAAUAGCAUCACAUCAUGGGAAUAAAUGGUAACUAAAUUUUUGAAUAAAUAUUUCCCAGUGCAUAAAACCAAUGCUAUUCGCAGGGAAACUUCAGAGUUUACCCAGAGAGAAGACGAUCAGUUUUUAGAAACAUGGGAGCGAUUCAAUAGGCUACUCUUGAAGUGUCCACAUCAUGAGUACCAGAAAUGGCACCAAUGCCAAUACUUUUUGGAAGGAUUAUUGCCGAAUGUACAAGAAUGGCUAAUGGCAACAAGUGGAGGAGAGCAAAUGUCAAAAAGUGCAUUAGAGAUUUGGGAAUUCUUCCAGCGACAAGCGGAUAAUUCCCAACAACGGAGUCGAUCACUCAGGAAUACUAAAAGAAUUAAAGGAGUGAAUGAGGUUCACAUUGGCGAGUCAACUUCAGGAAUCAAAGAAGUCAAGGAGAUGGUUGAAGGUCUUUCUCGACAAAUAUCAUUAUUAUUGACUGCUAAAUCAACAGAACCACAUGACCAUGACUCAUACCCAGAUCAAGCCAAUGCCAUAGGUGUAAUGAGAAAACCAUCAAAUUACAACCCAUACUCCAACACAUAUAACCCUGGAUGGAGAGGCCACCCAAAUUUUUCAUGGUCUCAGGGAUUCCAACAGAAUGGACCAGCAGCUCCAGCUCCACCAAUGCAACAAAUUCCUCAAGUUCCUCAAGCCUCUCAGCCACCAUUUAGACCAUACAAUCAGAACCAAAACUACUCUCAACCCAGACCAUGGGAGGAUGCAUUCCAGAAUUUCAAGAAUGUUACUCACUCCACGAUUGAGCAACAGAACCGUACCAUUGAUGAACUACAAAAUAAGAUGAGAGCAGGCUUCAACUCAUAAGGCCAAUCAGUUUCAAGCCUCGAGAAGAUGGUGGGACAACUUGCUUCUUCAGUUAAGACCUUGGCAAUAACUGUUGAGAAAGGCAAGUUUCCAAGUCAACCAGUGCCUAAUCCUAAAGGAGUGCAUGAAGCAAGUACCAGUUCACCACAGCAGCAUGGAGAGGUCAAAGAAGUCAUGACCUUACGAAAAGGAAAAAAAGUCGACAACAAAGUGGUGACGCAGGUGACAAAAGAAAAUCAAAUUGUACCUGUGAAUGUUGAGGACUCACCAUCGGAAGAGAAAGAAGAAACCAACCCACGAGAAUAUGUUCCCAAAGCUCCAUUUCCUCAGAGGUUAGCUAAAGGAAAGAAGGGAAAAUCCACAGGUGAGAUUCUUGAAAUCUUCAAACAGGUAAGUGUUAACAUCCUUUUACUUGAUGCUAUAAAGCAAGUUCCAUCUUAUGCCAAGUUUCUUAAAGACCUUUGUACUAAAAAGAGAAACAUUCACGUUCAAAAGAAGGUCUUUUUAAUAGAAAAUGUUAGUUCUAUACUCCAACACAAAAUUCCUUUAAAAUUCAAAGACCCAGGCUCCCCCACUAUCUCAUGUAGUAUAGGGAACCACACAAUUGAGAAUGCUUUGUUAGAUUUCGGAGCUAAUGUAAAUCUGUUACCUUACUCAGUAUUUGUGAAACUUGGACUGAGAGAAUUACACCCAACUCCAGUGGUGUUACAACUUGCAGAUCGGUCCACGAAAAUACCUCGUGGUAUUAUGGAGGACGUGCUUAUCCAGGUAGACAAGUUUUAUUUUCUUGUUGAUUUCAUUGUAAUUGACACUCAACCAAUACAGGAUUCAAGGAAGCACAUCCCCAUUAUCCUAGGCCGACCUUUCUUGGCAACUGCCGAUGCUCACAUUCAAUACAGAACUGGAAAUAUACAGUUGUCCUUUGGCAACAUGACUAUGGAGCUAAACAUCUUCAACAUUGCCAAACAACCUCACAAUGCAGAUGAUGAAAUUAUUGAUGUGAAUUUAAUAAAAACAAUAGUUGAUAAUAUUUUUCUUUCAAACCUCAAUGAUGAUCCUUUACAAACAUGUUUAACUCACUUUGGUUUUGAUUUUGAUAUUGACAGAUCGAUCGAUGAAGUCAACGCUCUACUUGACUCAGCACCAUCCAUGGACACUAAUAAAUGGAAGUCAAGAGUUGAACCACUAGCACCAUCAGAGAAGAAACUCAUCCCAUCAUCAGAAUCACCACUGAAACUCGAGCUCAAACCACUACCCAACACUUUGGAAUAUUCAUUUUUGGGAGAAGAAAGUACUCUACCGGUAAUCAUCUCAUCCUCCCUAAAUGAAGAACAAAAAGGUAAGUUGUUGGAUGUUUUAAAAGAGCACAAAGGAGCAUUAGGAUGGACUAUAGCAGACAUCAAAGGUAUAAACCGAGUAGACUGCAUGCAUUACAUUCACCUUGAUGAAAAUGCUAAACCUACUAGGGAAAUGCAACGUUGGUUAAAUCCUAACAUGAAAGAAGUUGUCAGAACUGAAGUCCUUAAGCUAUUAGAUACAGGUAUCAUCUACCCUAUUUCUGAUAGUUUAUGAGUCAGUCAUGUACAAGUUGUCCCCAAAACGUCAGGAGUCACAGUAGUUACCAAUGCCGAUAAUGAAUUGAUACCCACUAGAGUGACUACAGGAUGGCGUGUAUGCAUUGAUUAUAGAAAGUUAAAUUCUGUCACACGUAAAGACCAUUUUCCUUUACCAUUUAUCGAUCAAAUGCUUGAUAGAUUAGCAGGCCAUGAAUUUUAUUACUUUCUAGAUGACUACUCAGGAUCCAAUCAGAUCCCCAUAGCACCAAAAUAUCAAGAGAAAACAACUUUCACUUGCCCUUUUGGCACAUUUGCAUAUAGGAGGAUGCCAUUUGAAAUAUGUAAUGCACCUGCCACAUUUCAACGAUGCAUGUUAAGCAUUUUUUCUGAUAUGGUUGAACGAUUCCUUAAAGUCUUUAUAGAUGACUUUUCUAUUUUUGGUGACUCAUUUGAUCAAUGUUUACAUCAUCUAACACUAAUUUUGCAGAGAUGUAUCGAGAAGAACUUAGUCUUAAAUUGGGAAAAAUGUCAUUUUAUAGUAAAACAAUGUAUUGUUCUCGGUCACAUCAUUUCGAGCAAAGGUAUUGAGGUUGACAAAGCCAAGGUGGAUCUCAUUUCUAAUCUUCCUCCACCCAAAAGAGUCAGAAAAGUAAGAUCUUUCCUUGGGCAUGCUGGUUUUUAUAAACGUUUCAUUAAAGAUUUUAGUAAAGUUUCUAAACCCUUAUGCAAUCUACUUGUUAAGGAUGUACCUUUUAUCUUUAAUGAUUCAUGUCUUGUGGCAUUUGAAAAAUUAAAACAGUUAUUGACAUCAUCACCCAUCAUUCAGCCCCCAAAUUGUAACUUACCAUUUGAGCUCAUGUGUGAUGCAUCUGAUUAUGCAGUAGGAGCAGUUUUAGGAUAAAAAAUUGAUCAAAUUCUCCAUGUUAUUUACUAUGCUAGUAUGACAUUAAAUGAUGCACAGUUGAACUAUUCAACUAUUAAAAAAGAAAUGCUAGCAGUAGUGUUUGCAUUAGAAAAAUUUUGAUCUUAUCUCAUUGGUUGUAAAAUAAUUGUAUUCACGGAUCAUACGGCUCUUAAAUAUCUUCUCACAAAGAAAUAUGCAAAAGCUAGACUAAUUCGUUGGGUGUUUCUUUUGCAGGAAUUCGACUUGGAAUUUAAAGAUAAGAAAGGCAUAGAAAAUGUUGUGGCAGACCAUCUCUCUCGUCUCCAUUUUGACACAAUUACAAAACCAUUAACAUUGAAUGAGUCAUUCCCAGAUGAAAAAUUAAUGAGUGUGGAAGUAUUACUGUGGUAUGCUGAUAUCGUUAAUUAUCUUGUUACAGGUCAACUUCCAAAGUAUUGGACCAAGCAAGACAAAGCCAAAUUUUUUACAGAAAUAAAGAAUUUCUUUUGGGAUGACCCUUAUUUGUUCAAGUAUUGUGCAGAUCAAAUUGUUAGACGAUGUGUCCCAGAAAGUGAAAUUCAAAAUAUCCUUUCAUUCUGCCAUGAACAAGCUUGUGGAGGCCAUUUCAGUGCUAAGAAAACAGCAACUAAAGUUUUACAAUGUGGUUUCUAUUGGCCAACUAUAUUUCGAGAUGCUUACACUUUCAUUCUUUAUGUGAUAGGUGUUAACGAAUGGGGAGCAUUACACGAAGGAAUAUGAUGCCACUAAAUCCAAUUUUAGUGGUUGAGAUUUUUUAUGUAUAGGGUAUCGACUUCAUGGGACCAUUUCCCCCUUCUUUCGACCAUCAAUACAUAUUGGUUGCUGUUGACUACGUAUCAAAAUGGGUAUAAGUAAUUCCAUAUAGAACCAAUGAUCACAAGGUGGUGAUAGGAUUUUUGAAAAGCAACAUUGUUUCACGCUUUGGAUUCCCUCGAGCGAUAAUCAAUGAUGGUGGUGCCCACUUUUGUAACAAAGCAUUCAAAACUCUUUUGACAAAGUAUUCAAUCACUCACAAAGUGGCGACCCCAUAUCAUCCACAAACCAGUGGCCAAGUUGAGAUCUCCAAUCGAGAAAUAAAGCAUAUAUUAGAAAAGACGGUGAGGCCAGACAGAAAAGAUUGGUCAUUAAGACUUGAUGAUGCAUUAUGGGCAUAUAGAACGGCUUUCAAGAUCCCGAUUGGGAUGUCACCCUAUAGGCUAGUGUAUGGAAAAGCUUGCCACCUACCUGUGGAACUCGAGCAUCGUGCAUAUUGGGCCAUCAAGAAAUUCAACUAUGACAUGCAGCAAGCCAGCUCAGAAAGAAUAUUACAGCUGGCAGAACUUGAAGAAAUUCGCAAUGAUGCAUAUGAAAAUGUCAAGAUUUACAAGCAGCGAAUGAAAGUCUUUCAUGACAAGCAAAUUAUGAGAAAAUCGUUCACUCCAGGUCAGAAAGUGCUUUUAUUCAAUUCUCGCUUGCACUUAUUCCCAGGUAAGUUACGCUAUCGAUAGUCUUGCCCCUUUAUUGUUCAUACUGUUUUUUCACAUGGGGCAAUUGAAAUUAAGGACCCAAAGAACGGUGUCACGUUUAAAGUUAAUGGUCAAAGAUUAAAGCCAUAUCUAGAGUACCAACCACAUGGAGAAGACACCGAAAUAAAUUUGAGUGACCCACCAGAUUUGAAUUGAAUUUUUUUUUCUUUCUUUUUGAUGAUUUGAUUUUUUUUCUUUCUUUUUAUUAUUCUUUUGCUAAUUGAAAUUAUUUUUGCAUAAGUGUGUUUAUUUAACCAUUAAGUUUUCUCUUAUCAUUGUUAAUCAUAAGUGCCAUAGCUAAACAGUUCCUCUUGAACAUUAUUAAACCACUUCAACGUGUAAAAUCUCAUCUCAAAAGGCAGAUUCGAUUUUGUAAAACACAUCGUAUUUGAGCUCUGCAACCACCAGAGUUAGUAUCCUAUGUUAAGGAUUUAGAAAGCCAACUCAGAGACAUUGAGAGAAGUGUCUCUAACAUCCAGUUAGAGCUUGAGGUAAAUUCAAUAAGAGGACGAUUGUAAUUUUCUUUAUGUGUUUUAGUUUGUUUUUCUUUGUUUGUGUGCUUUAGUUUGUUACCCCGGUGAAGUGGCAGAUAACGGUACUCCAUGACAAUCAAGUUGGUUACUUCAGUUUCCCAUAAUAACUGAUAUUCUGAGGCGAAAGUAUGGACAGAAACGAGACUCUAGCGAAGCUUCACAAGCGAUUCCCUUCACUUCCUCAGAAUGCCCUCCUUACGGUCUAUAAAGCUCGGUCCGAACGCAUGCGAUUACUUAUGAGGAAUAACAUACCUGCUGACAUCCGUUGGUUAAUUGAGGCUAAAGUACGAUCGGCAGGUGAGUUACCUCCAAAAUUUAUUGCAUACAUGCCUGGUUGUGGUAAAGGAAAUUAUGCAAGAAAACGACGAGCUCGAAGAAUUUCUGUUGCUUGUCAUAAGUGUGCCAGAAUGAGUUGCAAUAAAAACCCAUGUUCUUUAGGAAUGGUGUCUGAUAAUAGGGAAGAUAAGAUUCAAUUCAUUAAGGAUGGCUUGAAUAAGGAGUCAUUGGAUGAUAUCCUUUUGUCUCUUGAAACGCAUCCCAGUGGAUAUGUACAAGGAGCGAUUCUCCAGUUAUGGCCAUUAUUCCAGAAAGAGCAUGCACGAUAUAGUCUCGGGAAUCUGACUAUAAACGACCCUGUUUGCCAGUUUAUAAGAAAACUGGAUAGGAAGCCUAUCCUCGACCCAUAGAGGGCGUUCAAACCGUUUCUGGACGUAAAACCAGAGGAAGAUGUGAGCCACAGUCGCAACUACCUAUAAAUAUCUUUUUACUUUACUGUUGUUUUAUUUCACUGUUGUUUUAUUGUUUGCACUAUUGUCUUUAAUAAUUUUAUCACUGUUUGCUUUUUCCUUUUUACUGUUUCCUUUUUUACUCUUAAGCCAUGUGCUUUACGCAUUAUUUGAUACUGACAUGCUACCUUAUACAUAGCUGUGACCCACUGUGACCAAGAUUAUUAAAUAUGAUUUUUUGUCAAGUACUCACAAAUUAUUUUUGAGAAGUAUCCCAAUGGCAGCUACUCCCAAUAGACAAUUUAAGAACAUUUGUGUGCUUUUUGGAUUUAACUAUGGCAAACAUAAAGAGUUCGUUGAGGCAGCCAUAGAUCUUAGUCGAAGUAUAGCAAAGAGAAAACUACACUUGGUGUAUGUAGGAGGUAAUCGAUGGUUAUCAAAAUUGGUCUCAGAGUCUACUUUUGUCAGAGGAAGCCAAGUGUUAGGCAUCAUCCCAAGAGCUCUAAAACCUUUGGCUAGUUUGUCUAACUCACCGACUGGAGAAGCGUUAGUUGUCUCAGGUAUGCAAGAAAGAAUAACUGAAAUGCUUAAUCAUACUGAUGCUUUUAUUUUUCUUCCAGGAGAUCUUGCAACACUAGAGGCACUUAUCACACUAGCAUCCUGGGCCCAUCUGCACAUUCACCAGAAACCCAUCGGUUUGUUAAAUGUCAAUAACUUUUAUGAUGGCUUUAUCGCAUUUCUUAACCAUGCAAUAAAAAACUAUUUCAUUCCUUCCACAGCGAAAAAGCUUUUUAUUUGUGCUCACACUGCUAAUGAGCUACUUGAUUAUUUACAUGCUUAUAGACCGGAGCCAGACCCCUAGACCUUUGUGUUGGAGCGUCCAAAUAAUGAUGGUAACAGUAGCCAUAGUAAGAAGUACAAAUUAGAUUUAACCUCCGCUUGUAAAUAGUUUCUUCUGUGCUGCACCACCCAGGUGAUGUCUUCUAAACUCUACUUCUUUUCUUUAAAACAUUGAGGACAAUAUUUCGUUCUAGUUGGGGGGAGGGAAUAGUCGACAAUUGUGGAAUCUUGGUUAAGUUUUUAUUGAUUUUUGUUGUAGAAACUAACUGUUGCUAACUUUUUGUGUUAAAGAUGGCUGAAUAUGGAGUGUAGUGACUCUAGAAACGCAUCUUCAUCGUUUGAAAAAAAAAUUCAGAUAUUUUCUUUUUCUUUAUUAAGCUUUGAUAUUCAUUUUUCUUCUUCUUUUUAAUUUCUCCUUUAUAAAUAUACAUUUUCAAAUUUUUGAGUCGAAGAUGGCUGAAUAUGGAGUGUAGUGCCUCUAGAAACGCAUAUUCUUAGUUAAAAAAAAAACCAUUUUCUUUUUCUAUCAUUUUAAGUGUAACUUUUCGAAUUAGUUUUUCUGCAUCAUUUUCACAUUUCUGCAUGCAUAUUUUCCGUUCAUGUUUAGAAUAGGUUAGGGGGUAGAAUGUUGUUUGAAAAAAAAAUUGUGUGAUUUGUUUUAACAUUGGAUGACAUGAUGAUUUCAAAUUUUAGUAUUUGUAUUAUCUUUGGUCUUAAGUGAUGUUACAGCAUCUUUGCUACUCUACAUGUUGAUGUCGGAGACAAAUAUGAGUUGCUUGAAGGAAUGAACAUGUCAUAAUAAGUACCAAGGAAGUUUUUGAGCCUAUCAUUUUUCUUGGAGAGUAACCCUUUUGCCCAUUCUUCAUACAACUUAGCAAUUUAUUAUUUUAUACACGAUCUCUAGAUUUCUUUUGAGUUAACCUUUAAAAAAAAUUGUAAAAUUAAAAAAAAAAGAAAGAAGAAAAAAAUGUGUGUUGCUACAUCUAAAGGCCCAUCUAACUAGUAGAUAUGGAAGAUUAUUUAGGAGCCUUAAACGACGAUGGAAAGACCAUUUUUGAUCCAUUUGAGCCAUUCUAGCCAUCCCUUUUGUGAAAUAUCCAUAGUUAACCCUUUUGAACCUUAAAAAAAGAAAAAACCUUUUCUUUGUCAAACUUAUCAUCUUGACCCACUCCGAUUUGCAAUAUUACCUGAUAUCUUAUAAGUUCCAUCACCUAUUUAUAUUUGAGAAAAAUGUAAAUAAUUAUUUUGUUCAAUGAUGUUGUGCCAAAAAAAAGAAAAAAAAAACAAAAAUUUUUGUUUUAAAAAAAACAAUAAUAGGUGAAAUCCACCUUACAACUUCCAAAAAAAAAAAUUCUCUGCAUUUUUCUUAAACAUACACUUUAUUUUCCUUAUUUCCCCUCUUUUGUUAGCCAUGUCCCUAGCCUAUGUUACGUCCUAAUAAAAGUCCUUCUUGAUUUUAGGGAACUAUAGUCUGGCAUAGAAGCUAGUUAUAUGGGCGAAAAAGAUGUAGUGGUACAUAAUAAAAAAUAAAUAAAUAAAUAAAUUGGGUUGACUAGAAUUUUUGUUUGACUUGAGAUCAUAUUAUUUCUAAGCUGAGGGUAUAUUUCUUUUAUCUUAGUGAGAGCAUGUGAUAUCACUUCUUUAUUAUUUUCUCUCUCAAUUACCAUUCAUUGGAGUUACUAUUUUUAUUGGGUUUAAUUUCUUUGUGAGAGUAUCACUAUUUUCAAUGAGAUUUUAGAGUUUAACAUGUCAUUCUUGAAAGUAGUUGUGACAAAGUCUACUGGGCUAAUUCAUGUGGAUGGUUGAUGUGGGUGUGAUGUUUCUUUAAACUGGAGAUAAUGCUUAUAUUUUUAUUUGAUUACUAUCAUUUAUCUGAUUGAAUAAACAUGAUUGUUAAAAAAAAAAUCAUUUUGGAUUUGAAUUUUGUUUUCGCUUUAUUUGCUAGGGACUAGUAAUAAGCUAGUUGGGGGGUGUGUUGAGUGUUAGAAAAUGUAUAUUUAUAAACGAGAAAAUUCAUUUUACAUUUCAAGUUUUACUAACACCCUUACUUUUAUGUAUUUAACCUUCUUGUGAUUUAAUUACGUGUGUUUUAUUUUAAUUAAGUAUUUUAUGUAUUUUAAGGGCAUCAUGGUCAUUUCACAAUGAACGAAAAAUCAGACGGCAAAACGGACAUCACUUUUGAACUCAGGACAGUCGAAAACCUUAGGAGGAGCAUAAAAGGAAAAAUGUCAUCGUUCACAUGUACGGUACUAUUCACAUGUACGGUAUUGUCUACGUUACUGUUCACGGCACUGUUCACAUAGACAGACCGAUGACGUGGCAUUGACCGAUGACAUGGCAUUGACCGAUGAUGUGGCGUUGAUUGAUGAGGUGUCACGCAUUACACAGGAUUAUUUUCAACCAAACCGGUUCACUAUUCAAACCGCGUACUGUUGACUGAUGACGUGGCGUAAUCCUGAGCGUCCAAACUGUUUUUAAUCCGAUGGCCAUGAUUUACUCAAUGUAUCUAUAAAAAGGGGACCUCUCCCCCCUAAUUUGGCAUCUCUGAAUCCAUUUUUGGACUCCAUUUUUUGUAAUUCCUUCGCCAUCUUGUAUUUUCUACGUAUUUUAAUAAAUUCUCAUUUUGCCCCUACUUCAAUUAUGAAUAGCUAAUUUUCUUUCAAGCUUGGGUUUAAGGUGAAGUCUCAACAUGUGUUUUAUUUGGUAAAUUUAUUUUCUUUUCCCCUCUAAUUUUUGUUGAUGAUUUGACUUUUCAUCGACAAAUAAUAAUAAUCUUGUCUAGAUACCGCCCUGGUUACACCGGCUCCCUAAUACAAGGUUAUUAUUACUUGGCACAAUAAGCCCUUAGCACCAUAUUGAUUAAAGCGUGGUUCAUGAGGUGUGGAUUCCCCCCUCAUGAUUUAAUUGGCAUUAAUAAGGAAUAUUUUACCCAUUGUGCAUGUUGAUACGGAUCCAGAUACCCAAGUACGUCAUUUCAAUAGAUUUCUCUUCAAUUUAUUCUCGCCAUUUCAAUUCCAAUUUUAGGAUAAUCUAAGUCACUUUCACCACAAAUCCUACCACCUAUUUAGAAAAAUUAAUUCUACACACAAUUAAAAUUGACCUCCUCGUGGGAUCGACACUCAUCACCAUUGAUCUAUUCUACAAUAGAUUCGUGCGCUUGCGAGUUCAAUAAAAUUUGCACAACAGUGCCCAGUCUAGUCGCCCACCAAAAUGAAUUUUGCAUCACCACGUGUCGCUCCUACGUCAUAUACAAAGUUUCUUUUGCCUCUAAUACUUCUUGCCAAAAGAAACUAGGGGGAUGUUGUUUGGAGGAAAAACAAGCAAGGUAGCAGAUCUCCACGUGUCGACGAACGGAAUAACUCCAUCAUCAUUCGAGGUACCCGGCAUAAUUCUAGAUACCUCGUAUAACUCGAGAGUAACUCGAGGUACCCCGCACAACUCGGGAGUAGCUCGAGGUACCCCACAUAGCUAGAGGUACCCCGUAUAAGUCGUGGUACCCGACAAAUCGGAUUUAGGAGAACCCUCUGAAAAAGUUCGCCAUGAGAAAUGUCUCCACCUCUUAAAGGAUAAUAUUCGAUUUUGUCAUAAUUAAGUAUCAAAUGUCGUACCGAAACGCGGUGACAGCCACCUGCCACCUCUGCUAAAAGUGAAGGACAUUGUGCCAAUGACAGUGGUCCUUAGCUGCCUAACCCGACAGCCACUGCAGAGGUACCCUGGACCACUCUUCAGAGCGUGCGACGUUUCCAAAGGGUGAGAUACGCCGGGAACGCCUUCUUGAUUACCAAGCAUGCAUAUAACGACCCAAAAAUCAUAAAAAAGGAAAAAAAGUGAGGUCUAAAAAGGGACAGCCAAUAGCCAUAAAAGAUACGUCACGUGGCAGCUGAGAUACCCCAUAUAUAAAGGUGUCCAGGUUUUAUUCUCCAUUAUGUUUUCAUUCACUCAUGAACACUCAUAUUCUACAAAAUAAGCUUUCUUCAACCUUAAACCUUGAUUUACAAAGGGUUGGCAAGCUCUCUUUGCCAUAAAAAAGCUUGAGUUGCUAACUUGAGCGUCGGAGUGUGAAUGUCGGGGUACCCCGGCUUCACCUCGAACCUCUAUUUCACUGUUUUACAGGCGUGAACCUCAUUUCGAAGGACAUUUUUCUUGGUUCAAACCUUUCACCAUUGUUACCACUUCCUUCUUCCCUUCUUACCUCAUCCUAAUUUCAUAAACAUCGCACACAACAAACUAGUGAGGUACCUUGUUUCCCCUAAAAAUACAAAUUCAUUGUUCUAGAUAUGUUUACCUUUUUCUACCCCCAAAAUAUGUCUAAAACGAUGUAUAUAUGCAAAGUUUAAAUAGUUAAUUGCUCAAGUAUGGAUAAUUUAAGCAUUUAUACUAUGUAAAAUUCGUAUUGAUUUGUUCAAUACUCUGGAUCAAUUGGCUUUCACAGUGUUGCACACACCAAGCACAUCAACGACUUUGGUCGUAAUUGCUCAAGUGGGCAAGAAGAGGAAUUCAUUGGCAAGCUAGCAGCCAGUUUGCCUCCAAGUCCCCUAGCACUAUGACCAAGUUACAGGAGCAUUAGCUGCUGGCUUCAUUUGACUCAUUAUCUCCCUGUUUUUGCUUCUCUAUUCAAUCCACACAAUAGUGCUGAAUCCCCUAUUUGUUUAAAAGGUUGCUUCAUUGUCUCAAGUAUUUUUGGUCACCAACUUUGAGAAUUUAUUUCUUCUUUUUAUGAUGCUUCUUAUCUAAUAAGAAUGUGUGAUUUAGAGCUUGUAUUUGUUUAAUUCUUAAUAUCUCAAAAGUUUUACAAAAGAGAGACAAAACAAGAAAAGUUGAAUAUUGACUACAUUAAUGAAGGUUCAUUGUACUAAUUAAUCAUACAUGUUAUUCUUAAUGUUAACCACAUCCAAGUCUUGAAUUUGAAUUUGUAAGAGUCAACAGCACUAGAUGCACGCACAAAAAACAUAUUACAUAAUAUUACGUACUCAUAAUGGAUUAAUUUAUUUUUUUUAUUAAAACAAAAAUUUAAUUUCACUGCAAUUGAUGAUUAUUGCAAAAGCACUCAUAAAACAUAAAAGAAAUAAUUGUUUAUCAAAUUCAUUUGCAUCCCCCAGGGAACAAAGAAAUAAUAUAAUCUUCGAAAGCCUUUUUUAACUUCUCAGACAAACACUCUUCCCAUGUAAGCAUUAAGCAAUCAGUAAUGUCAGGAGAUGCUACAAGAUUAAUGGAAAAUAAAGCAUUCGACUUAGAUCCUCGGCUAGUACGACAUCCUGAAAUAGGUCUGCAUUUAGUGUUUGCCACUACAAGCAAAGCCAAGACGAUGAAACUAAGAAUCUUUGACAAUUUUAUGUUUCAUUAGUAGGCUGACUACAAGUUUACUUUGAAGUCCCCCAAUACUGUGACCAAAUUACAGGAGCAUUAGCUUUAGGCUUCCUCAUACUUGCCAUCCAUUUACUGCCGCUUCUAUAUUUAAUCCACACAGUAGACCUAAAUCCCCAUACUUGUUCAAAAGACUUAAUUCAUUGCCUCAAGUCUUUUUGGCUACCUAGUUUUAAGAGUGUAUGACUAAGAACUUGUAUUUGUUGAAUAACAUCUCAAGAGCAUUACAACAGAAAGGAAAAACGAGAAAAGCUGAAACUGACUGCAUUGAUUAAAAUUCCUACUUGUUAUUCUUAGUGGUAACCACAUUUAGGUCUUGAAUUUGUAGGAGCCAACAUCAUGAAGUACAUAUUUUGCAUCAUAAAAUGAUUAAUCUUAUUGUUAUCUCUGCUUUCACUAUUUUCUUAUCAAAAUUUUUUUCUUACCUUACUAACUGUAUAAAAAUUUACAAAUUAGUAUAUUAUCAUUUUUAAGUCAUCAAUUAAGUUUAAAUAUUAUUUUUUUUAUAUAACAAAAAUAAUUAAAUAUCUAAAUUUCAAAGACAUAUUAAAUUAAAGCCAAACUAGCCAUCUCAAAUAUAUAAAAGAAUACAUGUUUGCAUUUAGAAACAAUUGCUUUAAACCACUUUGUAAUUUCCAAAAAAAAAAUUAAAUGAAAUAAAAUAAGAUAAAAUAAAAGAAAUUAAAAACCAAUAUUUUAAUUUCAAGUGAUGAAAUUAAAAUUAUGGAUACUAUUACAAUGUGACAUGUGUUGUGCAGCCUAAUAAUUGUAACUAGCCAACAAAUUGUCCAUUUCCUUAUGUAAACAAAUUUUCAUCUUGAAUGCAAUUUGCAAUGCGCCAUUACAAAAUCACAUCUAAUUAGAGAAAGAAUUUUGUAUGUUUAGUAGAUUAGGCAAAUACAUGUAAGAAUAAUAAGAAAAAAAUUGUUAUAUUAAUUAGGGCAAACUUCCAUUCAUCCCUCCCAGUAAAAAUCUUUAAUUUACCCUUUGAAAACAUGAAUAACUCAAUUUACUCUAAUUUUUGUUCAGAAGAUAAGCGUAAAUGAAUUUAUUUAUUUAUUUAUUUAAUAGUAAAAAGGGGUGAGACGAUGCCUUCACAUUUUUUGGGGUAAAAUCAAUAUUCUCAGAGUUUAAAUUAAAGUCUACACAUAAAUUAAUUCAGGCAAUUAAAUUGAAGUUUACCCUUAAAUUAAUUGAAACAGUUCAGUAAUAUAACAUGUCAAUAAAAUACAAGGGUUCAAUUUUUUUUUUUAAUAAAGAAGCAGCCUCACCCUAAAAGAAAAUGGAUUUAAAAUUCAAAUAUUACUGGUACUAACAUAGUAAUAAUGAUCAUUAUUAGUAUUUCAACAAUUACUUUCUCGUAGAUUGAGUCAACAAUUUGUAUACAACAAAAUAGCAUCGGAUGCAUGCACAAAAGACAUAUGACAUAACAGUGCAUACUCAUAAUGGAUUAAUUUUCACUUUUAUUAAGACACAGUUUCAAUAACAUUAAAAAUGAUAAAAUUAAUGAAAUGCAUGUUUUUAAAUUAGUUUAUAAUGCAACGAGGUAUUUAAAUCAAUAGUUAAUGCAAACAAACACGGCAUAAUUUAUUUAAGCCUCAGUAAGGUCGUCUGCAGCUUGUUUCUCAAUAUUCCUUCAUAUAAAUAGAGGCUCAUGCCUUCCUAAUUUUGACACUUCUCUUUUAAUUCUAAUUAAGCUAUUUAGAAUUCAAUUAAGAAAUUGGAAAAUGUGGAAUAGUUUAGUUUGUCAUCUUAGCUUUGCUUGUAAUGGAAAACACUGAAAGUAUGCUUACCCAAAUGUUGAUUUUCUAUUGCUUAUGGCUCACAAGUGAAGAGUGGUUCAUCAAGAAUUUUAAGAAAGUUCUCAAAGACUAUCUUAAUCCCUGCCCCUAAGGAGGAUGUAAAUGAUUUUGAUAAUCAGUUAUUUCUUUUGUCUUGCAUGAGUGCUUUUGUAAUAAGGUUCAACUGUAAUGAAAUUGAAACAAUAUUUUAAUAAAAGAAGAAAUUACUCCAUUAUGAGUAUGUAACUUAUGCCUUUUGGUUUUUGUGUAUGUAUCUAGUGUUGAUUUAUUGCAUACAUAUCAUUGAAUCAAUCAAAGAGAGACAAAUCUUCUAAAAUACCAAUAGCAAUCAAGCAAUCAUAAUUACUAUGGUAGUAACAUGCAAUAUUUAAAUUCUAAGUCUAUUUUCUUUUAGGGUGAGGCUAUUUGGACCCUAUUUUAUUGAAAUUUCAUUUUAUUAAACUGUCUUAUUUAAUUUUAAGGUAAACUUCAAUUUACGCCCUAAGAAUCUUCAAUUUGCCUAAAAAGUGUGAAAAAAAAUCAAUUUACCGUCAUUUACUCUAAGAAAAUAAAUAAAUAAUUCAUCAAUGUGCCCUCAUUUAUGUUCAUCCUAUGAACAAAAAUUAGGGUAAAUGAGAUUUCAUGCUUUUUAAAGGGUAAAUUAAAGAAUGUUAUUAGAAAGGGGAUGGACUUAAGUUUGCCCAAAUUAAUAUAACUAAACUUUUCAUAUUAUUUUUGACAUGUACCUACCACAUAGCUUUGUCUAUAUCAAAUCAAUCUUUACUUAUCAACUCUAUUAUAGAUACAUGGGAAUAUUGAAAAAAAAUAAUAUUUUGAUGAUCUAAUUAAAGAUACAACAAUGAUUUAACCAUAAACACUUGUACAAAGACUAGCAUUCAAAUUAAGUUGGUAACUUACGUUGCACGAAUGGAUUGUGAUGCAAUGAAAACAUUAUUGAGUUUACUGAUGGAAGAAACUAGCUUUCUGAAUAAUGUAUAACAAGUUUAAAUAUCACGAAUUUAUCAAAAUAUGCAAAUUUGAAGUAUAAUAUGAUAAUUAAAUUUUCCUAAUCAAAAUAAGAAAAGGAAAACAAACGACGCUCAAAUUUGAGUUCUAAAAAAAAGAUAAAAAUCCUAGAAGAAUUAAGAAAAACAGAAAAAAAAAUCUUAAAAAUAGAAAACAACUAGGAAAUAAGGGAAUUUUCGACUCGAACACGGGGUAAAACGACUUAGGCGGCCUAGGUUUUGUCCGUCUCAACAUAUGCUUCGAAACGACACACACACACACACACACUGAAAACGAACACCUGUAGCCAAGCUUUGGCCUUUGGAAGGUAUCCAGCUCGUGGCACAUAACACCUUACAUCAGUCCCCUGCACUUGGAAAAGAACUUAUCCUCAAGAUUGGCUCGUACAAUUCCUUAUCGUUUGGAUGAUACUCAAACAGAUCAGCCACAUUAAAGGUGUGAGAGAUGUUCUAGCUGUCGGGCAACUAAAUCACAUAAGCAUUAUUAUUAAUCUUCCAUGCCAGUCAAAAUGGUCUGCAUUUUCACUUCUCCAAUUUAGUGCGAAUGCCAGGGAAAUGACUCUGGCGUAGAUAUGCCAUCACCGAGUCACCUCUACAAAUAGUUUCUUAUGAUGAUGCUUGUCCACUUCAGCCUUGUAUUUUGCAUAGGCAGUCUCCAAGUGAGUUCAUACUUCAGCAUGAAUACGCAGAGCGCUUUCUGCUACAUUAUUCACUGUUUUACUUUCUCCAGCUCUCUCUACUAAUGGUAUCCAAGUCACAGACAUGGCAUGGGGACAAUCUCAAAAGGGGUUUUGCCAGUAGAUUGAUUUACCUUGUUAUUGUAAGUAAACUCAACCUGAGGCAAGGUAACUUCUCAGUUCAGUUGCUUAUCACCACAAAGAUGGCGCAAUAUGUUACCUAAAGUUUGGUUGACCACAUUUGUUUGUCCAUCUAUCUGUGGAUGGAAAGCACUGCUAAACUAUAAUUGCAUACCAAACUUAUCCCAGAGAUAACGCAUGAACUUACUAAUGAACUUCACAUCUCUAUCAGAAAUAAUGGUCUUUGAAAUGCCAUGCAAAUGCACCAUCUCUUGAAAGAACAAAUAUGCCACUGAGGUAAAAUCUUCUGUCUUUUUAUACACAAUAAAAUGCACCAUCUUCAAAAACAUGUCCAUCACCAAUAUAAAAUCUUGAGUUGUCCUUAUAAGAGGCAAUCCUAGCAUAAAGUCCAUUGAUAGAUCAAACCAAACAUUUUAUGGAAUACAUACAAGCAUCUAUAAGCUUGUAUUAUGUGCAUGUUCCUUGUCUUCUUGGCAAAGCUGACACCAUUACAAAUUUUUUGCAUAUCUGCAUUUUACUGUGGCAAAAAAUAACACUCUUCCAUAAGCGCCUUGGUCUUAUCUCGUCCAAGAUGUCUGCCUAAUCAUCUUCCCUACAACUCACAGAUAAUCUGCUCCCUUAAAAAACUUCGAGGCAUAAGUAGUUGGCCUUGAAUAAAUGCCCAUCUUAAAUGAAGAAAUCCUUUGUAUUCUAAGGAUUCAUGUAAUAAUCCUAAAUAUGCACAAAGUCAUCAUCCUCAGCAUAGAACUCUUUUAAGCACUCAAAACUAGUAACUUCAUUAAUUAGAGUUACCAAUAAAGUUGCUUACCUAUUUCAUGCUUCUGCCACUUUAAUCUGCUGCCUAAACUUGUGCUUCAUAACAAAAUUGAACUUCUACAUAUAAUUCACCCUACCUUGUAUACAUCUUGCUCAAGUUUUGCUGGCUAGUAAAGUACNNNNNNNNNNNNNNNNNNNNNNNNNNNNNNNNNNNNNNNNNNNNNNNNNNNNNNNNNNNNNNNNNNNNNNNNNNNNNNNNNNNNNNNNNNNNNNNNNNNNAGUAUUGCUCCCACAUCUUCAACGCCCUAAGGAUGGCAUAAAAAUCUUGGUCGUUAGCAAACUAGUUCUACCAUGCCUCAUUUAAUUUCUCCCUCAUAUAUUCAAUUGUCUGCCUCUUUGGGAAAGAACGGCCCCAAUUAUCUUGCCAAAAGCAUUACACUCGACCUUAAAUAACUUGUCGAACUUUGGCAAGGCUAACGUAGAAGUGGUAGAUAACUUAUCCUUAAGUAAAGCAAAGCUCAUCUCUUCGUUUUCUCCCUAUUUGAACUUUCCUUUCUUCAAGAACUUUGUGAUAAGUGCUAUUGUAGUGCCAAAACUGUUAAUAAACCUCCUAUGAAACAUUGUUAGCCCAUGAAAACUCCUAACUUCACUCACUAUCUUAGGCAUAGGGCAUUUACUAAUGGCUUGCAUAUUUGAUUCAAUUGCUUGAAUCCUAUCUGCACCAACUAUAAAAUCUAAAAACUCUACAUUACUCUGCAAAAUCUACACCUUUUCAUAUUAAUGUAAAGCUAAUUCCUCCACAAUACCUUAAUAACCAUUCUCAAAUGCUCCGAAUAUAUCACCAUAUCAACAGAAUACACCAAAAUAUCAUCAUAAUAUACCACAACAAAUUUGCAAGAAAAAAGGCUUAAGGACCUAGUUCAUUAAGCGCAUAAAAGUACUCGAUGCAUUUAAUAUUUUGAAUGGCAUCACUAACCACUCAUAAAACCCUUCUUUUGUCUUUUUUUCACUCACUUCUGGGCCUAAUCUGAAUUUAAUGAUACCUAAAUUGCAAGUUUAUCUUCAAGAAAGCCAAAGCACUAUCUAAUUGAGUUAGCAAAUCUCGAAGCAUUAGAAUAGGAAAACAAUAUUUCACCAUAAUCUAAUUAAACCAUCUGUUGUAUAUACACAUACACCAACUCAUAUUCUUCUUUGGCAGUAACAAGGCUUGUGCAACACAUGGACUCACGCUCCCAUGAAUGAAUCUCUUUCACAAUAAUUCAUCAACCUAACCUUGUGGAAUCGCAUACUCAUGAGGACUCAUAUGACAAUUGGCAAGUUAGGUAAGUUUGUACUAGGUACUAGGUCUAUAUGAUGUUGGAUUUCUCACAAAAGUUGUAGCCUAUUUGGCAUUUCUGAUGGUAUAAUGUUAGCGAAUUCAGUUAACAAUGGUUGUACCUUUAAUUUACCUCGAACUUAUCUUCUUUCUAUAGCUUCUUUCAACUGUCACAAUCUUCUUCUAGAUGUCCCUUCACAAUAGUUAGAAAAUUGUUCCCUUUAGCUUUAAGAUUCUUCUUUUUAUUUGUUAAAGGCACAAAAUGAACCAUUUUACUAUUCCACCAAAACUCUUACACAUUAUUCGCUUCUCUAUGUAUUGUAUCCACAUCAAACUACCAAGGUCUACCCAAUAACAAAUGGCAAGUAUCCAUAUCUACUACAUCACAUACCAUAUCAAUCUUAUAAAUCUAGAAAGAAAAAGGACAUACCUCUGUCACUUGCGUUUUUAUCCUAUCACUUUAACUAAUGCCAUUGAGACUAUGUUUUCACUACUACCACUAUCAAUUAUCACCUGGCACACCUUAUCAUUGAUGGUGCCAUAUAUUCUGAAAAUCUUAUUACACUGGUUAACUUCUUCAAAUUUUGGUGCCAAUAAAAUCUUCUGCACAAUACAGUUUAGUAACUCUCACCUCAUCUGCUUCCAAUUCCAAAGCCUACUUGUCAACCCUAUUCUCAACAUCAUUCAACUCAACUUCAUUGACUUCUACCUCUACCAAAUUUAAAUUUUUAGGAUGAUAUUCAUUGGAUCUAUGCUCUGGUUCUCCAUGCUUCAAACACUUAUUCAGUAUAGGAUUUGCAUAAGGAUUAUUCUACUGUCUGGGUGGCUAUGCUAUCUGGGUGGUUGUUGUCUUAACUACUGCACAGUCCAAAACUCUGGCUCAUCUAUAUUCAUCAAACACAUUGUGAUUUCCUUGCCUACAAUUCUAAUAUUUCACGUACAACUGUUGUUAGUAACUCGCUAGCAGAAAAUACUCUUUCAUCAUCUUUUGCAUUCUAGACCAUGAUUUGAUCAAUGACUUUCUUACAACUCUUUUUAGAUUUUGUACCUUUCGCCAUCAUGCGGAUGCCGCGGCCUUUAAUUUAAAUUCCAUAAGCUUUACCCACUUAUCUUGGGAAAUCUCCAUAUACUGAAAGAAAUUUUUUAUGUCCUCUAUCCAGUCCAAAAAUUCUUCAACAUGGAUCUCAUUAUAAAAAAUCUGCAAUAUCUACAUUCAUCUUGUAUUCUCAACUAUUUCCAUGCCUUCUAUAACAAUCCUUAGCGUCUUUUUCUUUCUAAUUGCUUUCUAACUCGUGACGCACACACGGCUGCACUCGCCUCACGAGUUCUAGGUUCUAAAGCACUACUUUGAGAUUGAUGCCCUGAAGUGCUGCUUCACGAUUUAAACCUUGUCGAACCUCUUGAUGGUGAUAAUCCCGAGAUCGUUCAUCUUGAUUGACUUCUUCAACUACUCUCUCGCAAUUAACUUGUUACCACUGCUCUCUUUCUCUCUAUAUUAUUCAUGGAAAAUGUGAGACCCUCAAUUGCUUGCUCCACUGCUGCCAUGCUCAGGUUUAAUGCAUUCUUUAUGACUUACAAGACUUCUUCUAUGACCAUUUGUCUAAUAGUCUCUACAGACAUUGCCUACAUCUCUUAAUCAGCGUCUUUCAGAACGGUUGUUCUUUUGUUUUUUAUGGUCAUGCCAUGAUGACAGGCAAAUUUGCUCUGAUACCAACUGAUGAAACGAAAACAUUAUUGAGUUUAAUGAUAGAAGAAACUAGGUUUCUGAAUAAUGAUGAAUUUUAUUAAAAGUUUAAAUGAGUAAAACUAAAGUUCUGAGCCCCAUUUAUAAGAAGUCUAAAUAUUGUGAAUAUAUUAAAAUAGGAAAAUCUAAAAUAUAAUAUGAUAAUUAAAUUCUCCUAAUCAAAAUAAGAAAACAAAAAUAAGUGGCACUCAAAUCCGAGUUCUAGAAAAAAAAAGAUAAAAAUCCUAGAAGAACUGGGAAAAAUAGAAAAAAAUCUUAAAAUUAGAAAAUGACUAAGAACGAAGCGAAAUUUUCAGCUCGACUAUUGGCAGAAUAGCUUAGCCAAUUCUGUUUUUUGUUCGUCUUGUCAUAAGCUUUGAAAAGACAUAUUAUACUCUGAAACAAACACUUGUAACCCAAAUUAUGGCCUCUAGAAGAUACCCUGCUCGUGAACACACAACAUCCUACGUCAGAUUGAUUGGAUAAAGUAUCAUAGGAUCCAUACAAAUAUUUAUGAUUACUUUUACUUUCUAACCAAUCCAUGUAUCAUGCAUAAGUUACUAACUCAUUUCUUAGGACUAAUCCAAAUAACUCUACAAGAGAGAUUUUAAUAGAUAAUCCCACAAGGAAUUACAAAAGAGAGGUUUUUAUUGAAUUGUUGAAGUUCAAGUCACAAAAAUACUAAAAAGACCUUUCUAUUUAUAAUAGAGAAAAUCUAUUUCCCUAAGUUAACUUAAAAGGGGAAAAUAAAUCAAAAUUAAAUUAGAAAUAAAAAAUUAAGACUCGUAUCAUAACUGACACUAAUUAAAAUAGAAAAUUCUAAAAUAAUAAAAUUCUAAACCUUAAAAUAACAUCCUACAUCAGUUUGCCACUACAAGUAAAGCCAAGAUGAUGAAACUAAAACUCUUCAACAUUUUUCAACUAUAAACAAUUUAGUUAGAAUUAAAUAAGAUGUGUAAUAAUUAGGAAGGCAUGAGCCUCUAUUUGUAUGAAAACAUAUUGAGAAAUGAGUAGUAUUAACUUUAAUGGAAUUAAAAUAUUCCAUAAAUGAGGAUUAAAUAAAUUACGUUGUGUUUGUUUUAAUUAACUAUUGAUUUUAAUAUCUUGCUACAUUAUGAAGGCAAUACAACAUAUGAUUAAUUAAUUUUAGAGUUUUAUUCUUGUUAUUUUGUUUAGUUCAUUAUUAGAUUUUUUUUUCUCUUUAUAUCAAUCAUCAAGCCCCUUUUUUUUUUAAAUAUAUGAAGAUGUUUCUACAAGCCACAUCCUCCAAUGAUAUCAUAUUCUAUAUAUUUGCACAGAUAUAUAGUAAAACUUCUAUAAAUUGUCAAAUAGUCUUAGUUUCAUCAUUUUAGCUUUGCUCGUAGUGGCAAACACUAAAAGCAUGCUUACCUAGAUGCUUCAUUUUAUGUUGCUCAAGGCUUGCAAGUGAAGAGUGUUUCGUCAAGAAAUUUAAGAAAGCUUUUGAAGAGAUGCAAAUGAUUUUGUUAAUCAGUUAUUUCUUCUAUCUUGUAUGAGUGCUUUUGCGAUAAUGAACAAUUGUAGUGAAAUUUAAACAGUGUUCCAAUAAAAGAAGAAAUUAAUCCAUUAUAAGUAUAUAAUGUUAUGUCAUAUGUUUUCUGUGUGUAUAUCUAGUACUAUUUUGUUGUAUGCAUAUUGUUAGAUCAAUUUACGAGAGAGAAAUUGUUGAAAUAUUAAUAAUGAUCAAGCAAUCAUAAUUGCUAUGAAAGUACCAUAUGUAAUAUUUAAAUUUUAAGUCUACUUUAUUUUAGGGUAGGUUAUUUGCAUCCUAUUUUAUCAAAAUCUUACUUCAUCAAAAUCUUAUAUUACUAAACUGUUUGAUUUAAUUUAAGGGUAAACUUCAAUUUACACCCUGAGAAUCUUCAAAUUCCUCCCCAAAAAAAAGUGAAAAAAUCAAUUUACCCACAUUUACUACUAAGAAAGCAAAUAAAAAGUUCAUCAAUGUGUCCCCUACUUAUUACUCAUCUUCUGAAUAAAAGUUAGGGUAAAUUGAGGUUGUCAUACUUUUGGAGGGUAAAUUGAAGAUUAUUACGAGGGAGAUGAACUGAAAUUUACCCUAAUUAAUAGACAAAAAAUUUCAUAUUGUUUUGACACGUAUUUGCCGCAUAGGUACAUGACUAUAUCAAAUCAAUCUUUACUCAUCAAAUCUUUUACAUAGGUUUGCGAAUGUUGAAAAAAUAACAUUUUGAUUAUCUAUUUAAAGAUGCAACAAUCAUUCAACCAUAAAUACUUGUACAAGCACUUGUAUGCAAACUAAGUUUGGUAACUUAUGUUGCACAAAUGGAUUGAUUGGAUAGAAGUAUCAUAGGAUCUGCACAAUUAUUUUUAUAAUUGCUUAUACUUUUUGGCCAAUCCAUGUGUUCCACAUAAGUUGCUAACUCAUUUUUUAGGAAUAUAAUUAUAUCUUCGUUAUCAAAGAUGCAUAAUGAAUUUGGCUACCCCAGCCCCGGCAUGUACAUUUGAGAUGGAUCUAAAUUUCCUCAUAUGAGCUCUGCUACAUGGGCACAUUUGAAAAAAAAAAAANNNNNNNNNNNNNNNNNNNNNNNNNNNNNNNNNNNNNNNNNNNNNNNNNNNNNNNNNNNNNNNNNNNNNNNNNNNNNNNNNNNNNNNNNNNNNNNNNNNNNNNNNNNNNNNNNNNNNNNNNNNNNNNNNNNNNNNNNNNNNNNNNNNNNNNNNNNNNNNNNNNNNNNNNNNNNNNNNNNNNNNNNNNNNNNNNNNNNNNNNNNNNNNNNNNNNNNNNNNNNNNNNNNNNNNNNNNNNNNNNNNNNNNNNNNNNNNNNNNNNNNNNNNNNNNNNNNNNNNNNNNNNNNNNNNNNNNNNNNNNNNNNNNNNNNNNNNNNNNNNNNNNNNNNNNNNNNNNNNNNNNNNNNNNNNNNNNNNNNNNNNNNNNNNNNNNNNNNNNNNNNNNNNNNNNNNNNNNNNNNNNNNNNNNNNNNNNNNNNNNNNNNNNNNNNNNNNNNNNNNNNNNNNNNNNNNNNNNNNNNNNNNNNNNNNNNNNNNNNNNNNNNNNNNNNNNNNNNNNNNNNNNNNNNNNNNNNNNNNNNNNNNNNNNNNNNNNNNNNNNNNNNNNNNNNNNNNNNNNNNNNNNNNNNNNNNNNNNNNNNNNNNNNNNNNNNNNNNNNNNNNNNNNNNNNNNNNNNNNNNNNNNNNNNNNNNNNNNNNNNNNNNNNNNNNNNNNNNNNNNNNNNNNNNNNNNNNNNNNNNNNNNNNNNNNNNNNNNNNNNNNNNNNNNNNNNNNNNNNNNNNNNNNNNNNNNNNNNNNNNNNNNNNNNNNNNNNNNNNNNNNNNNNNNNNNNNNNNNNNNNNNNNNNNNNNNNNNNNNNNNNNNNNNNNNNNNNNNNNNNNNNNNNNNNNNNNNNNNNNNNNNNNNNNNNNNNNNNNNNNNNNNNNNNNNNNNNNNNNNNNNNNNNNNNNNNNNNNNNNNNNNNNNNNNNNNNNNNNNNNNNNNNNNNNNNNNNNNNNNNNNNNNNNNNNNNNNNNNNNNNNNNNNNNNNNNNNNNNNNNNNNNNNNNNNNNNNNNNNNNNNNNNNNNNNNNNNNNNNNNNNNNNNNNNNNNNNNNNNNNNNNNNNNNNNNNNNNNNNNNNNNNNNNNNNNNNNNNNNNNNNNNNNNNNNNNNNNNNNNNNNNNNNNNNNNNNNNNNNNNNNNNNNNNNNNNNNNNNNNNNNNNNNNNNNNNNNNNNNNNNNNNNNNNNNNNNNNNNNNNNNNUUUUAAGUGAAAUUAACAUAGAUCAAAAGAAAUAAACAUGAUAAGUGUAAAAGACUAAAUUUUACAGAAACCAUUUACUAAGAAAGAAUUGAUAGACUAAAUUUUAAAAGAAGAGGAUGUGCUGAUAUGUCUUUGCUAUUCUUGUUGAGCUCCACCAUUGUCAUAAGAUAGGCCCAAAAAAACCAACAUAAAUGCUAGGGAAAGGAUAAGGGUACUUUUGAUAAUAAAUUAAAUUAAUUAAAAAAUGAGCACUGGAAAGAUAAUUGGAGGUCCAAUAUCACUAUUCAAAAAAGGCGACGUAUACUCCCAUGCAUUGAUUCAAUAUAAAAUGACCAUAUCCAAGCCCAAGCUCCAUUGGUAUUCAAUCAUUUUUGUGAACUUUUAAAUUCUCUCUUAGUAUCAAUUUACAUGAAUAUUGCAAAGUUUUAUAAAUACUUGGUUAAUGUAACAAAUGCAUUAUUAAAGAUUUGCGUAAUAAUGCAAUAUGCAAAUAUGCAAAGCAUUAUCUAACCUAAAUAUGGAGACGAAAACACCGUAACUCACUAGAUCAUUGAACCAGAUCAAAGAGCAUUAAUCAAAUUACAACAAAAUCUCAAGACAUUAUGAGCGUUGACAUUAACUAAUUGAUGGUUUGAGAAUUAUGUAUAAAUGCAAAGGUUUAUAAAUUAAUUGCUCAAUAUGGAUACUUUAAGCAUUUACAUUAUACAACAUGUUCAUUUUUCUUUAGAUCAAGGCUCAUCAUGUAAUGAAGAACGCCUGCAUGUUGCAUCUUGCUAUUAAUACUUGCACGUCCAUUAAGGCAUAAUGGAUGGAUCCACUUUAUCAUAUUUAUGUUUGACUAUACUAACAAACUUUGAGACUUAAAAGACAUGGGAGUCGUACAAAAAAUGUGGUCAAAUAUAUGUUGAUGGCGAAGCUCAAAUAACUUAUAUAAGGUAAGGCAACUCCAGAUAAUACUUUGAACGCUUUAAUUUUAAUAAAAUAUGAUAUUAUUAAAAUAUCUUUAGAGUAAUUAAUUCAAAAUACAACUUAAUUAAAUUAAAUUAAAUUAAAUUAUUCUUAAUAAUUAAUACUCAUUUAACAUAAAUUAUGGCUUACCUAAAAUAGCAAGACUAAAAGCAAUCAACUCAAGAAUUCAUUAAUAAAUCUAAAAGCAAGUUGGUUUUCUAUAUAAGAAAAUAAACACUGUAAAACAAUCGUCCAUAAUGGCUAGCCAAAUUAAAAACACAAUUAUUGGUAAGAAAGAGGAAGAGUUAUUUAUAUGGAAAAUAGAGUCCUUAAAGUGUUAAACAAUUUUGAAUAUAAAAAUAUAGAAAGUAUGGGUGGGCAACGUGUCGGUUCAGUUCACUAUGGGCAAAUCUAAAAACUUCAGCUAGGUUCGAUUUUUUUCUUUUUUUGAAUGGUCAGCUAGGUUCGAUUUUGAAUUUUAAAAAAUCGAUAAAAAUCUAACUACAAAAAGAUCCAAACCGAAAGUGAGAUUUUUGGUUCAGUUCUUCAAAAAUAUAGAAUUCUUUUUUUAAAAAAAUCUAACAUUUUUAUUUUUAUUUCUUAUGUCCUCCUAAGUCUUGUCAUGGCACUAUUUUGAUAUAAAAUAAUAUUAUAAUUUUUAUCAGUUUGGGCUAGUUUUGAGAAUUUGAACUGAGAACAGAAAUGAACCAAUCUUUUACAGAGCCAGUUCGGCUCUGCCUACCCAUAUUAGAAAGCAAUGAAAUAUAUUUUAUGAGAUGUUUUCACGUUAUAUAUACUCAAUCUACAAAGCUUUAAAAAAAAAGGAAGUCAAUAUAUUUUUGGGAUUUUAUUGAGUUUACAUAGUAAAAAUUUAUAAUUUAAAUUUUGUCAAUGAGUGUCCAGAGUAAUAGAAUAUUAAGAAUAUUGUUUAGAGUGGAUAUACAUACAUACAUACAUAUACAUAUGUGCAUACAUACAUACAUACAUACCUAUAUAUUGUUGAUCUAAAUGGUCUUCCAAACCUUGAUUUCGAUAAUAUUAAAUAAUAUGGUAAGAGGAACAUGGAAAAACAUUUUUGAAUCUUAUUAGUUAUUGAAAUUAAAAAUUAUUCAUGUGAGAUCAAACUCAAAGGACUCAAGGAUAUCUCCAUUAAAUCAAGACUCAAGCUCAAGACAUUAGCUUAGAUGAUAUCUUUCUUUUUAAUCAUUCUUGUAGAGCUAAUUUGUCUAGAUUUAUAUAUGAUUAGCAAAUGUAAGCUCAAAAGUCUUUUAUGAGUUACUUCCACUAAAAUUCUUGAAUAUUUUAGUAUAUUAUGGUUCGAUGAUGAAUGUGCUUUGAAAAUGCUUAAACAAAACAGAAAUUAAGUGCUUUCUCAAAAUGAUUGUUUUCAAAUAUAUGGAUUAGUUUGAAACGUUUUUGAAUUUGUUUAAAAUAUUGGAAACAUGCAUGUAUGGUUGAAAUUCUGGAAAAUGAUAUAUUUGAAAAUAUUUUAUAAUGUUUUAGGCCAAUCUAUAAUUUUAGAAAGUUUUAUGACUUAAAUAUAACAUUUUAAAAAUUAAAGUUACAUUUGGCACGCAGGAUUAGACUGAACUAAUUAUUAGGAUUGAACUGGAUUAAGUUGGAUUAGAUUAAGCUAGAUUAUAUUAUAUACUGUAUUAUAUUUGGUACAAAAUCAGAUUGGACAAUCUUAAAUCAUAUUUAAAAACAAAAAAAAUAUUUAUGAAUAUUUAAGAGUAAUAAUUAAAAUUAAUUUAAAGGUAAUUAACAAGAGCAUUAAUAUGUAGUAAAUUAGUUAUUGGGUAGUCAUAAUUAUAAUAAAAAAAUAUAAAUUAAUAAAACUAUUUAAUUAUUUAAUUAAUUUUUAUUAGAUAUUUUAGAUAUAUUUUGUUUUAUCAAAAAGUUAGCAAAUAAUGUAUAUAUAAAAUCAAUUAUUUACUUGUAUUAUUAAUUUCCAUGAUUUUUUUAAUAUUACAUUGGUGAUUAUUAAAUUUAAUACAAUCAAUUAUUGUAACAAAUUAUUAAAUAGUUAAUUUUAUUGGAGUAAAAGUACCAAUUUAAUUAGACUAUAAAAACGAAAUAAAAAAUAAAUUCAAGUAAAUCAUGAAUAAAAUAAUUAAUUAAUUAAUUAAAUUUUAGGUUACAAGUAAAAAAUAAUAUUAUUUAUGAAGGAAAUAUGAAUAAAUCUUUUUCUCUUAUUCUAAUCCCAUCUAAACCCACUUAUAAAUUGGGAUUGUUAAUCCCAUAAUUUAAGUACUAAAUUUAAAUUUAGUCCUCCGUAAUCCAAUCCAAGCAAAGUAGUCAAACAUGGGAUAAAAUAUUUAAUCCCAAAGUUAAUCCAAUCUCAUACUUGAUCCUAACUCCCAAACAUAACCUAAGAAAUCAACCAAGUGGUCAUUUGCCUCAGAGUUAACUGUCAUUUGUUGGCUCGUGACAUUCAAAAUCUUUAUCUAAUUAUUUUUAACCGUGAUCCAUUAUGGGCUUAAUAUUUCAAAAUUAUCUUAAUGGUCACAUGCUAGUAUCAUGCCACGUCAGCAAGCUAUUACCCGCUUCAUUUUUACUGGUGACCCAUUUGCAUAAAGUUCUUCUAAUUUCAAAAGAGUAAAAACUAGUUUUUGAUUAAAUCUCUAUAAACUCAUUUUCUAACAAUUCGAAGAUUUUCUUGAGAAAGAAAAUUUGUCUAUUUCUCUUAACUAUGAAAUCCUAUUCAGCUUUCACUUGCUUUCAUUUAUAAUCAUAUACAAAACUUGUGCUUAGAUUGGUAUAUCUACCCUUGUGAAGAGUUUAUUGUUUGUACAACUUAUUUCUUUUAAAUCGAGUGAGUGUAAGAAACACUUGAGUGAAGCAAGUAUGGGAUAUACACCUUAGAUAAUUUUUAAAGGUCUAUUGACAUCUAUAAAGUCAAUUGCAAUCAUAUUUAGAGCCUUGAGAUAUAAGACUCAAUGUCAGUGGAAUCCUCAAGCUUGAAUUUUUUGGAGGCAUGAUCAUAUUCAUAAAUUGUUUUGUUUGAUUCUCUCAACCCUUACCUCUUUAAUUCACUUGUUUUGUUUCUUAUUGUUGGAUUGUGGAAAUAGUGUUGUGGAUCAUGGUGUUAUUGGUAGAGAAAUUUUUAAAACUAUAUUCACCAUCCACUUGGGUCUUUUAGCUUGAAUUUCAUAUAUACAUAUACAUAUACGUGUACGUAUACACAUACGCAUACAUACAUAUACAUAUACAUUAUUUCACAUUUUUUAAGUUUAUGUUGAACAAUAAUUUAAUUCGUAGUUAUGCAAUAUUUUUCAAAUUUGCCAAUAUCCUUAUAUGGACAAGUUGUAAUUAAAAAUAGUACUUCUAGACCAAGAAAUAUACAUCAUAUACUUCAAAUAAAAUAUUUUUCAUCUUUUACAUCAAUUUUGAAUAUGAAAUACUCCUAAUAUUAAUUAAUAUAUUUGUAUUCUACUUCAUAAAUUUCAAUCUAUAAAUUGUUUGCUUCAAGAUCUUUCAUGUUGAAUUUUAUUUUUAAAAGAAAACAAUUCAUAAACUCUCCAUUAGUCUUUUCAUGAUGAAAGUAUCAAUAUGUGUUGCAAAGGUUGCAAAUUCAAUUUUUAAUUUCUUUUAAUAAAAUCAUACAACUAAUUGGACAAUGACAUGCCCUUAAAUGAUUAUACUUUAUAAGUCUAGAUUGAUAUAAUAUUAUUGAGUUGUGUCCCACAUUGACUUGAAAACGGGAGAUAUUUUGGGUUUAUAAGGAGGUAGAUCACUCCACCUAAAAGGCUAGUCUUUUGGGUUGGAUACCUAGAAAUCUUAUGCUAAGUCCCCCCAACAAUUGGUAUCAGAGCAGGAUUUUUUAAUUAGAUUCAAGUAUGGCUAACCCUAAAGUUGAUCUGGAGAAGUUUACAGGCAAGACUGAUUUUAAUAUGUGAAAAGUUAAAAUGGAGGCUUUACUGACAACUCAAGGAUUGGGAGAUGCUUUAGAACCAGUCACCAAGAAAGAGGGAAAGGAAGCAUCAUCAUCAUUGACUCCACAGCAGGCUGCUGAUAUUGAUAAAAAGGCAAGAAGCAAAAUAAUUUUGAGUCUUGGAGACUCUGUUAUCAGAAAAGUUGCCAAGGAAAAGAUGACGGUUGAUUUGUGGGCAAAAAUGGAAAUAAUUUAUAUGACAAAGUCUCUUGCCAACAAACUUCAUAUAAAGAAAAUCUCUAAAGAUGGCUGAGAGAUCCUCUCUUGAUGAUUAUAUAGAUGAAUUCAACAGAGUGUGUGACACUUUGGAGACCAUUGAUGAAGGCUUCAGUGAUGAAAGUAAAGCUUUGCUCUUGGUAAGUUUUCUCCCACCAUCAUACUCCAAUUUUGUGGAUGCCCUAACGUAUAGGAGACAAACCUUGUCUUUAGAUGAGGUGAAGGCAACCUUGAAUACCAAAGGGUUACAAGAAAAAUCUGAGAGUAUAGAAAGUGGAGAAGGGUUAACAGUAAAGGGGAGAAUUGAUAAGAAUAAGAAUGCAGCAAAGAAAAAGAAGCAGUCCAAGUUUAAAACCAAUCCAAAGGACUUGAAAUGAUUCCAAUGCCAUAAGGAAUGACAUUUUAAGAAGGAUUGCCCUGAAUUAAAGAACAAGAAAAUGGAGAAAACCAUAGAUGUAGCUACUACUGAAAAAGAAGGAGGCUAUGAGUCAGCAGGUGUGUGUUGCCACUGAGGACAUGCAAAAUAGUAAAUGGAUUCUUGACUCUGGUUGUACUUUUCAUAUGAGUCCAUACAAUAGUUAUUUUUCUAAUUAUCAUGAAUUUGAUGGAGGAAGAGUAAUGAUGGGAAAUAAUUCAAUAUGUAAAGUCAUUGGGAUGGGUAAAAUCUACCUUAAGCUACAUGAUGGGUCCAUAAAGGAAGUUAGAUAGGUUAGGCAUGUUCCAGACCUUAAAAGGAAUUUGAUUUCCUUGGGAAUGAUGGAUCAAAUGGGAUUUAGCAUUAAGCUAGAAUCAAGGGAGCUGAAGAUUCUCAAUGGAUCUACACUGGUUAUGAAAGGGACUAAAAAGAAUGGGGUUUAUGUUUUAGAUGGGGAAUCUGUAACAGGUGUCUCUAAUGUCAUUAAAAGCACUGAAAAUGACAUCACAAAGCUAUGGCAUUUAAGGUUUGGGCAUAUGAAUAUCAAGGGUCUGAAAGAACUGGAAAAGCAAGGUGUUUUGGGUAGUGAUAAGAUUAGGGAGCUAGUUUUUUUGUGAAGAUUGUAUCCUAGGCAAAUCUACUAAGAAUAGCUUCAAGAAAUCAAUACAUAAGACCACUGAUAUCUUGCAAUAUGUACAUUUAGACCUUUGGGGACCAUUUCUAGUUCCAUCUCUAGGUGGGAAUAUGUACUUUAUGACCAUGAUAGAUGACUAUUCAAGAAGAGUUUGGGUGUAUGUGCUAAAAAAUAAAGAUCAGGUGUUUAGGAAAUUUAAAGAGUGGAAAGCUCUGGUAGUGAACCAAACUGGAAAGAGGGUUAAAAAGCUAAGGAUGGUCUUGAAGAAUGGUUUAAAGAAUGGUCUUGAAUAUUGUAAUCAAGAAUUUGACAGAUUUUGUGAAAAUGAAGGGAUUGCAAGACAUAGAUCAGUAAGGUUAACCCCACAGCAAAAUGGUUUAUCUGAGAGGAUGAAUGAUAACUCUAUGAAAUAAGAGUUAUCAUGGCACUUUUAGACUUAAAUCAAUAAUAUUUUGAGAGUAAAUGACAUAUUUUUAUUGCAUUUUAGUUUUAUUUUGCAUGAAUAACUAUUUUAGUUUAUUUUUAAUAAAUUGCAUUGUUUUAGAAUAAUUUGUGUGCUUAAAUCAUAUGAAUAAUUGUAAAUGUCCGGAAGCUCAAAUUUCAAAAAAGGAAUGCUGAUACAAUAGGCUUGCAAAAGAUGGAAAAGAACUUGGCUACAAAAGAAUUGAAACAAGUCUGGAACAAUUCAGUUGUUGUAGUAACCAUUGCUGUAGCAAUCCUGGAACAACGACAAAGAAAAUUUUACGCGGGAUAAUUGCAGAAUUGCGAUCUGCAGUUUCCUAAUCUGACUUAUGCACGACCUAGGCUUCCGUUUACCCUAAUUUUCAACUAUAAAAGAAGCACACAUCAUAAGGAAAAGGGGGAGCCGUCACCCAAGGAGAAAAACCACAAAGAAACAAAAGGAAAAUAUAAUUCAAGAGAGAGAUUGAGAGCUGUACAAGAGGAGAAUUUGCAGAAAUCAAGCGGGAACUUAGUCCUUCUUAUUCUUCUCUUAUUUUCUUGUUUACUUUUUAUUCAUGGAGAUGUGUUUGAUGGCUGAAACUUUUUUCUUUAUGCCAAUUUUGACCUUUGCUUCCUUUUGUAUUUGUAGUUGAGUGAUUGACAAUCUUGAUGGUUUAUUAAUUGAAAAUAUGAGUUGCUGCAUGUUUGUUGUAGCAUUUUGCAUUUUGUUUUGAUAGUAUUUAUUUUUAUUCAUUAUUUCGGCUGAUCACUCAUUUAAUGAUAUUAGCUACGGAAGAGCCACAAAAUGGUCUAUCUUAGUUAGGGGUGGCAAAAAAGCCUGGGCCGGCCCAAAUUAUGAUUAAAAAAAGGGUCUAUCUUAGUGAGGGCUGAUCACUAAUUAUGAUUCAAAAAAGCUAAAAUUAUGAUACUAAAUUCUCUCUUUUGUGUCAAUUAAUUAAGAGAGCAUUUGAAUUAGAAAAUCCAGUAUUAAAGAAAAUUAAAGUUAUGAGCUUUUAUUUGCUUUAUUUAUUUUUUAAUUUAAAAUAUUUAUUUUCUUUAAUUUAUCUAUGAUUGUAAUAACUUGUUGAUCAUUAAUUUAUUUCAAAUUUAUAAUAAUUUAAAAAAAUUAAAAUAAAUAAAUAAAGCCCAAGUCCGGCCUGAGCCCGGUCUAGGCCUGCAAUGGGCCCGACCCUGCCCAGGCCCGCACGCUUAACUGACAGUAGGCCUGGACUUGGGCUUGAAAAAGCCUGGCCCCGGCUCGCUGUUUGCCAUCCCUAAUCUUAGUGGAACAUAUCAGAGCAAUACUUGAUUUUAGAUUGGGUUUUCUAAAUUGAGUUUUACUUGAGUCCCAAAAGGGCCAUACUUAAUCUAAGAUUAGUGAUGAACUAGAUAUAGGAAUUCACCUUGUUGGGUAAAUAGAACCUAAGUGUGUAAUAUUAUAUCUUAUGUUGGCAUAACAACUGAUCAAUGUUAGGUUGCAUAUAGAUAUAAGAUAUUCAACAUCCGACAGCUAAGGAUACCUAAGGAUUCUGCCUAGUGCUGUAGCAACCGAGCCAAACAUUAAAAAAAUAGUCAAAACUAUUAAGAGAGUUUAUUCACUCAACUACUCUAUAUUCCCAUUGGUUUUAUCCUUGAGCUUGACGUGAUAGUCUACUUUGUUGCAUUUUAUUUAUUGCAUUUUUAUUUUAAUUAGUAUAUUAAUUUCAUUAAUUGUUUUGUCUUAAUUUAGAACAAAAUAUGCACUGAUAAGAUUGUUGUAGCAAGUCUGAUAACAUCAAUCCCUAUGGAGAUGAUCUCGAAUACUCAUCAUUAUAUUACUUGUUGUGUACACUUGCACAUUGACACUAAUAGCAUUUGAAUUCAUAUCACCAAUGAACAAGACUUUAAUGGAUAAAGUCAGAUGCAUGAUGAUACUGUCACAACUUCCAAAGGGGUUAUGGGCAGAAACCUUGCUGACAACCUGUCUCUUAGUGAAUCUAAGUCCAUCUACUGUAAUUGAUUUCAAAACACCAUUUGAAAUUUUGUUUGGAAAACCUAGUAACUAUAAUGAUCUUAAAGCCUUUGGAUGUCAUGCUUAUGCAGAUGUUAAGCAAGGUAAAUUAUCUCCAAGAGCUUUGAAGGGGAAGUUUAUAGGGUAUCCAAAUGGUGUAAAGGGUUACAAAUUAUGGUGCACAGACUUAACUCCACCAAGGUGCAUCAUCAGCAGGGAUGUGAUCUUUAAUGAAGGAUCUGUGCUCAAUAAAAAGCCACUUCCUAAAGAUGCUGAACCUAAGACUAAAUCACUUGAAAGUGUACAGUUUGAGGUGGAGCAUUCAGAUCAAAAGCUCUCUCAAGAAGCUGCAGAUUCAUAUAAGGGUGACGAUGAUAAUAGUGGGACCUCUGAAGCACAAUCUCAACAGUACACACAAACUCAACUCAGGGACUAUCAUUUGACCAGAGAUAGAGAGAGAAGGAAAAUCAAACCUCCCUAAAGAUAUGGUUAUGCUAACCUUAUUACAUAUGCACUGGCUGCAUCACAUGAGAUUGAUGAAGAUGAGCCAAAAAGCUAUACAGAGGCUAUACAGAGCUCGUAUAAAUCAGAGUAGUAGAAGGCUGUUGAUGAAAAAAUGGAAUCACUAUUCAAGAACAACACUUGGGAAUUGGUAAUAAAACCUGAAAAAGAAGGGUUGUUGGGUGUAAGUGGAUUUUCAAGGUGAAAGAGAGCCUGACACCUGAUGAGCCUAGGAGAUUCAAAGCUAGGCUAGUAGCAAAAGGGUAUACACAGAGGGAAUGAGUUGAUUUUAAGGAAGUCUUCUCACUAGUGGUAAGACAUGUUUCAAUAAGGGUGUUAUAAGCCUUAACUGCAAUAUAUGACAUGGAGCUUGAUCAACUCGAUGUCAAAACAACCUUUUUACAUGGCAGAUUACAAAAGGAGAUUCUGAUGACUCAACCUAAAGGGUAUGUAAGUUUUGAACAUCCUGAUCAUGUAUGCUUGCUAAAGAAGUCAUUGUAUGGCUUGAAACAAUCCCUAAGGCAAUAGUAUCUUAGGUUUGAUGAGUUCAUGGUAUCACAUGGAUUCAUGAGAUGUAAUUUUGAUUGUUGUGUAUACUACAAGCAGAUAAAUUCAUAUCAGCACAUAUACCUGCUACUGUAUGUGGAUGACAUGUUGAUUGCUUGUAAAGUGAGAGAGGAAAUCGAAGUCUUAAAACAGAUACUGAACUCUAUGUUUGAUAUAAAGAUUUAGGACAUGCCAAAAAGAUUUUAGGCAUGGAAAUCGCAAGAGAUAAGAGGAAGGGAACUAUGUUCUUAUCCCAGAAAAAAGUACUUAGAGAAAGUACUCAACACCUUUGGGAUGGGUUACUGUAAAGCAGUGCUAACACCUUUGGCCUCACACUUUAAACUUUCUAAUCAGCAAUGCCCAAAGACAAGUGGAGAUAAGCAAGAGAUGUCAAAAAUACCUUAUGCAAAUGUAGUGGGGUGUAUGAUGUAUGCAAUGGUCCUCACAAGACCAGAUAUUUCACAUGCUUUAAGCUUGGUAAGCAGGUAUAUGGCAUCACCUGGAAAAGAGCAUUAAAAGGCAGCUAAAUGGGUGACAAGAUGUCUGAAUGGAACCUUGGAGUAUUGUCUAGUGUAUAGAAGGAAACAAGGGGCAAAUGGUGCUGGUUUAUGGGGUUAUGUUGACUGUGACUUUAAUGGAGAUCUGGAUAGGAGGAGAUCAUUAACUGGAUAUAUGCUCAUGCUGAAUGGUUGCCUAAUAAGCUAGAAAGCAAGCCUACAAUACGUUGUUGCCUUAUCAACAACAGAGGCUAAGUACACAACAGCCUCAGAAGCUGUCAAUGAGGCUCUAUGGCUUAAAGGUUUGGUCAGUGAAUUGGGGAUAUCGCAGAAGGUUGUUGACAUCCACUAUGAUAGCUCAAGUGCCAUCUAGUUGAGCAGAAAUCCAGCUCAUCAUGAGAAAACCAAGCAUAUUGACAUUAAGCUAUAUUUUAGAAGGAAUAUAGUAUCAAAGGGAGUUGUGAAGAUGGUGAAGAUACAUACCAGCAACAACGAUACUGAUAUGCUAACAAAUGUGUUACCCACAACUAAGUUCAAGACUUGUUUGGACAUAGCUGGAGUGUGCAUAUUUUGAUCUUACACGAUAUUGAGGAGAAAAGUAAUCAGGAGUGAAUUGUUUCAAGGUGGAGAUUUGUUGUGUAACCAGUGAAACCAAUUCUAUGACUUCAAAACGACCUCCAAGAUAUGCGUUUUGGUGUUCAUAAUCAAUACUCACUAAAACAGCUUCAUUUGUUGUCAUUUCUGAUUUAAUGAAGCACAUGUGAUGCACGUGGAAAAGGAAGCUCCAAAUUAAGUUGUUAAAAGUCGUUAUAUAGCGUGCUUCACACGUGAGUUUCUAGAAUUUGCACCUAGAUGGUUAUAAGCAGCUGGAUGCAACUAAUUAUGAAGUAACAGACUGGUGCCAUGCUGAUGAGUAUAUAAGGGAUUAAGACUCAGUGAUUACGAGUGUGAAAUCCAAUGAAAUGUACUCUAUAAAAUCUAUAUACCUUGAUGAUCAAUCAAUGGAAGGCUUGUUAAUUUGUUCCUACGUGGAUGUAAGCUAAUGAGAAUUAGCUGAACCACGUUAACCUCUUAUGUUCUUUGAUUUUCUGUUUGUUGAUCUUUUAUGUUUCUGAUCUGUUUUUCAUUCUUAAAACCAUUAUCAAUUUGCUCUAUUAAAAUCUUGGUUAAGAUUUCUUCAAAUCAUCUUUAUGGCAUCUAAUAAUCUGGAUUGAAGAUCUUGGGCAACAACUUAAGGUGUCAAAGAGCCAGAACCCUUCAAUUGCUACAAAUAUAUAUAAGUACAAUUAUAAUUUUAUCAAGAACAUAAAACCUGCAAACUUUUAAUGUAGUACUCCAUGUACUAGUUUUAGGCAUUUUAUUCAUUAAGAAUUUAAGAAUAAGUACAUAGAUUCUUCUAUUUUAAUUUCGCAUGUUCAGAUGUCUACACUAUAUUUGUAAUCUUAUUAGAACUUCAUCUGGGCUCGAAUCCUACUUAGAGGAUCGCUAGAGAUAAAAAAUUGUUAAAGAAAGAAGAAGAUGUCUCUUUUUUCACUUCCAAGCGAUCGAAAAAUAAAGAAAUAGUUAAUAUAUUCAAGAUGAUUAGAUAUUUACAAAAUAUCGUCUCAAUUCAUCUUGUUUCAUUAAAUCCGGGAUGUGAUGUGGUUUCGAAGGAUGAACUGGACAUGGACAGUUCCAAUAAGAUUUCAUUCUUAAACAAAAGUCCAUUUUUUUAUUUAUUUCAUCUAUUCCAUGACCAGAACAGGGGGAUCCACGUUACACCAUGAUUUUGAAUCAGAAGAGAGAUUUCAAGAAAUGGUAGAUCUAUUCACUUUAUCAAUAAUUGAGCCAGAUCUGGUGUAUCUUAACGGUUUACCUUUCUAUUUUUCCUUCAGGAAUGAAUCGAAAAAGAAAUGUUUAUUCGUUCUACCUCCCAUUAUUUGCAAAGAGAAUGAAUCUUUUUAUCGAAGGAUAAAUAAAUGUGUCUAGAACUCCUGCAGGAAUGAUUUUGAAAAUCCAAAACUAAAAAUAGUGGUAUUUGUUAGCAACAAUAUAAUGGAGGCAGUCAAUCAAUCUAGAUUGCUCCGAAAUCGGAUCCAAAUCCAAUAUAGCACCUAUAGGUACAUAAGAAAUGUAUUGAAUUGAUUCUUUUUAAUGAAUAAAUCUGAUCGUAACUUUCAAUAUAGAAUUCACAAGUAUCAAAUAAGAACUAAUACUUUGAAUUAUUGAACUAUAAUGAAAUUUUAUGAUCAACCAACAUUUAUCGAAUUUGAAAAAGAGUCAGAAGAAAUGAUUUGUUCCUCUGAUCUGGAUUUUUUGAGCUAAGAUAUUCAUGAAUCGGGAUUCUAAUUCAUAUAGAUACAAAUUUUGUAAUGGGAGCAAGAAUUUCCAAGAGCAUUUGGAACCGUUCUUUUUUUAAGCAGAAGAGCUGUUUUCAAGCAGCGUUCGAUCAAUUACGUAUUAAUUAGUAUUCGAUUGAUUGGUCUAAAGUUAUAGAUAAAAAAGAUUUGUCUAAGCCACUUCUUUUCUUUUGUCCAAGUUUUUUUUUUCUGUUUGUCUAACUCACUUCCUUUUUUCUUUAUAAGUUUCAAGAAUAUCCCCAUUUAUAGGUCUGAGAUCCAUAUCUAUGAAUUGAAAGGUCCGAAUGAUCAACUAUACAAUCAGUUGUUAGAACUAAUAGAUCUUCAAAUUGAUCAUUUCAAAAAUUUGAAAUUCUUCUUAUUAGAUGAUCAUAAUACUUCCCAAAAGUCAAAAUUCUUAAUCAAUGGAGGAAGGAUAUCACCAUUAUUGUUUAAUAAGAUACUGAAGUGGAUGAUUGACUCAUUCUAUAUUAGAAAUAAUAGCAAGAAAUCUUUUAAUAACACAGUACAAUCAAUACAUUUUUGAGAAAAAUUUACCAAUUGAAAAAAGAAAAGGAAAAAACAGGGUCUAUAUCUAAAGAAAUGUGUUGAGAAAGGACAUAUGUCUAUUUCAACAAGACAGUGCUAUUUCAACUCUUUUAAAAUGGAAUCGAAUCCAAACAUAUAUGUCAUGGUUCCUUACUUCGACAAGGUACAAAUAUCUAAAUUUGAUAAUUUUAGACACUUUUUUAAACCUAUUGUUGGUACUAAGUAGCAAUAAAAAAUUUGUAUACAUUUUUCAUGAUAUUAUGCAUGGAUCAGAAAGAGCAUGGUGAAUUCUUCAGAUCUUCCACAAUAGAAUCUGAUAAGUGANNNNNNNNNNNNNNNNNNNNNNNNNNNNNNNNNNNNNNNNNNNNNNNNNNNNNNNNNNNNNNNNNNNNNNNNNNNNNNNNNNNNNNNNNNNNNNNNNNNNNNNNNNNNNNNNNNNNNNNNNNNNNNNNNNNNNNNNNNNNNNNNNNNNNNNNNNNNNNNNNNNNNNNNNNNNNNNNNNNNNNNNNNNNNNNNNNNNNNNNNNNNNNNNNNNNNNNNNNNNNNNNNNNNNNNNNNNNNNNNNNNNNNNNNNNNNNNNNNNNNNNNNNNNNNNNNNNNNNNNNNNNNNNNNNNNNNNNNNNNNNNNNNNNNNNNNNNNNNNNNNNNNNNNNNNNNNNNNNNNNNNNNNNNNNNNNNNNNNNNNNNNNNNNNNNNNNNNNNNNNNNNNNNNNNNNNNNNNNNNNNNNNNNNNNNNNNNNNNNNNNNNNNNNNNNNNNNNNNNNNNNNNNNNNNNNNNNNNNNNNNNNNNNNNNNNNNNNNNNNNNNNNNNNNNNNNNNNNNNNNNNNNNNNNNNNNNNNNNNNNNNNNNNNNNNNNNNNNNNNNNNNNNNNNNNNNNNNNNNNNNNNNNNNNNNNNNNNNNNNNNNNNNNNNNNNNNNNNNNNNNNNNNNNNNNNNNNNNNNNNNNNNNNNNNNNNNNNNNNNNNNNNNNNNNNNNNNNNNNNNNNNNNNNNNNNNNNNNNNNNNNNNNNNNNNNNNNNNNNNNNNNNNNNNNNNNNNNNNNNNNNNNNNNNNNNNNNNNNNNNNNNNNNNNNNNNNNNNNNNNNNNNNNNNNNNNNNNNNNNNNNNNNNNNNNNNNNNNNNNNNNNNNNNNNNNNNNNNNNNNNNNNNNNNNNNNNNNNNNNNNNNNNNNNNNNNNNNNNNNNNNNNNNNNNNNNNNNNNNNNNNNNNNNAAUUUUGAGUUUCUCUAGAAGAAAUAUAGGGUUCUGCUUUGGGGGGCAACUUCCUAGGGGGGGGGGGGGUGGUCCCGAGGAUGAGGUUAAAUCAAUAUGUUCUACAACAAAAGAUUUGAAUAUCAAUCUCGUCAAUAUCACCGAUCUCAUAAGUAUCAAACCAAAUCCCAUUAAAUGAAUCACUUUUUUCUAAAAAUACGAGACAUCUAAGUCAUACAAAUAAAAAGAUCUAUUCAUUGAUAAGAAAAUGAAAAAAAAAGGGAACGGUGAUUAGAUUGAUGAUAAGAUAAAAUCUUGGGUUACGAAUAGUGAUUUAAUAGAUAAUAAUGAAAGAGAAUUCUUGGUUCAAUUCUCCACCUCAACCUUAAUGACGGAAAACAAAAUUUGAUAAAAUUCUAUCAAGUCUGACUGAUAGUGAUCAUUCAUCAAAGAAUGACUCUGGUUAUCAAAUGAUUGAACAAUCGAGCAAUCUACUUAUGAUACUUAACUAACAUUCAUAAAAAGCAUUUCAUGAAUUAUAAGUUCAGUAUUUACUGUUUAGCAGAAUGACAGAUACUCCUUGUUCAUUUCCAAACAAUCACUUAUUCACAAACUUCGUGUGGGGCUAAUAGUUUUCAUUUUCCAAACAAUCACUUAUUCACAAACUUCGUGUGGGGCUAAUAGUUUUCAUUUUCCAUCUCAUGCAAAACCCUUUUUUGCUCCGCCUAGCCCUAUAUAUAUAUAUAUAUAUAUAUAUAUAUAUAUAUAUAUAUAUAUAUAUAUAUAUACCUAGCGGCAAACUUCUAUGUCCCUUUCUUUACGGUAUUUCUGAACAAGUUUCUGGAUAACAAGCCUAAAAGUUUUUUUAUUAAUGAUAUCGAUGAUGAUAGUGACAAUAUUGAUGCUAGUGAAGAUAUUGAUCAUGUCUUUGAUACGGAGCUAGAGCUUCUAAUUAUGAUGAAUGCACUAAAUAUCAAUAUGAUGUUAUAAGUAGGCCUAUUUUAUAUCACCCUUUCAUUCGAAUUAGCAAAAGCAAUAUCUCCUUGCAAAAUAUGGAUUCCAAACAUUCAUGAUACGAUGUGAAUUAGUUGAAUUAUUUAUCCCUCGGUCUAUCAAUAAACUAUCUCUCAAAGGAUUAUGAAAGAUAUUCCACUAGAAAUAUUCUUAUUAUUGCUUCGGGUCAUAUUCCCAAAAAAGUGGAUCCCGCUCUAAUCCAAAUAAAUUAAAUACAUGCAUUAAGAUGCCAAGGUUUAUUAUUCCACAAUCACGAAAGCACUUUUUGACUCUUUCAUAUAUUAGGGUAUUUCACUUGGAAAAGAAAAUGUUCCAUACUGAUUGACACUAAAAAGUGUACAUUUAAUAAGGAUAAAAUUCUUAGUUUUUCACUUAUUGUGUCGAUUAAUGCGUUCAUUAUUUCUAAAUUAUUUUAAUACUCUCCAAAUAUAUUUUAUGUUAAAUUAAUUCGCAAUUUGUUAAUUUUUAUCUUGUAAAUAUUUUUCAGGAAUAAAGAUGGAAUUGGAAUUGAAAGUGGGAACAAAGAAGAACUACUGGAACACAAAUUGAAGAGAUGUAAUAAUAAAUAAAAAACAAAAAAAGAACAAAAGCAUGUUGGUGAUGGUCAGCACAAUUCAAUAUGUAUAUAUAAUAUAAAAAUAAAAAAAUAUUAAUAUUAAUAAAAUUAAAUUAAAAAAAAAAAAAGAUGAUUCCCUUACCUAUAAAAGGCAAGGGGAUGCAAGCAAUGAGGGGGCGGGAGCCGAGAGCCAGAAGCUAGUAAAGCUAUUUUUUAGAAGUGUACGCCGAGAGAGAAUAGAGUGCAGCUGAAGAAUUUCUUUCUUUUUUUGUUUCUUUUCUUUUCUUGUUUCCGUUUGUAAUCAACUUUCUUGUAACGUAUUUCAAAAGUUUAUCAAAUAAAUAGAGUGUUGUGUUUUCUUUCAAUAUGAGUGGCUAAUUGUAGAAACUGAAGGGCACUUAAUUGCUUAACACCUCAGUUUCUGCCCAAGAUCUAAGAUCAGAUUCCUAGAUGCUUUUAUAGAUGACUCGAAAAAACUUAACCAAGAACCCAAAGUAACAAAUCAAGAAUGGUUUAAGAAUCACAAAAGAUUAAAGAACUAACGAAUCAAUAAAAUAGAAAGAAUAAAGAACAGGAGUGAGUUAACGUGGUUCAGCUAACUCUCGUUAGCUUACAUCCACGGAGGAACAAGACAACAGGCCUUUAUUGAAUGAACUCAAAGUUACAGAGAUUUCAGAGUGUAUGUUAUGGAACUACAUCCCCUCUCUCAAGCGACUAACUCCCUUUAUAUACUCAUUUGUUCGUCACCAGCUAGCUGCACCAAAAUCAGCUCCUUUCAAUUGCUGAUAACCACUUGGAAACUAAUUCCAGAUGCUCACGUGAGAUGCAUGCUUCAUCAACGACUAUUAACAAUCUUGUUAUUAGGAUCUCACGCACGUGCAUCUCAUGUGCUUCAUUAAUCCUGAAACGACACUCUCUCAAGUCAUUUUAAAGUCCUUUAAUUGAUUUCACUGGUUACUUUACAAAUCUCCACCUUGAAACAAUUCAUCCCUGUGCAUCUUUCUCCUCAAAUCCAUGCAAGUUACAAACUGCAUAUUUCAGCUAUGUCCAAACAGGUCUUUAACUUAGCUGUAGGUACCACCUUUGUGAGCAUAUCUGCAGGAUUGUUGCUGGUAUGUAUUUUUACCAUCUUCCCAACUCCUUUAGAUAUUACAUUCCUUAUGAAAUGCAACUUAAUGUUGAUAUGCUUGGUUUUCUCAUGAUGAGCUGGAUUUUUACUCAAAUAAAUGGCACUUGAGCUAUCACAGUGGAUAUCAACAACCUUCUGAGAUAUUCCUAACUCGCUGAUUAAGCCUUUAAGCCAUAGAGCCUCCUUGACAGCUGCUAAGGCUACAGUAUACUCAGCCUCUGUUAUUGAUAAGGCCACUACAUGUUGCAAACUUGCUUUCCAGCUUAUCAGGCAUCCAUUCAACAUGAACAUGUAUCCAGUUUGUGACCUCCUUCUGUCCAGAUCUCCAGCAUAAUCAGAGUCAACAUAGCCCCAUAAACCAGCUUCAUUUGUCUCUCGAUCCUUUCCAUACAGCAACCCAUAAUCCAAGGUUCCAUUUAGAUACCUCAGCACCCAUUUAGCUGCCUUCCAAUGCUCUUUUCCAAGUGAUGCAUAUACCUGCUUAUCAAGCUUAGAGCAUGUGAAAUAUCUGGUCUUGUGAGGACCAUUGCAUACAUCAUACACCCUACUGCAUUGGCAUAGGGAACUUUGGACAUCUCUUGCUUUUCUUCACUUGUCUUUGGACACUGCUGGUUUGAGAGUUUGAAAUGAGAGGCCAAAGGUGUUAUCACUGGUUUACAGUUGUUCAUUCCAAAGGUGUUAAGUACUUUUUCCAAGUACUUCUUCUGAGACAAGAACAUAGUUCCCUUCCUUCCGUCUCUUGUGAUUUCCAUGCCCAAAAUCUUCUUGGCAUGUCCCAAAUCUUUCAUAUCAAACUUAGAAUUCAGCAUCUGUUUUAAAGCUUCGAUUUCUUCCCUCACUUUACAAGCAAUCAACAUAUCAUCAACAUACAGUAGCAAGUAUAUAUGAUGAUCUGAAUCUAUUUUCUUGUAGUAUACACAACAAUCAAAAUUACACCUCAUGAAUCCAUGAGAUAUCAUGAACUCAUCAAACCUGAGGUACCAUUGCCUUGGGGAUUGCUUUAAGCCAUACAAUGACUUCUUCAGCAAGCAUACAUGGUCAGGGUAUUCAGAGCAUACAAAUCCUUCAGGUUAAGUCAUCAAAAUCUCCUCUUGUAAUCUCCUAUGUAAGAAGGCUGUUUUGACAUCAAGUUGAUCAAGCUCCAUGUCAUAUAUAGCUGUUAGAGCUAAUAAUACCCUUAUUGAAACAUGUCUGACCACUGAUAAGAAGACCUCCUUAAAAUCAACCCUUUCCUUCUGUGUAUACCCUUUUGCUACUAGCCUAGCUUUGAAUCUCUUAGGAUCAUCAACUGUCAACCCUUCUUUGAGCUUCAAAAUCCAUUUGCACCCCACAAUCCUUCUUUUCUCAGGUUUCUUUACCAAUUCCCAGGUGUUAUUCUUGUAUAGUGAGUCUAUUUCAUCAUCCAUAGCCCUCUGCCAUUCUGAUUUAUAUGAACUCUUCAUAGCCUCUCUGUUGCUUGUUGGCUCAUCUUCAUCAAUCUCAUAUGAUGCAGCCAGAGCAUAAGCAAUGAGGUUAGCAUAACCAUAUCUUUGUGGAGGUCUUAUUUGUCUCCUUUCUCUAUCUCUGGCCAGAUGGUAGUCUCUAAGUUGAGUUGGAGUGUGCUGUUGAGAUUGUGCCUCAGUGUUUCUACUACUGUCAUCUUCAUCUCCAUCAGAAUCUGCAGCUUCUUGAGAAGACUUUUUAUUUGGAUGCUCCACCUCAAACUGUAUACUCUCAAGUGUUUUAUCCUGAGGUUCAGCAUCAUUGUUUUGUGGUUUUUUUCUGAGCACAGUUUCUUCAUUAAAGAUCGCAUCCCUGUUGAUGAUGCACCUUGGUAGGGAUAAGUCUGUGCACCAUAACUUGUAACCCUUUACACCAUCUGGAUACCUAAUAAACUUUCUCCUCAGAGCUCUUGGAGAUAAUUUCCCUUGUUAACAUAUGCAUAAGUAUCACAUCCAAAAGCUUUAAGGUCUGCAUAGUUACCAGGUUUUCCAUACCACAUUUCUAAUGGUGUUUUAAAGUCAAUUCCAGCAGAUGGGCUAAGGUUCACUAAAAGAUAGGCUGUCAGCAAGGUUUCUGUCCAUAGCCCCUUAGGAAGUUGGGACUAUAUCAUCAUGCAUCUGACUUUGUCCAUUAAAGUCAUGUUCAUCCUUUCAGCUAGGCCAUUUUGUUGUGGGGUUAACCUUACUGUUCUAUGUCUUGCAAUCCCUUCAUUUGCACAAAAACUGUCAAACUCUUGAUUGCAAUAUUCAAGGCCAUUGUCUGUCCUUAGUUUUUUAACCCUUUUUUCAGUUUGAUUCUCUACCAGAGCUUUCCACUCUUUAAAUUUACCAAACACCUGAUCUUUACUUUUCAGCACAUAUACCCACACUCUCCUAGAGUAGUCAUCUAUCAUGGUCAUAAAGUAUCUAUUUCCACCUAGAGAUGAGAUCUGAAAUGGACCCCAAAGGUCUGAGUGUAUAUAUUGCAAGAUCUCAGUGGUCUUAUGUAUUGAUUUCUUGAACCUAUUCCUAGUAGAUUUACCUAGGAUGCAUUCUUCACAGAAAACUAGCUCCUCAAUUGUAUCACUCCCCAAAACACCUUGCUUUUUAAGUUUUUUCAGACCUUUGAUACUCAUAUGCCCAAGCCUUAAGUGCCAUAGUGUAGUUUUAUCUAUGGCAGUGCUUUCAAUGGCAUUAGAGACCCCUGUUACAGACUCCCCAUCUGAGACAUAAACUCCAUUCUUUCUGGUUCCUUUCAUAACCAGUGUGGAUUUAUUUAGAAUCUUCAACACCCUUGAUUCAAGCUUAAUGCUACAUCCCAUUUGAUCCAUCAUUCCUAAAGAAAUCAAAUUCCUUUUAAGUUCUGGAAUAUGUCUAACCUGUCUAAUUUCUUUUAUAGACCCAUCAUGUAGCUUAAGAUGAAUUUUACCAAUCCCAAUGACUUUACACACUGUGUUAUUACCCAUCAUUACUCUUCCUCCAUCAAGAUCUUGAUAAUCAGAAAAAUAACUCUUAUAUGGACUCAUAUGAAAUGUGCAACCAGAGUCAAGAAUCCACUUACCCUUUUGUAUAUCCUCAGUAGCAACACACACACACCUGCUGACUCUUAGUCAUCAUCUUCUUCAGCUGUAGCUGCAUUCCCAAUUCUCUCCUUAUUCUUGUUCUUUAAAUCUAGACAAUCCUUCUUGAAAUGUCCUUCCUUAUGGCAAUGGAAGCAUUUCAGGUCCUUUGGCUUGGUUUUAGGUUUGGACUGCUUCUGAUUCUUUGCUGCAUUCUUAUUCUUUUCAAACUUCCCCUUUACUGUUAACCCAACUCCACUUUCUAUACUCACAGAUUUUUCUUGCAACCCUCUAGUAUUUAAGGCUGCCUUCACCUUAUUCAAGGACGAUGUCUGCCUCCCAUACAUUAGGGCAUCCACAACAUUAGAGUAUGAUUGUGGAAGUGAACUUACCAAGAGCAGAGCUUUACUUCAUCACUGAGGCUUUCAUCAAUGGUCUCCAAGGUGUCACACACUCUAUUGAAUUCAUCGAUAUGAUCAUCAAGAGAGGAUCCCUCUGCCAUCUUUAGAGUAAACAUCCUUUUCUUGAUAUGAAGUCUGUUGGUAAGAGACUUUGUCAUAUAGAUGGUUUCCAAUUUUAUCCACAAAUCAGCCACUGUUUUCUCCUUGGCAACUUCUCUAAUAACAGAGUCUCCAAGACUCUGGAUUAUUGUGCUUCUUGCCCUUCUGUCUAUAUCAGUAGCCUGUUGUGGUGUUAGUGACGAUGAAGCUUCCAUUCCCUCUUUCUUAGUGACUGGUUCUAAAGCUUCUCCUAGUCCCUGAGUUAUCAGUAGAGCCUCCAUUUUUACUUUCCACAUAUUGAAGUCGUUCUUGGCUGUAAACUUCUCCAAAUCAACUUUAGGAUGAGCCAUACUAGAAUCUGAUUAAAGAAACCCUGCUCUGAUACUAAUUGUAGAAACUGAAGGGCACUUAAUUACUUAACACCUCAGUUUCUGCCCAAGAUCUAAUAUCAGAUUCCUAGAUGCUUCUAUAGAUGACUCGAAGAAACUUAACCAAGAACCCAAAGUAACAAAUCAAGAAUGGUUUAAGAAUCACAAAAGAUUAAAGAACUAAUGAAUCAAUGAAACAAAAAGAAUAAAGAACAGGAGUGAGUUAACGUGGUUCAGCUAACUCUCGUUAGCUUACAUCCACGGAGGAACAAGACAACAGGCCUUUAUUGAAUGAACUCAAAGUUACAGAGAUUUCAGAGUGUAUGUUAUGGAACUACACCCCCUCUCUCAAGAGACUAACUCCCUUUAUAUACUCAUUUGUUCAUCACCAGCUAGCUGCACCAGAAUCAGCUCCUUUCAGUUGCUGAUAACCACCUGGAAACUAAUUCCAGAUGCUCACGUGAGAUGCAUGCUUCAUCAACGACUUUUAACAGUCUUGUUAUUAGGAUCUCACGCACGUGCAUCUCAUGUGCUUCAUUAAUCCUGAAACGGCACUCUCUCAAGUCGUUUCGAAGUCCUUUAAUUGAUUUCACUAGUUACUUUACACUAAUUCUAUUAAGCUGAGGUGAAGGGUGAAGCUCAAUGUUUCAAACUAUUAAAUUUAUUAUUUUCUCAAAUGAGUUUAAAGUUUAUUUUAUUCUUUUCUAAUUAUUUUUAUGUCAUAUUAAUUUAUAAAUUUCUUUGGAUCUGUAUGGUAUUUUGACAUAAUGUCGACACAUUAAUAUAGUGUGGCACAUUAGGUACUUUAUUUCAUAUUUAUCCACACACAUAAAAUUAAAUGAUAUAAUAAUUAACUGGUAAAAGUGAGGUAAAAUAUAAAUGAGAGAGUAUUAAAAUUAUAGUUUGAAUACAGAGAGUGGAUCCCGAACCUUAGCAUAUUUUAAGAUUGAUUUCAAAUAAUUUCUUUUCCCCACAAUUAAUUUUCUUAGUUUUAAAUUGACUACUAGAUUUAAAAUUUCCUAUGGUUCAACCCCGGUCUCACUGGGUUAUAUUAUAACUAGACACUCUUAUACUUGGGAGCAUUACACUUUUUAGUCAUGUCAAGUUUUUGGUGUCGUUACCGAAGAGUUUUUUAAUUUGAUGUUAGUUUGUCUUUACUUUAAUUUUUUAUUUUUUUUUAUUGUUACUAUCUUUCCCUUGAUUCUAUUUUACUCUCUUUUUGCAAACUUCAGUUAGCACCCCUCUUCUUCUUAAACUUUAACAUUACCUACAAAAUUUGUGAGAAACUUCAAUUUAGCCCAGAAACCUUUGCAAAUCAGUCCCCAAAUCAAAUUUAUUUCUUUAAAUUUCUGCAAUUUACUUUCUGCAUUUAUUUUAAAUGGUCGGUUCUACUGCCUAACUGUUAUUUAAAUUUUGUUAAUUUAUGUAUUUCUGUUUAUAUGGUCGGUUCUACCGCCUAGCAUUUUAAUUUCAGUUUAUUUAUUUUUGUGCAUUAAUUUAUUUAAUUUUAUGCUUUAUUAUACAGCUGGUUUUAAAAUACCACCUAAACUGUUUCUUUUAAUGGCUGGUUUCACCACCUAAUUUAUUUAUUUAUUUUUCAGUUUGUUUAUUUUAUUUCGCAUUUUUGCUUAUUUAAUUUCCAAUUUAUUUUUAUUUCUGCAAUUUUCAUUUAGCGUUUUUUGCAUAAUUAGUUAAGCACACAUCAUUAGCAUUACAUGCGUCGUUGGUCUCGUACAAAUAAUGGCAGAUUAAUUAAAAGAUCACCUUCACUGCCCUUAGAUAUGGCUGACACAUGAGCUGAAAAUUUUUCGGAGCACGAAAAUGACCAAGCCUUGCAAAAUAUUCAUGAAUAGCAUAGAACCCUUAGAGAUUUCAUGCAUCCUACUAGAACAGGGUCACCAUCAUGCAUAGUUUUCCCUUCUGAUGCAUCAUGUUUUAAUUUUAACCUGGUAUCAUUCAACUUCUUUAUACUUUUCAUGGUUUUGAGUCUGAAAAUCCAUAUUUACAUUUAAGGGAAUUUGAGGAAGUCUGUAACACAUGUACUGAUCAAAAUUGUAGCAUAAAUAUAAUCAGGCUUAAGUUUUUUCCUUUCUCACUAAAGGAUAAAGCUAAAAUUUGGCUACAAAAUCUUAGGUCAGAAUCCAUCAGAACUUGGGAUGAAAUGCAAGCACAAUUUUUGAAAAAAUUCUUCCCACCCCACAAAACAAAUUCUUUUAAAAGACAAAUCACCACUUUCACUCAAAAACCAGGAGAAACUUUCUACCAAUGUUAAGAUAGGUUUAAAGAACUACUUAACAUUUGCCCACAUCACGGUUUUGAAACAUGGAGAUUAGUGUCUUAUUUCUACGAGGAAUUAACAUCCCAAGGUAGACAAGUCAUUUAAAUGAUGUGUAAUGGUGAGUUUAGGGAUAAAAGUCCUGAAGAUGCAUUAGAUUAUCUUAACUAUAUAGCAGAGAAUGCACAACACUGGGAUACAGUUGGGCCUUAUGAGUCAUCAAGUAAACCCCAGUCAUCUCCACUGGUGGAGGCAUGCAUAACCUUAGGGAAGACCAUGAAUUUCAAGUCAAAUUUGCAUCAUUAACUAGAAAAGUCGAAGCAUUAAAGUUGAAAAAGAAUGAUCAUGUAAAGUCUGUUAAAAAUAUUUCAUGUUAUAUUUGCGAUUCUACUGACCAUUCUACGUAGGACUGUCCAACUUUACCAGCUCUGAGAGAAAGUUUGCAUGAACAAGUAAAUGUCGUUGACAAUUUCAAAAGGCCAAAUCCAAAUCCAUACUCCCAAACUUACAACUCUGGUUGGAGAAACCACCCAAAUUUCAGUUAGAGAAAUGACAAUCACGUACAACUUCACAACCAGUUCCUCCACGUCAAAAUUUUCAAAACUCCCAGAGUUACCCACCAUAUGUCCCACCACAAAAAAAAAAAAAACUCUGGAAGACAUAUUGCAUUCAUUUAUUGAAAAACAAGAGUCGAAACCAAACAAUGCAAACCUUAACCAAUUUGACAGAAACUAUCUCCAAACUUACAUCUGCUCUGACCAUACAUGAAAAAUGAAAAUUUCCUGCUCAACCUGAACCAAACCCUAAGAGUCAACAACAUCCUCAAAUGGGAAAUUCAGGAAACCAAAAUAUGAGUCAAGUCAAAUCGGUUAUAACCCUUCAUAGUGGUAAAGUAGUCGAAAAAUACAUUAUGGACCCUCGUGAAACUAGUAAAGAUUCAAUUUCAGAAAAUAGGGAAGAGUCUGUCGAACUUUUAACCCAUGAAGAAAUAACCAACUCUCCUCAUGUACCCUCAUUUCCUCAAGCACUAAUCAAGCCAAAGAAAUCAAAUCACAGUCCAGAAAUUUAUGAAGUUUUUAAACAAGUAAAGGUCAACAUUCCUCUGCUGGAUGUCAUUAAACAAGUGCCGUCCUAUGCUAAAUUUCUGAAAGGUCUGUGCACGGUGAAAAGGCAACAUAAGAUGCAAAAGAGAGCUUUUCUAGCAGAACAGGUAAGUUCCAUUCUCUCAACCAAUAGUACUUUGAAAUACAAGGAUCCUGGUUGUCCAACUAUUUCUUGCACUAUUGGGGAUCAUAAAAUUGGACAUGCUCUACUUGAUCUUGGUGUCAGUGUUAAUUUGCUUCCUUACUCAGUGUACCAACAACUCAAUCUCGGUGAGUUAAAACCAACUUCUACCACUCUUUUACUUGCUGAUAGAUCGAUUAAAGUUCCAAGAGGAAUAAUGGAAGGUGUGUUAGUCCAAGUCGAUAAAUUCAUAUAUCCUGUGGAUUUUAUUGUUUUGGAAACGGGACCAAUUGCUAAUGAAUGCAAACAAAUUCCUGUUAUAUUGGGUCGACCAUUUUUAGCUACUGCUAAUACUUUGAUAAAUUGCAGGAAUGGAUUAAUGAAUUUAUCUUUUGGCAACAUGACACUGGAACUCAAUGUGUUCAACAUGUGUAAACAACCUCACCACCAAGAAUAUGAUGAUAAUGAGAAUGAGGAGAUUGAUCUCAUCGAGCCAAUCAUUGAGGAACAUAUUCAGGAUGAGAAUUUUACAAACUCUGUAGAAAUUUAUUUUACCGGUUCUUUUGAAUCAAGUAAGGAAUUAGAUUGUGAUACUACUAACAUAUGCCCUACACUUGAUUCUAUGCAGGUACCUACAGGUGAUGAUGACCAAUCGAACUUUGAAGAUGUGGUACAACCUGAAGAACCAAACGAAGAGGAAGCACCAGAGCUCGAAUUAAAGCCCUUACUAGAAGAAUUGAAGUAUGCCUAUCUUGGAAAGCAGCAGACAUAUCCGGUGGUAAUUUCUUCCCAGCUCACGAAUGAUCAAGAAGGUAAGUUGUUGUCUGUACUAAAAAGGCAUAAAACUGCAUUUGGUUGGACCUUAAAAGACAUAAAAGACAUUAAUCAUUUAAUUUGCACACACUGAAUACACUUAGAGCAAAAUACCAAAACAACCCGUCAACCACAAAGAAUACUAAACCCUCGUAUGAAAGAAGUGGUAAAGAAUGAAGUCCUUAAACUACUAGAUGUAGGAAUUAUCUACCCUAUCUCUGAUAGUAAAUGGGUAAGUCCAACACAAGUAGUACUAAAGAAAUGUGGAAUAACUGUUGUAAAAAAUGAAAAAGGUGAACCAAUCCCAACACGAACUCCAUCUAGUUGGCGCAUGUGCAUUGAUUACAGAAAAUUAAAUGAUGCCACUAGAAAAGAUCAUUUUCCCCUUCCAUUUCUAGACCAAAUUCUCGAAAGAGUAGCUGGACAUCCCUACUACUGCUUUCUUGAUGGCUACUCUGGCUAUUAUCAAAUCCCUAUAGCCUUAGAAGACCAGGAAAAGACCACAUUCACAUGCCCAUUUGGAACAUUUGCAUUUAAGAGAAUGCCCUUUGGACUUUGUAAUGCUCCUGCAACAUUUCAAAGGUGCAUGCUAAGCAUUUUUAGUGACAUGGUUGAAAAUUGUCUAGAGGUUUUUAUGGAUGAUUUAACUGUAUUUGGUAAUUCUUUUGAUACAUGUCUUGAUAAUCUAGAAAAAUUUUUGUAAAUGUGCAAAGAAAAAUGACUAGUUUUAAAUUGGGAAAAAUGUCAUUUCAUGACCACUUCUGGAAUUGUCUUGGGCCAUGUUGUGUCUUCAAAAGGAAUCAAAGUUGAUAAAGCCAAAGUUGAAGUCAUUUCAAAAUUACCCUCACCAAAGACAAUUAGAGAAGUCCGUUCUUUUUUAGGACAUGCAAGAUUUUAUAGGAGGUUUAUAAAAGACUUUAGUGUCUUAUCUAGACCAAUUUGUAACCUUCUAAUAAAAGACACACAAUUUGAAUGGACUAAAGAUUGUCAACAAGCUUUUGAAAAAAUAACUACUCUUUUGACAUCAGCCCCAAUAAUGCAACCCCCUGAUUGGUCUUUACCUUUUGAGCUAAUGUGUGAUGCUAGUGAUUAUGUCGUUGGCGCUGUUCUGGGUCAAAGAAAGGAAUGUAAGUCCUUUGUCAUCUAUUAUGCAAGUAGAACUUUGAAUAGUGCUCAAAUGAAUUACACUACAACUGAGAAAGAACUAAUUGCUGUAAUAUUUGCAUUGGAUAAAUUUCGUUCGUAUUUAAUUGGUUCAUCCACUAUUGUUUAUUCUGAUCAUGCUGCUGUGAGAUAUUUAAUGUCAAAAUAGGAUGCCAAACCAAGGUUGAUACGAUGGAUUUUACUACUUCAAGAAUUUAACUUGACAAUCAAGGACAAAAAGGGCGCUGAAAAUGUUGUUGCAGAUCAUCUUUCGAGACUUACGAAUGAGUCUUCAAUUGAAACAAUACCCAUCAAUGAUUCUUUCAUUGAUGAAUUUUUAUUUUCUAGAAAAAAAAUGGUUUGGUAUGCUAAUAUUGUUAAUUAUCUUGCAACAGGUGAAAUGCCAUGUGGCUGGAGUUCCCAAGACAAGAGGAAAUUCUUUACAGAAGUGAGAAACGUUUACUGGGAUGAUCCAUACCUGUUCAAAUACUGCUUCAAUCAAAAUUUUUGAAGAUGCAUACCAGACGACGAGGUAAGUAGGGUCAUUCAAUUUUGUCAUUCUGAAGCAUGCGGUGGCCAUUUUUCUUCAAAAAAGACAGCUGCAAAAAUAUUGCAGUGUGGAUUUUAUUGGCCUACAUUAUUAAAAGAUUCACAUACAUUCUAUAAAAUGUGUAAGAAUUGUCAAAUGGUAGGGUCUAAUUCAAAGCGAAACAUGAUGCCUUUAAACCCCAUCCUUGUCAUUGAAAUAUUUGAUUGUUGGGGAAUUGAUUUUAUGGGCCUUUUUCCAUCAUCAUUUGGAUUUGUAUACAUUUUGGUUGCUGUUGAUUAUAUUUUAAAAUGGAUCGAGGCGAUUCCUUGUCGGUACAAUGAUCACAAGAUUGUGAUCCACUUUUUAAAAGAAAAUAUUUUAAGCAGAUUUGGAAUACCUCGAGCCAUUAUUAGUGAUGGAGGUAAGCAUUUUUGUAAUAAGCCAUUUGAGUCCUUAAUGAAGAAAUAUGGAAUUACACAUAAGGUUGCUACCCCUUAUCACCCUCAAACAAGUGGUCAAGUUGAAUUAGCAAAUAGGAGAUAAAACAAAUUUUAGAAAAGACAGUUAAUCCAAACCGUAAAGAUUGAUCUCUUCGACUAAUUGAUGCACUUUGGGCAUAUUGUAUUGCUUUUAAAACAUCUUUAGGAAUGUCACCCUAUUGGCUUGUUUAUGGAAAAUCUUGCCAUUUACCAGUAGAACUUGAACAUAAAUCAUUUUGGGCCAUUAAAGCUUUUAAUUCAAAUCUUGAUGAUGCUGGCAAUGUGCGUAAAUUGCAAAUAAAUGAACUUGAGGAAUUAAGGAAUGAUGCAUAUGAGAAUUCCAGAAUUAGUAGGGCAAGAACCAAAUUUUUUCAUGACAAAAGAAUUUUUCGAAAAACAUUUGAAAUUAGUCAAAAAGUGUUGCUUUAUAAUUCUCGUCUUCAUUUAUUUCCAGGGAAGUUAAAGUCAAAGUGGAAUGGUCCAUUUGUUGUAAAAAAUGUGUAUCUAUAUGGAGCCGUAGAAAUUGAGAAUUCAAAUGAUGGUGUCACAUUUAAAGUUAAUGGCCAAAUAUUGAAACCAUAUCUAGAAUACCAACCAUGUGAAGUAGAUACCAAAAUCAAUUUGAGUGACCCACCAAAAUUUUGAUUAAGCCUUUUCAUUUUAACGUUUUGUGAAUUUGAUUUACUGUUACUUUAUCGUUUGAAUUGUUUGAUUUUUUUUCUUUUUUCUUUUCCCUAUGUCUUGAAUGGAGUGCAUUGCAUUGUCUUUAAUUGUGUGUUGUUUGAACAUUGUGAUUUAGCUCACCAAACUUUUAUACUUGUCAUGAGUACCUCCAUGAGGAAUUUCCUUUUCGAUCAUCUUAAAACGCUUUUACAUGUAAAAUUUCACUUGAGGAAAUUACUCCGAUUUUGUAAAUCACAUCCCAUUUGGGAUCUACAACCACCGAGUUAGUAUCUCACGUGAAAGAUCUAGAAAGACAACUCAAGGAAAUAGAGGAUGGUAUUUAUAAUCUGCAAUUGGAACUGGAGGUAAAUUCAAUAAAACGACGAAUGUGAGUUAUAUUCCUUGUGUAUUUUUGUUUUAUUUUGUUGUUUUUCUUCACUUUUGAUUUGAUUUUGCAGAUUUGAUUCGUUUUGUUUUUAUUCACUCUCCCGUAUAAAUGGCGGAUAACGGUACUCCGUGACUUUUUAAGUCGGUAUUCUCAGUUUCCCACAAUAACUGAAACCUCAAUGUCAAGCAUGGAAGAAAUACAACGAAAAUUACAUCAACAUUUUCCUUCUCUCCCUCAAAAUGCUCUUAAAAAGAUUUACAAAGCUCGUUUUGAACGAUUGCAUUUGUUAAUGAUCAAUGGGAUUCCUGCUGACAUUCACUGGUUAAUUGAAGCAAAGGUCCGAUUGGCAGGUGAGUUUUCUGAUCCAUUCAUUUCCUACAUGCCUGGUUUUGGUAAAAGUACAUUUGCUAAGAAAAGAAGAGCUAAGCGACUUGGCUCUGAAUGUUCUCACUGUGUAAGACUUGCUUGCAAAAAGCCACGUUGUAAAGAUUUAGGAAUGGUUUCUGUAAAUUAUGAAGAUAAAAUCAAAUUCGUUAAGGAUGGCAUGAGUAAAGAAUCAUUGGAUGAUAUCUUACGAUCUCUUGAGACGCAUCCGAGCGGAUAUGUUCAAUGUGAAAUUCAAAAUUUGUGAAAGUUGUUCCAAAAGGAAAGUGCACAGUUUAGUCUUGGGAAUCUGACUCUAAAAGACCAUGUUUGCCAGUUUAUAAGAAAACUUGUUGGGAAGCCUAUCCUCGACCCAUAGAGGGCGUUCAAGCCAUUACUGGACGUAAAACCAAAGGAAGAUGUUAGCCACAAUCACAAUUAUCAGCAAAUAUCCUUUUAUUUUACUGUUCUUUUAUUUUUUACAUUAUUAUUAUUAUUGUGUUUUUUUAAUCUAAUUAUUGUUUGCUUUUUCUUUUCACUGUUUGCUUUUGAAUUAUUAAGCUAAAAGCUUCACGCGUCAGUUGACAAACACCCCACCCUAUUUACAGAUGUAUAUCAUUAUGUCCGUCACCAAGAUCUUUAAAUAGGAACUUCUUUUCAAGCACUCACAAAUUGUUUCUUUUUAGAAUUUUUGUAAUGGCAGCAACUUCAAGCAGACAACUAAAGAACAUUUGUGUGCUUUCUGGGUUUCGCUAUGGAAAGUAUAAGGAGUUCGUUCAGGCAGUCAUAGAUCUUGGUCGUGCUAUAGUAAAGAGGAAACUACAUCUUGUAUAUGGAGGAGGUGACCGAGGGUUAUCAAAGCUUGUCUCUGAAGCUACUUUCGUUCGAGGAAGCCAAGUGCUAGGCAUCAUUCCAAAAGCCUUAAAACCUUUAGGAUGCCUACCAGACUCACCAACUGGAGAAGAGUUAGUUGUCUUAGGUAUGCAAGAAAUAAUAUCCGAAAUGUUAAAUCAUGCUGACGCUUUCAUUUUCUUGCCAGGAGAUCUUGCAACUUUAGAGACGCUAAUUAUAUUUGCUUCUUGGGCCCAUUUGAAUAUUCAUCAAAAACCCAUCGUUUUGUUAAAUGUUUGAUAACUUUUAUGAUAGCUUAAUAAUAUUUCUUAAUCAUGCAAUAAAAAAUUACUUCAUUCCAUCCUCAACAAAAAAACUCUUUGUUUGUGCUCCUACUGCUAAUGAGUUACUUGAUCUUUUGCAAGCUUACAAACCAGAGCCAGAUCCCAUGACUUUGGCGUUGGAUUGGGCAACUGAUGACGAUGGCAAUAACUCUCGUAAAAAGUGUAAAUUAGAUUUAACUCUCCAUUUGUAAAUAUUUCCAGCAGUGGUCAGGUGAUAUCUUCUAAACUCUACUCAUUUCUUUAGACAUUGAGGACAAUGUCUCUUUCAGGUUGGGGGGAGGGAAUAGUUGAUAAUUGUGGAAUGUCUCAAUCCUAGUGAUGUUUUUACUAAUUUUUAUUAUAAAGACUAACUUUGGAUAAAAAUUUGAGUCGAAGAUGGCAGAAUAUAGAAUGUAGUGUCUCUAGAAACACAUCUUCUUAAGUUUAGUGUUUUGUUUCCAAAAAAAAAAUGUCUUCUAACGUUUUAUUUUCUAUUUUUUUUCUCUUUUUCUCUUAAUCAUCUCCCUUAAGUUUUUGCAAUCAGUCCCAAUUUCUUUUAGUGUUUCUUUAACAAAAAAAAAAAAGAGUUUUCUUUUUCAGUGUGAUCUUUUAACAUUGGAUAACAUGACGAUUUUCAAAUUUUGGUAUUUGUAUUAUCUUUGGCCUUGAGUUAUGAUACACUAUGUUUUCCCUUUUGCAUGUUGAAACGUAAAUUGAGAAAUUGGAUGAGUGAAAUUGAUUAAGCCAUUUGGAGGAAUGUACAUGUUAUGAAAAGACCAAGCGCGUUUUUGAGCCUAUUAUCCUUGGAGAGUAAGCUUGUUUAACUAUACAGCUUCACAAUUUAUUGUACAAGAUCUCAAUAUUUUCUAAAAAAAAGUAAAAAAAAAAAAAAGAAAGUUUGUGCAGCCGCAUCUAAAAGUCCAUUGAACUAGUGGAUAUGAAAUAUUAUAUAGAGCCCUAAAAGAUGACAAAAUGUCAUCUUUGAUUCAUUUGAGCCAUUCUAGCCAACCCUAUUAUAAAGAAUCUAUAGUUAACCCCUUUGACCCUUUGAAAAAAAAAAAAAACUUUUCCUUUGAUAACCUAUUAUCUUAUCUCACUCCAAUGUGGAGUAUCACCUUAUAUUUUAUGUUUUCCACCACCCAAUUAUGUUUGAAAAUAUGGAUGAUUAUGUAUUCCUAAUAAUGGUGCUAUAAAAAAAAAGAUGAUAUGUAUAGAUGAAUAAAUAAAAUAAAAGAAAAGAAAAAAAAAGAGAGUAAAAAAAAAUCCAAAAAAAGGCACCUUGUAAUCUCCAAAAAGACCCCUAUUUUUCAACAUAUAUUUUUGUUUUCCCCAUUACCUUCUUUUGUUAGCCAUAACCCUAACCUAAGUUACAUCCUAAUAAAAGUCCUUCUUGAUUUUAAGAAACUAUAGUGUGAAGUAAAGCUGGUGAUAUGGACUAAAAGAUGUGGUGAUGCAUAAAAAUAAAAAUAAAUUUUUCCAGUAAUUCCUUGGAUUUGAGAUCAUUUUAUUUCUAAACUGUGGGCAUUAUUUUUUUUUUUAUCUUGGUGAGAGCGUGUGAUAUUGUUUUAUUAUUCUCUCAAAUUUACCAUAUUUUUUAGAGUGACAAUUUAAUUUGGGGUAUAUCUUCUUUUGAGACAGGUACUCGUAAUCGUGAGAUUUUGGGGUUUGAUGUAUCAUUCUUAAAAGUGGCUUGAUUAAUGUAGCUCUGAUGAUUGAUCAUUUUACAGGCUUUUACUGAAUUAUUUUGUGUGGGUGUGAUUUUCUUUAGGCUGAAGAUAAUGCUUAUAUUUUUAUUUGAUUAUUUUCAUUGAUCCGAUGAAAGAAGUGAACACAAUUUUCAAAAAAAAAAUCAAUUUGGUUUUGAAAUUUCUCUAAAUUUUUAUCGCUUAAAUUGCUAGGGCCUAGCAAUAAGUUGAUUGGGGGGUGUGAUUGACACUAAAAAGUGUACAUUUAAUAAGGAUAAAAUUCUUAGUUUUUCAUUUAUUGUGUCGAUUAAUGCGUUCAUUAUUUUUAAAUUAUUUUAAUACUCCCCAAAUAUAUUUUAAGUUAAAUUAAUUCGCAAUUUGUUAAUUUUUAUCUUGUAAAUAUUUUUCAUGAAUAAAGAUGAAAUUAGAAUUGAAAGCGGGAAUAGAGAAGAACUACUGGAACACAAAUUGAAGAGAUGUAAUAAUAAAUAAAAAAUAAAAUAAAAUAAAGAACAAAAGCAUGUUGGUGAUGGUCAGGAGGCCAUCACGCCUCCUGACCAUCACACAAUUCAAUAUGUAUAUAUAAUAUAAAAACAAAAUAAAAUAUUAAUAUUAAUAAAAUAACAAAAGAUGAUUCCCUUGCCUAUAAAAGGCAAGGGGAUGCAAGCGAUGAGGGGGCGGGAGCCGAGAGCCAGAAGCUAGUAGAGCUAUUUUUGAUAAGCGUAAGCCGAGAGAGAAUAAAGUGCAGUCUUUUCUUGUUUCCUUUUGUAAUCAACUUUCUUGUAACGUUUUCAAAAGUUUAUCAAAUAAAUAGAGUGUUGUGUUUUCUUUCAAUAUGAGUGGCUAAUUUUAUAAAGCUGAGGUGAAGGGUGAAGCUCAAUAUUUCAAACUAUUAAAUUUAUUAUUUUCUCAAAUGAGUUUAAAGUUUAUUUUAUUCUUUUCUAGUUAUUUUUAUGUCAUAUUAAUUUAUAAAUUUCUUUGGAUCUGUAUGGUAUUUUGACAUAAUGUCAACACAUUAAUAUAGUAUGACACAUUAGGUAUUUUAUUUCAUAUUUAUCCAUACACAUAAAAUUAAAUGAUAUAAUAAUUAACUGGUAAAAGUGAGACAAAAUAUAAAUGAGAGAGUAUUAAAAUUAUAGUUUGAAUACAGAGAGUGGAUCCCGAACCUUAGCGUAUUUUUAAAUUGAUUUCAAAUAAUUUCUUUUCCCCACAAUUAAUUUUCUUAGUUUUAAAUUGACUACUAGAUUUAAAAUUCCCUGUGGUUCGACCCCGGUCUCACCGGGUUAUAUUAUAACUAGACACUCUUAUACUUGGGAGUAAUACACUUUUGAGUCGUGUCAUAUACUAAUGGAUUUGGUCCAUAACAAUGGGUUCCAAUGGAUGGAUCUUGUAGCACUUGCCAAUGAAGCCCUAUUGAUUAGUAAUACAUAAAAAAAAUCAAUUAUAGACACUAAUACAUUUAAAUUUGCUCUUCAUAGACAAACUUGGGAUUUGUAAUCCUAAGUAAGAUCGGUACAAGAUCAUGGGAUCAUUUUCUAUCGGAUAGGGAGGGCUAUUGUACAAAAUGUACUUCUAAGUAAUUUCCCCAUAGAUCCUAUAUCUAUCUAUAUAAAGAAGAAAUCAUGUAAUGAAGGGGAUUCUUAUUUGUACAAAUGGUACUUUGAAUUUAGAACGAGCAUGAAGAAAUUAACGGUACUUCUUUAUAUUUUGAGUUGCUCUACUAGAUCAGUCGCUCAAGACCUUUGGUAUUUACCUAAACCCAAUGAAAAAAUGAGAUCACUUCUUCUAAUGUUGCUAAGAAUGAUUUUCAUCUAGUCUAUGACCUAUUAGAAGUAGAAGGUGCCCUAAUGAGAUCCUCACAGAUAGAAAAAGAUUGCAGUCGAUUUGAGAAUAAUCAUGUGACAUUGCAAAUCGGAAUUUGAAGAGGAGGAAGGAGAAAGAGUCCUCGACUCACAACAUACAAAGGAGGAUUUAUUUAAUCACAUAGUCUAGGCUCCUAGAAUAUGGCGCCCUUAGGGCAUUCUAUUUGAUCGUGUCGAAAGGCCCAAUGAACUAGGAUUUCCCUAUCAUGCCAAGUCAUUUUGGGGCAAGCAGAUCAUUUAUGAUGAAAAUGAUAAACUUCAAGAGAAUGAUUUGGAGUUCUUACAGAGUAAAAACAUGAGUAUCAUACAAGAGAUAGAUCUUCCAACGAAUAAGGCUUUUUUCAAAUAAGCCAAUUCAUUUAGGAACCUACAGAUCCACUCUUUUUCCUAUUCAAAGAUCAGCCCCUUGUCUUUGUGUUUUCACACCAAAGAUUCUUUGCAGAUGAAAAAAAUGUAAAAGAGGCUUCUCACUUCCCAACUAGAUCCUUCUACAUCUAUUGAUAAGCACUAGUUUAUCAAGAAUACACAAGAAAAGUAAUUCGAAUUGUUGAUUCAUCGCCAAAGAUCGCUUAAAACCAAUAGUUCAUUAUCUAAUGGAAUUUUUAUUGUAAUACUCCAUCUAAGAGUUAUUAAUAUUUAUCAAAUCUUCUCAGCUGGUGAGUAUGACGGUUACAGCAACUGGUGGUGAUGUUGGCUAGACUGUAAAGAAAGUGGUGGUGGGCAAUGGCGACUAGGGUUUUAAAUUUGGGUUUUUCUUUUUUGUUUUUUUCCCUCAGUGAUGGAUUUGGUGGCAAUGGAUAUGGAUAGCUAAGAAAGUUGUCAAUUGGUACAGAACUACUCCGAUGCCGACUAACAUAGUGGGGUGGGGGAGGUAGAACUGAUAAGAUAAAUAAUAUUAGAUAUCAUUCUAAUACUACUCCAAACCAAUGCAAUUAGGUUACAUUCUAAUCGAAAUGAUUAAAUGUUGCUUUAAUCCAAACUAGGCAAUGAGAUUUUUUAAUAAGGGAGAGUAGACGACGCUCUAAUCCAAACAACUUUAUAAUACAAAUUUUUAUAGAUAAUCUCAAAAGAAAUUAUAAAAGAGGGGUUUUUACUAAUUGAUCAAAGGUUUAAAUUAUAAUAAUAAGACCUUUCUAUUAAUAAUAUAGUAGAUUUAUUUUUCUAAGUUAAUUUAAAGAGGAAACUAAAUCACAAUUAUAAUAAAAAUGAAAGAAUAAGACAAAUAUUAACUCUAAUUAAAAUAAAAAAUCAUAAAAUUAUUAAAAUUCUAAAAUCCUAACAUAACGUCCUACAUCAACCUCUCCUCGUGAUUUAAAUUAUUUUCACCCAUUGAUCUACACAUGCGUUAAGUGUCUAUAUUUAUUUUAUAAACAUUUUGUCCUUCAAAGAUAUCACUCUAUAUUUUCUAAAUGUAAUUUUAUCACUUUUUUCUAUAUCUAUAAAUUUAUCCAAAAAUUCAUCGACAACGCAUUAUACAGUGAUCUUUUGUACUUCAUGUCCACAUUUGUUUAUAUAAAUAUUAAGAUAAGUUGAAGUGAUACGCACUAUUAUCAAAAAAUCAACUCAUCAAUCAUGUAUAGCUUUUUUUUUCUCCUUUAUGAUGGGAAGAUUAUUUCAUCAAUUUUAUAAAAAUAUAUCAUAAAAUAUUUACGCAUAAAUAAUUGUGAAUUAUAACAAAUAAUAAAUUAUUUUUGUAAAUUUAUCUUUCCUUGAUUCAAAUAAAAAUCAAAAUAUUUAACUCCUUGAUUGAAAUUUGUAUGAAUUUUUUAGUUUGAUACGUAAUCAUUAACCUCAUUAUCAAACUCUUCAUGGCAACGCAUAUAUAUAAGAAGUUUGGAUAUUUUUUAGUUCAAUAUACUCCACAUAAGAUUAUUUCAGUAAUUUUGUUAGUCUCAUUGUCAUAAAAUUUUAGAUUUUCUGCCUGCAUUUAUUAGUGUGUGGACUAAAUAGUCAAACAAACAAAAGUAAUAAACAAUUAUACAUCAGGUGGGACUUUCAUAUAUUUUAAAAUUUUAGAUUUUCUACCCGCAUUUAUUUGUGUGUCGACUAAUAGUCAAACAAACAAAAGUAAUAACAAUUAUACAUAAUUAAGAAAUAGAACCGCACUUUGCGCGGUUUUGAAAAAAAAUUAGUAUUAUCCUUUUUUAUUAUUAUAUUUUUAAUGAUUUAUUCUAUUCAAUUAAAAGGCAAGACUUUAAAAAAAAUGAAAAAAAUAAAGUAAAGCUAAAACCAAAUUUUUUUUUAAUUAUUUAAAAUUGCAUUAGUUAAAUUAACACCACGGAAAUAAAAGUGCCAUAGAUGCACCUUGUCUAAGCCAAAAUCUUGGAAACUUGAGGAUGAUAUAUCACCAUGAGGCCACCUGGAGAAGGAGCAGAAGAUGCAUCACAAUAGCCUCUCAGUAUGUUCCCUUCUUCGGCAGUGAAUCCAAGAGAGGUGAGCAUUGCAGGCCAGCAAUUACGGGUGAUGAUAUCAAUAGCGCGGCAACAAUCAGGGUCAAUAUCAGCCUGAUUAUUAAAGAAGAAUAUAACAAUAUCAUUUGAACAUGAUUUCAACUCCAUUAAUGCGUUCCAGCAGUCCGCUACCUUCAAGUUUUAUUGCAAGAUCGUAGCCUGGUUUCAUGUUGUUGUUGAGGUGAUCAUUCCUGCUGGUUGCAUUUGCAAUAUUUGUCAUGAUUAGGCAAGUGAGGACCAAAAUGAAAAACACAUAUUUUAGAGCCAUCGCUAUUUUAUGUUCGUUUAUGUUGUGUUUAUGUUUACGUGGGAUAUCAUGUUUUUUGUUGCUAUUUGUAAAUUAAGGUGAGGCAGAGGAGAAGAGUGAUUAAAAGUGUUUAUAAAUUAUUGUUUAAUGCUUAAUUUAUGAUCAAUAAGGUUUCAAUUAGAAAAGAUAGUGGGUCUUUUGAUGAAUUGUUACAUAUUAAUUGUGUAAUAACAGUCAAAUUAAUUAUGAUAAGAUGAAAAGCCAAAUUUAAAAAAAAAUUUCUAUAUUUAUUAGAUAAUAAAGAAUAUAUAAAGAUGAGAAAUGGUGAUGUCACAUCAUCUCUUGUAGUCCUAAUUUUAUAUAAAUAUAUUUUCAGGGGAGAUUUUCAUAUAUUUUAAAACUCUUUAAGGGAAAAAAAUUACUUUUGUCAAACAAACAAGAGGGUACUGCUCGCUUUCCCGUCAAAAAAUUAUCGUAACAUUUCAGUUACCGCUUAUUAGUUUCUUUGAUUAAUAGUUAAUAAUCUCAUCUGCCGUACCUAGAAUAGAUCUUGAUGAAGCAAGAUCUAAUUUAACAAUCUGAAAAUGUUAAUGAAAAUUCAAAAUUUCAAAAACCAGUUAAUCCAGUUGGGAGAACGAUGACGUGGUAAGUCUGGUUACCACAGAACCUCUACUGCUUUACACACGUUUUCCUCUUUUAUUGAGGGAGAUUUAGGAAACCUCGUAAGGGAGUGAUUUGCUGAUUGCAACAAAAUCGACAAGUUUCUAUCUGAUUCUUAGUUGCUCAUAUUCUGGUUCUUUUGUUAGUUUUAGUCGAUUUCUUCCCAAGACUGCAGCCGAAUGACUACCAUUCUGUAAGGGCUUUCUAAGAUAAAGAAGUUCAUUCUGCGGUGAUGAGUUAGGACUUAGGUACAUGGAGACAGAAGAGAGAAAGCAACCGUCCCAGAAAAAAUGAAAACGAGAAAAUAUAAAUGCAGUCAAAGGUCAAUAAUAAUAAUAUUAGAAAAUUUAGCAAAGAAACCACGCUUCAUGUAAAACCAAUAGUAAUAAGAUUACAUGCAACACCUUUGAAAUUAAACUGAAGUAAUUUGAAUCAGCAAUUAGUAACUGAUCCAUUCUCAGAUUUAGUAAAAACACACGCCAUAAUAUAUUAUAUUAAACAAAUUAAAGUACACACCGAGGAAGAUAAAAGACAUCAAAGAAGGGGAAGUUUAUGGAGGAAGAAAAGCAAAGAACACUACUGAGAAGGGAAAGCAUCAGACAGGAACUCCUCAUCCUCCAUGAAAAUCUGCAGAUUCUUGGACUUCAUCAGGAUCUCAACCACUUCUUCAUUGAAUUCCACAAAGAAAGCCAACUUAAUCAGCUCAGAGAGUGAAUUGAUGUGAUCUUCUUUGUCCCACAACACUCCCUUCGAUAUGGUUUCAGCAAAUGGAAUUGCAUAUUCAAUGCGGUUUUUGUGCCCACCAGACCUGUUAACCUUAUGCGUGAAAAGCUUUCCGCUAUUUCUGUCCCAGCGUAUCAAUUGGCACGCUCUCGCAUCAACAAUUUCCCCUGAUGACAAUGAUAAACUGUACCUUACAGUUAUUGGCUCUGCAGUCUCCAAAAUGGUGAGAUUCAGGAGACACUUGACAGCAUCAUGCUUUUUUGCCGGUUCCAUUUGAAUUGAAGGAUCAGCCAAAAACCCCAGAAUGAGUUUCACCAGCCCUUUGCCAAUAUAGUAGUCCUUCUGAUUCACCUGCUUAUGUUCCACGCCUUCUCCUACAGACAAUUCUUCCUUCUGUACACAAUCUGAGAUUGUGCGAACCCCGAUUUUCCUAUAUAAGUCCAGCAACGUUGUCUGAGGUAAAGCAGGCAAGCUAGGCAGUGGAUACCAGACAAAUAGUGAAUGAGGAGAGGAUUUUUCGAUUACAUCCUUUAGCUGAAGGUCGUCAGCUAUGAAAACAUCACGCUUGUCAAACAACAAAAUACCAUCCAAGCCUGAAUUAACAGGCAGCUUCACCAAGCUGUCAGCCAUAAGUUUCUUUGAACUGCAUUGCUUCAAAACACAACCCCAAAAUGCACAACACUCAGCAUUUGACAGUUUGUAUUCUGAACUUUCCCAAACCUUCCAGAGCUUACAAUAAUCCUCAACCAAAGGAUUGGAUUUAACACCAAAAGCACUUGAGAAGAAGCUCAGUAACUUCCAGUCAUAGUGUUUAUCCAAUACUUUCAUCUGUGUGCUGAACAGACCAUCUUUGUCAUGUAAAACACAUUCUACCGGGCUUACCCACUGUCCACUUUGACUUUCCUCCGGAAUCCAAAUCCUUCUGGCAGCUUCACCAAGAGGCUGCCACUUCAACUGUGCCAAGACAUUGUAGAUUCGAACUAUGGUUGCAAAGUCAGUGCGGAAAUCGAGGUGGCUGGCAAGCAAUGGACAUCCCUUUUCUAAAUCAACGGUGACUCCAAUUGUAUUGAGCUCCUCCCGGUAGUAUUUGAUUUCUGAACCAUAAAAAUCUUCGUCAAGGAAAGGUCCAUCUGUCUGCUUCAAAAGAUUCAAUUCACACGUAGAAUCGAACAACAAGCACUGCUUCGGGCUACUAUAAACUUCACUGCCAUGUGUCCUAAACCACUUUUGUGAAACUUUCUCGUUGAAAGACCUGGUGAAGGUGUAAUUCUUCUCUCGCAAUAUCCUGAUGCAUUUGAGAAGAGAAAUUACAUUUGCACGAGUGACGUUGCAGGGAUUAAUAAAAAGACCAUCAGCGAUAAACUUCACACCAUCUUCAAAUGGUACGACAGUUCCCAUGUCCUCCAGCUCCUCCUCGAAUUCAUGAAUGGCCAUGCUGUAGAAGCGGUCACUGUCAUCAAUGAAGGGAAGCAGAGUAAUAGAAGCGAUAGACUUCCAAUCUGGACCAAAAAGAAUGAAAUCUCUUGGUGAUCUAUAAUCACCAAGGCGAGUCCGCAACCAUUUUGUCUCACGGAUACAGUUAAUAAAUUCAGCAGGAAACUUAAGAGAUGCUCCAUUCAGUUGUCUGUAACAUGAUAGAAACUUCAGGACAUGAUCUUUUGAAAUUGAAGAUGAGGAGGCUUGUUGCUUAAAAAGGCAAACAAAUGCUUUGACAGCCUUCUCAAAUUCAACAGCAACUCCUAACUGCUGCAACUCCCUUUUCGAGCAGACAAUGUUGCUUCCAUAGAAAUUUUGAUCGAUGAUUGGGAAACCCUUAAAAACCUCUAACAGGCAGCCCCAUUCAGGAUCGAACAAAAAACAUUCACCCGGAGACUUGUAACCCUCAUCUGUCUUCAAGCAUUUCGCAUUACCAAGUGCUUUAACAAGUCUGUCAGAAGAUUUGGAAUGGCGCAUGCAUGCCAGUACCAAAUGAACAGCUUCAGCUGUGAGACAAGCUGACGAUGAAGGCAGUUUCAAGUUGUCAAUUACAAGCUGAUAAUUUUGAUUGAAUUCCACCAUAACACCGAGCAGCUGUAAUUCCACUUUGUAACAAAGUAUUUCUUCACCAUAGUAAUUUUGAUCAAUGAAGGGAAUGCCACUUAUUUGAGAUGCAAUUCUCCACUCCUGAUCAUGUAGAACAGAUGUAACAGGUGACCUAUAACCGUGGGAUGUCUUCAGCCAACUUCCUUCUUUGAUGCUCUCAAUAAAGCUAUCUGGUGAAAGAAACUUUUCUCUUAGAAAUCUGAUAAAAUUAACUAUUGAAAACACAUUGUCUUUGGUAACACGGGAUGAUGCUGCCCGAGACAUAAGAUAUUUCCCAAUGAAUUCACAUGCUUCUCGAUAUUCAAACAUCACUCCAAUUGUCUUCAGCUCCUCCUUGUAAUUAAUUAUGCUUUCACCAUAAAAAUUCUGGUCAACCAGGGGAAUAUCAACAAGCAUUGAUCCAUUUUUCAAAAUGUUGCCCAACGAUGAAGUGAGGAAAAAAGAUUGCGAUGGCGGUCUAUAACCUGCAGGGGAUCCAUUCAUAGUGAUUUUCAGCCAGCUGGCUUCCUUUAUGCAUGCCAGAAACUUCGUAGGGAUGCCAAAUCCCCUGAACUUCAGGUUUUUAACCCAAUCCAAGAGAAAAAAUGUGUUUUGCUUGGUGAGUGGGGCAGACACAGCUGGAAUCUAGGCAUUAGGAGGGGAUAAAUGAGGAAUAUCAGAUGCUCCAACAUGAGACUUCAGGAACUCGAUGAUCUGCUCUCCUGUUGUCCUUUGCCCUGCAAAAUUUCCAGGACGCAAGUAGUCUUCCCCUAACUCUAUAUAGCCUUCUUGUCUCCAUGGGUUUGAAACAAUCAAUUCUGCCCAUUUGCUUCCAUUUGCUGGCACAAGGACACCAUUCCCAUUCGUGCUCACAGCCCCAUAAUUAUCCACAAGUGGCAUAAGCCCACACAAAAUUUCAACCUCCCGAGAUGACAAAUACCUCUUUGACAAUGAGUGAUAUAAGAAGUAAGCAAAGACUACAGCAAGCUUUCUGUCAUUUUGCAGAUGCUUAAUGAGAACAGCUGCAUAAUCAUACACAGUCACAGUAGCAACCUUCACCCAGUUUUUCAGCCAUUGCAAUACCACUUCCGUCUGAUAGCACAACAGAAGAGCAACAUAUGUGCUUUCUGGCAUAAAAGAACGAUUGGCAGCACAUCUGAAUUCCUUAUUACAAGCAGUCAACCAGGACAGCUGAGGUGACAAACAUACCAUGUCAUACUGGCGAUGCAUUAAUACUACACAAAGCCACAUUCCCAUCUACGUCAACAUAUUUGAUCAAGGGUAUACUGCCAAUGUUGGUAUUGCUGAAUUUGGAAGACCAAUUUUCAGCAAGGAAAACGAGUAGCUCACAAUAGACUUCUUCGGACACUCCCAAUACAAGAUUAGAACUCUGGAUGCAUUUUGCAUACCAUUCACUGUUGACUGGCGCCACACCCAAGAAAUUAAGUACCGGAUCAUACUCUUCUCUGUCAAAUGAGGAAUUCAGUACAUGUAGUCCAUGGUGGGACAGAUUUCUCAAGCUCACCCCUUCAACUUUUGCUUUCUUCAAAAUAUUCCAAAACCGCGGCAUUAGCUUUCCCACGUCACGGGGUUUGUGGAAGAAUUUCUACACCAUACAUGACUCACUAGGUACAAUAUCUUCUUCAAUAAGCUUUGCUCUAAUUGGUUCUCUUACAUCCUUAUUCAGCUGUGAAUAGGAAGAGCUGUCAAAACGAAACAUUGGCGGCAAACUAGAUACUGGAGCACCUUCUGUCAUCUUCACCAGUGAGAUUAAAGCAUUAACAAAAGCAGAGGAAACACAGCUGAGAAUUCCUUGGUUCCAUUUGUUAUCUAGCACUAUAUUCUCCCUGGAUGAUGCAAGGAGAAAAUCUGCUUGAAUUAUAAAUGGAAAAUUCGUAACCAUCUCCGUUGGAAGAAAUGCAUAGAUUCCAGGAGAGGUUGCUCCUCUCCGGAGACGCUCACCAUUUGGAAACGCCAAUAUGAUCACCCACUCCUCAACAUCCAUUCUCCUCUCCACUUUAUUUUCUUGUUUGACAGGAAAUCUCUGCCUCCACAUAUAGUAGUUGCAUUCUUUAUUAUUCCGGUCGCCAUUUACGGCAAGAUGGAGUGUGUAGGACUCAGCAUCAAUAUUCUUCCUUGUCACAAAAUUGGUCUCGCUGUUUAUAGCUAUUGCACUCACAGUAUUUCGAAGAGGAUCCUUGUUAUCUUCCCUGACUGAAAGGCGCUUUAUCUUUGAAAGGAAUAGCAGUACUUCAGGAUGGUUGAAAGCUGCUGCUUGACAGGUUUGACUUUAUCAGGUUUCAGAGGCAAAACAAAUGUUGUGGUUGGAAGAUCUUUAGAUCCUGAACCGCAUAAUUUCUGUAUGUCUGAGAGAGAUGGCUUCUCAUUGACCCAGUCAGGAACUAUGUAUCCGAGGUUGCAAUGUGGGCAGGGCUCUUCAGUAAACUUUAUCUGAUAGCCAUUGCUGAAUAUGCAAGGCUGAGCACUGAUCAGAAAUACACUUUUGAACCCGAUUCCUGUACGUAACAAGUAUAAUACAAAUAUUUGAGUUACCCAUAAACUAAAAGGCUAGCUAAUUACAUUUUGUUGUUUUGUGUAACUGAAAACUGAAAAUAUAAAAUCUGUUUCAAAUUGCAAAGCAACAAUCCUCUGAGUAAUACUGGCAACAUGAUUGCUUGAAAAUCAAUUGAUUAAGCAUUUGCAGGUUCGAAACAGAACAUACAAUAACAUAAGAAAGCAAACACAUAAAUAUGCAUGAGUAAAUGAAAAGAGAAAAAGGAGUGAUGUAAGGGACCUUUCUCGCCAAUAUAGCCACUUUUACGAUUGCCCUUCUUAGUAGAAUUGCCAACAUCGCAAAUGGACUCAAUAUUCUUGGCAGAAAAACCCUUCUCAUUGUUGAAUAUGAGCAAUGUGGCUGGGGCUCCUGUGCCUGUUAUAUCACGAGAUGUUAUUACAAACUCGAGUGAUGGAUCCACACCCUCCAGGUACUCAUUGUCUUCAGCAUUCUGUCAUGGAAAAAUAAACCACUUUGUUAACUUUCUAAAUCAUCAAUCGUUCAUGACCAAAAACAUUGUAGGAGUCAAUUUCAUGGGAAAAAUACCAGAUGGACCUAGAUUUGCUAAUCCAAAGCAUAUGAAAAAGAUGGAAACUUUAAUGAAGAGACACAUAAAGAUAAACACAAACACAAGAAUACAUCAUGACAGUGGCUCACAAACUUUAAUGAAGAGACACAUAAAGAUAAACUCAAACACAAGAAUACACUAUGACAGUGGCUCACAAACUCUAGGAUCAGUGGCUGCGAUGAUUCACACAAGAAUACAAAGCAUUUUAACAAACUGUUGGUAUAGUUUUUCUUAAUGUUCUAUGAGUCAUCGUGGAUAUCUCCAAUGAUCCGAGACUAUUCUUGCCAAUCAGGUAAACCAACACUACAUUAUGAUUUACAGCUUGAUGAUCACAACUGAUACUUCUAAAACAUUAAGGAAAUCAAAUUGUUCACUUCCCGCCAAAAAUCCUUCAUUGAGGCAUUUUGUCGAACACGAUUCCAGAACUAUCAAACACCUUUGCCAUUUAACUAGCUCCCUAUACAAAGAAGCAUAUUCAACUGAAUUUUACCUCUGUUUAAAUAUUAUGAUCAGUCUUAUCUGCGGAUAGCCAGGGGUCAAGGUUUGCACUUUUGAAACCCCAACCUUGAUUUUGGGUAAAAUUAACUCAGAAUCAGUAUUAUGCUGAAGUGUAUAAUUGUUCUAACAUGGAUUUUCUUUUUUCUUUUAUAUUGCUUUUCAUGAUUUGUAGGAUCAGUUGUAAAAUAAUAUUUUUUAUUUAUCUCGUAUUAAUUAAACUGGUUUGAUUAUUUUUAAAUUAAGUUUGUGAUCUCUUUCAAAUUGUAGUAAAGACAAUGUUUCCAACAACUUAUUUUAUUCAGCUCAUCCGAGUUUGAAUCCUAAGGAGACAGGUCAAAAAAUUGAUUUAAGUCUUGCCCACCUCUCAAUCUUUAAAAAAAAAAAAAAUCUAACUGCUUAAAAAUAAUGAUAAAAACAUUUUUUUACAAAAACUUAUUUUGAUACAAAAAAAAAGACACUAGAAUAAAUGGAAAAUAAAAUCUUACCAUCCAAUAAAACAAUAAAUAUGAAAAUUUCAAGCACCCUACGAUUUCUCAGAGAUGUAAAUAAAAACACUAAUAAUUAUGUGAUAAUAAAUCUAUUCAUAGACUACAAGAAAAAAUUAUUUUGUUGACGUUACAUAAACAUAACAUCAGUUUUGAUCGUAACACUAAAACUCAUCAUUUGUAUUUUAUAAUAAUAUUUUUAAAGGUUCCUUUCACCAAAAAAUAAUAAUAAUAAUAAUGGCUAUAUUCGAAUAAUAAAGAAAGUCACGACUAAAAAGCAUCUAACAAAUUUUGGUCGAGCAUGUUUUAAUAACAUGAAAGCAAAACGAGAUAACAUUUCGAACCCAUAUUUAUUAUAAAAGCUAGUUUUCACUCAAAAAGCGAUCGCUGUUAUUACUCAUAUGAAUGAUAGAUUCGAAAACAACAUUUUUGUUUGGGUUCGAAAACAACAUUUUUGUUUGGGGUGGAUAAAUUUUUAAUUAACUUUUUAACUCCGCCCUCCCUCAGAAUUUUAACUGGAGAGAUCAAUUAAUUAAAAAAUACUUAAAAACCGCUCGACUGGACCCUAGGGCAGACACAGAAUCAUACUAUCCAUGCAUGCACUUAUAUAUAAUAAACAUAUACAUGCAAUUAAAUGAGAACGAAAAUAAAUAAAGAUUAAUCGAAGAAGUACAUACCUGAAUGAGUUCCAUGAGAAAAUGGACAUCCUUAGUGUAAAGUUCAGCAGAAAGAAGCUCAACAGCUCGAUGAACCAUCUUUGUUAGAGGAUUUAUCACCUCACUCCCUAUAAAGAACAUCUUCCUUCUUAUCUCCUCAAUGUGUUCUUUUGGUGUCGCCAUAGCGUAUGCCAUGUUUUUUUUCAAAAGAGCAGCAGCUUGAUCAACAAAACACAGAAUGUAUGUUCUUGUUCUUGAUCUUGUGUGAAGAAAUGAACCUAGCUAGUGGUUUUAAAUACUGCACCAAUAUUUAUAUGCUAAGUAAUGAAACGAUCGUUAAUUUCAAAAUCCCAGCAAAGAAAAGAGAGAGCUACUUCUUAAUUCAAUUUGCGUGCAAUUCAACAAAAACAAGUGAAAGUAAGUAAAUGAGGCUGGUGCCAGCGGAGUGGAAGUUUACUCAUAAAAAGAAGCAAGGUUAACUUCUUGGAGAAGUAGAAAAAUUAACUGUUGAUAAAUAUGUUUUUAUUGAUUUUGUAAUUAUAGACCCAAAACUAAAGUCUUUCUUUGUACGGAAACAGAUGCCUUUGAACCCUGAUUCGACCACCAUUUUACAUUUAGUCGAGUCUUCGUCAAUGCUUUAUUCGGCUUUUGGCUUUUGUUUUUUAUUUAGCUUUUCUUUUUCCAAAGUGGUCUGGAAUUACAAUGGAAAAGCAAAGACUAGCUAGCUGUUGGGCUUGGGUUUUUGUUUUUAGGCUUUUACCUAAUCAUGCAUUUGGAAUUUAAAUAUAUAAAUUUGUUCGCAAAGCUCAAUUAUUUAGGAUCAAUUUGGGAUUGUUAUGCUGUAAUGAUGAAAUAGGUUGUAAAAUUAAAAAAAAAAUUAGGUUAAAAUUUUAAAAAAAUAUAUUAGGUGUUUGGCAGGUUGUAUUGUUAUGACAAACUGGGAAUUUCAAAAUAAGAGGAUAUGCGUCUAAUUAAUUUUGAUUAUUAGAGUAAUGUUUCACUAUACUUUUAAAUAGUUGUAUUUAGUUGGUAACUCAAGCUCAAAUCAUGGAGGAAAUAGAGGACUAAAAAAUUAAUUUGGGCUUUGCCAAGCACUCUACGCUUUGAAAAAAAAAAUGAAAGCUAAAAAAAUAGAAUAUUUUUCAUUUUUUUCUUUAUUUUUUUUUGUCUAAACCACGAGGUGGUCCUGAGUGGGCCCCAACUGUGGGAGGCACCUUUAAGCCUGUACCACAACUCAUACUAAUCCCCGCUCGCACUGAGUCAGCCCGUAAGGGAUAAAGUGCUGGCCAAAGUGGUGACUCCAUACAAGAGCGAGACUUGAACCCCUGACCUCUCUUAAGGAGUGAGAGUGCCGAACCACUCACACCAACCAACUUUGGUUAAUUUUUUCCAUUAUAAAUUGAUAUACUUCAGUUUGUCUCCUGACAUAUUUAAAAUCUCAACCCACCCUUCCUGACAAUUAAGAAAACAAAUAAUUGGAUGAACAAUUUCAUCUCUGCCGUCCUAAUUUACCAUCAUGUUUUGAACGGUGGAUGAAUUUGACAUUUUCAAUAAUUUGUGAAUAAAUUGAUGUCAAUUUAUGGGGAUAAACAAAAUUAACAUAAAGGAACUUAAAAAUCUUUAAUAUUAGAGAUGACCAAUGGGACGUGCCGUGUCGCCGGGCCUAUCAAAGUAACACCCAUGUGUGCUCGUGCCUGUGCUGUGCCGUGACCACUAUGUGUUUCAUGCCGUGCUUAAAUUUUUUUUGCUUAGGCCCAGCCCGGCACACAUGUCGUGCCCAUUCAUGUCGUGCCCACAUGUGUCGUGCCUAAAAAAAAAACCUACUAAGUUUUUUUUCUUUUCUUUUUAAUUUUUUAAGAGUGCAUACUAAGUUUUUAGUAUACUUUUUUUAAAUCUAUAUACUUUUCUUAGAUCUAUGCCUUUAUUCAAAUUUAAUAGAAUUGAAAAUUUAAAACUCAAGUCGACAUUUAAUAAUAAUAAAUUAAUAAUAGUAAGAAAAUGUAAUAUUAAUUACUAAGUUUGACCUUAUAGUAUUAGAAUUUUUUAAUAAUAAUAAUAAUAAUAAAAUAAAUUUUUCUUAAGGAUUAACUUAAUUGUUAACUUGAACUUACAUAGAGUCAUAAAUCGUUCACAAUAAUAUUAAUGUAUAUUUAUAAAAUUAUCAUAUUUAUAAUUUUAUUCAUUAAAAUCAUUAUAUCAAUUAUUUAUUUAAUAAAUAUAUAAAUUAAUUAUAGUUUUUUUCAACUAAGAAUUAAAUUAAUUUAAAAAAUUCAACUUCAAGUUAUUUAUAAAAUCAUAAAAUUUUAAGUUUACUUUCAUUAAAAAAAUAAAACGUGCUUAUCGCAGGCUUUUUCAUCGUGUCGUGCUUAGCCCAUCUCUAAUUGUGCCGUGCUUUUAAGGUCUAUGUGUCUAAAAUUCUAAGCUCAACUCGGCCCACGUGCAUGUCGUGCUGUGACUCGUGCCCCAUCGAAAUGUGCUCGUAUCGUGCCGUGUUGUACGGACACUUACCGUGCCCGUGCCACGUGCCAUUCGACCCAUUGCCCAUCUCUAUUCAAUAUAUAAUUUUUAUCAAUGAUCGUUUUGAUUUUUACUUUUUUCCUCAUCAACUCAGUUGUUUGGAAUAUUUUUAAGGGACGCAGUCAAUAUUAUUGACAUAAUCAAAUUUUAAGUUGUAGUUAGUUCACACGAUGUCUCUCAGCAUUAUGUUACUCUUACUUAGGGAAGAAGAAAACUUUACAUUAUUGGAGGAGACAGAGAAAAAGGAGCUAGUGUUUUAACUACUUUGUGAAUAGUGAAACAUUUGCAUUAUUGUACGAAAAUUCCAAAGGUAGAUUCCAAUUCCAACGCCGAUUGUAUGGCUAACAUAAGUAUUAAUAACAUCAAGGAUUAUAAAAUUUGAGUUACCAUAAAUAUGAUAGUUUUUUAAGCAUUAAUAAUUUAAUAUCGUUAAUAAGUAAUAUGUUGUGAUAGUUCAUCAAGUUCCUGCUUAAAUAUAAGAUUUUGUUAAUAAUAAAAUCCACAAGCCCCUAUAAGAAGUUGAGACGUGUACUAAAGUGUGCAAAAUGUUGAUGCUGAAAUCUGGUCACCCUUUGACCGACCAGAUUGGUUCACCAACGCUUGUGUUGACAAAGGAAUAUAGGCUGCAAUCCACCAGCUUCAGCAAUUUCCCGAGCUCCUGGGACCCAAAUCACCCUUCUUCUUCCUUCCAGGCUUGCGUUCACAUAAACAAAUCAGAGACGCCAGUGGUUUUUCUAGCGUAAACCCUCCGAUGCUUAAGUUAGUACAAGGUGUUUACGGGAAAACUGUAUGAUUUGUGUUGUACAGAUUAGUUGCAAUAUUCUCAAUACAAAAUGUAUCAAGGAUUCGGAUAUAAGAAUUUCUGAUAUUAAUUUGGCAGAGUUUCCCAUUUUCUCUCAAUUUUCGUCUCCCUUUUUUCAUCAAUUUCUUGGCCUUUUAUAGGCAUUCAUCCCAUGUUUUCUCAGUAUUCUUUAUGCCCCUCAUUUUCGGGUGAUGACGGACCUUCAUGGGUCUCCAACCACUGAAUCGUGGGUAAACGUGAGGCGUCAUGUUCUCUCCAGCGGUUUGGGGCAUGGUGAAACUGUCGUGAGUUCGUGAGAUCGUGCCUUCUUUCUCUGAGUGAUGAAUACCGGGUCGGUAUGUACCUCUGGUCGAUACUCGUUUCUAGUCGGCAUGUUCAUACAAGAUGUAUUAUUAGGAAUCUACUCGUGUCAGUCAGCUGGGGAGAUUCGCCCUAGGGUGAGGGAUGAGGAGAUAGCUGAGCUGGUACUUUUCAUUACUCAACACCAGUCCCCCAGUUUCUGGUCUUGCGAGUGAAACGAGUUGAGACUAGAGACUAAGAAUUGAAUCUGGCCACCCUCGGGUAGCAUCCUCCUAGUCUUUGUUUUAUUGUGAUGGACUCGAGGUGAUGUUUUAUGCUUAGAGAGUUUUUGGCCUGGGUAUGGGCAUUCGUGAGCGUAUCCAUUACGCAGCCGGGCUGACAUCCCAUCAUGUCGUCUUAAUGGCCAAUGACGUGGCACUUUCUGCCUUCUAUAUUUGAAAUUUGAAACGGCGACUUAUCUGUCCUUGAUAUGCGGUGAUUAAACUGACACCCGCGUAACUUAAACGUCUCUAUUCCCUAUUUCGUCUUAAAUCCCUAAUUUGAGAGUUUUAUUACGUUUCGUUUUCUAUAAUUUUUCCAUAAGCCUAUUCCUUCUCUUGACUCAAAACGUGUUUUCUACGCGACUUCCUUUUGCCUGGCCCUUUCUCCAUCACAGUAACGCCACUAGUGCCGAUCUAUUCCAGGUAUCGCCUUUAAUUCCUUCUCUGGUUGUUGUUUGGGUUCUGUAUUGUUCUUUUGUACCAAUAUACUUGGAUUUACUGUACUUUUCCUUUUAAGAUUUCACACUGUCAAGACGAAGGGGAAAAUUAAUUGUAGAUGAGAGUGAUGAAGAGAUAGAUUCAUACCCCAACUUGUUAAGACCUACUGACCCCCAACACCCUUGUAGCAGCGUAGGUCCCUCCUAUAAUAGGGAUACCCUUGAGUACCCCCGUCCAGAGACAAUUUUGCCUUCUUCUGAUUAUGAACCUACGGGGAACCAUGGUGGACAGGCAUCAGGUUCUGGUGAGAAUCACGGUUCUGAGAGGGUUAGGGUCCCUGAGCAAGAAGGUGAUGACGAGGAGAGUAGUUCUGAGCCGAGCCAACCUUCUAAGAAAAGAAACCUUGGUCAUAAGAUGGAGGCGGAUUCUUACCCCAUCGACUACCUCAAGUGUGCCACCACCCAUACCGACCUGCUCAAGCUGAGAAGUCUUUAUAAUAUCAUUGAGGAUGUCCUCCUCGCCAUCCUCGGGAAAGGUGAUGUUCAUAGUCGGCCUCCUAAGGGUUAUGUGACUCUGCAUCUGGAUAGCUUCAACCUAGGGGCUCGGUUGCCUCUUCAACCUUAUUUUGCCAGGAUACUUGGUGGCAUGCAUCUGGCUCCUGGUCAGCUACACCCAAACGGGUGGAGGGUUCUUUCGACCCUAUUUAUAUUGUGCGAAAGGUGCGAGCUCAGGGAGCCUUCCCUCGUGGAAGUAAACUAUUUGUAUCAGUUGAGGAGCAGUCCUAAAGAAGUAGGCUGGUAUUACUUCAUGUCGAGCUCUGCAAAGAGGAAACCAUUCGUCGGCUGUCAUUUCUCAUGUAAAAAUUAGAAAAACAAGUUCUUCUUUGCUGGGGGGAAUUGGUGCCCAGCGAUCCAUUCGCUUGGUGGUGAUAUUCACCUUCCAACGUGAUUUGUCACCCCAGGUCGUUUAUUUUUCUUUAUGCUUCACGUCCCUGGUCGUCACUUAAUUGUUUCUUUAACCUUGCCUAUGUUUUCAGACUCGUGGGGCCUUAUCAAACAACUCGAAGACGUCCCGCUACUCAAGGUCGAAACCGCUCUAGUGAACGCCUCCCACUGUCAAGAUCUCUUGUCACCAACAAAUCUCCUCGGAUCCGGUCUUGUGGACGUUGUUGCCGGGAUGCACAACAAGAUCCUUAGUGCCAUGUCAAGGAAGUGUGCUCGAGGGUCAGGUGAUUCCAGAAACGCCCCUACUCCUCAGAAGAAAAAUAGUGUUGGCCCUUCCAAAACUCUUGUUCCUGCUCUGCCCCCUCCUCCACCUCAAAAGAAUGACGGAGAGAAGUUUUGUGACAAGAGCCCUGAGGUCAGCACUCAAUCCAGAGAUCGGGCUUUGCCGCUUCCACCUCGGGACUAGAGCGAUUAUUUAUCCCUGUACCAGAGGGAUUAUGUCAAAUCAGUGGGGCCCAAAAUGGUUAAAGACAUUAAGAGCAUGAGUCUUGGCGAGCUGGGGGGCUCUGUCCAGAGGGUCUCUUUUAAGCUUACCAUUUUGGUUUCCUACUACAAGAACAGGUCUAUGCACCAUGAGAGGAAGCUUCAAGCGGAGAAUCAGGACCUGAAGAAAGAGGCUGAAUCCGCUGAUCGGUCGAAGGAAACGAUGCUCGAUCUGCAUAUGCAGGUUCUGGACCUGGAGGAGAAGGUUUCUAUUGCUGAGUCCAAGUCUUCUAAGCUCGAGACCGAGUUUGGUAACUUGAAGUCUGAUCUCGAGGCUACACAAAACGAGCGAGACACUUUGAGGACGGCCUACGAGGAGCAAGUCAAGCCCUUAAACGAGCAGAUAGUUGAGCUGAAAGGUAAAUCUGCCGAUGUGGACGACCGACUAGAUGCAGAGUAUGAUUGUGGGCUCGCCUUUUGCUAUAAGUGCAUCAUGUUCGUGCUCAAGAAAGAAUAGCCAGAGCUAAAUAUGAGCAAGCUGGAGGCAGGAGUGCAAGAGUACAUGGCAGAGUAAGGCCAGGGGAGUAAGGACCAGAGGGACUAGGAUCAGGUCAAGGCUCCUUCCAGUGGGGAGCAGGAGAAUGAGGCAGGAGACUCAUCUUUGGGUGCAGGUCAGGAGUCAGCACCUGCUCCUCCAGAAGUUGCUGGUCCCUCUCUGUCUGAGAUUGCAGAUCCUUCUUCCGCUGAAGCUGCCGAGCCUCAUAAUCCAUGAAUUUUGCUCUUCAUGUAAAUCAUAAAUUUUCUUUUUUAUUUAUGACUAUCAGAACUUUUAUAAACUUGUAGCAUUUUUCUCAUUGUUUUUUGUUAAAUUUUUCUUUGUGGAUUACCUUGGAAAGCAAUUUUGGAAACUGGGUUUGCUUGUCCUUAGGCUAUUCUGUGCUUUAGAAAACGUGGUAGAUAUUGUCUGCUCGUCCCUAAGCGACGAAGUUGGGAUAGGCACAUAUUUGCCUUAACAAAUUUUAUAUGAUUUGCCUGCUGGUCCUUCAGACGACCGAGCAGGAAUAUGCAUAUAUUUUGCCUUAGCUAAUUUUAUAAAAUAUGCCUGCUGGUCUUUUAUGUGACCGAGCAGGAAUAGACACUCUUAUGCCUUAGCGAAUUUUGUAAAAUAUGCCUGCUGGUCCUUUAGGCGGCUGAGCAGGAGUAGGCACUCUUUUGCCUUAGCGAAUUUUAUAAAAUAUACUUGUUGGUCCUUUAGGCGGCUGAGCAGGAGUAGGCACUCUUUUGCCUUAGCGAAUUUUGUAAAAUAUGCCUGCUGGUCCUUUAGGUGAUCGAGCAGAAGCAGACACUCUUUUGCUUUAGCAAAUUUUAUAAAAUAUGCAUGCUGGUCCUUUAGGCGACUGAGCAGGAGUAGGCACAUGUUUGCCUUUACGAAUUUUGUAGAAUUUGCCUGCUGGUCCUUUAUUCAACCAAGCAGGAAUAAGCACAUGGUUGCCUUAGUAAAAUUUUGUAGAGUUUGUCUGCUGGUCCAUUAGACGAUCGAGCAGGAAUAGACACAUGGUUGCCUUAGUAAAUUUUUUCUAACAAGAGAGUUAUGAGCUGAAUUCAUCUCUAUUGAAUUUUUUGUGGAUUACAACAGGCAAAAUACAUGCGCGUGCCAUAAUUCCAUAAUACAUUUAGCAGAAAUAACUUAGCAAAAGGAAACUUGAUAAAGUACUUUGCUUACUAGAAAUAUUUCUUCAAGUGCUCAGCGUUCCAUGACUUCUUUAUAUCUCGUCCAUCUGGAUAAGCCAGCUUAUAGGCUCCUGGGCCAGUUGUUCGUACCACUUUGUAUGGGCCUUCCCAGUUCGGGCCAAGGACGUCUUGGUUAGGAUCUCUGGUGUUCUGGUUUACCUUUCUAAGCACCCAAUCCCCAGCUCGAAAUUGCCUUACGCGUGCAUUUUGGUUGUAGUAGCGCAUGACCCUUUGCUGACACUGAGCUACCUUCUGCGAGGCUUCCUCUCUUUUCUCCUCUAGCAGAUCUGGGCUUAUACACAUCUGCUCGGCAUUCUGUUCCUCGUUGAAAUACUCUGUCCGAUGCAUUCCCACCCCAAUUUCCGCUGGGAUUAUUGCCAUAUGACCGAAAGUUAAGGCAAACGGGGUUUCCCCCAUGGCGGUUUUGUGGGUUGUCCGGUAGGCCCAUAAUACUCCUGGUAAUUCGUCAACCCAAGCUCCCUUCUUCUCUCCCAGCUUGGUUUUCAGGAGCUUCCUUAUAACUUUGUUGGCUGCCUCUACCUGCCCAUUUACCUGGGGAUGUGCCGGGGUACAAAACUUCAAAUCUACGCCCAAGUUUUGGCAAAACUCUCUAAAAUUGUGGUUGUCAAAUUGCCUCACAUUAUCUAUUAUGAUGGCAUAGGGAAUUUUGUAUCUGCAAAUGAUGUUCUUCCAAACAAAACCAGUUGUCUUCUUCUCCGUGAUUUGACUAAGGGCUUCCACUUCCACCCAUUUUGUGAAAUAAUCUAUAGCCACAAUUGUAUGUGUCGCAGCUCCUCGGCAUUUAGGCAAUGGACCAAUCAGGUCAAUCCCCCACUAGGCAAAAGGCCAAGGGGAUGACAUAGCAGUUAAUUUCUCUAGGGGCUGAGCAGGGAUAUCUAAGAAACUUUGGCAGGCUUUACAACUUUUGGUCAUCUCCUUCGCAUCCUGGUGCAUAGUCGGCCAAAAAUAUCCCUGUCGUAGCACUUUGAACGCUAAAGUCCUUACUCCCGAAUAAUUGCCGCAUAUUCCCUCAUGUAUUUCUCUUAACACAUAAUCAGCUUCCUCGACGUCUAAGCAUCUCAACAGGGGCAAGGUGAACCCUCGGCGGUAAAGCACCCCAUCAAGCAUCGUAUACCUUGCUGCUCGACAUUUCAAUUUCCUUGCUUGCUUUCUAUCCUCUGGUAAAAUGCCGUCACGGAUGUACAAGAGAAUUGGAUCCAUCCAGGACCUUUCGGUGUCCACCUUAAUUACUUCUAUUUCCUUCCCUAUGCUUGGCGAAGUCCUUACUUAUAAUGGGACUGUCUUGGGCAACUUCGGAUUGGCAGUCGCUGCCAUUCUGGCCUACAUAUCUGCUCGGUAAUUUUCUGUCCUAACUAUCUGCUUUACUUCUACCUCUCGGAAGAGCUCAAUCAUCUGCUUUGCCUUCUUCAAAUAAAUCUCUAUCUUCUCUCCCCUUGCUUGAAAUUGCUGAUUGAGCUGAUUGCAGACCAGCUGGGAAUCUGCUUGGAUUUGCACCCUUUCCUCUUGUAGUGCGUGUGUCAACCCGAGCCCUGUGACGAAGGCUUCGUAUUCUGCCUGAUUAUUCGUGAGCUGAAAUUCAAACUUCACUGCGUAUGACACCUCGGCCCCUUCUGGGCUUCAUAUUACCCAUCUUUGUCGGCGUAAUGAUCUUUCUGUUGAAGAUUAUAUCAUUCAUUUCCGCACUCAGUGUCUUUGUCUCCAAACUCGCAUUUUGCUCCGUUUUAUUCAAUCCACUGUUCUUCCUAGAUCAGGACAUUUGGAUGAGGUUUCCCACAUGGACGUUGCUUUGAUUGAUUGUAUUCUUAGACGUCGUCCGGUUAACUUGGGCUAUACCAUCAUCCAAACCAUGUUGACCAUACCUGCCUUGAUUACCCGCUCCCUUCCAUAUGGUCACUUCAUUACCCGAAUCCUUAAAUAUUUUGAUGUACCGAUCCAAGAACCGUCAUGUAGACCGUCUAAGGGUAUCGGGGAUGACACUAUAUUUGGCUUAGGCUUUGAGUGGAAAAAUGACACUUGGGUCAAAUUUACUGAAAACAAUUUUACCUUUCUUGCUCCAAGUGAUGAUCGGCCACUUAAUGCUGUGGUUCCAGCCGAUCAGCUACCCGUUUUCUCACACUCAUUUCGGGGGCAACAUAGACGCCGAGAUCCUCCGGUGAUUGCUUCAACUCCUGGUGCCUCUGCAUCCGCUUCAUCACUUCCACAGCCUCCUACCUCUGAAGAGGUUACUCUUCAGCAGCUUAUGGAUGAGGUGAGGACACUCUCUAUGCGGCAGAUUGAGUUUCAGCGGCAGCAGCAUCAGUUCAUUCAUGGACAGCGCCUCAUCUUUGAGCACUUCAGCAUUCCAUAUCCUUAUCCUCCUCCAUCACCACCAUCCUCACCACCUCAGUAGUCUCUUAUGCUUUUAUUUGAACACACCUACAUAUCAUUUACUGCUUUAUGUCCUUUUAUUUUUGACUAUAUGGAUGGUUAUUAUGCUUUUGGAUUAUGUAUUUUUUUUUUUGAUGAUAUGGAUUUGUUUUGAUUGUUAGUUAUGGAUUAUAUGGAUUUCCUUAUGAUUAUGGAUAUUUUUGAACUAAUGUGCUUGUAUUGAGACUUUGAUGAUUAAUAGGGGGAGCUUUUAUUCUUUUUUAUGAUGAAGGGGGAGAAUAAUCUAAUAUGUGUUAUAAAAAUAUGCAUGUAUACAGGGGGAGUAUGCAUGUAUACAGGGGGAGUCUUUUAAAUAAUUUUUAAAUCAGUUUUUUAACCUUGCAUUGAUUAAGGGGGAGCUUUUCAUAAUUAGAUUAAAUUUUUAUAAUGUGUUUUGCCAUCAUAAAAAAUGGAGAGAUUGUUAGCCUAUAUGGCUAUAGAUAUUGAUUUUAAUGAUAACAAACCACAUGUGUUGAUUAAAUAAAGAUUUAUGAAUUGUGCUUUUAUAAUAAGAAAAUGAUGUUAUGGAAUUAAAGUAUUUUGGACUAAAAUGAAAGUAUUUUAAAACCUUUGAUAUUGUUUUAAAAUUUCAGAUUUGGACCUAUUUAAAAAUAUUUAAAUAUUUUGGGUCAUUCUAUAAUUUCACAUAGUUUGGGUGAAAUUAUAAUUUUAGAAAGUUUUGGGAUUGACAAAGCAUUAUUUAGAAAUUCUGAAAUUGGACCUAUUUGAAAGCUUUCAUAAUGUUUUGGGUCAUAAAUACAGUUUUAUAAAGUUUUGGGGUCAAACUAUAAUUUUGGAAAAUAUUUCACUGUAGCAGUUACUGUAUCAAGUGGCUAACUAGAUAAGGUAAGCGGCAAUCCAGAUUUUGGGCAGUAAGCUUUUGGAGCAUAAACGGCUAUUCGGAUAUCGUAAGCGGCAUGCCGGAUGUUUUGAAAUUUAAAUUUUUGUUGUAACGGUAACAUAAAAGCAGCUAAUCGGAUUCCGAAAGCGGCAAGCCGGUUAUCAUUAAAAAACACAUAACGGCUAGUUUUUGGGCUCAAACUAUAUAAACUCAAAUCCAAUUCACUUUCAUUCUCUCUAGCAAGCAGAAUAAAAAGCACACAACAUAUCUUGAGCUCUCAAUUCGCAAGUCAUUAUUCAUUGAAUCAUUGUUGUUCUUCAAUUUGUACAUCUACUCUUCAAGAGAGUUUUUGUUGUAACUUUCGUUUCUUCAUCUUAAUUGUGAGUGUUUGAGUGUGUGAGACACUUGAGUGAAGAGAUUGAGAGAUAAUCUCUUUGUUGUAAAGGUUCAUUGACACCUUGAAGUCAAUUGUAAACAUUUAAAGCCUUGAAAGGCUUGGAUAGUGAAAUCCUCAAGCUUGAAUCGCUUAGAGGCGUGGACGUAGGCGGGGAUUGCCGAACCACGUAAAAAUUUGUGUGUUUGUUUCUUUUCUCUCUUACUCAUUUGUUAUUGUGCUUUUAUUGAACUUAUUGCUUUCGGAUUUAUUAAGGCGUUAGAUUGGAUUGUUGUGUGGCUUUGUUAGGAUAAUUUUUAAAAUACCAAUUCACCCCCUCUCAGGUUGCACACUUGUAUUUCACAAUUUACCUAGCAACAUAGAGGACCCAAGAAGCGAAGGUAAAGAGGACCGCAAAAUGAUUAACUUAAGAUCUUGAAAGAAUAUUCAUAGUCCAGUUGGUGUACCAAAAAGAAGAGUUGAGUCCACUUUAAUCUGGAAAGAAACUCAAAUUAAAGAAGAACCACAAUCCUCCACUUCACAACAAAACAACCAAGCUACAACAUCUGUAGAAAAUGAUGAUCCAACACCAGUGGAUAGUAUUGCUACAGCACCAACCUAGAACAUGGUAAAAGAAAAGUAGUCUGCACAGACUGCUGUAGCAUAACAAUUUAGGCACCCACCACCAUUUCCUCAAAGGUUCCAGAGACAGUAACAAGAGAAGAAUUAUAGUAAAAUCUUGGGAAUAUUGAAACAACUACAUAUAGAUAUCCCUUUUAUGGAAGCUCUAGAGCAAAUGCCAAAUUAUGUGAAAUUUUUUAAGGACAUUUUGACAAAUAAAAGAAAACUUGGAGAAUUUGAAACAGUUGCUCUAACACAAGAGUGCAGUCGUAUGCUUCAGAAUAAGAUACCGCAGAAGAUGAAAGAUCCAGGAAGCUUCACAAUCUCAUCUUCCAUUGGCACUAAAUACAGUGGCAAAGCACUCUAUAAUCUGGGGCUAGCAUCAGUCUCAUGCCUUUAUAAGUUUUUAAGUAAUUGAGAGUUGGUGAAUGUAGAUCAACAACAGUGGCUUUACAACUUGCUGACAGAUCUCAUGCCUAUUUAGAAGGGAAGAUUGAAGAUGUAUUGGUAAAGGUGGAUAAAUUUAUUUUCCCAGUGGAUUUCAUAAUGUUAGACUUUGAGGCAGAUAAGGAAGUACCAAUCAUUUUACAUAGACCUUUUUUAGCCACGAGAAAGACUCUAAUUGAUGUUCAAAAAGGAGAAUUAACCAUAAGGGUGAAUGACCAACAAGUUACAUUCAAUGUGUUAGACGCUAUAAGGAAUCCUGAUGAGGUUGUAGAUUGUAAUUUUGUCAGUGCUGUGGAUUUUGUUGUAGUAGAGAGAUUAAACAGUUACUGCAGCAAAGAAGAAAUCAAGGGUGAAGCAUUUGAAAAACUUGAAUAUGAAUAUCAAGACCUUGAAACAGCUGACAUAGAAUUCAAGGUGAAAAGCUAGGUGAAAAGCAACCCUUUAUAAUUGACGAGCAAAUCCAACAAAAGGAAUUCCCUCCAGGCCAACAAGAAUUCAAGGUUAAUGGGCCGAGAGUGAAGCACUAUAUGGGACCUAAUAUGAACAGCCUAAAGAAGGAUAAGUUUUUUAAGAAUCUAUGUUGAGUAAGUAAGAAAGGUCAGGUUGAAUAACCUAAAAUCAAGCGCUAAUUGGGAGGCAACCCAAUAAGGGAAGUUGUUUCAAGUUUUUAAAGCAUUAAAUUUAGUUUUAAAAUUAUUUAUUUUUUCUUUUUGGUAUUUUAAGUGUGCAUCUAAUUUUUUUAUGUCUUUGUGUUAAAUUGCAGCAAAGUAGAUAUGUGUGUGUGUGUGUGUCUGUUUGUGUGUGUGGGGGGGGGGGGGGGGUAAAAAGAGCAGAAUGAAAUUGUUGUAGCAUCACUUAUAGCAUGACAUAUAACAGAAGAUUCUCAAAUAACAGAGGCAUUUAUUGCUUUUGUAGUAGGAACAGAUUGAUCAGAUUUUAUGAUAAAGAGCGUUUGAAAAGUGGAUCAAAGAGGAAGUGACCCUUUACAGCUUGUGCUACAGCAUUGCUUCCAACAACAAGAGAGUAACCCCUAGUAGCCAGUUUAUUUUAUUUAUUUUUCAUUUAGUUUUAUUUUAUUAUUCAUUCUUCAUUUCUUUUUAUUAUGCAUGUAUGAUUUGUUUUGUUUUGUUUUUGUGUGGUGAUUUGUUUUGUUUUGUUUUUGUGUGGUGAUUUGUUUUGUUUUGUUUUUGUGUGGUGAUUUGUUUUGUUUUGUUUUUGUGUGGUUGUGAGGAUACAACACCUCUCAAGUUUGGAGGAGGGGGGGCUGUGUUAUGGUGUAUUAUGUUUGUGAAUGCAUGUGUUCUUGUUGUGUAUUAUGUGAAUCUCUGUUAUCUAGUAUUUGUGCAUGGAUUGGAAAACCUAAUGAAGAUAAAUUGAGUGUUAUUCAAUAAUUAUAAUUGCCAAGUAAUGAUAGUUUAUAGAUGGAAGUUGAAAUUCUAUCCCAACACUUAAGCUUUGGUUGAGUUUUAUGAGAAUGUUGUAACAGAGCCAGGAAAACCAAAAAAGGGUAGAAAAUGCCUCAAGUUUGGGUGAAAUUUUUUUGUUGAACUGUGCUUGUUAUGAAAUAAAUUCUGCUCCAAUGACUUAAGUUGCUGAGUAACAAGGGCUGAGUACGCACCCUAUAUGCAGACUUGAAUCCAAAGGCAACAAGAGCUAUGAGCAUUGCUGUAACAACAAGAAAAAAAAGGGGUCAUCUAUCUAGGAUAUUGAAUAGCUAGGUUUAUUCAUGAGCCCCAUGUUCAGCCUUGAGUUAAAGAUGUUUAUAGACAAGACCAUGUUGUGAGCAUUGCUGCAGCAACUCUGAUAUGUGCAUUGGUUGAGUAAUUGGGUGUCAUCACCACAAGUGAUAGAUAUUUACAUUAAAAAUAAAUGAUACAUUGAAGAGAAUUCAAUUGAUUGACUGACAAAAAAUUUUUUUUGCUAUAACACAGUUUGAACUUGUUUAUGAUUUCAGCCCCCCACAUGUGAAUGUACUUAUGCUUUACCUUUGAGUUAUAUAAUGUUUGUGCAAUGCUGCAAUGCCUCUGAAAUUCAAUCAGGGUGACAAAUACACACUUUGGACAGAAUGAGGCCUAAGUCUAGAACUGAUCUGCUAUGAAAAUUUUGCAUGAGUAAGAGUAUGAUUUGAGAGUUUAAGAAUCCUUGCAAAUUUGAUGACAGAGCUAAGUAAGUUAGUUGUUGUAUGAUUUUCAGAUUGAAAUGUUAGUGUUGUUGUCAUUACUUGAGGAACAAGCAAUGGUUUAAGUUUAGGGGUGUAAUAACUCUAUGGAAUGAGAGUUAUCAUGGUACUUUUAGACUUGAAUCAACAAUACUUAGAGGGUAAAUGAUAUGUUUUUAUUGCAUUUUAGUUAUAUUUUGCAUAAAUAUCCAUUUUAGUUUAGUCUCAAUAAAUUUUGUUUGAUUUAGAAUUUUUUUUUUUGCUUAGAUCGUAUGCAUAAUUGUAUGUAACCGGAAGCUCAAAUUUCAAGGAAGGAAUGCUAAGCAAUAGGCUUACAAAAAUAAGGAAAGAACUUGGCUACAGAAGAAUUGAAACAAGUCUAGAAUAGUGCAGGUGCUGAAGCCAUUGUUGUAGCACUGUUGUUGUCGCAUCGUUACUAUAAUAAUUUUGGAGCAUUGAGAGAGAAGAUUUUACGUGAGAUACUUAGAAGAUUGCGAUCUGGAGUUUCCUAAAAUGAAAUAUGCGUGCCCUACACUUCUGGUUGCCCUAAUUAUAAGCUAUAAAAGAAGCACACACGCAAAUAAAAGAGGAGGGCCAUCACCCAAGGAGAAAAAUAGUAAAGAAACAAAAGAAAAACAAAAUUCAAGAGAGAGAUCAAGGGCUGCACCAGAGGAAAAAACGCAGAGAUCCAUUGAAAAUCAGUCAUUCUUGUUCUUUUCUUGUUUUCUAUUUAUUCAUGAGGAUUUAUCUGAUGGGUAAAACUCUUUUAAAUACUUUUCUUUUACAAAUCAUGAACUGAAUUUGAUUGUGGCUGAAUGAUAAACGAUCUUAAUGAAUGUUUGACUGAUACAUGCGUGUUGCUCAGUGUUUGCUACAACAGUUUGUCUUAAUUGUAUUUAUUUUAGUUCUCUAUUUCCACUUAUCACCCAUUUAGUGGAUACUAACUAAGAAGGAUCCUAAAAAAGGUCUGACUUAGUGGAACAAAUUAAGCAAUACUUGGUUUUAGAUUGGGUUUCUCAAGUUAAGUUAAUCUUAAUUUGAAUAGGGCCAUACUUGAUCUAAGAUUAAUGAAAAAACUAGAUAUAGAGAUUCACCUUAUAGGGUAAUUAAAACCUAAAACGCAUAAUGUUAUAUCUAAUGUUAGCAUAACAACUUAUCACUGUUAAUUUGCAUAUAGAUAUAAGAUAUCCAAUAGGCGAUAGUUGAGGAUGCAUGGGGGAUUUUGCCUAGUGUUGUAGUAAAUGUUGUAUCAACAAGUUCUUAAUUAGAAAAAUAGUCAAAACCACUAAGUGAGUUUAAUCACUCAAAUAGAGCAGUCGGCCCAGCAACAAUAGUUAUUUUAGAAAUAUGGCCACGUGAUGGUGUUCGGAGUUGUAGAUAUUUUUGUUAGGAUAUUUUAGAUUGUAUAAUUUUGUUAUAAUUUGUGAUUAAGUAUAACCUAUUCUAUUUUGACAUUCGAAUGCUCGGAUCAUAACUGGUAUUUUGAUUAGGGAAGUUGAAUGUGGAGGUUGGUUGUGUAUUGAACUAUUUUAAGAGUGUUUGUUUUAUAAAUUGUAGGUUGGAAAUAUUACAUCCAUAGGGCAGAGAUACAGCAUAAUACUUAUUAAAUGGAAUAUUGUCAAUUAUGUUAUAAAAUAUCAAGUACAUUUGGCUCGUGUGGUUUGGGGCGAGUUGUUUCAUAAUUAAUAUCAAUAUCACUUUACAUUAAUAGAUAUUGCAUGAUUUUGACAUUAUUAAUUUAUAAAGGCUUUCUAAUUCCUACACAUCCAUUUUAGUUCAAAUUAAGAUGUUUAGAAUUUAAUUAAGAAAUUGAAAAAAUGUCAAAGAGCUCAGUUUCAUCAAGCUUGUAAUGGCAAACACUAAAUGCAUGCUACCUCAGAUGCUUCAUUUUCUCUUUCCCUAGGCUUACAAGAGAAAAUUGUUUGAUCGAGAAGUUACUAUACCUACACAUGCCCUGGAGGGAAUGUUAAUGAUUUUGAUCAUCAGUUGUUUCUUUUAUCUUUUAUCAAUGCUUUUGUGAUAAUGAUUAAUUGUAGUGAAAUUGAAACUGUGUUUUAAUAAAAGAAGAAAUUAAUCUACUAUGAGUACCUAAUGCUUUGUCAUGUGUUUUUACUGUGCUUUGUUUUAUACGGAUCGUUGAAUCAAUCUAUGAGAGAAAUUUAUUGAAACGCUAAUAAUGAUCAAGCGAUCAUAAUUAAUAUUUGUAACAUAUGUAAUAUUUAAAUUUUAAGUCUAUUUUCUUUUAGGCUGAGGCUAUUUGGAUCCUUUUUUAUUGUAAUCUAAUUUUUUUUAAAUCUUAUAUUCCUAAACUACCUGAUUCAAUUUAUGGGUAAAUUCAAUUUAUGCCCCGAGAAUCUUCAAUUUACCACAAAAAAUGUGAAAAAAUCAAUUCACCCCCAUUUACUACUACGAAAAUAAAUAAAAGAUCAUCAACUUGCCCCCCAUUUAAGUUAUCUUUUGAACAAAAAUUAGUGUAGAUUGAGGUUCUCAUGCUCUUAUAGGGUAGACUAAAGAUUGUUAUUAGGAGGGGGAUGAAUUAAAGUUUACUUCAGUUAAUAUAAGAAAACUUCUCAUAUUAUUUCUAACACAAAUUUGCCAUGUUUAUAUGCCCACAUCAAUUCAAUUGGUAACUCAUGUUGAACGAAUGGAUUGAUUAGAUAAAUAAUCAUAGGAUCUUAGCUAAUCCUGUAUUCUGCAUACCUUACUAAAUUAUUUCGUAAGAAAUUUUGUAAUUGUAUUUUUUUGUAAUUUGAAAUAGCUAAUUACAAGAACUAACUCAAUACUUCAAUCUUUAAUAAAUCAAGAUCGAUUUGGAAUCAAGAUUGAUGAAAAACCGAGUAAAGAACAGAAAAAGAAUUGGAUUACAAAGAACAAGUUACUAGAUUUAAAGAAAAAAUGAACACUUUUUCAUUAAUCAAAACUGAGUACAAACAGAUCACAUCUGAAGAGUUACAAGAAUCACGUGUAAAGAAGAAUUAUUCUAAUUGAAGAAAAAAUCAGUGAGAGAAGGCUUAUAUAUCAUAUGCUACAAGCCAUCAUCUCGUUUCUGGAACAUUUGUAGAAACCACGUAACAAAGUUUAACAACCCAGGCCAUGUCAGUAGAAAUUUUCAAAAGCACCCUUCAACUGAGUGCAAUAUACACAAUGACCCAUAAAACUCUCAUUCGAUUUCACUUUAGUCCCCAAAAUCAGUUAACCACAUCUCCACACUCUCCACCUUGCAAAUCUAAUUCAAUUGAUUGCACAUCAUGAAAGGUGCUUCAAAAAACCUUCAAAUACUGUGGUCCACUCAUGAAUUCAGUUUGGUUUAGGCAGGAUGCCCACCACGUUCACACAGAACUCAAACUUAGUUGUUGGAAGAACUUUAGUAAGCAUGUUCGCUGGGUUUACAUCUAUAUGAAUCUUAAAUAUCACCAUAGUCCCUUUUGCAACUUCAUCUCUAAUGAAUUGUAGCUUCACAUCUAUAUGCUUAGUCCUCUCAUGAUACAUUUGAUUCUUAACCUACUGUUAGCACUUUGAAUAUCACAGAAAAUUUGAACUGAUUUUUUAUUUAACCAAAGCUCAUUGAGGAUACUUUUAAGCCACAUGGACUCUUUGGUUACUUAUGUGGCUGCUACAAACUUAGCUUAUAUAGAAGAUAGAGCUACUACAGACUUUAAAGAUGAUUUCCAACUAAUCAUACAGUUGUUCAGCAUGAACAAAUAUCUAGUGGUUGACUUCUUUCUGUCGAAGUGUCUACCAAAGUCAGAGCCUACAUACCCCACCAUUUCACUCACAGCUUAACUUGAUCUUCCAAACAGUAAGACAUGGUUUGAGGUACCCCUGAGAUACCUCAAUAUCCAUUUGACAACAUCUCAAUGGAUCUUACUUGGAAAGCUUAAGAUUUACUGACUAUACCCACUAAAUAAGUUAUAUCAGGUCUGGUACACACAAUUGCAUAUAUAAGGCUCCCCAUAGCCGGUGUAUAUGGUAUUUCUUCCAUCCAAAACUUAUCUUUGACAACAUCUGAUGCUUGAGACACAGACAACUUGAACUGAGAGCCAAGAGAAGUCAGAACAGGUUUGCACUAUUGCAUAUUAAACCUAUCUAACACCUUUAUUAACAUACAUCUCUUAACUCAAGAAAAGAACACUAGCAGCUUUAUUCCUUGUGAUCUCCAUCCCAAGAAUCGUUUUGGCAUUGGCAAUAUCAUUCAUCUCAAAUUUAUGGUUCAUCAGUUUCUUAAGCUUUUCAAUCUUAGUUUGGUGUCUGCUUGCAAUCAAUAUAUCGUCUAUAUAAAAAAGCAAAUAUAUCACUCUGCCUUAAUCUGAGCCACCAUAGUAAACAAAGCUAACAUACUUGCUCUUGUGGUAACCAUUAGUUACUAUGAACUCAUCAAAUCUCUUGUACCACUCUCUAGAAAAUUGUUUUAGUCCAUAUAGUGAUUUAUGUAGCAAGUAAACAUGAUUUUCUUUCCCUAUCUUUGCAAAACCUUCAGGCUGAGUCAUCAAAAUCUGCUCUUUAAGCUUCCCAUUUAGGAAAGCAGUUUUAACAUCCAUUUGCUUAAGCUCUAUACAAGAAAUGUUGCCAUAGUUAAAAGAAUUAUGAUAGAGCUAUGUUUUACAAUAGGGGAGAAGAUUUCCUUGAAAUCUACACUCUUUCUCUAAGUCUUACCUUGAAUUUUGAAGGUUCAACUCUAAGGAUGCCAUUCUUUUUCUUAAAGAUCCACUUACAGUUAACCAGCUUCUUGUCACUUGGAUUUGGAACAAGUGUCCACAUCUGAUUUCUCUAUAAAGAAUCCAUCUCUUUUCUCAUUGCCUUAAUCCAUUUGUCACAGUUCUCACUUUCAAUGGCCUUAGAAUAGCUAAAAGGCUCCUCAAUUGACAUAUCUUCUGCACUCAUCAGUGCAUAGGCAAUCAAAUCUGUAGAACCAUACCUCACAGGUGCCCUGGUUUGCCUUCUACUUAUGUCCCUAGCUAGUUGAUAGCUCUGUAGGUUAAUUUGUUGUGUUUCUUGUGUUUCAACAGCUUUAGUUUCAUCAAAUGGACCAGUUUCAGCAUUUGAUGUAUCCAUUUUCUUAUCCUUAGCUCCAAGAAACUCCACCUUAAACUUAGAGGACUUAGUUGGUUUAUUCGCAUCUCCUUCAACAUGCAUAUCAUCUUCUAUUAUUUCCUUUCUAGCCUUAACCAUAGCUGCUUAAUUGAAAAUAACAUUUCUACUGAUAAUGCAUUUUCCAUGUUGUUCACACCAUAUUCUAUAUCCUUUGACACCAUCAGCAUAGCCAACAAAAAAUCCUUUCAAGGCUAUUGGUUCAAGCUUGCCUUGAUUUACAUGUGCAUAAGCAGGACAACCAAAGAUUCUGAAUUGUCAUAUUUUACAGACCUCCCUGACCACAUUUCCUCAGGUGUUUUGAAACCAAUGGCUGAUGAAGGACUCUUGUGUGACUAGAUAACAAGCUGUACUCAUAGCCUCUGCCUAGAAACUUCUUGGAAUUUUGGAAUUAAUCAACAUAUACCUGGUUAUAUCAACAAGGGUCUUAUUCAAUCUUUCUGCUAAACCAAUUUAUUGAGGAGUUAAUCUAAUAGUUUUAUGCCUUAAAAUUCUAUGCUUCUUAUGGUAGUCUUCAAACUCAUUGUUGCAGAACUCUAGGCCAUUAUCAAUUCUUUAGGCCUUCAAUUUCCUUCCACUUUUAUUUUCCACCAAUGUUUUUCAAACCUUAAAUUUCUUUAAGGCUUGAUCUUUGGAUUUCAGAAUAUAAAGCCACACCUUUCUUGAGCAAUCAUCAAUAAGGUCAUAAAAUAUCUACCCUUGAUAAAGAUGGCACUUGAGCUAUGCCCACAAAUCAGAUUGAAUAAAUUUUAAGACACACUUAGAUCUAUAUGCCCCUUUUGGAAACUUGGCUCUGUGUGCCUUCCCAAAGACACAAUUCUCACAAAACUCAAGACUACUUAUCUUGUCAGACUCUACUGUCAUUACAGCACUUGCAAGAAUGAAAAAACCAACUAACACACACAACCUGUUCCUCUUUUCACCUUUCAUCAUAAUAGAAUCCCUUUUAGUCGCUCUAUGCCACCAUUAUCAGACUUAAAUGAAUAUUCAAAGCUAUCUAACAUGCCUAAAGAGAUUAAAUUUCUCUUUAAUCCACGGGCAUGUCUUACACCAUGUAAAGUUUUAAAGACCCCAUCCAACAUCUUUAUCUUAAUAGAUCUUAUUUCAAUAAUUUUGCACUUAUUAUUGUUUACUAUAAGAACUCUACCACCAUCAAUAGACACUUAUUGGGCAAAUGUAAAAUGAACAGCCAGAAUUUAAUACCCACUGAUCUUCUAAGUUUGCCUUUUGAUGAUAUUAACAUAUCAACACUGUGAUAGCCAUAAUCUGAAGAGUCAUUUAAAGCCACAACUGCAUCUCUUGAUUUUUCUUGAUGCUCCCUUUUCUUUUACUCUGCAUAGUCUCUGAUAUAAUGACCUUCUUUGUGAUAGCAAAAACACUUCUUUUUCUUUUUUCUUCUUACCGGCUUCUUGGCUCUUUCCUUUGCCCUUUUCUUGAUUCUUAUUCUUAUGUUCUUUUUUCUUUCUAGUUCUGGCAAUCAGCCCUUCUCCAUUACUGAUUUAAUGCCCAUUAUUUCUCUGAAUCUCCUUUGAGCUCAAUGAUGCCUUAACAUCUUCUAAAGUUAAUGUUGCUCUUUUAUCUAACAUUGUAUCUACAAAACCUUCAUAGGAUUGUAGCAGUGAACUGAGCAAGAAAAAUGCUUUAUUUUCAUCUCUAAUUUUCACAUUUUCAAACCCUUUAAGAUUAAGGAUGAUCUUAUUGAAAAUAUCAAUGUGUUCUUGGAUUAACACACCUUCUUUUAUUGAAAAAUAUAAAGUUUUUUCUUCAAUAAAAGCUUGUAAACCAAAGACUUCUUCAUGCAUAGUGCCUCCACCUUAUUCCAUAUCCUUAGAUCAAUUUUUCUUCAAAGAUUUCCCUUAAGAUUGAGCCACUAAGACUCAAAAUCAAGGAAAUAUGAGCUAUGUUCUGGAUGUGCUACUUCUUUUCAUCAGGCAUGGAACUUGUAGCUCUAUUAAGAUCUUUGUUACCCAGAGUAGACUCAAGGCCCUGAUAAAUGAGCAGAGGCCUUAUCUUUGUCUUCCAGAUCUUUGGCUUUAGAAGUGACAUACCCAAGAAUUACCAAAGCAUUCAUACCACUUGUUGUAAUUUCUAGUGGCUAAUUACAAGAACUAAUUCAAUACUUCAAUCUUUAAUCAAUCAAGAUCGAUUUGAAAUCAAGAUUGAUAAAGAAUAGAGUAAAGAAAAGAAAAUAGAAUUAGAUUGCCAAGAAUAAACUACCAGAUGAGAAGGAAAAAUUCACAUUGUUUCAUUAAUCAAAACUAAGUACAAACAAAUCACAUCUGAAGAGGAGAUUACAAUAAUCACGUGUAAAGAAGAAUUAUACUAAUUGGAGAAUAAAUGAAUUAUAUAUCAGUUGACUUGUUAUCCACUUGCCACUAAUUUUCUAUUCAAUCCACACAGUAGCCAGAAUCCCCCAACUUGCUCAAAAGACUUAAUUCAUUACCUCAAGUCCUUUUGGCCACCUAGAUUGAGAAUUUUUUUAUUCUUUUUUUGAUACUUCCUAUCUAAUAAGAGCAUGUCAUUACGAACUUGUAUUUGUUUGAUUCAUAACAUCUCAAGAGCAUUACAAUAGAAAAAAAAAAAGAGUAACUAGAACUAACAACAUUGAUUAAACUUCCUACUUGUUAUUCUUAGUGGUAACUACAUCUAGAUCUUGAAUGUACAAAAGCCAACAUCAUGGAGCCCAUAUUUUGCAUCAUUAAAUGAUUAGUCUAAUUGUCACCUCUGCUUUCACUAUUGUCAUUAAAAAUUUAUCUUAUCAUACUAGCUGCAUAAAAAUUAACAAAUUAACAUAUUAUCAUUUUUAAGUCAUCAAUCAAGUAUAAAUAUUAUAUUAUUUAGUUAUAUAACAAAAAUAAAGAAAGAACUAAAUUUCAAAUAUAUAUAUUGAAUUAAAGCCAAACUAGCCAUCCAAAUAAAUAAAAGAAUACAUAUUUGCAUUUAGAAACAACUACUUUAAACCAAUAUCUUUAUUUUCAUGUGAUGAAAUUAAAAUUCUAGUUACAAUUACAUGUGACUUCUGUGAAGUUGUCUAGCCAAUAAAUUGUCCAUUUGCUUAUAUAAAAAAAAUUUUCAUCUUGAAUGCAAUUUGUGAAUCAACAAUGACAACAUGGCAACUAAUUCAAGAAAGACUUCCGUAUGUUUAAUAGGUGAGGCAAAUAUGGGCCCAAAUAAUAGCAAAAAUUUUGUUAUAUGAAUUGGGGCAAACUUCAAUUCAUCCCCUUGCCAAUAAAAAUCUUCAAUUUACCUUUCAAAAACAUGAAAAUCUCGACUUACCUCAAAUUUUGUUUAGAAGAUGAACGUAAUAAUGAUCGUUAUUAGUAUUUCAAUAGAUUACUCUGUCGUAGAUUAAGUCAACGAUAAAUAUACAACAAAAUAGCAUCAAAUGCAUGCAUAAAANNN